GUUCCCACUUUGCAUCGUUCCUCUAAUGUUGGGCAAUUUUUAAUUGACAGAAGCUCAAGAGAAGUGAGGUGUCCAAUACCCUCCGGCAAGCAUCUCAAUCCUUUACAAUAUAUAAUCCGUAGAGUUCGAAGGGAUUGAAGACCUUCCCAAUUUUGCUCUGGUAAGGACUCCAAUUGUGGGAAACAAUUUACAACCAGAGAUUGAAGAGAAGUAAGGUUUUUGAACAUCUCCUCUGGGAAGGAUGUUAUUCUGAAACCGUCAUGUAGCCAAAGCUUUGUAAGACCACGGAAGGUAGAGAUUGACCUCAGUAACUCAUUGUUACAUCCCAAUACAUGGAGCAGUUUCAGAGAUGGAAGACAUGGCAGUCCAAGUUCAGGGCAAUAUGAGAUUUUCAAAUUAGAAAGACAAGGAAAUAUCUUCCCUCUUUCCACUUUCAAUAACCCCUCUAUGUUUCGUAGGCGUUGUAAUAGAAGUAUCUCCAGAGAUGGGAAAACCCUCACCUCCAUACCAUCCUCAGAUUCAUCAUCAUCUAAGUAUUUCAGAUUAUCCAUUUUGAAUAAUACCAACUUUUUUAGAUAUGGUAGUUUACAAAGUAACGGAAGCCGCACAAUUUUGUUGCAAUUCCGAAGUUCAAGAGAAAUUAAACUACUAAGAAGGCUUAUCCAACUUGGUAACGAUAAUCCUUCAUAGUAAUUUAUGUCCAAGCACUUGAGAUUUGAGUGAGGUUGAAGCUCUUCGAGUACUUGCUCAUCAUGAAUAGUUGGGGGCUCAGUAAAUCCAUCAUUGCUUUCCCAUGACAAACAUAAUUCAUGAAUGUCUGUUUUACCCAUCAAAUUAGCCGCUUCAGCUUCAGAUAAACUGCCCACAUCUUUUAAGCCUUUGAUACUCAGCUUUCCACCAAGGUUUAGAUCACAUAACUCUGUCAAGCUAUUCCCUUUCUCUAAACUAACAAUGUACAUGCUUAAUGUUCUUAGACAAGAUAAUUUGCCAAUGUUAGGAAACAUGAGAGACAAAGAUCGACAUCCUUUAAUGACUAUAUGUCUAAGAUUUUGUAAGCAAGCCAAGUGUUUCGGGAGACAACUCAGUUCACCGCAGUCUUUUAUUUUCAAUAUUUCCAGUUUUUGUAAGUUGUAAAUUGAGUCCGGCAACAUUUUUAUGUCAAGAGAACGAAGUUCCAAAUACCUUAAAUGAAUUAAACUUUCUAGUGAUAAUACAUGGGAUAUGCAUAAAACCCGAAGAGAGCGGUUUAAUGGGAAGUGAUCAUAUUUUUUUGCAAAAAAAUUAGGAUUCUUCAAGUUAAACAACAAUGUUCGCAAGGAUUCAACUUUUUUAAAGGCACCCUCAUCGAAUGAUAACAAAUUAUCGGAGUUAAAACUUAUGUGGUGUGUGCUUUUUGUCAAACUAGUCAUGUUUGCAUUCUCCAAAUACACACAUUCUUGCCCCAUUACUGAUUGAGCGAGAUCAUGGACAAGAUCAUGCAUCUUGAAAAAAAUGUCUCCAGAGUAUUCAUCCAUCUUGAUAUCUUGAAAGAAUGACUUUUGGUACAAUUCCUUCCAAACCAUAUUUCCAACAUCUUCAACGUCCAAAUUACCCUUAGAUGAAAUAAAUCCAUUAGCCAUCCAAAGUUGAAUCAAUUCUUCUUUCAGGAUUUCUCCAUCCUUGGGAAAUAUAGCGCAAAAGGAGAAACAUUGUUUUAGGGUUGGUGUUAAAUAAAAGUAACUCAACCUCAAAGCAAGCAAAAUAGAAUUUUCUUGUGGUAAAGCCCAAAGCUCACUGUCUUUAAUAUCAAGCCAUUCCUUUUCUUCAUUCCUUGAGCUCAUCAAACCUCCCAAUGUUUUUGCUGCAAGAGGCAAUCCAUUACAUUUCUUUACAAUCUCCUUUCCUAUUUCCACAAGCUUUGUAUGCUCUUCUCUGAAAUAUCCAAAUGCAUAUUCUUUGAACAACAACCAACAUUCACUAUCAGAGAGACCAUACAAAGAGUGAGCUUGGCAUGUUCCCAUGAUUGUUGCAACAAAUUUAUCACGAGUGGACACUAAAAUGGAACUACCUUUUGAUCCACACGACAACACAGACUUCAAAUGAUUCCAUUUAUCUUGUGUUAACCCAUAUUCCAAUUGUUGAUUUUGAUUCCACACAUCAUCCAAAACCAGCAAAUAUAUUUUACCUUGCAACAAUUCUUGCACCCUUCUUUCCAAUACAUCUAAAUCAAAGUCAGCAGACUUCUCUCUUGUGAUAGAUUCUACAAUAGAACACAAAAUUCUCUUGACUGAGAAAGUUUCAGAAACGCAAACCCAAAUUUUUUUAUCAAAAUUGCCACUCACCCUAACAUCAUUGUAGACCAAUUGAAGAAGAGUUGUUUUUCCAACACCACCUAAACCAAAAAUGGGAUAGACGGAAAGGAAGUCUGAGUCCCUCGUUUGGGUGAGAAGAAACUCAACAAUCUUUUCUUUAUCAUCUUCUCGUCCAAACACUUUUGGUUCAGCAAUAAUGGAGCUGGUUUGACGCCAUUCAGCUACUUCAUUUGAGCUUUCCUUAACAAUAGUACCCUCCCGUAGAAAAAACUUGUUCUUACUAUCAGCAAUAUCAUCCAAUUUCCUUGUAAUCUCUUUCAACCUGUUGCCGAUCUCAUGGCGAAACAUGAUGUUCUUUGGUUUGAAAGAGGUUAAUCCUCUAAGUUGACCAGACUUGAUUGAACACUCAUCAAGGAUAUCAUCGAGCACAUAAACAGCAUCUUUGAGUUGUUGUAGCCAUACCUUAAUAGAGUGGUCUGUGACUUGUUUCUUUUCAGCAUCUUCAAGAACAGCAUUGAUCAAAUCUAAGGUGGUUGAUAGUUUUUCAGCCUUUGACUUGAUUCUAGAAAUGGUUGAAAAUUCACUUUGUAGGAGAGACGUCAAAUUCUGAAACACAACUCCGAGUAAAGCGUCGGCCAUUUUUUGUGAAAACAAAGAGUUGAAAAUAUAAGUAAAUAAGAAAUUGGUUUAGAUUGAAAGAGUGUUGAAGUAAACAGAAGAACUUUGAGAAUAAAUGCAAUGGUAGUUGCAAGAAUGCAAGUGGUAUUCAAUAAUUGCGAGCAAACAUUCACGUAAACCACACAUUUAUGCAACUUGCAAGGUUCCAAUAUUGAUUGGGUGUUUUAGAACACGCAUUUUCUAUCACAAAUUUUCCCUCAAUUUUUUUUUUUCAAUCACAGAUUUAUUAUCGGGUCCAUUAUUGGUUUCGUUUCAUUUGUCUCUUGUUUUCACACUUGAACUACUUUAACCAAUAAGAUGUGGCCGACAUUUUAUUUAUUUAUUUAGUUGUUCCAUAUACAAUUUGGUCAUGCUCAUAGUUAUUUACUUUUGUGUACAAUUUGGGUCAUGCUAACUUGUAACUUAAUGAUACAUGUUAAACAACCUAAAAGUAUAAAAAAAAAAAAAAAAUCUUAAAUUUCGUACAUUCAAUUAAUUAAAAGAAAAAAAUUAAAUUAAAUGCAUUAAUUACAACAAAAUAUUUUUACAUUUGACUCAUUUACUUGUGUCUUAAGGGCAUAAGUUAACAUUUCACAAUAUGAUAAUUUGAAGCAUAGUUUCUUGUGUUCUCCUUGUACUCCCUCCGUAUGUCACCUUAGCAUAUUUUAUUUUAGCUAAAAUAUGAUUUUGGUCCUUGGAAAUAUGCCUCAUUUUGGUUUUAGUCCCUGUAAUUUUUGUUGUUGUUUUUGUCCAAAUAUGUCUCGUUUUGAUUUUGGUCUCUGACCUCACUUUUGUGAUGAUUUGCACACGCGGCACAUGACGACUGAACCCAUUUAUGAGAAAAAUAGUCCCUAAAAAAUCUUUUGAUUUUUAAAAAGAUCCCUGCAAAAUAUUUUGUUUUUGAAAAUAGUCCCUUAUUAUCUUUUUGCAUUAUUAUAUCCUUAUUUAUUAAAUGGAUUUUUCUAUCAUGUGUAAAUUUGCACAUGUUAAGAAGUUUUAAAUAAUUUAGUGUUGGAACUUGCACAUUUAAUAUUAAGAAUAAAACUUUUUAAUAGUUACUACUAUUAGUUGUUUUAACAUGUGCAAUGUUGCACAUGUUAGAGAAACCUUAAUUAAAUUGCAUUCAACUUAACUACUCCACUAACUACAAUUAAUAAGAGUAUUUUAGCAAGUGAUAUUAAUUUUAUCAUUGAAAUCAACGCAAUUUUAUUUCCUUAAUAAUCGUGCACAAAUCUUAAACGAUUACUCCCUCCGUCCCUAUUUCUAAGCACCUCUUGCAUCUUUAUCUUUAUUAUAUAUAUUUGCACUAUUUUUUUUUAAAAGUACACGUGUCAUUCUCUCUAUGCUAAUUGUCAUUAAAUGUCUUAAUUUGGCCAUAUGUCAUGGUAGUAUCAUUCAUUUGUUUGAUGGUUGAUUUUAUUGAGAAAGGAUUUUAAUUUGUGAAUUCUUAUAAAGAUGUAUAAGGGAUACAAAAUCGGUACAAUAAUUAUAUCAUUAAUUAAAAAUUAUCUUAUUUGGUAUCAUGCUUUCACAAUCUCUAGAGUUUUGCUCAAUUAUUGAUUUAAAUCAAAUUGUAACAAAAACUCAUUUUUGUGGUUGAAAAUUCUUAAUCAUCUCAUUAAAAAAUUAUCAUUCAAUGACAUUUUGACGUGUGUCAUUAUUGUGUAGUUGAACCAAUCAUAUUGCAUCGUUUUGUCUUUUUUGCAUCAUAUUACUUAUUUUUAUAUUGCUUUGCAUAAUAUUUCAUUUAUACUGUUUACCUAUAUAUACUCUGUUGUUAUUCAAUUGUCUCAUUCAUCUAUUCCUCCUCCCCCCAUCAAUCUAAAAAACGAGAUUAUAAUGGCAUCAAGAUCUGAUAACAUAUCUGAGAUCAGCCCUGUGAAGGAAUCAUGGAUCGUGGUUGUUCGGAUUGUCUGUGUUUUGUUUGUUUGUGAUGUCUCUAGAUAUUUUUAGGUUGUAAGCCAAUCAAGCAUUUUAGGAUUAGCCAAUUUUGUAUCAGAUUCUUUAUUUGUUCAUGAUGUCAUUUGCUUUUAUUAUUUUUCCUAUACAUAGUAUAUGUUUCUUUCAUCAUUUCCACUUGCACAUUUCUUUCAAAUAGUGUUGUCAAACUCCAAAAGAUUGUCAUGACACCAAGAUUUGAUAACAUCUAUGAAAUCAACUCGAUUAAAGAAUCAUGAAGCGAGUUGUUCGAAUAAUUCAUGUUUGGUUUGUUAAUAAUAUCAAUUGUGAUAGACACCCGUUCUAUCUAGAUAUGAUUCCCAUUGAUGCGCCUAUUUGUAUAUAAUGAAUGUAAAAAAAUGACAUUUUAAAUUAAUCUAAUUUUUGUAUAUAAUUUAUGCCAUUAUGAGUAACUUGGGUGGUGAUGUAAAUCGUGGAUUGUAUCGAACAAAAGAGAAUGAAUACAAACUCAAUUGUAUAAGUUUCCCAAGACUUUUUUUAUUUUCAUUUUAAUUUCAAUAUGGAUGAAUAAUAACUAUAUUGUGUUUGACAAAUUAUGUAUUUUAAAAUCUCUUCUUUGUCUUCUCCUGAUUUUAAUAAUAAAUUAUAAUUAUAUUGAUACAUUGAUACACGUAAACAUCACUAAUAUGUGCGUACACGUUACCAUCUAAAUAUAUUUUUCUUAUUCACUAUUGUCUAAUCAAAUAUCCACAUCGACACAUAUACAUCUUAAUCGUCUUAAUCUCUAUCUCUAUUAUAAACAUUUACUUUUUUUUUUUUUUUUAAAGUACACAUGACAUCUUCAUACUUCCCAUUUCAUUUAAUGUUUCUCCAUCAACCAAUGAAAAUGAAUCUUGACGUAUUCCUUUUCUAUUAUCCAAUCAAAAUGGAUCAUGACUCAUUUAUUUUUCAUGAGUCAAUCAAAAUUGAUCAUAACAUGAUUUUUUCACUAUAGCAAUUUGGUUUUUUUAUUAUUUUCAUCUACCUCUUCCUCCCAUAAAAAAUCACUGCUUUCAACGCCAUUCUAUUUUCUUUUAUUUGUUUAUUUUUUAUUGUUUUAUUGUUUAUUUAACAUUUCUUAUUGUUAUGUUCCAUUUUAUUGUGAUUUCUUAGGUUGAUGAUUCUUAUUCAUAUUUUCUUUUCAAUAUUAUUUUGGUGUUUAUAUUUUUUUUUCCGGAUAUUUAUUUUGGACAUGAAACCAAUCAAGAGAAAAGAAGAAAUGCAUCACAAAAAUUAGAAUUUAUACGAAGGAUUUCUAUCACCACGUUCAAAUAUAAUCACUUUCAUCCCCCUUUUGAUUUAUUUUAAUCCCUUAAUUCUCACAAUUUUUUCUAUCUAUCUAUUCUUUUUUGUUUAAUUUUUCUUAUGUUGUUAUUUUACUUUUAAAAUCUUUCUCUUUUAUAUUUUAUUUUGGUGAUUUUUUUUUUUGCUACUUUAUGCUUGAAAUGGAAACCAAUCGAUAUAUUAGAAGAAACGCAUCCAUUUUCAUAAAAUUGGUUGAAUCGAUAACUUUCAAGUGAAAAAGAUAAGAAAUACAUAAUAGAAAAUCGAUUUUAUGACACCUUUGAUUUUUUUUUUUUUAGUCAAAAUUAAAAGUUCCAUUUUCUUUAACUAAAAGGGAGCAAGGUGCUACCUUAAAAUUUUAAGUGCAUUUGCAAAAAAAAAAAAAAAAAAAAAAAACUUAACAAUCAUUUAUAUUUUAUUUCCUUCAUCCUAAUUAAACAUUUAAACAUUAGUUGGGAUGUCGGUGUGGCCUCCUGAUGUCUGUCUUUCUCCCUGCUUAGCAAAAAAAUAAAAUUAAACAUUUAAACGAGUUUAUACUAUUAUUAAAAUAAUAUCACAUUAAAUAUUAUUAAUUUAUUAUGAUUUUUAAAUGAAAAAAUAUUAAUUUUUUAUUCACGUCGUAUUUUUUUAUCCAUCAUUCAUUCUAUUAUUAAAACUAAUAAUAACAUAUGCUUUAAAACUGUAUUAAUAUUUUUAUUAAUUCCCAUAUUUAUAAGCGGAAAGUUGUAAAAGUCUUAAAAUGACAAAACUAAAUGAAUUUUUGAUUACUCAUUAAUCAUGUUUCAAUGACCCUUUAAUUUUCACUCAUGUUUCAAUGACAACCAUCAAAUUAUUAUCAAUGUUUUCAAUCAAAUGGACUCAUGUACCCUUUGUCUUAAUUUUUGACCAAUUAGAUUUAACUAAAUCAUCAAAGGUUUCAAUCAUACACGUAUUUGUUAACAAACAAAAUGUAUGCUUUUCCGUUCAACUUUCAACCAUAACAUAGCAUGUUGACGUGACAUUUUUUCUUUUAUUUCAAUGUCUUUAUUGGUUUCCUUUGAUUGUGUUUUUUCUAUGAUGCUAUAGGUUCUUGGUACAAACUCGAAGGAAGAAGAAAAAUUUAAUUUUGUUUAUGGAAACAAAACAAAUUAAUCUAACAACUAAUUACUAACAUUUGACAUUAAAAAAGCAUUUCUUUUCUAUUCAAUUCAGUGAUAGUCUUUGUCCCAUAGUUUUUUUUAUCAUCAUCUUGAAUUUCAUUUGAAAAUAUUAUAGCAUUUAAUCAAACGAUCUUUGUUCAUGUAUAUGACCAAAUACGCUAAAAUUAAUUUGUGAUAAAAUAUUUCUAAGAAUACAACAAUGCCUUAAAUUUUUGUAAAAAAAAAUGCCUUAAUUUUGUUACUAAAGCCUUAAAUAUUAUAUUAUAUACAUUGAAUUUUUUCGGCUUAUUAUAGAAGUUUCUUAUUCAUAGCAAUUUACAAAUUCUUUGUCUUUGACGAAUUGGUACCAAAAAAAUAUUAAGCAAAUUUGUUGUUAAUUUUUUAAAAAUUUACUUUGAAAUUAAACCAAGAACUGAUUCCCAUUUUUAUUAAUAUGGAAUUUAUAUUUAUAUUGUUAAUAUAUUUCAAGCACUGACCUUUAACCACAUAUAUAUGAGUAAUACCGUUAUUUGAUAGAGAUUAAAUUUAAAUUACAAAUAUUUGUGAAGUAAUUAAUUUUUUACCUAUCGAAAUAGGAAUUUUUUUCUUUGUAAAAAAAUUAUAAUAAUUUAACUUGACACAAAUCUAAAUUCCAUAAACUCCAAAAAGUAUAACAAUUUAUACUACCAAUAAAAUUAAUGAAAUGAUCUUUCUAAACCUCUAAAAAGGUAGUUUUAUGCAAAGAGAAAUGUUAGCAACACACAUAUAAAUUUAAACACACGUUUCAACGUCCUCAUUUGAAUAAAAGUUGGAAAUUAAUAUAUCUUAAUGUUUAAUUAACAAUAAAAAAUAGCUCCAAAAAAAGCGCACCAUAUAAGUAUGUUCCUUUUUUUUUUACUCAUAUAAAAAUAUUCUCUUUUCCACUAAAAAAACAUAUUCAUUUUUUUUUAAUAAUUUUAUUUAGGUGAGUUGGAUCCAAAGAGAAAGCCCCUAGGAUAAAAAAAGAUAUUACAAAGGUAUUUAUGUAUUAUCCAUCUAGGAUGUCCUAACGAUGGUAUCGAGAGUUGUACUCACACUUUAAUAGGGGUAGGAGUCAAUUUAUUAUCAACUAAAUCAACAUAUAUCUACAAUAUAAGCACAUUCUCAAUCACACUAUAAAUAUUUUUCUUUAUCUUUAUAUUUAUAAUAUGAAUUAAAAACUCAAUAAAUGAAUAAUUAAAUGUUGGAUUAAAUGAAGAAAUAUUUACCACUAAAAUCAAUAAAUAAAAAGUUUUAAGUAUCACAAUCAUUUUCUUAAUUGCAAUUAUGCGCAUUCAACUACUAUUGAUUCAAUCAUUAAAAAUUUCAAUUAAUAAAUGCUAAAAAGUCAUAAUUAUUUAAUGAAAUAGUUUAAUUUUUUUUUUUUAUCAAUCAAAGAAAUGCAUUAAACAUGUAUGAAGGGGCCUGAUAUGAUAUGAAAUAAAUUAAACUAUCUGAUCCUAUCCUACGCAGGAUAUGAUAUGAUAGGAUAGACUCAUAAUUAUUUAAUGGAGUAGUUUAAUUUAACUAGAGUCCGUUUGAUGGCCAGUAUAGGGAGACAUGAUAUGAUACAUUAAUCAUAUUCUGCUUAAAUUUCAUGUUUGAUGCACCAAAGAGAUAGGAUAAAAUAAACCAUUUCCCUAUCAUAUCAUGACUUUCCUUUGUAAUUUAUAUCCUGAGUAUAGGCUAAGUUAGAAAUUAUCCUGAUGGGAUUAGAAGAUCAUUCCUUAUUUAUUAUCUUGAUAUUCUGCCAUUUUUAAAUAUUGUCAUUUUUAAAAUAGUUAUAGCAUGUAUUUUCUAUUAUAAUUAAUAACAUACCAUUUUUACAAUAUUUAAUUAAUUAUGAAAGCAAUUUUUUCAUUUAAUUAUAAUGAUAUCGUGUUUGUUAUCAUGUGCACAUCAAACACAUGAUAAGAUUAAUGUUUAUCAUGUCAUUAUCAUAUCUUAUCUCUAUCCAACUUUAUAUCAUAUCACGCCUUUGUCAUAUCCUGACCAUCAAACACACCUUUAACAGCAUGAGGAUAUUACAUCAAAAUUCUAAAUAAAGGCAAACUAGAGUUAUAUACAUAGUGAGCUUAUUUAUCAGACAAGAUAUAUCAAUACAUUGUUAAAAAAGCAUACACUCAGAAAGAAAAUUAUCUUCUGUUAAAAAAAAAAGAAAAGCAAACUAUCUUUUAAGGGAGAGAAAGCGAAGUUUAUAUUCUUAAUUGUUUUGAAUCUUUACACAAUCGUUCCAAUAUUGAAUGGUACAAAGUCAAAAUCAUAUUCAAAAUAAAAUCGAUUUUUUUUUAGGGAAGAUCAAUUUUAUUAUGUAAAUUAUUAUGCAUUGAACAUAAAAUUAAUGAGUAUGUAUGUUUUUCAAUAAAUUCAGUCGAAAAAAUAUUUUAAUAAAAAAAUUAUAUUUCAUCUAGCUAGAUAUGAUUUUUUUCCGUUAUUUUUAUUAUAUAGAAAAUAUUAAUAAUAAUUUAUUUUAUAUUUAUUGGCAAUAAAACUUCUUCACGCAGUUUCUGUGAGUAUAACUCAGUUAUUGGCAAUUUGAUCCCCUUAAAAAAAAUAUUAUAAUUUUUUGAUUUUUUAUUUACAAAAAUAAAUAUAUAAUUCAAUUUUUUAUAUUUUAAGAUAACAAAUUGGUACUUUUACUUCUUUUUUUGUCAUCUUCACCGAUCGAAACACAUGUCGACAUUGUUGAUACUAACCGAAAACAAAAGAGUAGUGAAGAACACAAAAGCUUGAAACUAGAUGCAGGAAACCGAAAUAAAAGGUUGUCUUGGUUUUAAAUUUCUUAACUCAUUCUCUGUUUUUACAAUAAACGGUUCAUUCAUUCUCUUUAUGUCUUAAUGUGUCAUUUUUCUUACUGCUAAAACGUUUGAUUUUUUACUUAUUUAACUUCUUCUUUUUUUAACGAGGGAUUAAUUUUUUCCCGUAAAAAUUCUUUUAAUGUAUGUUAGCACUUAACUAACACUUUUAACGCCACUUAGUUAAAUUAACAAUAUACGUGAAAUAUUCAACUAUGGAAAUUGAUUCAAUGACUAUGUUAUCUCUAUUUGAUUUUGUAAGACAAUUAAAUCAGUCUUUUUAUUUGCGUAUGACUAAUUUGAUCCCUACACAUUUUUGUCAGGGACCAAAAUAGAUCUUCAUUUUUACCAUUUAAUCUAAUACAAUUAAACUAUCAAAUUAAGGGGGUAAUUGAUUUGACUACUUGCUUCUUUUUGUUAUAAAUAUUGUUUUUAGUCUCAAUAUUUUCAUGCCAUUUUGGAAUUUAUAUGAAAACUUCGAAACUUCAAAAACUUCAAAAAAUAGGGCGCGUUAGGUGAUGUUUCCGGAUUACAUAAUCCGGAAACCCCCUAAACACCAUUUUUCAAGGUAAAACAGUUCGAAUUAUAUAAUCCGAACUGUAUCAGCACAAAUUCUAAACAUGUUUGUAACAUGGAUAGUCAUUUUAGGGACAAUAUUAAUCUUCCUAACUUUCAUCCUUCCGUUUUUGGGUCAUUAUUACCUGUUCUUAGUCAAAAAUCAAGUUUUCGGGCUACUUGAUGUGAUUGCUCCGAAACUUCCCUAGAAAAUCAGAAAUCCAAAAUUCAAUCGGUUAGACCCAUUUUUCAUUUUUUAAAAUUUUUCAUAUUCUAAGAAAAAUCCGAAAAAAUUUGCAUUAGUUUUAUUUGAUUUUUAGAAUUUUUUUGUGCUAUUUUUAUAUUUUUAUGAUUUUAUUUGACAGGUUUUAAGCAUUUUUUACUUAGUUUUUUUGUUGUUUUUAAAAGCAAAACUCAAAACUGUUAAAAUAUGAGAGAGUCUGAUGGCUGAUUAUACAUAAGAAUUGUCCGGAUUAUAUAAUUCGAAAUAGUAAACAUGAAUCCGGAUUUUAAAAUAUGGAAUGCACAAGGUCAUUUUUGGAAAAAUUACAGGGCGCGGGAGAAGGCCAUAAGGUGGGAAAAAUAAUAGUCAAUAGUUUAUCAUAAUAUUGGGAUAAUUCUAGGACUCCUGAGUGGGCAUAGACUGAGCUGGAUAAUCAUAUAUUAGGCUAAUAUCAACUAUACAAGUGAGAUUGACACCGCAUCUUCAGAUAAAACCUUACGGCAUUAGACAUAUGAGUCAUCUCACUUAUAUGUUUUUUCAAAAUAUACUCAUCCAUCCAAUGUAGAGUGGUAUCUCACACUUGACAACUCUUAAUCAAGUGUGCGACUAUUUGUGUAUGUAAUUAUCUGAUAUUGUCAAAUCAGGUUAAAUAGAGUCACAACAUGUUAAAUAGGUUAGUUUAAGUAGUUUCAUGAAUGGAGAUUUAAGUUCAUUUCUUUCAUGGGAAGAGAGAAAUGAAAAUAGAAGAAAAAGAAUGAAUAUGAAAAAGGAAUUUGAACAUGAGAGAAACGAUAAGGGAAAAUAUAUGUAAUGUGUUUUGACCAUGAGAGUAAAUGGAAUAUGCUGGGUUGUCGGUAAUUAUAUGAGUUUGUUGAAGGAUUUGAAGAUUUUUGGGUAACUACAUUACCAAAAUUUAGACUUAAUUAUAAAAAUAUCACAUCAUUUUAAAUGUAUAAUAAACAUGUAUUUUGUCAACUUAGCAUAACACAUUUUCAAAUAAUAAAGAUUGAAUAAAAAAAGAGCAUGAAAGAGAAUGAGAGAUCCAAAAACUAAAUUUCAAUAUAAGAAAAAAACAAAUGACAUUCAAACAUUAAUAAAAUUAUUCUUUAUAUUGUUGGGACCACAAAGGAUGUUUACACUAAGUUGAAUCAUCAUAUUAGGUUAAGAGCAAUCACACAAGUGAGAUCGACACUACAUAUUAACUUAAAAUGUGUAAUGGACAUGUAUUUUGUCAAUUCAGCAUAACAAAUCUACAAUUUUCUACUGUCAGAUCCCACCAAAGAUCAAAAGUUAAGUAAUUUAAAAUAAUAGAUGUUGAAUAAAAAAAUAGCAUCAAAACGAAUGACAUCCAAAAACUAAAAUUUAAAAAAUAAAUAAAUAAAAGAUAUUCAAAACUAACAAAACCACCCAUCAUAAUGUUUAGACUUCCGGGGGAGUCUAAACUGGGUUGUAUAAUCACAGUAGAGUAAAAUCAACCAUAAAAGUGAGAUUCACACCAUAGUUUUAUUCAAAAUCUAAAGGCAUUAGGUAUAUGGGUCAUUUCACUUAUAUUUUUCUCAUCAUCUACUUUUUUUAUCUAAUGUGAAGCUUUAAUUACAUAUGAGACAUUAGUAUCUCUCUCUGAAGUGUGCGACGACUCUGCAUCUGUAUGAUGGUGACAUGGUCAUAUAUAAGGUCAGAUUGAUGCAUAACAUGAUAAAAAAAAAGGCGGGUGUAUUUUAAAAAGAAAUUUUGACAUGAAAGAAAUGGUAAGGAAAAAAAUAAGGAGUGUGUAUUUUAACCAUGAGAGUAUAGGAAAUAGAGUGAGUUACUGGUAAUUUGUAGGUUUGUUGAAGAAUUUGGAGAUUUUGGGGUUUAUUUACCAAAAAAUUAGACUCAAUUAAAAAAUACACUUCAUUUUCAAAUUUCUACUAAGUAUAUAUUUUGUCAACUCAACAUAAUACAUCUUUUUUCCAUUUCAGAUUCCACCAAAGACAAAAGUCAAGGAAUUUGAAAUAGUGAAAGUUGAACAAAAAAAAAUGUAAGAGAGUGACAUCCAACAACUAAAAUUUAUGAUAAAGAAAAAUUAAACAAAUGACAUCCAAAAGCUGACAUAAAACUUCAUCCUAAUUUUGGAACCUUCGAGGGAUCAUAGUCUAAGUUUGAUCACCAUAUUAGACUAAGAAAAACCACACAUGUAUGACUAAUAUCAAAUCUUUAUCCUAAAUCUUAAGACAUCAGAUAUAUAUGUCAUCUCACUUAUAUGUUGUUUAAAGUUUACCAUAUAUCGCAUCCUAACAUAGAACUUUGACUCACACUAGACACACUAAUAUUUCUUAACCAAAUGGGCAACUAUUCGUGUUCGUAAUCACGUGACAUAGUAAAAUAAGGUCAAGCGGAGGAACACCAUGUUCCAGAAGGUUGGUUGGUGACUGUUUCAUGAAGAGAGUUUUAUAUUCCUUUCUUUUACGUGAAGACAAAAAGGAAAUCAGAAGGAAAAGUAACGGAUUUGAAAAAGGAAUUUGAACAUGAGAGAAGAUAAGGGAAAAAAUUGUGCGUUAUGUUCAUGAGAGUAUAGAGAGUAGUGUGAGUUAUCGGUGAUUUUAUGAGUUUGUUAAAGGAGUUUGAGAUUUUUGGGUAAUUAUUUUACUAAAAAAAUUGAGUCAGUUAAGAAAUGCCACAUAAUUUUAAAUGUCUAAUAAACAUGUAUUUUGUGAACUCAGCAUAACACAUAUGCAAUUUUCCAUUGCCACUUGCCGCCAAAGUCCAAAAGUUGAUGAAUUUAAAUUAAUAGAGGUUGAAUGAAAAAAAUUCAGAUGAAAAACAAUGACAUUUAAAAACUAAAUUUUAAGAUAAAAAAUGCAAACAAACGACAUCAAAAAAUUAAAAGACAAUUUAUUUGUGACUUUCGGGAGAUUCUGCAUCGAGUUUGAUAAUCACAUUAAACAAAGAGAACAAUACACGUGAGUUUAACAACACAUCUUCACCCCAAACCUUAUGAAAUUAGGUAUAUGAAUCAUAACACUUAUAUGUUACUCAACAUCAACUCUUACAUCCAAUGUGACUUUAACUCGCACUUGACACAUUAACAUUUCUUCCUCAUGUACGAGACUCUCUGCAUAUGAGAUCUACCACCAUAAACCAAUUCUGCUUCUCCACAGAGUCGAUCUGAGCUAUGAUACCAUUGUUGGGCCUUACGAGGGAGCCAACACUGGCAUGGAUUGACCCAUUGCACAAAGAACAACCAGACAAAUGAAAAUGAUAUCAAAUCUUUAAUUAAUAUUUUAAAUAUCACGAAAUUCUAGCCCGUGCUUGGCACGGGUUUCCAAGCUAGUUUUUCACAUUUCUUAAGAAAAGUUGUUAGUGCAAUUAAUAUGUCUUUUUUGUGUGUUAAUAUUACCAAGUUGUCCUUUGUUUGUAUGUGUAUUAAAUUUGACUUUUCAUAUUUCAAGACAAGUUAGUAGUAUUAAUUAGGGGUAUGUUUAGGAAAAAAAUUAUAAAUGCAUCUAGUAACUUGAAAAGAGGUUUACAUUUAGGAAAAAGAAUAAAGUCAAAUGGAGUAUUAUUUAGAGACGAAGAGAGUAAUAUAGUUUGAUGGGAAGAUGUAAAAUAAUUUUCAUUGAUUAUUAGUUAUUUAAAACAAUUUUCAUUAAAAAAAAAAGCCUUGAAUAUGUUUUUUAUCCUUAAAAAUAUUCUAAUCUUUUUGUUUUUAUCCCUCUAAUUUUUUUUUUCAAAGAUUAAUAAUGAAUGUUUUUUGUUCUGAUAGGUUUUGAUUGGUUCAACAAAAAGGAGAUGAAAGGAAAAGAAAUGGGAGGAAUUUCAAUUAUACACACAUACGAGCGUUCAAACAAGCGGUUUCCAUUUGUCUGUUUUUAUAUUGUGCUAAUGCGUGUAAAUUAUGAACAAUAGUUUUUAAGAAAUUGAUUUUGAUUACGCAUACAGACAAAUGAAAAUUAGAAAAAUAUCACUACAAAUCUGUGAGAAAGAACUAACAAAUGUUGUGAGCAACCCAAAUAUGCAAAACAAAAAAGUAAUUUAUAUUUGUUUUAGAAUUCAAUUUUGCUUUGCAAUUUCAAGAUUUAACAAUCACUAAAUAAUGUCUAUGUUAAAUAUUGUUUUCUACAUAUAUUAUUAAUGAAACUGAAUUUUUUUUUAAAAAGUUCUUGCACCAAUGGAGUUGAGUCUAAGAAACGGAGUUCGACCCUCACAACUUCGCGAAUCAAUGUUCAAACUAUGACGGAGAACGAUAUUCAUAUUCAGUAUCUGGCAUGUCUCAAAUCAAACUACACAUAUAUUAAUUUAGCUUCAAUUGAAUUGUAGCUUUAACAGUGGUAAUCUACUAGCUUGGUGGUGUAUGCUAAGAUACAAUUUAAACUCAAAGGAUCGCAAGUUUUGAUGAGGGCUGCAUUAUUAAAGAGUAAGGGGAUAAAACUGAAACUCAGAAGGAAAAAAAUUGUGAUUGCUUGUUUUACAAACUCAAAGUGAGAGAUUUUAUACGGGGUGUCAGUAUGAAAGGGUCCGGAAUUGAUUGAGUUUUUAAACGUAGAGCUUGUUCUAAUAGCAAUAUGAGGCAUGGUCUGGUACAGCAGUUUCUCAGUGCAGCCGGAUCGGUUUUGGCGCUGUCUGUUUUUCAAAAACUGUUGUGGGUAUGAAAAUGUGGUGUCGUCUGUUGUAUUUUCCUAUGAUGUUGUGGAAUCAGUUCGCCUAUUUGGUCGAGUUGAAGCUGCUGAGUUGGAAGCAACCUGCAUAAUUAUGCAUAAUUAUGCAGGUGGGGUGGCUUUUUAUUGUUCAGACUUUGUGGUAGUAGGAGACAUAUUUUUAUGGUUUUCUCAAUGUUGGUUGCUUUGGUGUUAAACCAAAGUAAAUUCUGCUUUAACAAUGUGAUGGUCUAUUUUUAGAUAAUCUUGUCAUACUUCUUUUUAUAUAUUUCGCUUUUUUAAAAAACACACACACACUAAACUUUAGUGCACUUCUAGGAUUAGAACUCGAUCCCUUUCAUCUAUCAGUAAGGUUUCUACAAUACAAGACAUUACUAGCUAUGGUAAUUGCAAGAUGAUAUUACUUGCAAAUAGAACAACAAAUACUGAUCUCAUAAAAAGAAAAGCAUGGAAUGACUGGAGUAACAAUAUAUACUUGUUUUAAUCAACAAACUAUCUGCUCCUUGUUACAUUUACUUAUAUUUCAAUGUUCUACAUUUCACAAUAACAAAGCUCAUUAAAUUGCAUGUAAGUAAAUUGAAAUAUGAGUGGUAAAUAUUUAUAUCAAAAUACUUUAUGAAGAAGAGGGAACUAGAUCAAUGAAUAAUAACAUUCAGACUACAAAUCUUAGCUAAGUAGAUCUCUUCAUCCUCAAGGCAGACGAAAAAAACUUCAUUCCCAUGUUUGUCAACUGUUUGUUUUGGUUGCCAGCAGAAGCAUCACAGUUUUUUUUUUUACACGACCCUUGAAGGAUCUGCCGUUAAUGCAGUAUCAGCAAAAAUGACAGAUUGAAGUUUCAACUAAAAGCAGAAUUGUGCAGCAUUUUGGAGGACCUCAAUCAACUCUUGGGGAAGUUCAGAAUCAUACAAACUUUCAUUGCAGCGGAAAACUGCACAGGGCUCUUGCUUUUUGGCGGCGUUGUGGGCUUAACUUGAUCAACCAACUGCCUUCAAAACUCUUAAUCAGAAUGUGGGAGCUUCUUGCAGAGGUCAGCAACAUCCAUUCAUUCCACAACAUAUCUAACACAAACAUAAUGAAAUAACAUUGGUGUCUCAAAUUCGCAUUAUGAAAUGCAAUGGCACCUUUCUAAAGAAUAGAUGUAUUUACACCUAGCUUGUAGCUUGAACAAUGAGUUUUUACUUUUUAUUGCUAACAUUAAGCUCAACAUCACAUUGCAUCCUUUCGUAAGAAACAAUGGCAAAUACAGGAACCCAAUUCUCACGAUAUUUACCAACACCACGAGAAUCAUAAUAUAGGUGGCUUGUGAGAAAGCAAUUGAUUUCUGCAGAGUGAAAUUUAAAUUAGUAACUAAUAUUCUAAGAAAUAUUACAGGAUUAGAUGAUACAGGGAAGAAAUAAAACUAGUCUACCUCUUCUCACAUUCUUCAUGGCAUUCAUCUAACAACCUCUCUACUACUAUAGUAGCAUUUUCUGGCUGAGUAUAAGAAAAAAAAAAUAAUUUUAUAAGAAAUUGACAUUUAAGAUUGACAUAAAACGAUUCAAAAUGAGUGACAACCACUGAAAAAAUCACCUUUCAAAGCAACAAAUCAUGUUGAUAGUACAGACAAAAUGUGGAUCUGGAAGCUUGACCUUCAUUAUAAUGUUCUUUGUCUUCUCAAUAAAACUUUGAUUCCAAGUCACACACUCUACUCCUUAAUUUGUCCAGUUUUAGAAGCUACUUCAAUGUACUUGAAGUGAAUAUCAUCGAAAUUGCAGUCAAUCAUCGAAACGAAGCCAUGAACCUUACUUAGAAAAUUAUCUUCCCAAAACUAAACAUUAUGUUUAUACAUUUAAGCACUCAAACAUCUAAAUUUCAGUGCUACAAAAGUCUUACCAAAAUUCUGACUCGAAACUAUAGAAAAGGAAAUUCUCAACUAAAUUUACCCUAAAGGAUCACCUAAAAUCAGUACUAAGAAAUUAUACUUAUUAAUCAACUCGCCCUGAACCAAGGUUCUAAUUAAAAAAAGCUUGGCUAGCAAUCAUUAAUGUAGUUAACGUCUUACAAAAAUUGCGUCAUCAAUGCUCUAAACACAGUGUCGUAAAAUCAAAUCAAAACAUUUCAUAGAAGAUAGAACUAUAAAAGGGACAUAUACCUUUGGAAAACAUUGAAAACCUCCACCCUUUACAUUUAGCAAAGCCAAGUAGAGGACUCUAUCAGGAACCACUGCUGCUAUCAUAAAUCCUGUUUCAAUUGGCAAACAUAAUUAACUUAAAUACAAACAAAUAAACUUCACCUAACCAAAUCUUAGAACAAACCAUCUGAAUUUUAAGUAAAUCAAAGGCUCACUAAAAAAGAAAAAAAAAGCACAUUCACAAAAUACUAACCCAUUUAGUGCCCAGAAACAUGAGCCUUUUUCCAACCUUAUCCAACAAAGUAAUUGCAUCCUUUGCCAUGAUCUUUGUUCUGCACCCAACAAUCAUUCACCAAUAUUCAAAUUUCCAUUUCACCUUUUCUAAAUCAUUCAAACUUAAUGCAGCACCAAAACUUCAGAUUGAUGACAUGUAUGAUGUUCAUACUUCAAAUACCGAUAUGACAUUGACCCAUGUAAUUACGUUCAAACACUUUCAUUUUAACAAAUUAUUAUCAAAAUUAACAAAUUAUCAUUCAAAAUAACGUAGCACCAACACUACAUAUUGGUGUCUGAUGUUCAGAUACUGAUAUGACACCAACCCUAUAAUUACAUUCAAAAACUUUUAUUUCUUCAAACUAUUAUCAAAAUUAAGCAAAGAGGAACCCAAACAAUAUACCAUUCAAAGAAAGAAUCUAAAACAAAUAAAUAAAAAAGACCAAUAAAAAUGGAGAAAACCUUGAUGAUCAGAGUUGCUAAUGGGCACGCAGCUCUGACCCACGCCCUCACUAUCAAAAUCGCAAUCCUCGAUACCACCACCGGACUCGUUGUCACCUCCUCCACUCCAAAAGACGUUCUCUUCAUCAUUAGGUACGUUUGUUACGGUUAAUCCCUUGUGUGUUGAAGGCAAUCCUAACCAUUCAAAUCAAUCUCCAGAAAAUCAUUAAAAUUAAAAAAAAAAAACAUGAUGAAGAAAAUUACCUGAAUUAGAACAUUUAUCCUUCUUAGGAUGAACAGUAAAAUAUCUUUCAUGUACUCUGGAUCUCUUCCUGCGGAAUGGGUUCCAAAGAUGUCGACAAUGAGAAUAAAAAUAAAGAUUUUUGAGCAGUUGAAAUCCAAACAUAAGAAGGGGAAAUUGAGAUCCUACAAGUAAAAUUGAUUUUUGCGAUGUUGAUUGUGGCAGAUAAGGGUAAACGUCUCUGCUUCUUAAUCCUCGGUAAACUGUAUUAUUGGAAUAUGAGCUAUCUUGUCCCAAUCCUCCCCUGUUCCCUCUUUGCAUCGUUCCUCUAAUGUUGGGCAACCCUCAAUUGCCAGAAGCUCAAGUGAAGUGAGGUGUCGAAUACCCUCCGGCAAGCAUCGCAAUCCUUCACAAUUCCAAAUCCUUAAAAUUCGAAGGGAUUGAAGACCUUCCCAAUUUUGCUCUGGUAAGGACUCCAAUUGAGAGAAACAAUAUACAAACAGAGAUAGAAGAGAAGUAAGGUUUUUGAACAUCCCCUCUGGGAAGGAUGUUAUUCCUUCACCGUCACUUAGGGCAAGCUGAGUAAGACCACAAAAGGUAGAGAUUGACCUCAGUAACUCAUUGUUACAUGGAUCGGCAACGAGGUCUUUAAGAGAUGGAAGACAUGGCAGUCCAAUUUUAGGGCAUUUCCAAAUAUCCAAACUAGAAAGACAAGGAAACAUCUCCCCUCUUUCAACUUUCAAUAAACCCUCUAUGUUUGGUAACUUAUAUAAUACGAGUUCCUCCAGAGAUGGGAAAAUCCUCACCUCCAUACCAUCCUGAGAUUCAUCAUCAUCCAAGUAUUUCAGAUUAUCCAUAUAAGAUAAUUCCAGUUUUUUUAGAGAUGGUAGUUUACCAAGUAACGGAAGCCGCACAAUCUUGUUGCAAUCCUCAAGUUUAAGAGAAAUUAAAUUACUAAGAAUAAUUAUCCAACUUGGUAACGAUAAUCCUUCAUAGUAAUUUAUUGUCAAGCAUUUGAGAUUUGAGUGAGGUUGAAGCUCUUCGAGUACUUGCUCAGCACUAAUUAUAGAUUCCUGUUGCGAUAUCCAUGACAAGCAUAAUUGAUGAAGGUCUUUUUUACCCAUCAAAUUAGCCGCUUCAGCUUCAGAUAAACUGCCAACAUUGUUUAAUCCUUCGAUACUCAGUUUUCCACCGAGUUUUAGAUCACGUAACUCUGUCAAACUAUUCCCUUUCUCUAAACUAACAAUGUACACACUUAAUGUUCUUAAACAAGUUAAUUUUCCAAUGUUAGGAAACAUACUAGACAAAGAUCGACAUUCUUCAAUGACUAUAUGUCUAAGAUUUUGUAAACAAGCCAAGCGUUUCGGAAGCCAGCUAAGUUUAUCACAGUAUUUUAUUUUCAAGAUUUCCAGCUUUUUUAGAUUGUAAAUUGAGUCAGGCAACUUUUUUAUGUCAAGAAAACGAAGUCCCAAAUACCUUAAAUGAAUUAAACUCCCCAGUGAUGGCAUCCGGAUAAAGGAUGCGCAUAAAACCCGGAGAGAAAGAUAUGCUGGGAAGUUAUCAUGUUUUUUUUGGUAAGAAUAACUCAACAAUGUUCUCAAGGAUUCAACUUUUUUGAAAGCAUUUUCAUCAAAGGAUAACACUUUGUAGUCAACAACAAUGUGGUGUGUGCUUUUUGACAAACUGGUCAUGUUUUUGUUCUCCAAAUGCAUACAUUCUUGCCCCAUUAUUGAUUGAGCGAGAUCAUGGACAAGAUCAUGCAUCUUGAAAGAAAUGUCUCCAGAAUAUUCAUCCAUCUUGCCAUCUUGAAAGAAUGAUUUUUGGUACAAUUCCUUCCAAACCAUGUUUCCAACAUCUUCAACGUCCAAAUUACCCAUAGAUGAAAUAAAUUCAUUAGCCAUCCAAAGUUGAAUCAAUUCUUCUUUCAGGAUUUUUCUAUCCUUGGGAAAUAUAGCGCAAAAAGAGAAACAUUGCUUUAGGGUUGGUGUUAAAUAAAAGUAACUCAACCUCAAAGCAAGCAAAAUAGAAUUUUCUUGCGAUAAAGCCCAAAGCUCACUGUCCUUAAUAUCAAGCCAUUCCUUUUCUUCAUUCCUUGAGCUCAUCAAACCUCCCAAUGCUUUUGCUGCAAGAGGCAAUCCAUUACAUUUCUUUACAAUCUCCUUUCCUAUUUCCAUAAGCUUUGUAUGCUCUUCUCUGUAAUAUCCAAAUGCAUAUUCUUUGAACAACAACCAACAUUCACUAUCAGAGAUACCAGACAAAGAGUGAGCUUGGCAUGUUCCCACGAUUGUUGCAACAACUUUAUCACGGGUGGACACUAAAAUGGAACUACCUUUUGAUCCACACGACAACACAGACUUCAAAUGAUUCCACUUAUCAUGUGUUAGUCCAGAUUCCAAUUGUUGGGUUUUGUUCCACAGAUCAUCCAAAACGAGCAAAUAUUUUUUACCUUGCAGCACUUCUUGCACCUUUCUUUCCAUUACAUCUAAUUCGAAGUCAGCACACUUCUCUCUUGUGAUAGAUUCUAUAAUGGAACAACAAAUCCUCUUGACAGAGAAAGUCUCAGAAACACAAACCCAAAUAUUUUUGUCAAAAUUGCCACUCACCCUAACAUCAUUGUAGACCAAUUGAACGAGAGUUGUUUUUCCAAUACCACCUAAACCAACAAUGGGAUAGACGGAAAGGAAGUCAGAGUCCCUCGCUUGGGUGAGAAGAAACUCAACAAUCUUUUCUUUAUCAUCUUCUCGUCCAAAUACUUUUGGUUCAACAAUAAUGGAGCUGGUUUGACGCCAUUCAGCUACUUCAUUUGAGCUUUCCUUAACAAUAGUACCCUCCCGUAGAAAAAACUUGUUCUUACUAUCAGCAAUAUCAUCCAAUCUCCUUGUAAUCUCUUUCAACCUGUUGCCGAUCUCAAGGCGAAACAUGAUGUUAUUUGGUUUAAAAGAGAUUGAUCCUCUAAGUUGACCAGACUUGAUCGAGCACUCAUCAAGGAUAUCAUCGAGCACAUAAACAACAUCUUUGAGUUGUUGUAGCCAUACCUUAAUAGAGCGGUCUGUGACUUGUUUCUUUUCAGCAUCUUCAAGAACAGCCUUGAUCAAAUCUAAGGUGGUUGAUAGUUUUUCAGCCUUUGACUUGAUACCAGAAAUGGUAGAAAAUUCAUUUUGAAGGAGAGACAUCAAAUUUUCAAACACAACUCCGAGCAAAGCGUUAGCCAUUUUUUGUGAAAACAAAAGAGUUGAAAAGAUAAGAAAAGAUGAGAAAUUUGUUUCGAUGGAAUGAGUGCUUAACUAAGCAGGAGACCUUUGAGAAUAAAUGCAAUGAGAGCAGCAAAUCAACAAGCAGGUGCUCAAUAAUUAUGAGCAAACAUUCACACGUAAACCACAAAUUUAUGCAACUUGCUUGCAAGGUUCCAUUUAUGAUUGGGUGUAACCCACAUUUUCAAUCAGAAAUUUAUUAGCGGGUCCAUGAUUGCUUUUAUUUGUCUCUUUGUUUUCACACUUGAACUACUUUAACUAAUAGAUGUGGCCGACAGAAUAAUGAUCUUUGGGAAAAGUUUAUGAAUCUAGUCCCUACACAUUUUAUUUACUCCCGUCUUUAACGUAGGCAAUUAUUGCUUUUUUCACAUUUUUUUAGUGUAGUUAAUGUAUCUAUUUUGUGUGUUAAUAUUACCAAAUUGUCAUUUGACUUUUUCAUAUUUCAAAACAAGUUAUUAGUAUUAAUUAGGGGUAUGUUUAGGAAAAAAUAAUACUCCCUCCGGUUCUUAAUAUAAGAAACAAUUGACUUUUUUGGUUCAUUGUUUAAGUGAUGUAUCUAGUCUAUAUUUUUAAUAAAAUACAUUAAUUAUUCUAUGAACCUAAAAAGUUAACUUUUUCUUAUAUUAAGGACCGGAGGUAUUAAAUGCAUCUAGUAAUUUGAAAGGGGGUUUACAUUUAGGAACAAAAAAAAAAGUCAAAUGAGGACUUAUAUAUAGGGACUGAGGGAGUAUUUAGGUACCGUUUGGUCAGAUUUUUUUUCGGUCUAAAAGCUACUUUAAAACAAAGUAAAAAUAAAGUUCUUUAAGAAAAAAGCUAAAGCUGUUUGGUUUCUUUAUUUUUUUUAGUUCUAUAGUUAUUUUUAAGUUAAAAGUUGUUUGACAAAAUAUUAUACAAAACUUUGAAUUUAUUAUUUUUUUGGUGGUGUCCGGGAUUCGAACCCGCGACCUUUCAUAUAUUUAUUCAUUGUCUAUAUCAACUGAGUUAAGUUAUAGAAUAUUUUGUUUUUUCAUUUCCAAUUAUACUGUAUAACAAAUUUUGUUAUAAGAAUAUCAUAUUUUUGGUGUCAUUUAAAAAGAUAAGAAUUUAUAUUAUAUGAUAUUAUAUUUGAUUUUUUUUUUGAAUAAGAUAUUACUCCCUCCAUUCUUUUUCUUUUGAUGUUUUAGAACUUCAACUAUAUUCCAAAACAUUUGAUGUUUUAGUGAAUUUAUUAUUGUUUUCUCAAGUUUACCCUUGUUGGAAAACACAAUAAACUAUUAAAGUAGUUGUGACCUUUGGUUUAUCACAUGUGAAUUUAAUGAUAAAUAAGGACAUUUAAGUAAAAAACACACAAAUGUUUAUAUACUUUAAUUACUCCUUAAAACUUGUGUCAAGAGCUAAAACAUCAAAAGAAAAGGAAUGGAGGGAGUAUAUUUGUUACAUUAUUGGUGUCAUUGAAAAAGAUAUGUUUAGUUUUUUUAAUAAGAAAAAGAUAUGCAUAAUUUGUUACAAUAUAAAUGUGUAAAAUAUAUAUAAGUAUAAUUUUUUUAGGCAUCUAUACUAGUACUUUUAAUUAAAAUCAAAAUUUUAUAAAAAUAAGGCUAAAAUAUGAUUUUAAUCCCUGCAAAUAUGCCUCGUUUUGGUUUUAGUCCCUGGUAAAAAAAAAUUUGUUUUUGGUCCCUGCAAAUUUUUUUGUUUUUGAAAAUAGUCCCUUACCCCAAUUUUGUGAUGAUUUGCAUACGUGGCACAUUAUAACUGAACCAAUUUUCUAGUUUUUGGUCCCUGCAAAAUAUUUUGUUUUUAAAAAAGGUCCCUGCAAAAUUUUUUGUUUUUGAAAAUAGCCCGACCAAAAACAAAAUUUUUCUUUACCAGGGACUAAAACCAAAACGAGGCAUAUUUGCAGGGACUAAAACCAUAUUUUAGCCUAAAAAUAAUGAUUGUAUGCAUUAAGCAACACUGAAAAAAUUAUACGCAUUAGCAUAACAAAAAAAAACAGACAUACAAACAUAAAAUAUUACUCUAAACGCUAAUGUGUGUGUGUAUUUGUGAGGUUGAAGAAAGGGAAUAAAAAUAUUUGGUGUGAUUCAAUAACAACAUGAAUAGAAAUAUUUGUGAGGUUGUGAUAAUUAAACGAUAUUAAAAUUAAGGGUUAAUAGGCUUUUACCCCCUGCCAUUUGGGCGACAUUUGGUUUACCCCCCUGCAAAAAAAAAACUUGUAGAUUCCCACUUGUAAUAUGAAGAUUCCUUGGUUUACCCCCCAAAGCCAAUAGUCAGCGUCUGACUGGAUAAAAAAGGUGACGUGGCGUGCUGAGUAGGUAUUUUUUGUUUUUAUGUUUUUUUUUUAAUUUACAACUAGAUUAUUAAAAUUUAAUUUCCCCCAAAAUUGAAAAAAUCCAAAAGUCCAAACAUUUUGUUUAUUGGUAUACCCCCCUCUCAUUUCCCCCAAAACUUAAAACCUAAUUUCUCCAAUUGAGAAGAAGAAACGGACGAAGAAGAGAAACAGACGAAGAACAAAGGGACGGAUUCAGAAUCGAAGAGUAACAACUGGGGUUAGGGUUUCGAUUCGAAGCAAGAUUUCUGCGAUUCGAAGCAAGGUUUCUGCGUUUUAGCGAUUUUGAAGCAAGAAUACUGCGAAUCUAGGAAGCUGCGAUUUUGAAGAAAGAGGGUUUCGAUUUACGUUAUUGCGAAUCUGGACACGAACGGAGAAAGAGUAAGCGAAGUGAACGGGAAGGUUGGAGACGAAGCUUGUGGUAAGUUUACUGAUUCUCUCUUUCUCUUUAUGCAUGCGUGUCUCUGUGUUGUUAGUAUUUGUAGAUGGUAAAGAAAGGGAAAAUUGUAUGUUGUGGUCCCAAAAGUCUGAUCCUAGAUUCCAUUAUUGUCUGUUUUCCAUGUGCAAAAGUUCCAUUUUUAGGGAUUAUUUAUUGAAGCUUUUUGUUUUGUGUGAGUUGUUGAUAUUAACCUGGUUUAAACCAAUGGGCUGCAGACACGUGUGGUUCUGAUUUUGAAUAAAAAAUUGUUUUUUUUUUUACCACAGAUAAUGGUUUUGUUUGAUGUUGUUUUCCAUCAUGGUGGGGAGUUUGUUAUGGAUAAGCGUAUUUUUUAUAGAGGUGGUGUACAAACUGUUGUGUCUGGUCUUGAAAGUAACAACUGGGGUGUGUGUGAUAUUCAGAAUACUGUGGCUUCUUGGGGAUAUGAGAAGAAUAAGUUUAGGGUGUGGAGUCAAAUUGAAGUGAUUUUUGAAGAUUUUUUUCAAAUCAAUGAGGACCAUAUUAAUGAGGAGGUUUCUGGGUAUUCAGUUGCUAACAAAGUAGAUGCACAUAUCUUUGUUGAGCACAAUGUGUUGGAUAUAAGUGUCAAAGUAGAUGUACCUAGAUUUUUUGAUUUGGAUGUAGGGUAUGAUGAGGAAGAUGUUAUGGUUAGCACUGAUGAUGAUAGUGGUAAAUUUGUUGGGUUUGAUGAUAGUGAGGAUGAAAGAACCACUGCACUUGAAGAUGGGUUUGAAGAUGUUGAAGUUGAAGCACCUACUAAUGGUACCAACAGAGUCACAGUUAACAACAAAACAUUAAGGAUCAAGAAGUGUGGUUCCAAAACACCUAAGAAAAAAUCUCCUAAGAAAAACAAUAGUGGCAGGAUGAAUGUGAUUGCACCAGUGUCUCUUUUGAAGAAUGGGAAAGGGAAGUAUGUUGUAGAUGAAGAAAUAGAUGGAGAUUACCUUAGUGAAGAGUUGGGUAGCUCAGACCCUGAUGACUCAAAUGAUGACACAAUUAAAUAUGACCAGUUUAGGAUGCCACAAUUAAAUAAGGAUUUUAAGUUCAAGAUAGGUAUGGAAUUUAAUACUCUGGUAGAGUUUAAAGAAGCAAUUAUUGAGUGGAACGUAUUAAAUGGUUACCAAAUUAAAAUGCCAAAAAAUGAAAGUUACAGGGUAAGGGUGGAGUGUAGGGACCAAUGUGGAUAUAAGGUUUUAUGUUCAAAGGUGGGUGACAGAAGGACUUUUCAAAUAAAGACAUUAGAGGGGCCCCACACUUGUGCACCAGUGUUGGAAAAUAAAAGUGCCAAUUCAAGAUGGGUUGCUAAGAAAGUUGUGCCAAAAAUGCAAGUCACCAAAAAGAUGAGUGUACAAGAGGUCUUUAAUGAAAUGGCUGUUAAUUAUGGUGUGGGUAUUACCAUGGACAGAGCAUGGAGAGCAAGGAAGAUUGCAAAGAGCAUAAUUGAGGGUGAUGCAGAUAAGCAGUAUGCAAUGAUAAGGAGGUAUGCAGCUGAGUUGAAGAGAGUGUGUAGGGACAAUAAUGUGAAAAUAAAUGUUGCUGGUCCUUCUGCAACUAUUCAACCAAGGUUUGGGUCUUUUUAUUUCUGUUUUGAUGGGUGUAAGAAAGGGUUCAUAUCUGCUUGCAGACCCUUUGUUGGAGUGGAUGGCUGCCACUUGAAAACAAGAUAUGGGGGGCAACUGUUGAUUGCUGUAGGAAGAGACCCAAAUGACCAGUAUUUUCCACUAGCUUUUGGGGUAGUUGAAACUGAGUGCAAGGAAAGUUGGAAAUGGUUCAUACAGUUGCUGAUGGAAGAUAUAGGUCAAGAUAAGAGAUAUGUGUUCAUAUCAGAUCAACAAAAGGUAUGUUUAGAUCUAUUCAUGUUUUAUCUAUACAUAUAUGUAUUCAAUGUUUCAGAUCUGAUGAGAUCUAUAUUGAUUUACUAUUAUGCAGGGGUUGCUGUCAGUUUUUGAUGAGAUGUUUGAUACUAUUGAUCAUAGAUUGUGCCUUAGACAUUUGUAUGCUAAUUUCAAGAAGAAGUUUGGAGGAGGCAGUCAAAUAAGAGAUUUGAUGAUGGGAGCUGCAAAGGCCACUUACUAUCAAGGAUGGUUGGAAAAGAUGAAUGAACUGAAGAAGAUAGAUCUGGGAGCUUGGGAAUGGUUAAUGGCUGUAGAACCAAAAAAAUGGUGUAAGCAUGCUUUACCCUUUUAUUCUAAGUGUGAUGUACUGAUGAAUNACAUAUCUGAAUCCUUAAAUGCCACAAUAUUAUCUGCUAGAGAUCAACCUAUUAUUAGUAUGGCUGAGUGGAUUAGACAUUAUCUAAUGAGAAGAAUGACAACAUCUGCCACUAAACUUCAAAAGUGGCAACAUAAUGUGAUGCCUAUGCCUAGGAAAAGAUUAGAUAAAGAGAUAACAUUAGCUGCUCAUUGGAGAUCAACUUGGUCUGGAAUAGGUGAACAAUUUCAGGUUAUGCAUACAUAUAACCGUCAGCAAUUUAUUGUUGACAUUGCAAAAAGGAGUUGCAGCUGUAACUUUUGGGAGAUAGUGGGAAUACCUUGCAGACAUGCUGUUUCUGCACUUGGUAAAAGGAAGCAAAGGCCUGAAAUGUUUGUUGAUGAUUACUACUCUAGGACUAAGUAUGCCUUGUGUUAUAGUUUUGCAAUUAGUCCUAUUAAUGGUAUGGAUAUGUGGCCUGAGGUAGAAGCUCCUGAACUUUUACCUCCAAACUAUAAGAAUGGACCAGGAAGGCCUAGAAAGCUUAGGAUUAGAGAGUUUGAUGAAAAUGGAUCUAGAAUGAGGAGGCAAGGGGUGGCAUAUAGAUGCACAAAAUGUGAUCAAUUUGGACACAAUCAAAGGAGAUGCAAGAGUGAUGUUCAGAAUCCAGAGGCUGCAAAAAGGAAGGUAUGAUGAUUAUGUACAAAAUGUGAUUAAUUAUACUCUCUGAUUAUGUACAAAAUCCUAACUUAUGCCUUUUUAUGUUUGUUAAUGUUGUAGAGGAAAACACCUAGAAGGAAGAACACUUCAACUGCUACUGAACCAAUGCAGACUGACCCAAUGCAAGCUGAAGUUGCAGCUGCUACUGAACCAAUGCAAGCUGAAGUUGAAGCUGGUACUGAACCAAUGCAAACUGAACCAAUUCAGACUGACCCAAUGCAGGCUGAAGUUGCAGCUGGUACUAAACCAAUGCAAGCUGAAGUUGAAGCUGGUACUGAACCAAUGCAGCCUGAAGUUGAAGCUGGUACACAACCAAUGCACACUGCAUCUACUCAAGAUCCACCAAGGCACACCACAAAAAUUGUAAAAGUGAAAAACUCUGAAGCUCCUUUCAAGAUACAAAAAGUAGUCACCUCUGAAGCUGCAAAUGCUUUACCAGAAAAAAUUGUUACAGAAUUUUAUGAAGCCCUUCCUGAAUCACAACUUGAAACUAGCCUUGGGCCAGAUGUGUUUGAUGACCUGGAUGACAGUGUAUUGGCAGCCAUCACUGAUCAAAUGUUUGAAGCAGCAGAAAAAGAAUUUAAUGUUGUGAAUGUUGUGAAGAGUAGGAAUGAACAGAAAAAGAAAACAUUGGGGUUGAAGAAAUCUGUAAAAGCUGGUAGGAAGAGUUCCAGGUUGAUGAAAUUGAAGACCAAGGCAAUCAAAGGUGCUGGCUCCAGUAUGGAUCAACCUAUGGUCCUUGAUGAGUCUGAAGAGGGCACUUUGACUCAGGAGGAUCAUGGUCUGAUUAAGAGUGGGACAUGUUUGUCUGUGCUAAGAGGCUUACCAAAAUUGGUUAUGAGAUCCUCCAAGCCUAAUUGAAGAAGCACAUAUUCAUUCUAGGCCUCUGUUAGGUUCCUGCUUGUUAAUGUUUUUGUUUAAGUUUUUUGAUGUAAUGACUUAUGCACUUUAAGUGCUUUUAGUUAAUGUAAUGACUUAUCCACUUUAAGUGCUUUUGGUUGAUGAAUCUGAUUAUGCACUUUAAGUGCUUUUGGUUAAUGUAAUGACUUAUGCACUUUAAGUGCUUUUGGUUGAUGAAUAUGAUUAUGCACUUUAUGCACUUUAAGUGCUUUUGGUUAAUGUAAUGACUUAUGCACUUUAAGUGCUUUAUUGCUUAUGUUAUGGCAUGUUUAGAAUGAUGAAAAAAUUACUUCAAACAUUUUUCAUUAAUAUCUAAAGGAGUUACAUUUUUCAUUUUUCAUUAAUAUCAAAAGCAGAAAUGUUAACAUAAGUCUUACUACAUAAUCAGAACAUUACAAUGACUUAGAGAACAAUUACAUUAACUUGAAAACAACUGAGAACACAAUCCAAGACACAGCUAGCGCAACAAUGACGCCAAAAUUUUUCUUCUUCUCAGCAUCAAGCUUCAUUUUGAGUUUCUCAUGCUUCUUUGCACUUAUUUGAGUUCCAUGUUCUUUGCCAAACUCUUUCCCAAACUCUUUCCCAAAGUCUUUGCCAAAUUGUGUCAAAAACUCCAUUGUCAUUGCACAAUUGCUGCAACCAGCUUCAGACUUUAAAAUAGAAGAACAACCUGGUUCACAGUACUUUCCACAUUUUUUAGGAACUUCAUCGAGUUCAUCAUCCCAAAUGAACAGCUCACAACUAUACUCAGCCUGCAAUAAGUUUCGGCUUACAAAUUUAGCAACUAUUUCAAAACUACAUACGUUUGGAAAAUUUGAAACAAAAAAUUUACAUCAAAAUAAAAAAUUCACUUACUCCAGAAAAUCGGCAUCUCCAAAACUUUCUCUUGGGGUUUUCAUUUGUGUUUGAAAUCCACAUUGUUAUCAUGAUUUUCGGGUGUCAAGCCAUUAAUUAGGCUUGAACCUUUCAAUCUUUGAUAUUCUCUAUUUUUUCUUGGGAAGGGCAAAAUUGAGAAAAAAAACCCUUAGAGUCUAAGUUCGGGGGUUGCUUUCACUACGGGAAGGUGUUAGGCACCCGCAAUGAUUAUAGAACCUUUUUCCUAGUUUUAUGUCUACGCUUUACUUUUAUUGCCUACUUAUUGAAAAAAGAAGUUUUAUUUGAGUGAAGAAUGGGGGAGAGAAGAUGAUUGAGAUUUUAUUUUUAUUUGGCUUGGAAGAGUUUUGACUCCUUGCCUACGUACCCUUUUAAGGGAUCAAAACCAAACGUAGUUCAUUCUCAAAAAUUGUUUUCUUUGUUUUUAUUGGUUGAUUUUAAGUUUGAAAAAAAGGAAUUUUGAAGAAUGGAGAUGAGAGGCCUCAAGGGCAUGAGAUUUGGAAAAUGUGAGGUGGAAUUAGUUAUUUUGCAAAACAAAGUCUAAGUAUGAUUAAAAUUCAUUAAGAUUUUUAUUUAAGAAAAUAAAAGGAAAAUGAGGAGUUUUGACUCCUAUUUUUUUGGAAAAAGGUUUUCAAGUGAGGUUAUUCACAUUUUUUGGGAAAAAUGAUUUUUGUCUAAGCAUUAUAAAACCUAAGCAUACAUCUAAACAUACAUUCCCUAAUCAUGCAUCUAGAAUAUCCAUGUGGGGUGUGUGCAUGUGUCGGUGUACAUCACUUAUAGUGUCCAUAGUCAUUUACAUUGAGUCCUAGAUACAUGCUAUGGUCUUGCAAGAAUGUAAACUAAACUAAACUAACUAAAUUUAGUACAAACCAAUUGGCAUAGAAAUGAAUACAAAAAGAAAACCUAAACUAGGAGCAAUGAGGGUACAAAGAUUAGGUGCUUAUGGAAUGAAUGAGAUAUGAAGCAUAAGAGUUAGUAACACAAGUACAAAAUGAUAAUAAUAAAAAAAAAAGAUGCAAGCAAUAUAGAAUUGAAUAGCACAAGAGAAAGAAAAUAAUGCAAUGAAACAAAGUAGUAAAAAAUACACCUAGAAUUUAGGUAUAACACUCAUACAUGCAUAUGACCUAUAAUUCCCUCAUUAUAGCCAUUUUUGAAAGGUUUGAAUUUAAGCUACAAUGUGAGGAUCAUAAGAGUACACACAAGCCAAGCAUUAUAUCAUAUUCCUAGAGAUAUUUCCACACAUUAUUUCACAUGCAAAAAUAUCACAAUAUGUAACAAUGCAUCAAGAACAUAUAUGGAAUUUAAUGAGCAAGAAUUAAAAGAACAAAGUAAAGAAAAUGAAUGCAAAAAUAAGCAAAUAAAUUCUAAUACUUAGAGGAAAAAUUAAAAUGAUAGGGAAAUAUUUUUAGAAAUUUUUUUAGAAGCAUAAAACACCAAGAAAGUGUAAAAAAGGAUUUAAAACACAAUUAAAAAGCAAUUAAAAAGAGGCUCAGCAGGAUUUAAUCUUGACCGCUGGAUGAAUCCAGAGGUCCAGAUCUAACUCCCAAGAUCACAUCACAGCCACUGGAUCAAAGAUCCAAGGGUCCAAAAAAAAAGCACAAAAGAUAGUGUAAAAUGCAGGAAGCACAGUGACCGUUAGAUCAAAGAUCUAACGGUUCAAACAGAAGAUAUAGCAUAUUCCACACAAAAAAUCACACACAAGAUUCAAAAUCAAACACACAGCAGCCAUCAGAUCUUGGAACAAACCGGAUCUGAUGGUUCACAGAGCGAGGGAACACAACAAGAGCACGCACGUGCGCGCGUGGGAACGGAGGGAGUAUAAAAAGGAAUUUCACACAAAAAAUCACAUAAACUUCUUCUCCUUCUCUCUCUAAGUCACACUUAGAGAGAGAAGCUCUCCCUUCUCUCUAAAAAAACUCGCUGGCGAAGGUGGAGGAGGUGGUGGUUCAGGCGCGGCGGCCUGCCGGUUUCCGGCGGCGGCGCCCCCGUGCCGUAAAAUUCAAACUACUUUUUUUCAAAAAUUUUACAUCAAAAGUUCCGUCACCACCUCCUCUACACAAAUCCGGCGUUAGUUUUAGCGAGAACGGAGCGAUUCGGACUAGAUCUACGUUUUUACUUUGAAAAUCUUUUUCACACUUUUCGCAAAAAAAAACUACGGAUCUAGAUAUCCUUUUCUCUAUAGAGUCCGAAUCCGGCCUCAAAAUUCUCAAAAUCCGAACACAAAAGCCUAGAUCUACUAAUUUUUAUCCGUAACAAACUUUUUCACACUUUUUCAAGCAAGAAAUGCGCGGAAAUGACUUAGAAAGAAAGGAGAAACGCGUUACCUCUGUCGUAGAACGGAGAAAAAAGAUAUUCAGAAAACUUCGAAUCUCUCCUCUUCUCUUUCGCGCGCGCGCUAUAUCCUCCGUUGGUGUUGUUUUUGCUCGAAAAUCCGGUACGAUCUUGGUGUUGAUGUGAUGAUCCGCGGUGGUUUUGAGUGAAUCCGGUUCGGAUUUGUUGAUUUUGUGGUGAGGUGUUCUUGGUGUUCUUCCUCUUUUUCCUGAGUUUUUUUUCUGUUUUGAUUCUGUUAUGGAUGAGAGAGAGAAAAAGAUUCUGUUUGAGAGUGAUUGUGAUUGAUUCUGAUUUUUCUGACUCAUUGAUGGAUCUGACACAUUUACUAUUUAUAGCCUGCCAUGUGUAUCUGAGACCCAAUGGAAAAUUGACACCUGGACUGUUUUGGACUUAAGGACUAAUCUGCAAAAAAGUUAAUAUGAGGACUAAUCUGCAAUAAAAAAAAGAUUAAAAAAAUGCAAUUAAAAAAAAGAGUAUUGGACAAAAAUGCAAUUUUGGGAUCUGUUUGAGUACUAAAAAUGCCAUUAAAAUAAAAUUGGUAAAUUGGACAAAAAUGACAGGAAAAGACCAAAAUGCCCCUAGGGACUAAAAUGACCCAACCUGACUCAGAUGCAGUUUUGAAAUGAUUUUAAAAAAGAGAUUCAACAAUGAUUUGUACAGACAAGUUAGAAAGACUCAGAGACAGUUACAGGGACUAAAAUGGGUUCCGCUGCAGGAAAUGACCAAAAUACCCUUUUGUAUGAUUUUUGAAAAUAAAAUGCAAGAAAAGUAAUGCAAUGAUUCAGAGAAUUUUCAAAUGACUUGUAAUGCAAGAAAGACACUUUGGAUAGUUUUAUGCAAGAAAAUCAUGAUUGAACAUACUUUGAGACAGAGACAGUAAAAUAUGCAGAUGAAAAGAGAGUAAAGAUUCAGAGUGAAACAACAGUAAUUUGACAAUUAUAAGUAGUAGAAAAUAAAUUUGAAUGAGUAUUUUUAGGUCCAAAAUCAGGGUAUAACACACAUCUUCAUAACCUUCUCACAACCGCAUAUUGGGGGUCGAUUUCCAACAUUGUUACUAAUUGACGAAGUUCUGCUUCCACCCAUUAUAAACCCUAAGGUCCCACUGACAGUUGUCGUUUAAUCCUGAAUAGUCUUUGACUUUUCAAAAGGAAAUUUCGGCAGUAAGGUAUUUUAAAAUACCUCAUUUAGUUUGGUUUCUUAGCCCACAUUUUCAUUAUCACUUUAUUUUUAUUUUUAUUUUUUUUUAGUUAUUUUCUUUAAUUAUUUUUUUAAUAAGUCCAAAAUUGUCAAAAGAGCCGUGGUCCAAAGAUUCUUCACGCCACAAUUCCACAAUUCCAGGCAAAUUUACUCAGGUCUACUCUUUCUUUCCCAAUUUACCAGAAACGUGUUUCAUCCCUUUUAAUUCCAUUCAAGCACCAUUCAUUCCUAUUAAACAACAUUUCCUUUUGUUAUCAACCUUGAGCCUUUAAAUAGGAGUAAAAAUCAGAGAAGAAGGGGGACACGAUUCACACAACCUGAAAAGAGAAAAGAAAACCAGUAAUCACAAAUCAUCAAAACCUCUCUCAAACCCUCAUCACACACCAUCAUCGAAUCAUCAUCACAACAAUUCCAACCAACACAUCAAUUUUCCAGCCAUCAGUCACAAUUCCAAAACCCACACAAAAUCCUCACAACCGAUCCAACAAUUUUCCAAAGCCCUCAAUAGAAACCGACACAAAAACAUCACAGAAUACCAGCAUCAAAGGAACAACGCCGUACAUCAACCGAAACAGCCAUCACAGAAUUGACCAGAGAAUCCGAAUCGAAAUCAAAAGGUAGUAUUUCAUUAACUUUUAGAUCUAGGCUCGUAUAUUCACUGUUUGAGAUUUGUGAGUUUAGAAUCGAGUAGAGGAGAAGAGAACAAGUAGAAGGAACCAAAAAAAUCAAAAAAAUAAGUUGUUAGGGUUCCGGCGCGGUGGCGCCGCCCCACAGGCUGGCCAACCGCCACCGGAACCCUUUCGGGUUUUCGAUCCACCGGGAAGCGCAUUUUUGCCUAGGCCGCCCUUUCGGGUUUUCGACCUACCACGUUGUUCCUUUCAUAUAUCUAGGCGAAGUAUUUCUUGACUAUAUCGACAUUCACAGGAUUUGGAAGUUCAACACCAUCCAUGUGUGUAACAAUUAAAGCACCACCGGAGAAGGCCUUCUUGACAACAUAAGGACCUUCAUAGUUAGGCGUCCACUUGCCCCUUGGGUCGGGUUGCUGGCUUAUCCUCCUUUUCAAAACAAGUUCUCCUACCUUGAAUUCUCGAGGAUGGACUUUCUUGUCAAAGGCAGUCUUCAUUCUUGCUUGAUAUGACUGUCCACGAGCCAUGGCAUCCAUACGUUUUUCCUCAAUCAAAUUCAACUGAUCAUACCGGCUUUGGCACCAUUCAGCCUCGGAUAACUUUGAUUCCAUGAUCACACGGAGAGAUGGGAUCUCCACUUCCAAAGGAAGAACCGCUUCCAUACCAUAUACAAGAGAGAAAGGGGUUGCCCCGGUUGAACUGCGCACUGUAGUACGGUAACCAUGCAGAGCAUAGGGUAACAUCUCAUGCCAGUCCUUAUAAGUAGUAACCAUCUUCUGAACAAUCUUCUUGAUAUUCUUGUUGGCGGCCUCAACUGCACCAUUCAUCUGAGGUCUAUAAGGAGAAGAGUUAUGAUGCUCAAUUUUGAAUUCUUCACAAAGAGCUUGCACCACAUUGCUGUUUAGGUUGGUACCAUUGUCGGUAAUGAUCUUACUGGGAACACCAUAUCGACAGAUGAUGUUAUUCUUGAUGAACUUGGCUACCACUUGCUUGGUCACAUUGGUAUAAGAUGCCGCUUCAACCCAUUUAGUGAAGUAGUCAAUUGCCACUAAGAUGAAACGAUGACCAUUUGAAGCCUUCGGUUCAAUUCUUCCAAUCAUAUCGAUGCCCCACAUUGAAAACGGCCAUGGGGAUGACAUAACAUUGAGAGCGUGCGGAGGCACGUGAAUCUUAUCAGCAUAGAUUUGACAUUUGUGGCACUUUCUGGCGUGCUGGUAGCAAUCAUGCUCCAUGGUCAUCCAGUAGUAACCUGCUCGCAACAACUUCCUUGACAUAGUAUGCCCUGUAGCAUGGGUCCCGAAGGUACCGUCAUGUACGUCAUGCAUUAACUGUUCCGCUUCAUGUUCAUCAACACAUCUUAACAAUACCAUGUCAUAGUUUCUUUUGUACAGAAUAUCUCCAUCCAAAAGGAAUCUACUGGCCAAUCUUCUUAGGGUCUUCUUGUCUUGGUUGGAAGCACCUGACGGAUACUCACGGCUCAGCAAGAACUGCUUGAUAUCGUAAUACCAGGGUUUAUAGUCAACCAUAUUUUCACCGGCCUGAUCGAUCACAUCCCCAAUAGCAAACACAUGCGAAGGUCUUUCAAGGCGUUGCACUUUGAUUAUUGGCACAUCAUUCCAAUGGUUUACUCGAAACAUGGAGGAUAGAGUAGCAAGAGCAUCAACCAUUUGGUUCUCAUCACGAGGGAUAUGGUGCAACUCAACCUUUGUAAAAUAUGUCAGCAAACGUCUUGCGUAAUCACGGUAAGGAAUCAGAUUGGCAUGGUGGGUCUCCCAUUCACCCUUUAUCUGAUUGAUGACGAGUACCGAAUCUCCAUAAAUGUCGAGGUGUUUGAUUCUCAUGUCAAUCGCUUCCUCGAUCCCAAAGAUACAUGCUUCAUACUCAGCCAUAUUGUUUGUACAUUCGAACAGAAUCCGGGCGGUAAAAGGAAUGUGAUGCCCCUGUGGGGAUACAAUGACUGCCCCAAUUCCUUUGCCAUAAGCAUUGACAGCACCAUCAAAGACUAAUCCUCACUUGCUAUUGGGAUCUGGUCCUUCACCAAUCAAUGGUUCUUCGCAGUCUUUUGAUUUCAAAUACAUGAUCUCUUCAUCGGGGAAAUCAAACUCAAUUGGUUGGUAAUCAUCGAGAGGUUGGUAGGCGAGAUUAUCGGCAAGGAUGCUACCUUUGAUUGCCUUUUGAGUUUUGAACACAAUAUCAUAUUCAGACAAAAGCAUCUGCCAGAGUGCAAUCUUCCCAGUAACAACAGCUUUCUCAAAGAUAUACUUGAUAGGAUCCAUCCUGGAUAUCAACCAAGUUGUAUGAUUCACCAAAUAAUGACGCAGGCGUUUGGCAGCCCAGGCUAGAGCACAACAAGUCUUCUCAAGCAUUGUAUACCGAGUUUCACAGUCGGUGAACUUCUUGCUCAGAUAGUAGAUAGCAUGUUCUUUCUUUCCAGUCUCAUCUUAUUGACCAAGCACGCAUCCCAUGGAUUCAUCAAACACUGACAAAUACAAAAUCAAAGGCCUUCCUUCCACGGAUGAGACAAGGAUAGGUGGUUCCAGCAGGUAAUUCUUGAUGCUAUCAAAAGCUUCCUGGCAUUCAUCGUUCCAUACAAUAGGCUGAUUCUUGCUCAAGCAGUCGAGUGAUCUCAUACGGUAUAUCAUCAUCCUCUUCAUCUUCGGCUUCAUACACCGGGAAUUCAAAAUUUGGAGGAACUGUAUGAUUACUGUGUUCAACGGGUUUAUUAUGGUUCAAACUGCAUAGAAUGGUUGAAUGAUUUUAGAAAAGGGUUUUUUUUUUCUUUCAUGCAGAUCUUUGAAAUUAAUAAGAAAAAUAAAGAUGUUUUGGUUUUUUCUGGUAUUACCAUUAUUUCCAAGAAAAAAAAAAGAAAAAAAAAAUCACUAAAAAAUAAAAGUCGUGAAAGAAACGACGAUUUUUAUUGAUAACGGCGAUGCCGAAACAAACACGCCCUUCCAGAAAUAUCACUUUCGCUUCGGACAGAGCGAGAGGAUGGUUAUUUUGAAAAACAAAACACUUAAGCAACAAGACACAUUAUUCGGAAACAUGCAUGAUUGAAUGAAUGUUGAUGGCGUCCCAAUUUCUCGCAAUGCCUCCUGGUAUAACAAACAUAGGCCUAGGACUACAUCCAGUCGCCUCUUCAGUAAUUGCAUUGACAAACUCAGCACUGUAGAAGAUUCCUGUGGUAUUGUACUUGUAAGGAAUAGCCUUUGCUGAAGUAUAAGGUACCGGUCCGGGCAGCCUUAUCACUAGAGGCUCAACAUUCUCUUUUGAAGGCACGCUCUUGACGGGCGGAUCAUGAAAGACUGGCACAAUCACAUAAACAUCGUUGACAGUCAAAUAAUUGUCGUUCAUCAAGCUCUGGAUGUCAUUUUGAACAGCAUAGCAACCCAAAGGAUUACGAAAGCAAUCUGGGCAAUUGGCAUGAUCACGGUUAAACAGAGAAGCUUUGCAUAGCUUGAUGUGUAGUGGUACCAGAGGAGUUGCAACAUUACGGACAUCAAGUCUGGGAGCUUCCUCAUACACCUCAAUCAUGUUCACAGCAGCGUGAUUCGGAAGAGGAUUGUCGAGGACAUGAGGGACAUUGUUCUCAAAAGUCAACUUUCCUUGAUCAAUGAGCUUCUUCACGAUGUACUUCAAAGCAUAGCAUCCUUCGACAUCAUGACCCAGAGCACCUUGAUGGAAAUCACAUAUGAGGUCAGACCGGAACCUGGGAGGCAACGGAUCAGGUGGAGGCUUGCCCUGUCUGGUGGUGCAGUGCCCUCUGAGAAGUAGAGUUGGGAGUAGCUCAGCAUACAACAUUGGUAUCAGAGGAAAGGUAGGUCUAGCUUGUUGCUGCUGUCGUUGUUGAGCUGGAGGCUGAUUGUUCCCAGGCGGCUAGCAGAGCAGUCAUGGUAUCAUUGGCCUUUGCCAAUUCUUCCCUCAGAGAAGCCAACUCGGUGCGAAGCUGAGUGUUCUCUUCCUCCAUAGCUACCAAAUUCUUUUUUCUGUACAAUCUAGUCCGAUGGAUUCUGUCAGGUUCGUAGACUUUUCGAGCACGAGCCACCUUUCAAACUCUGUGGCAGAAGAACCAGGAGGCAAUGAGUGCUUGGAAGCUUCUGUGACUGAUGAAUGAUGCAUAUGAUGCAUGAUAUGUACAAAUGCAGAUGCAAAAAUGACUUUUUUGUCAUCGAAGGGUUUUUAGACAAAUUAGAAACCUUGUAAACAUUAUUUAAUAAGAUCUCAAUAGCGUUCAAAUCCACGAAGUUGUCGAGAUUCGAAAAGAGAAUGAGCCCAUAGAUAAACAAUGCAAGAAUAGCCUCGAGUGUAUCUUGACAAGUGGUUUCGAAUUAGCCCGCUCAAGUAGAUACUUUGAAGUGAACCCUCGGAUGUGAGAAUUGGUAAUAAGAUGAUUGGAGACGUCGGAAGUCCUGGGAUAGAUAUCCUUAGCAAUAACCAAAGGAGUAAGAGAAGUUCCGGGACCGCUAUAGGUGAAUCUAACAAGUAGGAAUAAGCCUCAAGAGUAGGGACCAAUUGGAAAUCCGAGAAAGUGAAGCAACGGAAACUCGAGUCAUAGAAUCGCACAAGAGUGUGCACUAGCUUCCCUUCAACAUUGGUCUGGAGAAUAGUGAGCAAACCACCAUAUCGGAGUCGAAAACCUGUUUGAUUCUUAACCUUGAGUGCCAAUUCUCUCAAGCUAACCAAAUCAACCUCCUUGCACUUGUAGGAUUUAGUCUUCUUCAUACCAGUAAUGUUUACAAAGUUUUUAAUUUGUCUAGUCCUUCGAUGAAGGCAUGAAAAAAGUUUAUGCAUGAAUGCAUGUAUGCAUGAUUGUUUUUUUUUUUCAAUUACAGAGAAUACAUGGUGAGGGUAAGUUCCACAAUGUUGGAGUUAAGGAUAACAACGCCAUUUGGUAAGGACUAUGGUUUAAAAUGUACCUGCAUCACGGGUUCUACCAAGUUCCCAAAUUACAACUUCCCUUAUGAGCAUAUCGGUGUAUAGGACCGCUCCUAGUCCAAUAACGCCCAUAAGUAAGUCUAGUUUGAGUGUAGUAUCGCGUGUCGACCAAAGUCAAAACUGCUCUUGGUUUAGCCACCGCACUACGUCCUAAAAAAAGGCCAAGAUGGGUUAAGGGUGAUCUAAAGGUCCUCAACGUUUAGCGGACUUCAAAAAUAAUAACGCCAAUCACGACUGCUCAUGACGACAUAUUAUUACUUUUGAAAGACCUACGUUGAGUGGAGUUAUAUCACAUGUACACAUAUCGCAGGACCGCUCCUGGUAUGGCACUACGAUUGUACCCCGUCCUAUCUUAUGUUUCACUCAAGCCCGGGUGUAGGACUUUGAUAUUCUCACCCCACACGUUAAAUGAAAAUAAACAAAUAUUCACAUAUAUAAGCAAUAAAACAAAGCGUAAACAUAAACUACGGAAAACUAGGCGUGACCCGCUUAAAAAAUGUCCCCAGUGAAGUCGCCAUUUCUGUUAUCAUGGUUUUUGGGUGCCAAGCCAUUAAUUGGACUUGAACCUUUUGACCGUUGAUAUCUUCUUUUUUCUUGGGAAGGGUAAAAGGAGAAAAACCCUUGAGUUUCCGAAUUCGGGGGUCGAUUUCGCUACGGGAAGGUGUUAGGCACCCGGAGCGAUUAUGGUAUUCCAUAAGAACCGUUCUCCUAAGUUUAUUUCUACGCUUUAUUUUAUUGCCUAUUUAUUGAAAGAAAAGAAGUUUUAUUUGAGUGAAGAAUGGGGGAGAGAAGAUGAUUGAAUUUGAUUUUAUUUCGGCUUGGAGGGGUUAAAGUCCCUUGCCUACGUACCGUUUUACGGGAUCAAAACCGGCGUAGUUCUUGCUAAAAAGACUUGUUGUUUUUUUUGUUUUAAUUGUUUGAUUUUAAAUUUUGAAAAUGAUUUUGAAGAAGGGGAUUGAGAGGCUUCAUGAGCAUUAGAGUAUGAAAAAGUGGGGGUUUGUUUAGUGAUUUUGCAAAAAAGUCUAAAUGAUUAGAUUUAUUUGAGAAUUUUAUUAAGAAAAUAAAAGGUGAAAAAUUGUUGGAGUUUUGACUCCAUUUUUAUGAAAAAAUAUUUGAAGCGAAUUUGUUUGCAUAUUUUUUGGAAAAAAUUGGAUUUUCUCUAAGUGUUUAAACCUAAGCAUUCAUCUAACCAUGCAAUCCUAGGCAUACAUCUACACAUGCAAUCCUAGCCAUACAUCUAGGGUGAGUGUGUGCGUGCCGGUGCGUCAUAGUGUCCAUAGUCCAUAUUACAAAAAUUGCCUAAAUACAUUCUAUGGCCCCUUUGCCAAGCUACAAACCAAUGAUAACAAAUUACAUCACCAAAUGAAUUAAAACUUGCAAAAAUAAAUGCUAAGCUAAAGAAAGUGGAGGAGGUAGUGGAAUGCUAUGAGUGAAGUCUCACAAGGAACAAAAUGUUAGUGAAACAAGGAAAAAUAUAAUGGGAAUGAUGAAAAAUGCACCAAAUGAAUAUGCAAUAAAAAGGGGUAAAAACAUGAGAAUUUAUCAAGCACAAUGUGUAAUAAAUGGCCUAUAAUGCAAGCACAAACACAAACCAAAUGAAAACAGUGGCACAAUCAUUGAAUUAUCAUCACAUCUAUCAUGAAAAUGCAUUCUAAUUAGCCAUGCUAUGCACCAAAAUUCUUAGGACAAGAAUCAACCUAAAAAGCAUGACAAAGCUAACUAGAGAAGUAAUUUGAACGAGAGACCUAUGCACAUAUUUUUUACCAGUUAUUUGCAAGCAAAAUAUCAUUAAAAAAUCAUCAAGAAAGUGGUAAAAACAUGUAGUAAUUUUUGGAAUUUAUGGUAAAAAAAUCAGAGCAAUCAGAGGUUCAGAUAGCAAAAAGAACGGUGUAAGUAGCACAAAAAGGCAAAGAAAUUCUUAGAAAACUAAGCCCAAACCUACAGCCUAACACACAAAACUCAGAUUGCACAGGAGACGUUGGAUUGAUCCAGGGUAGGAAACCCUAGAUCCAACGGCCAGGAACGAAGGAGGUUGGACCGGUCCUGAACCGGUCCGGUUCACUGGCUUUAAAAAGGGGGGGAAACCGGUUUUUUCCUAUUUUCUUCCUCUCCUUCUCUCUCUAACUCUUCUCUCUUCUCUCAUCUCUCUCUAAACCCUCACCGCCGGUGAGGAUGAAGCCACGGCAGAGACCUUGAAGGUCCGCCGGAAGCUUCAUCUUCUCCGGCGAGUCCUAUGCACUCUCCGGUGAAAAAUUUCCAGAAUUUAAAGAUUUUUACAUCAAAUGAUUCGUCCUUUAACCCUAAACACGAAUCCAGCAAUUAUUUUCUCAAACACAGCUUGAUACGAUGUAGAUCUGAAAAUUUCGUACGGUUUUGAAAUUGAUUUUCUUUGAUCUUUUUUUGAAAAAAAAAGGUUUAGAUCUUUACGGAUCUACAUCGUUUCGUCGUUUAUCUCUUUUCUGGUGCUUGUUCUUGCUUUCAAAACUUAGGUCCUUAUGGAUCUAGGUUUUGUGUUUACGGUUACGGUCUUAUCUUUGAAUUCUGGAAAUUUUUAGAUCUGUUUCUCGCGUGAUUUUACAGGUUAAACUAUGAUAUCACUUCUGAAAAGGAAUUCUGAGUUUUACCUGAAGUUUUUGAUUGGAGGUUUUAUGAGAUUCUUCGGAAAUCUUGAUUCUGUUCUUGAUGAUUUUUGAUCCUUCCGCUUGUUCUUUGGACCGAAAAUAAAUCGGUGAUUCACUGGCUUAAUCCCUUCAUCUUCUCCGAUUCUUUCUCUGUGAUUAUACGCUUGAACUUGCUUUCCCUCUUCUGAUCUUCUCUCUGUGAUCAACGCUUGAGCUUGCUUCAAUGCGAACUCGCGUUUGGAAUUGCAGGGAAACGACCAAUUCAGUGAUGAAGAUUCCACAGAAUCUCUGAGAAUCGAUCCAAAAAUUGUUGAUUCUGAUGAAUUUUAGGGUUUCUGGAAACGGUUAGGGUUUUGUGUUCUUGGUGUUCUUGAGAAAUUCUGAGAAAUUUUCUGUUUUGAUUCAAUUGCUGAGAGAGAGAAAAUUAGAAUUGUGUUUAUGAGUUGGCGUGUGGUUAAUGGAUCUCUGUGGCACUGUACACCUUUUAUAGCCUGCCAUGUGUGAUCUUGGACCAUUAGAAAGCUGACAUGUGGCAUUGGACUGAAAAAGGGGCGCUGCCUUGUAAUUUGACUUGAAGGACCUGUUUGCAAAUUUGAAAAAAUAUAUGGACUGGACUGAAAAAUGAAAGUAAGGACUGAAAUGAAAUUAAAAACUGUUUGGACAAAAUAUGCAAUUUUGGGACCUCAAUUGAGGGACCAAAAUGCAAUUAAAAAUAAAAUUGGAUAAAACGUAAUUUGACCAAACGUAAAAUGAAACAAAAAAAUAAAAUUGACAAAACGGACUAAAACGAACCAAUGGCUUAAAUGAGGUACUUCAAAGUAACCCCUCUAUGCCGAAAUUUUGUGUGAAAUGACCAAAAUGCCCUUCUGUACGACUUUUGAAAUAAAAUGCAAGAAAAGUAAUGCGAUGAUUUAUAGAAUUUUUUCAAAUGACUUGUAAUGCAAAAAGACAUUUUGGAUGGUUUUAUGCGCAAGAAAAAUCAAAGACAAAAUCACGAUUGAAAAUAGUUUGAGACAGACAUUAAAAUAUGCAGAUGAAACAAAGUAAAGGUUCAGGGAAAUAUAACAGCAAAUUGACAAAUAUCAGUAUUGAAAAAGAAAUUUGAAUAAGUAUUUUUAGGUCCAAAAUCAGGGUACAACACAUGCAAAUAAUCAAAAAUCACAAAAAUAUCUUCAUAAACAAACCUUGAUCUUAAAUCAAGUGACCGUCUUUUGUUUUCAUUUUCUUAAUCAAACUUUAAUCAAUUUAAUCAUAUUUUGAGUCAUUUUCUUUUAAUAUAAAAAAUACAAACAAAUACUCAUUUGCCACUUGGCUUUUCAUUUUAAAACCUUUUUUCAAAACUAAUAAAAAACACUCAACAAAUCAAACGUCGUUUUCUACCCCGAACUACGAGGUUUUGAUCCCUCACGGGUACGUAGGCAGAGGACCAUGUCCUUCCAAAUCAAUAAAAUGUAGAUAACUAGGUCUUUUAUUCUUCCACUUUAAUUCCUUCUUUUCAAAAAUAAUAAGCAAGUUUAUAGCACAUUAAUUAAAUAAAAUCAAGAGGUUCUCGUAGAGUACUACGAAUAUUUAGGGUGCUAAUACCUUCCCUAAAUAUAACCAACCCCCGAACCCUAAAUCUCAAUAUGGGGUAGUUUGAACCUUUUUCCCCUUUUUCUUAAAAAAAUUAAAUGUUCAGUCGUGAAAUAAUUAGUGAGUCAAAAGCUAAUCAAAUAGCCUUGAUCUCCAAAAAAUGACACGACAGAAAUGGCGACUUCACUGGGGACCCCCUAAGAGGGUUAAGCCUAACUUGGCUUUAUUUAAAUUUUGUUCUAUAACUUGCUUAAAAUCAAAAAAUAAAAUAUGGAAAACCGUGUAUAUAUGUUCUUCCUUCUUCGUUCUCCUUUCUAAACUUGAGUGGUGAGAUAAGUCAUACACCCGGACUUGAGUGAACAUUAAGAUAGGAUGGUGAUAUAAUCAAAGUGCCAUUCCAAGAGUAAUCUUGAGUGUUGGUACAUGUGAUAAUCCCGCUCAAUGGAGGUUCUUGGAAGUAAUACUUUGUUGACAUGAGUAAUCAUGUUUGACACUAUUAUUUUCAAGUAACCGUCGAAGUUGAGGGCCUUUAGUUACCUUUAACCCAUCUUGGCCUUUUAGGACGUAGUGCGGUGGCUAAUCAAGAGUAAUCUUGAAUUAGUUGAUACGCGAGACUACACUCAAACGAGACUUUCCUUCAAAUGAUAUUAGAUCAAGAGUAAUCUUGUAACCUAAUAAUAUUUGGAAGUGGUUAAAGACUUUGGGAACUUGGUAGAACCCGUGAUACAGGUACAAAUGAAACCAUAGUCCUUACUAAAUGGCGUUGUUACCCUUAAAGCUCCAACAUUGUGGACUUAACCUCACCAUGCAUUCCAUGUUCUUUAGCAUAAUCAUGCAAACAUGCAUUCAUUCAUAAAAACUUUUUCUCACUAAUAUCGAAGGACUUAGAUAAGUUCUUGUAAACAUCAAAGAUAUGGUCCUUGUAAGAAGGAACACCUACAACUUCAAAAACCUUAACUAAGCUUUAGCUUUUGUUAAGAAUUUUUUCCUUGGUUUCGUUCUUACUUUUGAAAAGGGAACCAAUUGCAACAUCUUCACAAUUUUCAGAUAAAACAAUGUUCCUUAUCAAGUUUACAAUUACUUUGACAAAUCCUUCAAAAAAAAUGUGUCUAUUUUUGCAUAAGCAUAGCAUGCAUCAUUUUGCAUUCAUAAUUUCAAGUCUGAGUCUCACACUGUGUCUUUUCUACUAAAGGUCAAUCCAUUUCAAAAGUGGCCCGACGUAAUCUUUACCAGUCUACCCGCACAUACAACACUCGGGCUAAUAUAAAAAAGAAAAUGGAAGGUCUUGAGCAAGAAAAUCAGGUCCUCCGUGCCGAAGUGAUAUCAUUGAAGACCAAGAUAGAGGAAUUGGAGUCCAUGAAGACCAAGAUGGAUGAGUUGUCUGAAUUGGUAAAAGUGCUAUCAACUGCACAAAAUCAACCACCACCACCUCCUCCCUUCAGCACUCAGGCCGAAGCAUCUUCCUCUUCUAUCCCCGAUUGGACAAUAUGUGCCGACACUCCGACAUACUCUGCUCCACAACGUUCCGCGCCUUGGUUUCAACCUUUUACUGCUGGUGAAAUAUUCCGUCCCAUUGCCUGUGAAGCUCAGAUGCCUACUCAUCAGUAUGUGGCUCGUGUUCCCCCUGUAAAGGUCCCUCCAGUCGCUAUGACCUACUCAGCACCUGUGAUGCAUACUAUUCCACAAAAUGAAGAAUCCAUCUUCCAUUCAGGGAACAUGGAGACUUACGAUGGAAUGAGUAACUUACGAGAAAAGUAUGAUGAACUGCAACGAGACGUGAAAGCUCUCCGUGGGAAAGGAAAAUUUGGAAAGACUGCUUACGAUCUCUGUUUGGUGCCGAAUGUUCAGAUACCUCACAAAUUCAAGAUUCCAGAUUUCGAGAAGUAUAAAGGGAACUCCUGCCCUGAGGAACAUCUAAAAAUGUAUGUGAGAAGGAUGUCCGCAUAUGCCCAGGACGAUCAGGUCCUUAUUUAUUACUUUCAAGAAAGUUUGGCUGGUCCCGCCUCAAAAUGGUACAAAAAUCUAGACAAAACGGAAAUCCAAACUUUUCGUGAUCUAUGUGAAGCUUUUGUGGAACAGUACAAUUAUAAUGUGGAUAUGGCUCCAGACAGAAGCGAUCUUCAGGCUAUGACCCAGGGAGACAAGGAAACAUUCAAAGAGUAUGCCCAGCGAUGGAGAGAUACCGCUGCCCAAGUCAGCCCACGUAUAGAAGAGAAGGAGAUGACCAAGAUCUUCUUAAAAACUCUCAAUCAUUUCUACUACGAGAAGAUGGUCGGAAGUACGCCCAAGAACUUUGCUGAGAUGGUUGGUAUGGGCGUACAGUUGGAAGAAGGAGUCCGAGAAGGACGAUUAGUUAAAGAUGGAGCUUCCGACAGUGGAGCCAAGAAAUUUGGGAACAACUUCCCAAGAAAGAAAGCACCAGAGGUCGGUAUGGUGGCCCAUGGGAGGCCUCAGCAAAAUUAUCCAGCCUAUCAGCAUGUUGCUGCCAUUACACCCGCUACCAAUGCUAUUCAACAACCGGGUUAUCAGCCGCAGUUCCAACAGUAUCCUCAGCAACUGUAUCAGCAACAACAACCUCGACCACAAGCUCAAAGGACCCAAUUUGACCCGAUCCCCAUGAAAUAUGCGGAUUUGCUCCCAGCAUUGCUAGAGAAGAAUUUGGUCCAGACCAGGCCACCUCCUAAGGUGCCAGAAAGAUUACCAACAUGGUAUAGACCUGACAAGUUUUGUGCUUUUCAUCAAGGGGCCCCAGGUCAUGAUACUGAAUACUGCUAUACUCUGAAGGCCGCAGUCCAAAAGUUAAUCCGAGAUAAAGAUCUGUCCUUCGCCAAUCCGCUACCAGAUCAUGGUACCUAAUAUUGCCACAAAAGGAUGGUUAACCGCAAUCGGGUCAAUGUUGAUGUCUUCUUCCAUUUGUUCAAUUUGUUUUAAGUGUUAUGUUUGUUGUUUUGUUAUCUUUCCAAAAGAGUCCUUUCGUCCCGCCCAAGACGAAAGUGAACUUAUGUAGGGCUUUUUGCUUCAUGAACUGUCAUCAUUAAUAAAAAGGUCGUUUUGAUCCCGACUUUGUUUUUUAUUUUAUUUUGUGCUUCUUCUUGAAAAAUGGUAAUACAAAAAAAAAACCAAAAAAAAGAAAAAACUUUAAUCAUUCUCAAAUAUCUGCAUAAUCAUAGCUUGUACUUACUUGUCAAAAUCAAUAAUCAAAUCAUGCAUUAAUAAACCUGUUGAACAUAAUAACCAUCUACUCUCUCCCAAAUUUGAGUUCUCUAUGACCGAAGAUGAAGAAGAGGAGAAUGAAGAGACUCCAAACAAGAUCUCUCGCCCACUGGGGCAUCUUAGCCGUCAAAGCUGCAAACAAAAUAUAAAAGAAGAUUGUCCAAAAGAUUGCUUUCAUUUACAAAGACCGGCACGAAAUGCUACCAUUUGCACUUCAUGAGUAUUGUACUUCAGUACACACUUCAACAGGGGCAACCCCCUCUUUCAUUAACAUACAUCAUGAAGGCCAUACUUCCCGUGGAGGUCGAAGUCCCGACAAUAGAAGUUUUGCCGAAGUCCAAGCUUGAUUGAACUUAAAUUGCAUGACGACCUUGUACAAACAUGUCAAAAGAGGUUGAAACAAACUUCCAACAAGAAGGUUCGUCCUCUUGAAUUUCAAGAAGGAGACUCUGUGCCUAAAAAGGUAUUAUCUUUCCAACCAGACUCUAGGGGCAAGUGGACGCCUAACUAUGAAGGUUCAUGUGCAAUGACUUUUACAACUAUGGAUGGUGACAAACUUGCACUUCCUAUGAAUGCCGGUGCAGUCAAGAAAUAUUAUGUCAAAAAAAUAAAAGCUCGAUAAGUCGCAAACCUGAAAAAGGGGCUUAGGCAAAAAUGAGCGUCUCGAUAGACUGAAAACCUGAAAGGGCGGUCUAGGCAAAAAUUAGAGACAUGAACAAAAAUGAUUAUCCUGAUAGAUUGAAAACCCAAAUGGGCGAUCUAUGCAAAAGUUAAGGAUCAAAAGACAAAUUAACUGCAUCCGGCGGAGCACAAUCCACUUGGGGCAUCCGGUUGUCAAAAGACCUCCGAUUCGAAGCAUCUGCAGAUCAAAGACUCGGAACAUUGGCAUUCAAAGUUGUUAGGGAGAAUAGUGGUUAUGGUGUUCAAUGUACCAUCCCAUACAUUUACCAUUUUUCAAAAUUUCCAAAAAAUCUGUGGAGCCAUGCCCUUAGCAGGCCACCACUCAAUUCAUCAAAUUUGAGCUUAUGCCCAUUUAUUCAGAACUCUCAUUUAUUCUAUUUGCAUAAUUUCUUCUUUUUGAUGGCAAUACUUAAAGCAAAAAUUUUCAAAAAAAUACAAAAAACUUUUUUUUACAUCUUUUGAAAAGUGUGAACAACAAACACACUCACUUUGAACUCAUGAGUAGGUGAAGCAUACAUCAACAUUCGCCUCGAGAACGGUUACACUCCAUAAGAGAAACAGAGCUAAGCACUAUGGAAAUGAUCUCUGCCUUGAACAAGAUGUUGUCACAGUAAAAAAAAAAUAUACAAAAAAAUCAAAGCUCGCUAAGUUGAAAACCUGAAAAGGCGGCUUAGGCAAAAAUGAGCGUCCUGGUGGACUGAAAACCCGAAAGGGCGGUCCAGGCAAAAAUUAGGGGCAGAAAAAAAAGAAUAUAUUCCCGGUGGACUUAAAACCCGAAAGGGCGGUCUAGGCAAAAGUUAGGGAUUUUCAAAAAAAUAAUAUAAAAAAACAUGACUGCUGAGGCAUACCAAUGGAAGGACACUCUGUGCCGGUUCACAAAUGGCGACUCUUUCCAUACCUUUUUAUCAAUAAUGGGCUUAUACCGUCAACGGCUCGAUUUGUUCACAAUAAUAUCAUCUCCAAGGAAGUUUGCCGAGUGUUUGUACUGCGAUGUCAGUCCGCCUCCCAUCUUACCUAUCUUGUCUCGUCUCAUCGAGUCACUUGUCACAUAAAGUUUAUACAGUCAUGCAAGUUGUACAUUCAUAACAUUUGUACAUUCAUAAAAUUCAUACAUUCAUACAUUCAUGUACACAUCAUAUGCACAACAUCAGUUCACACAUAAUUGCAUCAGUCGUCCAGAAUCUCAAUUCGGUCGCGUCUCUUCGGUUCAGUCUUAACUUACCAUUGUGUCAAGCCGCAAGUUUCUACAAAUAAGCCUCUUCCAUUUACCUUCUUAUUGUCAAAGUGUCAUCCCCGGCGUGAAGCCGUGCUAGUCAUGACACUAAUCAAACUUCAAUUUCAAUUUCAAAAAGUGUCAUCCCCAGCGGUAGCUGUGCAAGUGGUGUCACCAGUCAAUUUCAACUCUCAAUGGUGUCAUCCUUAGUGUGACUGACCAAGUUGUCCUUUCAUUCUUACCUUUGUUAAGCUAUCUCAUCGAUAGUUAGGUAAAAGUAUCAUUUGUCUUUGUUAAGCUAUCAUUUCAACGGUAGUUAGACGAUGGUUUUUUCUCUCAAUCUUACCUUUGUUAAGCUAUCUCAUCGAUAGUUAGGUAAAAGUAUCAUUUGUCUUUGUUAAGCUAUCAUUUCAACGGUAGUUAGACGAUGGUUUUUUCUCUCAAUUUUACCUUUGUUAAGCUAUCUCAUCGAUAGUUAGGUAAAGGUAUCAUUUGUCUUUGUUAAGCUAUCAUUUCAACGGUAGUUAGACGAUGUUUUUCUUUCAUUCUUACCUUUGUUAAGCUAUCUCAUCGAUAGUUAGGUAAAAGUAUCAUUUGUCUUUGUUAAGCUAUCAUUUCAACGAUAGUUAGACGAUGGUUUUUCUUUCAUUCUUACCUUUGUUAAGCUAUCUCAUAGAUAGUUAGGUAAAAGUAUCAUUUGUCUUUGUUAAGCUAUCAUUUCAACGGUAGUUAGACGAUGGUUUUUUCUCUCAUUCUUACCUUUGUUAAGCUAUCUCAUCGAUAGUUAGGUAAAAGUAUCAUUUGUCUUUGUUAAGCUAUCAUUUCAACGGUAGUUAGACGAUGUUUUUCUUUCAUUCUUACCUUUGUUAAGCUAUCUCAUCGAUAGUUAGGUAAAAGUAUCAUUUGUCUUUGUUAAGCUAUCAUUUCAACGAUAGUUAGACGAUGGUUUUUCUUUCAUUCUUACCUUUGUUAAGCUAUCUCAUCGAUAGUUAUGUAAAAGUAUCAUUUGUCUUUGUUAAGCUAUCAUUUCAACGGUAGUUAGACGAUGUUUUUCUUUCAUUCUUACCUUUGUUAAGCUAUCUCAUCGAUAGUUAGGUAAAAGUAUCAUUUGUCUUUGUUAAGCUAUCAUUUCAACGGUAGUUAGACGGUGGUUUCUCUUUCAUUCUUACCUUUGUUAAGCUAUCUCAUCGAUAGUUAGGUAAAAGUAUCAUUUGUCUUUGUUAAGCUAUCAUUUCAACGAUAGUUAGACGAUAGUUUUCUCUCAUCCUUACCUUUGUUAAGCUAUUUCAUCGAUAGUUAGGUAAAAGUAUCAAUCGUCUGUGUUAAGCUAUCAAUACGAUAGUAGACAUUCAUUUUCCCCAGUGAAAUUACAUUCCCCUAGCGGAGUUGGACCCCUUUUCUUCAACGAAUUCGGGUAUCCCGUUUUUAUUUCUCAUUCGAGUCAAAUCAUCCUGCAUUCAUAAAUUGCACCAAAUGCAUCCAUAUCAUCUUAGGUCAAAAAUUGUGUAUUUUGUAUUUAAGUCUCUUCGACUCGUCAAAUCAAAGAUUUCAUCUUCAAAUCUCCGGACGAAGAAACUUAAAUAGGGGCAUCUGUCAUACCCCAAUUUUUGACCUAAGGUCCCACUGACAGUUGUCGUUUAAUCCUGAAUAGUCUUUGACUUUUCAAAAGGAAAUUUCGGCAGUAAGGUAUUUUAAAAUACCUCAUUUAGUUUGGUUUCUUAGCCCACAUUUUCAUUAUCACUUUAUUUUUAUUUUUAUUUUUUUUUAGUUAUUUUCUUUAAUUUUUUUUUUAAUAAGUCCAAAAUUGUCAAAAGAGCCGUGGUCCAAAGAUUCUUCACGCCACAAUUCCACAAUUCCAGGCAAAUUUACUCAGGUCUACUCUUUCUUUCCCAAUUUACCAGAAACGUGUUUCAUCCCUUUUAAUUCCAUUCAAGCACCAUUCAUUCCUAUUAAACAACAUUUCCUUUUGUUAUCAACCUUGAGCCUUUAAAUAGGAGUAAAAAUCAGAGAAGAAGGGGGACACGAUUCACACAACCUGAAAAGAGAAAAGAAAACCAGUAAUCACAAAUCAUCAAAACCUCUCUCAAACCCUCAUCACACACCAUCAUCGAAUCAUCAUCACAACAAUUCCAACCAACACAUCAAUUUUCCAGCCAUCAGUCACAAUUCCAAAACCCACACAAAAUCCUCACAACCGAUCCAACAAUUUUCCAAAGCCCUCCAUAAAAACCGACACAAAAACAUCACAGAAUACCAGCAUCAAAGGAACAACGCCGUACAUCAACCGAAACAGCCAUCACAGAACUGACCAGAGAAUCCGAAUCGAAAUCAAAAGGUAGUAUUUCAUUAACUUUUAGAUCUAGGCUCGUAUAUUCACUGUUUGAGAUUUGUGAGUUUAGAAUCGAGUAGAGGAGAAGAGAACAAGUAGAAGGAACCAAAAAAAUCAAAAAAAUAAGUUGUUAGGGUUCCGGCGCGGUGGCGCCGCCCCACAAGCUAGCCAACCGCCACCGGAACCCGCCUUACCUCCGCCGAGGAUGAUGAAGAUUUGCCGGAAUCUUCAUGUUUCAAACCCAGAACUUUGAACAAAUUAGAGAGAGGAGAGAGCUUUUGUGAGAGAAGGAGAAGUAAGAGAGAGAAAGAGAUGUAAAAAAAAUGAAGAAAAAACCGGACACACCACAUAUAUAUGGUACUAGACCGAGCCGGUUCAGCCUUGAACCGGCUUGAACCGGUCUAACCCAAAGAUCAACCCACGAGGCCCAACAGCGCGCCUCUGUCUCCCUUUAAACCCAAUUCCAUCUUUUGUUUCGUUUCUGCAACCCCCUGAACACUGCUGCACCCCCCCACCUUGUGAUUGAUCCCCUUUAUUUUAUUUCUCGCAUGCAUUUUAUUUUUGCUUUUAUUUUAGCAUUGUAAUUAUUAUUUUAUAUUCUCUCAUGCAUGUUUUAUUUAUAGCAAGAAUAUUAGAAUGCAAAUUAAGCUUUGAUGUAAAUAAUUCAUUUAUAUUCUUGUCAUUUAUUUUCUGCAGACCAUAGCAUGUAUCCUAGGCUUUAAUGUAAAUCAUGCAUGUGUGCGUGUGUGGGUGUAUGCUUUAUUUUAUGUUUCUAGCUUAGGUUACAAACGUUUUACUUUCCUUGCUCCGUUAGUUUACAUUUUAGUUUAGCUUUUAUUCAAAAACAACAAAAACAUGCAAAUAAUCAAAAAUCACAAAAAUAUCUUCAUAAACAAACCUUGAUCUUAAAUCAAGUGACCGUCUUUUGUUUUCAUUUUCUUAAUCAAACUUUAAUCAAUUUAAUCAUAUUUUGAGUCAUUUUCUUUUAAUAUAAAAAAUACAAACAAAUACUCAUUUGCCACUUGGCUUUUCAUUUUAAAACCUUUUUUCAAAACUAAUAAAAAACACUCAACAAAUCAAACGUCGUUUUCUACCCGGAACUACGAGGUUUUGAUCCCUCACGGGUACGUAGGCAGAGGACCAUGUCCUUCCAAAUCAAUAAAAUGUAGAUAACUAGGUCUUUUAUUCUUCCACUUUAAUUCCUUCUUUUCAAAAAUAAUAAGCAAGUUUAUAGCACAUUAAUUAAAUAAAAUCAAGAGGUUCUCGUAGAGUACUACGAAUAUUUAGGGUGCUAAUACCUUCCCUAAAUAUAACCAACCCCCGAACCCUAAAUCUCAAUAUGGGGUAGUUUGAACCUUUUUCCCCUUUUUCUUAAAAAAAUUAAAUGUUCAGUCGUGAAAUAAUUAGUGAGUCAAAAGCUAAUCAAAUAGCCUUGAUCUCCAAAAAAUGAUAUGACACUUAUAUUUAAAAACGGAUGGAGUAUGUCUUUUAAGUUAUUCUCCUUCCUCCUUCAAAAAAUAAAAGUUAUUUAAUUCUAACUUUUAGGCGUCGAAUAACUUACAUUUAUAAGAUCUGACAUCUCUCAAAUUUUUACGAUUAAAUAACUUAAAAGACUUAAUUGGUAUGAAAAUAAUUUAAAGGACUAAUUUGUUAAAAUUAAUUAAUUUAAAGAUCUAAGUGGUAAAAAAAUAAACUUAAACACUAAUUAAUUUAGCCAUAUUUUUAGAGCACCUGGACAAGAAGGUAGUAUCUGAUGUAAUCAAGGAGAGGAUUGUCUGCCAUGAGAUUUUCUUUUGUUUUUCUCCGGUCAACAAUAUUAGCCCUUCAUUUGUUUAAUGAUAGAUCAACGGGGGGCGGGGGCGUAGUAACAAGUGGCGAACGUCCUUCCUUCUCUAUUGUCCUUCUACUAGUAUAUGCAACCCGUGCGGACGCACGGGUGAAAUUCUUCCUUGAGCAGCAAAAAUUCAGACCAAACAAUUAUUUUUGCAUCAAAAAUAAUAUUUAUUUGCUCAAAACCAGAAAAAACUAAUACGAAAUACUUCCUCACAUUUUCAACCCUUUUUAAGUGUUUGGCAGCAAUGCAACGAAGCUAAAAUUUAACGAAGAGAAAUCUUAAAGAUAACAAAAAGGAAAAGAGCAGAAAAAUGAAGGAAGGUUAAGUAUUUAUAGACUGAACUUUAUACUAUGUCCGCACGGUUUAUACUGUGUUCGUACUGUUACCGUUGUUGUUACCGUUACUGUUUCAGUUAUCGUUAAGGUUAACGUUACUGGGGUGGUUAAUUUGAAUUAAUUUAUCUAUGGCUCACAAAACAGGCUUUUUCAUUCGACGCUUUAAAUUGAAUUCGCAAGCAAACAAUAAGUACAAAAGAGAAAAAUACGGUAGAAAGGAAAAAACUUUUAUACAACAUUAGACAACAUGUUUUUGUUUAGAUAAAUAGCGAAGCUAAGUCUUCGUGAGCUUAACUCAGUUGGUUAAGGACAAUACAUAAUAUAUGUAAGGUUCGAGGUUCAAACUCCGACUACCAAAAAAAAAAUAGCAAAGACCAAGUCCUACCAACUAAAGCCUAGCCAAAACAUAUAAAUAUAAAAACAACACUCAAAACAAUACACUAACUCUUCGUGGGAGAGACAUGAGAAACAGAUGCUCGCAUCCGAACUUUAAAAACAUGACCACUCUUUUUUGGGUUAACAAUCUCAAACUUGAAACAGAGAAUGUCACGAACAUUGAUCCCAUUUUCAUCACAAAAUUCCUUCCAUCUCAUUCCCAGCGCAGUUUUCCUCGAAGGUGCAUCCAUGUAGAACUAAUAUACCAACCAAGUGAGAACUGAUGGCACUUAAUGCAUUCAGCUGAAGAUAAAAGUGCAUUGUGCAUCCAACCCGCAAGCCUAUGCUAUGAUAAGUUGGAAUCUGGUCAGGGUUUUCAUGUUUCUUGCUAUGAUAUAUCCCAAAAAGAUUAUCACCAUAGUAACAAAGUAUAACCUUCUCGUUGCUAUGAAAACCAAAUACAUCAUGCAUCUCUUUCCAUCAUGCAUCUCUAACCAUGUGGCUUUUAUCUAAAUAGUUCAUUAUUGUCCACUCUUCACCAAGAUCAUCCUUGUGAUCUUCCAGAAAAAUUGGAUUAACCACGCCAAAUUCCUUAAAAAAAAAGUUUGCAAUGCAUAAGGUGACAUAAAACCAAAACAAUACUUAAAGAACAACAAAUAAAUACUUACCUUGCUGCCAAGAUAAAGAGUAGUAAAACCACCACAUGGUUGUUGUUCAAGGUAAAUCUAGUAAUUCUCCAUAAGCAUUGUCGCUUGAACUUGUGUUGUGUGCAUACCCACCAAACUACUUAUAUAGAGAGAGAGAGAGAGAGAGAGAAAAACGUACAUUUUUUGAUUAAUUUUUUUAACUAUUCCCAUCGUUUCCAUAAUAACGUAAAAAUGGAGUCUAAAACACGUGGUAAGUACACAAAUAUGAAAAGAAAAAAAAAUGGUGGAAGAAAACCUAACAUAAAAUAAAGUAGGAGGUGACAACACGUUGAUAUAUUUGUUCAUGUUGAGUAAUAGUGUACUUUUUGUUUUAUACAAAUAUAAAGUUUGAUAAAACCAAGAACCAAAAAUCUUAAAUUGAUGUUUAAAAUUUUAAGACUAAAUCAAAUAGAGUUUACUUGAUAUACCCAAAUUACAUGUGGAUUUUAACCUCGAGGAUAACCAUACACACCAUGUUUACUAUUCAAUAUAUUUACAAUGUAUGCACUAUAUCUUUUGUUUUUUUGUUUUGUUUACAAUCAACUAUAUUUACUAUAAUUAAUAUACUUACUAUUUGCCAUACUUAUUAUUUAAUCCAUAAACUAUAUUUACCAUUAAUUGUUUAGUAUUUUUAUAUUACUAAAUCAAUAUUAAUAUUACUAUAUUACCAUUACUAUAACAAAAAUGAGGAAUUAGACCCUGCUACUUUUUAUUUAGUGGUCCACAAAAACUUAAAACUAAGUAUCAAAAACAUCAAAUAGUACAUAAAAUAAAAAGAGUAAUAGAUUAAAAUAGGCUUAAUUACUCUUUUGGUUUCUUAACUUAUUUUUUGGUUUCGUUUUGGUUCCUUAACUAUUAAAAGUUUUGUUUCGGUCCCAUAACUUAUUUUUGAGUUUUCUUUUGGUCCCUUAACUAUUAAAAGUUUCGUUUUGGUCCCUUAACUUAUUUUUUUGUUUCAUUUUGAUCCCUUAACUAUAAUACAUUCAUCCUAACAUAAAGGACCAAAGUGGUUGACGGAUGAAGAGUUAAGGGACCAAAACGAAACCAAAAAAGUAAGUUAAAGGACGAAAACGAAACUUUUAAUAGUUAAGAGACCAAAACGAAACCAAAAAAUAAGUCAAGGGACCAAAAGAGUAAUUAAGCCAUUAAAAUAUUAGGCAAUGAUCAUCCAGGUUCUUAAAACUAAAAGCCAAGAGAAUUAAAUGUGAUAUGUGCCACAUCCAAGGGCGUUAGUCAAGCAAGAAAAUGGACAUGACUAAAGGUAAAUAACACCCGGGACAAAAGAAACAUGAAAGAAAGGUCAAAAAGCAAAUAGCUUCCAAGGAUAACUUCAAUAGUUGAAAACUAUUUUCUGUCAUUUUUAUGAUCUUCAUCAAGCAAUGCAUAAAAGCAAGGAGAAUUUGAAACAGAUACCAUUGACAAUGAUGUGAAUGAAAACGUGUAUAUCUUAUAGCAAUAGUUAUCCAUCACCGACAAUAAAAUUGGAUUCAAAAUAUUUUUCCAUCAUAGCAAUCAUGUUUUCUGUUAAGCCAAAGAUAAAUUAAAUCCAACAAAAGAGGUAGAAUGACCAUUAAAAUUAUAUUUCUUCGAACCACCAAUAACAUGGAAAUUACAGGCUUAUUAAAUUAAAAAUAAAACAAUAAAUUAACACCAUAAUAUAGAAAUAAUAAAAGUUAUAAAAGUAAGUUAGAUAAGAGUCGUUUAAAAAAAUUCGAACAGGACUCAAAUUGUUUUUGAUAACUUGGACGAUAUUUAUGUUGAUGAUUUGGUUUUUGAAUCCAUUUUUACGUGGUAGAGUUUUUCUGAGGCAAAACAGAUGGUGUUCCUCGUAGAACUAAAAAAUAUUAUGCCAAGCUAGCUCUUUAACUUACAGCUAUGUACCACUUUGUAUUGCACCUCUUAUUUAUAGUGAAAUGCAUUAGUUAUGCUCCUGUCAAAAACAGAAGUUGCUUAAAAAAUUCAAUCAUCACAGCAAAAUGUGGAUGACUGGAUUAAGUAUGAUAUAGCAUAUAAUGAUUUUUCCUUCUCCAAUUUAAAAUAAAAAACAUUACUUGGUACCACAAAACAAACUUUUUAUUACACACGAUUAAAACAUGUCUAUAAUUCUUAUAAGUAUAGCAACAUAGAACACAAAUAAACUAUAGCAUGGAAACAAUAGAUUAGAAAGUUCAGCAGCAACAUACGUAAACACAUCACAUUUCUCGUGAGACCGCAUGAGGAUAUAAAGCAAAAUACAUCACAUUUCAAUCCUUGACAACCUUAGCAGACUUGGCUGAUUUCUUUGACCUCUUCCGAGAAACCUCAUCAAAUCCUUCACCAAACUCCUCUUGGCAUGAUGACUGGAAGUAGCAAACAACAUUGUCGUCGUUCAAAUCAGGGGUGAGUAUUAAAUUGGAGGUCAAACCUCAGGAGAGCCAACAAUCUCCCCAGAUUCUGCAGCAUUAGAAGGUGAAAGGGCUGCACCCUAAACAAACAAUUUAUCCAUUUCAGCAGGAUAAAAUCCAUCAUUUUCACCCUAAAAUAAAAUUAACGAACACAGUAAAAGACAAUUAACACCCAGUAAAUGCCCGUCAUUACAAUCGAAGUAGUUUCUGUCAACUGAGGAUAUUUAUAUUCAUAUCUCUAUAAAUCAGAAAAAAACUUAGCUGUGGCAACCAUGGAGGCACCCUGCUUGUCAAUAAGGAAUAUAAAGCAAUCGUUUCCUGACAGUGGCAUUAAUCUUGCAACCCUUCAAAGAUGAACAGGCAAAAAGGCUUUAAAAGAAAAGCAAUAAUCAUUAACCAAAUUAACCAAAAUAAUAAUCAAAGGCAAACAAACAGCAAUACAAACCUUCUCAUCAACAAACACCAUCUCAAUUGAAUUGAUCUGUUAUGAUUGAAGAAAAUCACGCACCUCCCACAAACGAACAACACGAAGCUUGAAUCUCCAAGACUCUCUUCCAGGAAGAACAUCAGACAGCAAAUCAAAGCUGCGAUACCUCUGUGACCAGACCUAAGACCCUUGUUAUCAAACCUAACACCUUUCAACAUUGCAGAAGACAUUAAAAAAAAAGAUUUAAACCAGAGCAGAUUGGAAAUCGGAAAAAGAAAAGAAUGAGAUGAGUUGUGAGAAACAGAAAGAAAUCCAGGACUAUUUAUAGAGGAUUUGAAAAAGAGGGGGAAAGAUAAAUUCUCCUUUGAUGUGAAUGGACAUGUAAUUGAAUUAGCUUAAAUUAAUUGGAGGAAUUGAAGGAAUUCAAUCAAACCCCACGUGCAUCUUCAAAUCAUCCUUUAUUCCUUGAUAACGACAGCUUUUUUUUCCUGUAGAAGAAAAAUAGAGAAGUAAACGGUUGUCCAAUCAAUCCCAAAAAAAUUCAAAAAGGCUCAUUAAACCGCGAAAAUUUCACCAAAUAUGUUACAAAAGUCAAACCACCAGCAGAUGAAUAUCAAUGGUCUGCUGAACAAUCUCAUUAACAUUGGUAAGAUUAAGGAAGCUUGUACACCACACCCUCGACCAACUUAUUAUGGAAGAGGUACAACAGCUGCUUACGAAUAGUAGCGUGAAUCCUAACACCCUUCAAAAUCAACAUGACAUACAACCUUGAACAAAAGGACAAAUGACAAAAACAAAAGCUAAAACCAGGGCAGUUUAAAUAAAAACACCAACCUUCUCAUCAACCAACACCAUCUCAACCGAAUUCACCUGUUCAGGAUGAAGAAACGCAGGAGCCUCCCACAGACGCACCACACGAACAAUGAAUCUCCAAGACUCCUUUCCAGGAGCAGCAUCAGAUAACAGAUCAAAACUGCUAUCAGCACCAGCACGGGUCUGCAGACCAGACUUAGGUAUUUUACCACCAUGCCUAGAACCUUUCAACAUUGCAGAUGACAUAACAAAAAUUGAAGGAAAGAGAGAGAAUUGUGGAUGAGUGUGAAAACACAAAAACAAACUAGCCCAAUUUAUAGAACAACAGAGCACAAGCAGCCAAAACGGUUUUAAAAGGGGGGAAUUGAAGGAGUUGAUGUGAAAGGACGUAUGGAUAUAAUAUAUUAAAUAAAGGAAACUAACCAAAACCCAUGUGCAUCAGCGUCUCCCUCGUACCAAUUCGUUGACAACGACAUCCCUUGACCUUUGAGAAACCAGAUAAACUAUUGAGAGGUAAACGGCCCUCACAUCAAACCGCCACAAAAUUCAAAUUUAGAAAGGGGAAAACAACCGCGAAAAUUCCAGAAUUAAAUUGGCACAAAAGUCAAUCCACCAAAUUUCUAAAUCUACAGUGGACUUUUUUUUCACGUCUUGAUAAGAGUAUGGAUUUGAAAUGGUGGUUAGACCUAACACAAUCCCACAAAACCGAUUUGUGAGGUGAGGAUUGCCUCCACUUAUAAAUAAAUUGUCAGGCCAACUCCUAACCGAUGUCGGACUCUUAACACACCCCCUCACGCUUAGGAUUGCACAUCUGAAGCGUGAACAUAAAUGACGGGUGGCCUGAUAACGGAAACCUGAUAACAGGUGGCUCAAAGAAUCGUGAAGAGGCUCUGAUGUCAUAUUAGAAAUGGUGGUUGGGCCUAACACAACUCCACAAAACCGGCUUGUGAGGUGAGGAUUGCCUCCACUUAUAAAAAAAAUUGUCAAACCAACUCCUAACUGAUGUGGGACUCUUAACACCUGCUCCUCCGUUCUCAUAUUCUCCGUGUUUAUUUAUUUUUUCUCUAUUCAUUUUGCUUCUCAUUAGUUUGAUUUCUUUCUUGCUAAUUUUAAGAUUUUGUACUUUGAAAUUGUGAUCAUGGAAACUAAUUAUUAUUGUACAUGGUACUUGUUAUGUCGACAUUUGAAUUGAACCUGUAAUAUUGUGUGAAAGAUCCAAAGAAUGACAAAUAAAGUGGAAUUGAGUCUGAUCCUUGAUAAAUCAAUUUUCAAAUAAAAAACUGAACCAGUCAAAUUGUGAUCAAUGAAACCUAAUAAGAAGCAUGGAUUUUGUUUUCUCCGCUCAUGGCAAUCCCCCACUCCAAGUCUUCAACCGAUCAAAAAAUACAUUGACCUUCACAAAGCCUCUACCCCUAAACCGUCCUUUUGAGAAAAACUUUUGGGUUCUACCCAAGAGAUCCAUCCUAGAGAAAAAGAAGAGUUGGUAGAGAAGAAACUUGUCUGCAUUGAGCUUGAAGCUGGUAAUCGUCUUCUUCCCAAAAUCUAUUUGGAGUCGAAUGUAUUUCAGGAACUAUGUACCCCUUGGAAAGAUAUGCUUGUGUUGAAACUUUUAUGGAAACCAUUGGACUAAAACACCAUGAAGGAACGCCUCCAAAAAGUGUGGAAGCUACAAGGUGGAUUAAAUAUCAUGGAUAAUGAUAAUGGGAUUUACAUGGUAAAACUUGACUAGGCAGCAGACACAGAAAAAAUCAUCACGGGAGGGCCAUGGAUAAUAUUUUAUCAUUGUUUAGCGGUCUCUCAUUGGUGACCUGAAUUUGCUUCCCUAAAUGCUAAAAUAGAUCGCACGGUCGUCUGGGUACGUUUUAAUGGCCUCAAUUUAGUUUCUUAUGAGAAAAGUUUCCUCGUAGCCAUGGCUUCAGCAAUAGGAAGACCAAUCAAUGUGGACACUAAUACCUGAAAGGUUGAAAGAGGUAGAUUUGCUAGAGUAUGUGUCGAUGUAGAUCUUAUUGUCCUUGUUGUUGGUAAAAUUUGGGUCAAUGGUCAUUGGUAUAAAGUUCAGUAUGAAGGUCUUCAUCUUAUUUGCACAAAUUGCGGUUAUUAUGGCCACCUUGGUCGAAACUGCCCCACCACCCCAACCGUGCCGAAAGUCGCGGCACAACCUCAACAUACCCAUCCUCAUCGCCCCACACCAAGGUCAACCCCAAGUCAACCCCCAAAUUUUUCUGAACAUCUAAACAUCAGCCAAGGUGAAAAGGAAGACUUACAUGGUGAUUGGCUUAUAGUUACUAGGGAAAAAAACUAAACUAAACUCAAUCUGCUAGCCUCGUAAAACACACCAAAUGAAUCAAAUAGAUUUAUUUCUUUAUCCCUCGUGGCCCACAACAAUAAAGCUUCCACAUCCCAUCAUACUCUUCCUCCUAACAUUCUUUAUGCUACUUCCCAACCCAAAGACUCUCCCACUUGGUCUUCAAUCAUUCAUGCUAAAAAUGCUCUCAGAGAAGGUUUAUGUCGGCGUGUGGGUUCAGCUAUUUCUUCCUUCAAGUUUUGUCCUUGGAGCUCUCUAGGUCACAUAUGAUCGAUUGUUUCAGUCAUAGACAUACAAUCUCAGGUUUUAUACAUGCAACUUCUCUCAUCGGCAUCUGAUUCCAUCAACAACUUGAACAUUAAGUUCAACCCCUCCUUCGAUGAUGCUUUCAUCUAGGCAUCCAACAAAAAUGGCGCCUACACUACUAAGAGUGGCUAUGCCUGGCUGCUGUCCCAUUCAAACAUGAUUGCUCAUGGUCAAACUUCUUCCUCUUGGUCUUGGAUUUGAAAAUUAAAAUCUUCUGAAAUGCACAAAUUUCUUUUUUUGUUGGCUUGCCAAAAUUAUGUCCCCACUCUUUUAUUGCUCAACAAUAGGAAUAUGGAUUCAUCGACCCUUUGCUCUCGUUGUGGUCUUGAAGAUUAGACUUUUCUUCAUUGUGUCCGUGACUAUAAUUUCUCUCGUAUUAUUUGGAACCAUGUUGAAUUCAAUGAUACAAAUUUCUUCACAGAUAAGAAAGUGAGCCACUAGUUAAAGAAGGUCUCUUCGGGUACCAAGCCUUCCUUUUCAUGGCCACCGUUUGGUGGCUUGGCGUUGUAACACCCUAUUUCUAUUAAAGCGAUAAAACACACGAAUAAUAUAAAUAUUCAAGAAAUAGACGUCACAUCAUCAACAAAAUCCGAAACAACAUGCAUGUAUAAAAAUUUCCAACAGUCGCAGCAGAUAAAAAUCAUACAUCUCAAAAGUAUACAUGCCAUGAUAUCAAAAAAUCUCAAUAUAAAAAUUCUCCAAAUCCCGACAAGUGGGCAAAUCUCCAACACAUAAAUAAAUCCACAACAGAUAAUCUAGAAUAAUCAUAAACAGACACCUAGAUCAAAGCCUAUCCUAGACUCUAAGGACUUGAUAACGGAGAUGGCUUCCGCUAUCCAAGCAACCACCAAGCAACUCACAAAAGCGACUAACCCUGUACUUCGUCUACUCAUCCAUACAGACAGGUAGAUGGUCCAAACCACUAGGGGUAAGCUUUACAUCAAUCAUAAUCAAUAAAAUAAAUUUGAGCAUAUAUGAAUUAAAGUCGAUUCCGAGUACUUCACAUAAACAUUUAAUUCAAUAUGCACAUUCAUAUAACAAUCCCAAAUAUCACGAUCAAGUAUUCACCAAGCAUACUUAUAAUCAACAAUUAUCAUUCACAUCUCAUCACAAUCUUCAACAAUUAUCAUUCACAUGCAACAAUUACGACUCAUGUCAAUAUGCUAUGCGCCUAAUUCCGACACAUACAUGCAUGUGGUACCAAACAACAACAACAAGAUGCCAACCGCACAUCUUAUGUAAGAGUACACCUCCUCUUACGCACAACUAUGUAAAAGUACACCUCCUUUUACAUUUCUCAUAUGACUCGAUAUGACGAUGAUGCAUGGACAUAAGCAAAGACUCAAUAAUGCAAACUACUCAACAUAUACAUACACCAACACAAUGUAAAAGUACACCUACAAUUACAUUGUUCAACUUCAACAACAAUUGCAUUAUCAAGUAUUUACAUCCACACAAUCAACAUGUCAUCAUUCCAUUAAGAGUCGUCCCCAAAAUAUCACAAUUCAUCAACAUAUAUUCAUUAAUCAACUUCAACUAUAUUUUAUAGUUCAUGAACUUUGCAUAAUUUAUCAACAUCCAAGUAAAAUGGAAAAUACAACACCUUCUGAUAAACGUCACCUCAAACACUUACCAUUUACUCACAUAUCUUCAUUCAAACAUAUACAACUAAUCACAAAGGAAUGUAAGCAAUUGGCCUUAAAGAAUCAUUUUUGACAAAAUCCGUAUCAAGUGGCAAACGGCCAACAUUGAUAAUUUCCAAAAUAAAAUACCUUAUUCAAGUUUGAAAAUUCACAAAUCAAUCUUAAUCAAUCAUGUAGUCAUGAGCUUAAGCCACUUACAAACUAUUAGACAUUAGUUCAAAGUAUAGCUUAAGUUCGUAUGAGAAAACCCAAGUUUACAUUUUCCACAUUCCCACCCGAAAUUCAAGUUUAACAUGAUUAAGAUGUGAAACCAACUUUACAAGUCUUGUAUAAGUCUAUAUGAAUGAACUGUAGACCCAACUUGUAAUCCCAUUUAGUUCAAAAAAGUUCAUUUCGACGAAAAUCCAAAAUUUCCAAGAUCCAAGUUUCAACACAAAAUGGAAAAUCCCAAAUUCGAAUGAGUAAAACAUGUUACAAUAGGUUUAGGAGUUCAAACAGUGGUUAAAAAAGUUGAAAGAAACAUUUUACAAAACUCGGAUUGGUGUAACACUCCGUUUUUCCAACUUGAAAUUUUUUGCAUACAAAUCAGAGUAAUCAACUUAACAGGAUGUCACACUGAUCUAAAAGAUAAAUAGAGUAGAAUUACUAUUUAUUCAAAACAUCUCAUGUCAUCAAUUCAAAUCUCAUUGCAGCGGAAAACAUUAAUUAAACAACGUAAUGACACAACGACCUCAACAUAAACAAGUUAUUAAACUCCAUUCUAGGUGGUUCCUCAACAUAAAAUCAUAGAAAUAUGUAACACAAGGAAAACAAGCAAGAUCAUCUCGUUACGUAUCAGAGCGACCCUAAGACGACGCGUGAGAGAGUCGACUCACUUCAACAGCUAUUCCUGGUUAUCUACGCGUUACCCUCGUAGAGGCAAUAUUCAAACAGAAUGGGUGAGAUUUCGCAUCCAAUAAUAAUAAGCAUAUAAUUCAUCAACAUAAUUUAACAACAUAAACAACCACAAUAAAUAAUAUUGAUACUUCACAUAACUUAUCAUUAACAACUCAUUAGUAAUUGACAACUGGACAACAACGACAAUGCGAUAACAUCAACAUCUACUCGACAAUGCAACAACGACAACUUACACAUGAAUGUGGUACCAAUCAGGGCAUCAAACCCCCAACGUAUAGAGAGAAUAGGCUCACAGGGCAUCAAACCCUCAACAUAUAGAGAAAAUAGGCUCACAGGGCAUCAAGCCCCCAACUUAUAGAGCAAAUAGGCUCACAGGGCAUCAAGCCCUCAACUUUAAUGAGUAUGCAUGGACUUAGCAACCAACAACUUAGACAACUUAGACGACUUCAACAACUUAGAACAACAACUUACAACUUGGCGACUUUGACAACAACUUGCAACUUAACGAUAUUAACAAUCAACAACAACAAGGACAACAACAAUAACAACCUGCAACAUUAACCACAACAACUUGAAUGAUAUGAACGACUAUAUUUCUAUAUUAUACAAUAUUCGCAUAAUAUAUGUAUCUCAAAUCAUCCAAAAACAACAUUCAUAUUAAUUCAGACUCACUGAACAACAAUAUAAUUAUAAACCACUUUCAUUCCUACCUGAAAGACUAACUUAGAACGUCACGUGCGACAAGGAUCACAAGAACACUAAACAAGGUUGACUGCCACUGAGUAACUCGCGAGGCGAGCCACUCUACUCGCUAUGCCGAGCUAAAGCUGAUGGCUCUCGGGAGUUUUGACAUUUUUCACUCAAAAAUCUCAUUUUUAACUUCCCUAUGCCCAAAUUUGAUCAAAAACUUUCCUAAUCAUUUCUAAACAUGUUAAUGCACUCAAAACCAUAUAAAACUUUACCCCUAACAUUAAUUCACAAAAUCAUAAUUUUCUCACUGGGUAAUUCGCGAGGCGAAAGAGGUUACUCGCAAUGGCGAGCGAUGAAGAUGAUCACUCGCGAGGCGGGAAGGAUUACUCGCUAUGGCGAGCGAUGACGAUCUGCUCUACGGACAGAACACAAUUUCAGCAAAAAUUUACCUAAUUCCAUAAUUCUAACCUUAAAACUGAUUUUAAUCAUUGCUGUUGUGAUGAAUAUGAUCUACUUUGAUGAUUAAUGUGAGAAUAUUUAUAUAUUGUGAAAGAUGUUGAUAUGAAGUUGUAAUGGUUGUAUUAGAUGAUUAUUGUUGAUGUUGACUUGCUGUAAAUUAUUGAAUGGCGUUGCCUUGCUGAUGUGAUGUAUUAAUAUCAUUAAGAUGCUAAUGUUUAUUUAAGUUGUUUAAGUUGUAAGAUGUUGAUCCAAAUUAUUGGAGUCAUAAGAGAUGUCUAAGUUGUUAAGAUGUUGAGUCCAUUGCAUACUCAUUUACGAUGGGCGAGGGCUUGAUGCUCUGUGAGCCUAUUUACGCUCAAUAAGUUCGGGGCUUGAUGUCCUAGUUGGUACCACAUGCAUGAUUAAGAAGUUGAAGUUGCCUAAGUUGAAUUAAGUUAUGGAAGUUGUAUUGUCGUUGUCGUCGAGUUGUCAUUGUUAAUGAGUUAUUGAUAAAGAACUAAGUGAAGUGUUAAUAUUUAUUAAAUGUUGUUGUUUAUGUUGUUGUGAUAUUAUUAUAAGAUGAUGAAUACGUUGUUGUUUAUGUUGUUGUGAUAGUAUUAUAAGAUGAUGAAUAUGUUGUUGUUUAUGUUGUUGUGAUAUUAAUAUAAAUGAUGAAUAUGUUUCUGUUUAUGUUAUUGUGAUAUUAUUAUAAGAUCAUGAAUACGUUGUUGUUUAUGUUGUUGUGAUAUUAUUAUAAGAUGAUGGAUAAUGCUGUCGUCUAUAUGAUUAUGAAGUGAUGAUUAUGUAGUCUAUGUUGUUGUGAUGUGAAUAUUAUAUUGUGUCUAAUGAGAUGAUGACUAUUCUGUGUGUUAAAGAUGUUAUUUAUGAUGUGAUGAUCUAUGUUGGUUAAGAUUUGGUUGUUAUGUACUAUAUGAUAAUGUUUAUAAUGUGAUGAUUAUGAAGUUAUUUAUGUCGUUAAAAUUAAUUAAUGAAUUAUAUGUUUGAUAUUAUUGUUUUGCGAAAUCUCACCCCUUCUGCUUGAAAAUGUUGCUCUUCGUAUGAGUAACUUGCAGGUGAUCGAGUUAGGUUGCUGUGUUUUGCUGUCGUGAGUGGCUAUCCCUCACUGAGUCGUUUAGGUGCUCUGAUAGGUAAUAGGAUGUGAUCUUUUGUGGCUAUUUUCUAUUCCUUUACGUAUUUGAUUAUGAUUUUAUGAUUAAGUUGUUUAAAUGAAUAAUUAUGAGAUAUUUGAUGAGGCCUGCGUGCCAAGACUUAUUUAUGAUGUUGAAUUAAAUACGCUGCAAUGUUUUGAAAUUGAAUUAUAUUGAAGGAUAAUUAGUUAAUUAUCUCAUUUAUGAUUUUUAGAAGUGUAGCAUUCCGUUUCUAUGCUGAUUACUCUGAUAAUAUGUUUGAAAAUUUUAAGUUAGGAAAACGGGGUGUUACACGAGCGAGAGCAUCUAUCUAGGUUCAAUCUCAUUCUAAUCAUCUAAGGAUCAACUCAAAAGUCAAAAUCACGAAAUUUGGAUAGCUCUAUGGUCAUGCUCGCUAUGGCGAGUUCAUUUGCUCGCUAUGGCGAGCUGCGACGUGCAACUCGCGAGGCGGGUAAGUUGCUCGUGUGGCGAGCGAUGAAGUUCAUCACUCGCUAUGGCGAGGAUCAUAGCUCGGGAGGCGAGCGAUGAAUGUCGCUACGGGCAGAAGUGCGAUUUUUCACAAAAAUCACUAACUCUCAUGGUUUUAAGCCUAAUCUUGAUUCCAGAAUUCAUCAUAAUCAUUAUCUAAGGUCUAGGGACAAUUUCUACAUCAUUCUAACAAGUUUUCACCGUUUAAUCAUCAAUUCCAUCAGUUUUAACCUACUUUUCGAUUUCUCUAAAACUCAUUCUACUUCAUGUUAAACCUAACCAUUGAUUCACAUACUUAACAGAAUUGCAAAGUUAGUCUCACCCUUACCUUAACAAUGAAAAUUGCAGCUCUCUAAGUGCUUCUCCCUUCUCUUAGCUUUUACUCCCUUUUCUUCAAAAUUGAUCGUACGUUAUGUUUUUUCUAAACUAGGUCUCUCCUAUUUAUAAAAAUCCUUAACGUACUUAUUUUUCUCUUAUAUCUCAAAUCUUAAUAUUCUAUUAUAAUAUAUAUAUAUAUAUAUAUAUAUAUAUAUAUAUAUAUAUAUAUAUAUAUAUAUAUAUAUUAUUUCUAUAACGAAUAACAAAUAUAUCUCUAUAAUCAUAUAUAUUUCUACAUUAAAUAACAUAUAUUUCUACAACAAAUCAACAUAUAACUUUACAAAAUAUCACUCAUAAAAAAUAAAUCAUAUAAAUCACACAAAUCAUAUAAGUAUAUUCUAAACUCAUUUAAAUAAUCAAAUAAUUAAAGAGAGCGUUACACCACAUAACCAUUUAAAUCACAUAAAUCAUAUAAAUAGACUAUAAACCCAAUAAAAUAAUUAAAUAAUCAAAUAGGGCGUUACAAUUGACCCCCUAAAGUCCGGAACGAAAAUAAAAGGUGGCUGAAACUGGGCAAGUUCGCUUAAGCGACAACCUUGUUCGCUUAAGUGAACAAGUUCCAGAAGCUACAACAAAAGUUCGCUUCCGGUUCGCUUAAGCGACCCAGUCACAGAACCUAUUGUGAUUGUUCGCUUAAGCGAUCAGUCAUAGUUCUGCAGAAAAAAAAAUUACAGGUUUCAACCCUUUUUCACCCAAAAUUCCAAAUUUUGAUCUCCCCCAAUGCCCAAAUAUGUUUCCAAAGUAGGUUUACAGGUCAAAACAACAAAAAGGGUUCCCAAGCAGACAUCAAACAUGAAAACAAUUGCCAUUUGAACACAAUUCACCAAAUCAACCUAUUUUUACAAAACCAACGACAAUAAUUUAUUUCUCAACAUCAAAUCAUGAUUUAUGAACACCCAAGCCAUGAAUCAUCAACAACAAUAUCUCUUAGCAACAACAACAUCAGUUAAACAUGAUUCUCAUCAUAAUUCAACAACAACAUAACACAAUUCAACAUUUAGAGCAUAAUUCACAAUAUAUCCUGUUCACAUACUAUGAACAUGCAAUUUCACCAACAACAAUUCAAUUAUCAUCAAUUUCAUGUAUUCAAACAUAUCAUCAUAAUUGGAGCACGAAUUUCAACAACUAUGAACAAAAAAUCACUUAUUCAAUUAAGCAUUUAAUCAUGCAAUUAAUGAAAAGUUACAACUAAUUGAUUAUGGUUGAAAUCUAACCCCCUUACCUUAGUUAGUGAACAUCCUAGCCCAAACUUCAAUUUAGCUCUUGGAAAUCUCCACCACCUCUUAGGUCUUCAAGUCUUCUCUCUUCUAACCCUUUUCCUCUUCUCUUGCAUUUUCUCUCUCUCUCUCUCUCUCUCUCUCUCUCUCUCUCUCUCUCUCUCUCUCUCUCUCUCUCUCUCUCUCUCUCUCUCUCUCUCUCUCUCUCUCUCUCUCUCUCUCUCUCUCUCUCUCUCUCCAAAAAUCUCAUGAAAUGAAAAAAUGAAUGCUAUUUUAUCUUAAGACAAGGUUUAUAUAGGCUAUUCUCAAAUGGGCUUAACCCUAAUGCCUUAGUGGGCUUAACCCACCCAAUCACAAUUCUAAAAUGUUUCUACACACUUAACGGUAAAAUACUAACAACGGUCACUUAUCGGCUCACAACUAUUUAUCACACUAGUAACUUAGUAAAAUAAUGGCUCUCACUUGAAACACUAAAAAUACUCCUCACCAAAAAUUACUAAUUUAUCCUUACUCACAAAAUGACCAAAAUACCCACUGAAAGGGAUGCGAUUGGCGACGAUGGAAGUGGUGGUGGGCGGCGAUGGGAGGAGAAGAGAAGCUUCAGAUCACGUUAUUGGGGAAGAGGUGAAUGAAGGAAGAUAAAUUGCAUUUUUUUUUUUAAAGAAGUACUUUAUAAAAUUUUAAAAUAUGUUAAGACAUUUGUUACCUUACCCAACUUGUAGCUUUUGGGAAAGUGACGAGGUCAAGAGAUGAACUGAGUUUUGUACACCUCUAAUCAACUUAUACUCUACGAUCUUAAAUAUUUUUUUUGCAUUGUCAUUCCAUAAAUUUCGGAUUGUUUUUCCAAAUUGAGUCUUAAUUUCUAAGCAAACCAUCUAAAAAGAUACCAAAUAAUUCAGAACGAUUAUUCAAUAAAGUGAUCAAAGUACAUCUUGAAAAACCAUCAAUAAAAGUCAAAUGUGGUUGUUUUAGAUAGAGACCAAAUACAUUUUCCAUUUUUAACUAAGUAGUGUAAAAAUAGUGUUUUUAUUUAAAUUUUUUUUUAAUUUUUUUAUAGAAGUCAAAUGUAUUUGUUCUAAAUAUGAACCAAAUACAUUUUACUUUUUACUUAAAUUUAAGAUGAUAAAACAAUGUUUUUUUUUAGGGGUAGUUGUGUUUUUGAUAAGCAACUUCAAAUAACAUUUGAGCUUUUUAUUUUUUUCUCUAAAUUUUAGCCUAAUUAUCUUUUAAAUAAGUAAAUAAUCCUUAUAAAUAUCUAAAAUUUUGUUUAGUCAUACAGAAAUUACACCUUUUAGUCCUCGUAAGCAUUUUCAUUUAGCAAUUUUAAGGACAAAAAAUAUUGAUGAAUUUUUUUUCAGGAAUUAAAAAUGUUGAUGGAAAAUUUUACAAAGGUUAUAAAUGCUGACAAAUUUUUCUAUGAAGACUAAAACAUACAAUUUUGUUUUGAGGGAUUAAAAACAAAAAAAAUCUAAAAUUUUGUUUUGAGGGAUUAAAAACAAAAAAAUCUAAAUAUUUACAUGGAUCAAUUACUUGAUUAACCCUUAUCUUAAUUGAAAUAUUAAAUUUUUAAUUAAAAAUAGUUUUUUCUACGUCAUUUCAUAUUCAUUAACUAAUUUAAGCACUUAUUUUAUCAAAAGCUACAAAUUCAUUUCACUAUCUUAUAUCAACUACUUUGUCUACCCUAACUAUGAGACCACCUUCUACUUUUUUUUUUUUUUAAUAUAAAGACUAUUUUCAAAAUUCACAUGCACUUAUGUUUUUCUUGCAAAAAUACCCUUAUUUAACUUUUUGAUAAAUAUAUAAAACUAACAUAAAUUUUUGAUAAAUUUUUCACAAUUUUAUUUUAUUUUUUGCAGGAAUUUUUCACUACAAUUAUUUUUCUUAAUACCUAUUAACAUUGUUGGAGGAUCUCUCUCAAAAAUUUGUCAAAGGAGCUUUUUUUUUUCCUAAUAAAAAAAAUUAAAUGAUAAUAAAAAUUUGAGUUUUUCUACUAGCACCCUAGUUAAUCAUGGUUGCACCUCAAAAUAACAAGAUUACCCUUUCAUAAAAUUUCAUCUUAAACUUAGUUGAAGUAGGUCAUAUAAAUUGAGUUUAAGUGUAUAUACUUAAUCUCAGUUUAAGUAGGUUCAUGUAAACUGAGUUUAAGUAGGUCAUGUAAACUGAGUUCAUGUAAACUAAAUUUAAGUAAGUGUACCAACUUAAACUCAGUUUAAGUAGGUUCAUGUAAACUAAGUUUAAGUAGGUCAUGUAAACUUAGUUUAAGUGCACAUCUAAAAGUUCAAUCUUAUUCAAUGAUUAUACGUCAUCUCAGUUUAAGUAUGCACAUGUAAACUCAGUUUAAGUAGGUUCAUGUAAACUUAAUUUAAGUAGGUUCAUGUAAACUCAGUUUAUGUAAGUUAGGUCAUGUACACCCAAUUUAAAUUUAAGUAGGUCAUGUAAACUUAGUUUAAGUAGGUUCAUGUAAACUCAGUUUAAGUAUGUUCAUGUAAACUCAGUUUAAGUUUAAGUAGGUUCAUGUUAACUCAGUUUAAGUAGGUUCAUGUAAACUUAGUUUAAGUAGGUUCAUGUAAACUCAAUUUAAGUAGGUUAAUGUAAACUCAGUUUAAGUUAACCUUGCCAAUGUAAAUUAAAACCGUAAUCGUACAGUGCAUCAGUGCAGUUGAAGGAAAAAAAUUGAAACUAGCAAAUAGAAGAAAAAAUUCACUUACUUAUAUCCAAUUGAGUAUGGAUGAAAAAUAUGUUGAUUCACUCUUUAAUUUUCAUGGGGAUUGAUAUUGAACAUCAAAUUGUUUGAUCGAUCGCUUUGUGGGGUGAAAGAGGGUGAAACUCACUGGCAAUGAAUAAAAUUAGGGUUUUAAGAAAAUUUAUAUAAAAGGACAAUUUUGGUAUUAUCAAAAACUUUUAAGAAAAUUUGGAUGAUUUACUCCAAAUUUAUAUGUAAAAAAAAAAAAAGAAAAAAACACAUUUUCCUUUUAUUUUAUUUUUUUCAAAAUGAUUCCUAGGCAAAUCUCAUGCUUUGCCACGUGAAAAAUUCACACUUCCCAUCAUCACAACAAACACAUACUUUUGUUCCUGUUUUUUUUAACAUUAAAAAAUGGGGCAAUUGUUGAAUUCAUACAAAUAUUCCAUUUGAAACAAAUUUUCAGUUACAACAACUAUCUUCAUCUUCUUCAAUCAUUCUGCUUCCAAUGGAAAACCUUAGAAACAACAAUUCAAUGACGGAAGAAGAAGACGAUCCCGGAAGUGCAUUAUCCUUCGACUCAACCGAAUCAAGAUGGGUUUUUCAAGAAGACGAGGAUCCAUCUGAGAUCGAGGAUUACGAUGCUUCUGAUAUGCGCCAUCAAUCUAUGUUUGAUUCUGAAGAUGAAGAUAAUGCUGAAAUGAAGCUUAUUCGUACUGGUCCUAGAAUUGAUUCGUUUGAUGUUGAAGCUCUUGAGGUUCCUGGUGCUCAUACUCAUCACUAUGAGGUGUGUGGUUUUUUUUUUUGGUAGUUUUUUUAAUGCUUGGUUUUUGUAUUAAUGGAUUGAUUUUUAGUAAUUAUUAGUGAUUAGGUAUUUAAUUAAAUUGUUUCUCAAGUUGUAUUUGUACUAUAUUAUGUUUGAUUCCGCCUUUUGAGGAGUCGAAAUUGAUUCGAGUAAUGUAGAAUUGUUUUUGAGAGAAGACGUAUAGAUUCUAGAGGAGUAGAAUUGAUUUUGGAAGGGGAGAAAUUGAUUCUAGAGGAGUAGAAUUGAUUUUGCUUGUAGAAUUGAUUCUAGUUGAAGCUAGUAGCUUUAGGGUUCUUGUUGUCCGUUUUGAUUGGCUUAUUUUUGAGUUUAUGAAAAAUAGCUUAUGCAAAUAAAUAAGCUUUUAUAUUAAUUCAUAAGCUCUCACUAAAAAAAAUUGUAUAUGCAUAAGCUGUGUUUUCAUAAACUACCUUGACAAGCUUAUGAAUAAUACAUAAAAACUUAUUUAUUUGCAUAAACUGUUUUGCAUAAGCUCAAAAAUAAACCAUUUUACAUCCAACUCACUUUUACUCAAAAUCAAUUUAUUCAAUAUCAAUUCUCACAACCGUAGAACCAAACACACCUAAGGAGAGUAGAUCAAAUGAAAGAUAACCAAAGGUAGAGGAAGAUCUAGAAAAACUAUAAGAGAAACUAUUAAGAAAGAUUUAGAGAUUAACAAGUUGGACUGAAACCUGGUUUACGAUAGAACAUUAUGGCGUAAUUUGAUCCAUGUAGCCAACCUCACUUGGUGGGAUAAGCCUUGGUUGUUGUUGUUGUUGGUGUAUUUUGACAUGUUUGAUUGUUCUCUAGUAGAAUUGAUUUUGCCUCAAGAAUUGAUUUUAACUUGAAGCCAGAAUCUUUUGGCUUCCAGAAUUGAUUUUUUGCCUUGAAUUUAUUUUUCAACUCACUUUUGCAUCAAUGAUGUAUCCACACAUAAACCACUUUACAUUCAAAAUUAAUUUGUGUCACCGCGUAGAACCAAACAUACUUUUAGUGUAUGUUUACUUCCACUUUUUGAGGAGUCAAAAUUGAUUCUAGUAGUGUAGAAUUGAUUUUGACAUGUUUGGUUGUUCUCGAGCAGAAUUGAUUUUGUCUCAAGAAUUGAUUUUAACUUGAAGCUAAAAAUCGUAGCUUUUGGCUUCUAGAAUUGAUUUUUAUCUUUGAAUUUAUUUUUUAACUCAUUUUUGCAUGAAUGAAUGUAUCCAAACAUAAAUUACUUCACAUUCAACUCACUUAUAGUCAAAAUCAAUUUUACAUAAUCAAUUCAUUCAAAAUCAUUCAGAACUAAACACACACUGUGCUGAUCAUAAGAUUCGUUAUGCAGCUGUGAUGUGAAUUCUGCUAGUGUGUAUGGUUUUACAGUAGUGAGAGCCAAAAGUGAGUCCAAACAUAUUAAAUUGAUUCAACAUGUUUGGGUGAUGUCUAUUGGAAUUGAUUUUUCCCUAGAAUUGAUUCUAACUUGAAGCUAAGAUUUGUCGUUUUUAACUCAAAACGUGAUUUUUACACUCAAAUUUAAUGUUUAACUCACUUUACGCGAAUGUAUGUAAACAUAAACCACUUCACAUUCAAUUCACUUUUAACUGAAAUAAAGUUACAAAAUCAAUUUUUGUCAGUUUUAGUAUUUUUUUGUAUCUAUUUUCUUCAUUGUGUUUUGUUGUUGCAGGAUAUGACCACGGGAAAGAAAAUUGUGUUGGCUUUUCAAACUCUUGGUGUUGUCUUUGGUGAUGUUGGAACAAGCCCAUUAUAUACCUUCAGUGUUAUGUUUAGAAAGGCACCUAUUAAUGACAAUGAAGACAUUCUUGGAGCAUUAUCACUUGUCUUGUACACUUUAAUCUUGAUUCCUUUCCUCAAAUAUGUUCUUGUCGUUCUCUGGGCCAAUGAUGACGGCGAAGGUAUGGUGGUGAAUUUAGUCUUUUAAAGAUAAAAUAUUUCUUUCUCAUUUCCUCUUAUAUACUCUAUCUUUGGUUUUGUUUAUAGUUGUUUUGAAACCAUUGCAGGUGGUACAUUUGCAUUGUAUUCCUUGAUUUGUCGAAAUGCUAAGGUGAAUCUUCUUCCCAAUCAGUUGCCGUCAGAUGCCCGUAUAUCAGGCUUUAGGCUAAAGGUUCCGUCUGCUGAGCUUGAAAGGUCUUUAAAACUCAAGGAAAGGCUGGAGUCUUCAUUCACUCUGAAGAAGAUUCUGCUAUUAUUAGUUCUUGCUGGUACUUCUAUGGUGAUAGCUAAUGGGGUUGUUACACCAGCAAUGUCAGGUUACUUACUGCUCUAGUAUCAUGUAUUGUGUAACUUCUACACAAAUGCUUUUGUCAUAGUAUGUUUAGAAUUCAGAUUGAUAGAUAUAUCAUGCUUGUAAAUUCUGAUGACAUCUUGCUGCUUGUGUUCAUGGCCAGCUGUUGUUUUCAAUAAGCUCUUGUUUACUUCAUAUUGAUUCUUACUUUACAAAAUUUUCUUCUUGCAGUACUAUCAUCUGUUAAUGGCUUGAAGGUUGGGGUAGAUGCAAUUCAACAAGGUAUUGUGUUAACCUAUUAACAAGCUCUUGUGCGUUAAUACCUGCAUUUGAUAUUACCCACAGACACAUUAUGAUCAUAGCAUAUCUUUUGUCUUUCUUUCUACUUAGAAAUUAAUAAUUUUUGCUUCUCCAUUAAUAGCACUAGCUUUCGAGGUAUUAUUUUGGUGUGUAAAGUUGCCUGAACUAUGCUUUGGUCCAUUGGUGAGAAAAUUCAGUUAUGUGUUGAUAGGGUGCUUAUGCUUUGUAUAUUAAUUCAACCUAAGUGUGUACAGGAUGCCGUUCCUAUAGUUUAGGCAAAUCUGGUGGAAACUGGGAAAAAUUGGUUAAAUAUUUCAAUUUUAGAAUUACUUAUGUAGCUGGAUUAAUUUUUUCUACUUUUUCAUUGAUUAUGCAGAUGAAGUGGUGAUGAUUUCUGUUGCUUGCCUUGUCGUUUUGUUCAGUUUACAGAAGUAUGGAACAAGUAAAGUUGGGCUUGCUGUAGGACCUGCAUUGUUUAUAUGGUUCUGUUCUCUUGCGGGCAAUGGUGUAUACAAUCUUGUCAAAUAUGACAGCAGCGUUUUUAGGGCUUUUAAUCCUAUUCACAUCUAUUAUUUCUUUGCAAGGAAUUCAACUAAAGCAUGGUAUUCUCUUGGGGGCUGUCUUCUGUGUGCAACUGGUAAACACAUAUGCAGAAUCAUUGAUAUGGUAGAUGUGAUAAUAUAUAUUCUCUCUUGUCGUGUAUAUUUUGAUUCUAUUGAUGUCUCUGUUUUUCUCUAUUUUUAAACCAAUGUGCUGGUAGCAAUUACAAUGGCUAAUUUUGAUUUUUCCAUUUACUAUCUGAAGUUUAAUGAAAUGCCUACUGGCAUCUAUCAUGAUUUUGAGAUUCAAUGGAGUUUGGGACCUGAGUCUUUCUUUUCUUUGGUGCUUGAAAAAAGAUUCAGGUUUAAGUGCUUAAGUAUUGAUAGUUAAGAGUACCACUGAUCAACUUGGUAACAUGUCUUGCAUGAAUGAUCAAGGAAUAUAGGCUUCAAACCAUAUAUUGUCUUUGAAUUUAAAACACGCAAGAAAUCACCAGACCAUACAACAAAAAGUUUGAAAGCAAAAAAAUGAAAUGUAGUUUUUUAGCUGGUUUACUGUUUUUUUUUUUUUAACGACAAAUGUUUGUUUUGUUAAUAUUUAUGUUGGGAUGGAUGGGUGGCAGCUGGUUUACUAUAUAGGAGGGACUGCAUUUUUCUGUUAUAGCAGUCUGAGUAUGCAGAGACUAGCUGCUACCCAAAAAUGGGAUGCAUAUGAGCACCUGAGUGAUGCAAUGUGUAGCCGCUAUAGUGUUGCUUUUGUGUGCCAUAGAUGAUUCAUUAUUCUGAAUAAAAUACCCUGUCAUAGUGGUGACAUGCAUCUAGUAUAGAAAAGCAGGAGUAUUGAUUUGUGGGUUGGUUAGUUUUUUAUUUGAUUACCUGCUUGGGUAAACAGCUUACCCUGUUAUCAUAAUAAACGCUUAAGUAUAUGCUUGCAUAAGCUAUUUUUAUAGCAAAAGAUAAAAUAGCGUUAAAUUGUUUCUGUAUGUGCUAUAAGUUGUUUACAUAAGCUAUAUUGGAGAACUUAUGAAAAUAAGUUGAAAAAAACACAUGAACAUUGUCAUAAGCUGUUUUCAUAAGUUCUCCCAAACGGUCUCACAAAACUUUGCUAGUAGAUAAGCCCAAAUAAACCACAAUCCAGACAGGCCUGUGAAAUUCAUGGAAAAAUUAUACUAUUGUUUGAGAAACAUGUAUUAUUCCCAUUAGAGUUGGCUGAAUUAGUAUGAUUAGAUAGUGUCGAUAAAAUGGUAGUUUUGAUUCUAGCCAGUGGUCUUUCGUUGAUAGGUCAUUUGUAAGUACCACUGUAAGCUUUUGAUGAGGGAUAUGGGCAUCCAGACCUUGUAGCAAGAGACAAACUCCCCUUAAGGCUGUAUUUUGGAUUGUUUGAAAUAAGAUGAACUGUAAUAAAAUCUUAUGGGACAUAUUGCAUUCUAUUUCAUAGGCCACCUCUAUCUUUCUCUGCUCUUCUUGGGGUAUGUAAUUGAAAAAAAAUAAUAUUUAUUAAUCUUGUUGUCUACCCGUCUACUUUUUAUACAAUGGUAUGAAAAUUUAAACCCGUUUAUCAUAAAAAUAUAUCUAGACAAUGGUGUGAAAAAUUAUUUCAUUCAACUCCACUCUAAUCUAUUCCAUUCUACCCCAUCAUUAAAUAUCCUAACACAGUCUGAUUUUUGUACGCCAAACAAAAAAGCUAUUACAUUAUCCUCCCCAUCACGUUGAUGUUGAGAUGCGGUAAAUAUGUAUUUUUGAUUUAACUGUUGCUGGCAUGCACAAAUCCCAUCCACUAUGAAUUAACAUUGUUAUUGGAUCAUGUUACAGGCUCUGAAGCCAUGUUUGCAGAUCUUUGCUACUUCUCUGUUCGAUCAGUUCAGGUAAUGAAUCAUGUCUAUGUUUUAUCUAUCAUGGCUUCUGGUUGGAAUUCUUUCACAUCUUUUGUCAUAUCAACUUAUAUAUUGAUGAAACUGAUGGUGGUUUGUUUGCAGAUUACAUUUUUAUUUCUUGUUUUGCCGUGCCUAUUAUUGGGUUAUUUGGGUCAAGCUGCAUACCUUAUGGAACACCAUGCUGAUGCUGGUGAAGCCUUUUUUUCUUCUGUUCCAAGUAGGUGUCAGUAUGUUUGCAUGCUUUACAAUGGCUCGUCUCUGCACUUCCCAUAAACUUCGGUGUAAUACUAUUCUUUAUUUGCAGGUGGUGCAUUCUGGCCAACUUUUCUCAUCGCCAACAUUGCUGCACUAAUUGCAAGUCGGACUAUGACAACAGCUACAUUUUCUUGCAUAAAACAGUCAACUGCUCUUGGUUGUUUCCCUCGACUUAAAAUAAUUCACACCUCUCGUAAAUUUAUGGGUCAAAUCUAUAUCCCUGUCAUAAACUGGUUCCUGUUGGCUGUUUCUCUGGUGUUCGUCUGCACUAUAUCCAGCAUUGAUGAGAUUGGAAAUGCAUAUGGUAAUUCUUUUAUUUCAAAAUAUUUAUUUUAUCUUGAUAAAUUUUUCAAAUUUAUCAGCCGCAUGCAUUAAAUACUUGUCAAAUUGUAAGUUUAGUGGGAUCGACUAUGUAGAAUAGAUUGCUCGAGAAGCUUAUGGGGCUGCAAUUAACUGGAAAGGCACUGAGCUUCACUCUUGAUAUUUCUCUUUGGAAAUUCUUGAAUAUAGUCCAAGAAUACUAAUAGUGUCGGUGGAUCCUUGUUUAAGAGGACCCAAUUAGCUUUUGCUGGUUGACCUGAAUUUACACCAGUAUCAUAAAUUUACCUAGCUUAGAUACCAUAGAAAUCUGCUGAAUGUGUGAAAAUGUUCAUUUAGCAGUUUUUCAAACACUGGCUGUAUGCUCAGAAAAUAUGAUGUCAGUAUAGGUAUACAUGGUUUCAUCCAACAAUUCUAUUCCAAAUGGACGAGAUCAAGCAUUGCCUCCUCCCCAAGAUUUCAUAAUGGUUCGGGUGGAAGAGAGGUUUCCCAGUUCCAAGGUUAAGACCAUGGUUUCAAAUUGUGGUCGGUAUCAGCAAUUGUGGCUGCAGUAUUGCUGUUGUAUCCUCCGCAACGGCUUCGCACCGCAAUUGCAGUGGGAUCUCCAGUCACAUGUACAACCACAUCGUAACCGCAUCACAUAAAGUUCAAUAACUAAUAUAUUUUGGCCAUGUUUUUCCGAAUCAUCUGACUAAAAAUUAAAUUUUAGAACCCCGAAUCCCAAUCUGCUUUAGAUCUAAUGAAAAUCUUACCUUAACAAUUUCUCAACUGUGUAUUUCAAGGACUUCCCAACCAGUAUUUACAGAGAAAAUUGAGUCUCUGCUAUGGUGGGUAAGUAGUGUAGUGGGUGAAAAUUUAAAAUUAUUUCACGCCACAAAGUGUCGCAGCAACAACAAUGACUGCGAUCGCAACGACCGCAGCCACAAUUCAAAACCAUGGUUAGAACAUGCGGCAUGCUUCAACAAGUGUUAGGCUCUGAUACCAAUCAAAACCCAAGACCUUUUAUUUGUAUGCUACUCGAUCCUACUGGUUUAACCAAUUCUCAUUGGCAAAACAUUUCUUAUUUAUCCAGGGAAAAGCUUUAACCUCGCGGUUUGAGCUUGUAAAAUGAAUAUGUCGAUAAUAAUUGGAUCAUGCAAGCUUAGAUAGGGGAAGACAGUUUUUUCUUUGGUUCUAACUAAAACACUGAAUUUCUUCAAUAUUGUUGUAAUAUAUUAUAUAUGAAAAUGUAUUUGUUUUCAGCCUGUUCCUUUGUCAUCUUUCAGGCAUUGCUGAGCUGGGGGUGAUGAUGAUGACCACCAUUUUAGUUACUCUUGUUAUGCUUCUUAUAUGGCAGAUGCACAUCAUCAUAGUGAUGAGUUUCCUGGGAGUCUUCUUGGGUUUAGAGUUGGUUUUCUUUUCAUCGGUUUUGUGGAGCAUAACAGAUGGAAGUUGGAUUAUAUUGGUCUUUGCUGCAAUUAUGUUUUUUAUAAUGUUCAUAUGGAACUAUGGAAGCAAGCUCAAGUAUGAAACUGAAGUCAAACAAAAGUUGUCACCGGAUUUAAUGCGAGAAUUGGGCUGCAAUCUUGGGACAAUACGAGCUCCUGGAAUUGGUCUACUUUAUAAUGAGUUAGUCAAAGGAAUUCCAGGAAUUUUUGGGCAUUUUCUAACGACACUUCCAGCAAUACAUUCCAUGAUAAUAUUCGUGAGUAUCAAGUACGUUCCAGUUGCUAUGGUGCCUCAAAGUGAAAGGUUUCUAUUUCGGCGUGUUUGCCAAAGAAGCUAUCAUUUAUUUCGUUGUAUUGCCAGGUAAUAAGUGCUAUAAGUGCAUAUUACUUUUUAGAAACAUGCUAAUAGUGCUAUAGCUUCAAAUCUCCCUCUCUCCCCCCCUCUCUCUGGAAUAGGUUAGGAAACAAUUUGGGAAAAUUUAACAAAGAUAUUAGUAGCUCUUUGGGGUAGUUUGUUAGUUCAUGAGGAUGCAAUAUUUUCAUCUGAGACACCGUGUCUUGUAGUUUUGUGCUGACCCCACUUAGUGGGAUAAGGCUUGGUUGUUGUUGUUGUUGUACCGUGUUUUGUAAUUUUGUCUUUGUCAUUAAAAUGUUUCUUUAUCUUACGUGUCUGAUCUGAACAUUUAUAUCUCACAGGUAUGGUUACAAAGAUGCUCGCAAAGAAAAUCACCAGGCUUUUGAACAGCUUCUAAUGGAGAGCUUAGAGAAGUUUAUACGUCGCGAGGCACAGGAGAGAUCACUGGAAAGUGAUGGGGAUGAGGAUACUGAAUUGGAGGACGAGUACGCUGGUUCUAGAGUUCUCAUAGCUCCAAAUGGAAGUGUUUACUCACUUGGUGUUCCCCUUCUGGCUGAUUUUAAUGAAUCAUUCAUGCCCAGUUUUGAACCCAGCACAUCAGAAGAGGCAGGCCCUCCGUCUCCCAAACCCCUUGUGCUCGAUGCAGAGCAACUUCUGGAAAGAGAGUUAUCUUUUAUACGCAAUGCUAAAGAAUCUGGAUUGGUUUAUCUUCUUGGUCAUGGAGAUAUAAGGGCAAGGAAAGACUCUUGGUUUAUUAAGAAGCUAGUUAUAAACUAUUUUUAUGCCUUCCUGAGAAAGAACUGCAGAAGGGGGGUCACAAAUUUAAGCGUACCGCAUUCACAUCUAAUGCAGGUUGGAAUGACUUACAUGGUUUGACUUUGACCAUCAAUUUUGCAAUCCAAUAAUAUCCCCGCAUUGAACAUCGUUCCAGCUCUACCUUUGGAAAUUGUUUCAACUUUCCUUAUGAGCAUGAGCAUGUGCCGCGGAUAUAUGGAAUUGAAAUAGGCCAAGAACAGAAAUAGACAGAUACAUGUAGAAUUUGGACAAAAAAAAGAUAUAUGUAAAAUUAUAUUAUCAAAAGAAAAAAGAACCUGCAAAUGGCUAUGCACACAUUUCCUUAUGAGUAUGAAUAUGUUUAACAGAGUUUUGUACAUGGGAAGACCUAUCUAGACUAAUUUUAUUUUCAUUUGCAUUAAUUGUUUGCCUGAUCUCUUUUGAAGAGACCUUCUGUUGAUUGAAGCUUAAUUGAGAUUAUAUUUUCUUUUUGAAAUAUUACAUCGUGCCUUUCCCUUGGCAUUAUAACUAUAAAUUUAUGAUUGACAAAAACUUUUCUGACACUAGUUUACUCAUUGGAAUUGAGAAAGGACAGGAGGAAUCAAAACUUUUGGUGGGAUGGAAGUAUUGGUAGAUCUAGAAAUGUAUGUAACUUUUUUUGUUCACUAGAAUGUAUCCAACUUGAAACUAUUAUUAACUAAUCAAUGAAAGAAAAAUACAAUCAGGCACAAGACAAGAGGUGCAUAUCUCAACACUAAUAUAGGGUCCGUUUGUUUCAGAUUUUUUCCCUUAAAAAAAAAUCACUUUUUUCAUUUUUAAGUGUUUGUUUAGGAUUUUUAGAAAAAUCAUUUUAUCAAAAAAAUCUAUUUUGACCCUAAAAUGAAAAGCUAUUAGGAUUAGCUUUUCUCAAAAUCUAUUUUUUUUAACAAGGAGAUAACACAUGUGCAUGUUAUAACUUAUUUUAAAAUAAAAAUAAAAAGGAUUUUUAUGGAUAGUAGGCAAACACAAAUAACUUCAGAUUUUUUUUAAAAUCUCUAAAAAAAAUCUCUAAAUUCUUUUGAUAUAAAAUCCAUUUUUUUUUUUAAAACUGAAACAAACGCAUCCAUACUCCACUACCCCUAUUUCGAAUACAACAAAUUAAGGCAUUUCUGGUAACUGAUUCCAUUAAUCUCUAUCCAAGCCAAACUAUUAUCAAGUCCUUAACUCCAUUCUGCCAAGCAUCAAUCCUGUUGAUAGAUGAUAACAAACACCACCACCAACUCAUUGAUUUGAUGAGAUAUUGUGUAAUGAGUACUGGUAAACUUUCAGGAUAUAAAAUGCAGAUUGAAAGUACAUUUUAUUUAUUGAAGAAUUCCGACACGAAUUGAAAGUUUAGACAACAAAGGCUAGCUAGAAAAUAGAAAUCACUAUUUGAUAAAAAAAAUCGAUAAAAACAUGACUCAAUGAUAACCAAUAGGAGCUGGAGCCUCUUUCAGUUCUUUUCCUUGAUGGUGAAUAUCCUACAAAAAGAUGAACACAACAUUCAGAGCAAAUGAAGAGGAAAGAAAUUAAAAUCAAGAGUGUUUUAAACAAAUUAUAAUGACUUAAAAAAGUUUUUCAUCCUUUUUUUAGACUAAGAUAAUAUAUUUAUAGAGACGAAAAACACAUUUAACAAAAUUAAAAUUGACAGAUUAAAAAAUAAAUAAUUACGAUUGACACUCACCGAAGCAAAGUGAUUGACAUCCCUAUGAUGAGCCUCAUCAGCACGAAUAACAGUGAUAACAUCCUUAAGAGUUGCAUCCUUAGGAAGUCUCCAAUAAUCAAUUGCAAUAGCAGGAGCAGGUACAUUUUCAACUUUACCACUCUCAAUUGCAUUCAAAUGUUGUGUAUAUGAAAUCACAGCUUCCUCCUCUAAAUAACCAACAAACCUGUGUGCAGUUUUUGGUGAGAGUAUGUAAAAAACAAAGAAUGCAUUGAAGAAAACUCCUUGUGCAGUAAUAACCAAAAGCCUUUCAUGCCAACUUGGUUUUACAAGCUCUACCAUUGUCAUCAAAUGCAUCCUCUCAUUCUCUGCUUCUUCAAGUAAUGCUUUGAUCCAACCACCAGUGUGUUGAAAUUUUCUUAGAGACUUCAAGUGUAAAAGCAUCCCUCCCACCAUUGGCGGGACGGCUGCAAUUGUUUCCAGCAUCAUUGCAUGGCAUCCGUACCGUUCCUGCAGCAGUUAUAUUUCAGAUUAAUCAAACCCAUCAAUCAAAAUUCUUCUAUGUAUCAAGUUACACUUCACUACAACACAUCGAAUUACUAGGGAAUUAAAUUUUCUUUUGUUGUCUCAACACUCUCGUUCCUAGCGGGAAUAGGCUAUGGUAAUUUAGUGUUCGGUCCAAAAGUAAGUAAAUUCUAGUAAAAAGUUGUUCUAGUCAGAAUCGAAACAAGUGAAUCAAUAAGUUACCACUAAGAAUAAAUUUUGUUAUGGAUAGAAAUAUAUGUUAUGUAGCAGUAGAUAAGCCCACAAACCUUGAAAUACAAAUCAGAGAGAACCCUUAGAAACUUGACAGAUCUGAAAGCAAACUUGUCCCCAAAUGUUUUUGGUACAUGAUGCUUGGUCACAUCUAUUGACACAUCUGAGCUGUAACUUUCCCAUGGCUGCACCAGACAUCAUACAUAGAGAACAUAUAGUAUGAGACAUUAUCGAAAUACAAUACUGUUAGAUCAACAUUGAAUUUCAUUGAUCUAAUGCUUAAAUCAAAAGUUUUUAUCGAAUAGCUCAGCUCGACAAAUUUGAAUAAAAUUACUUGAUGCUCUAUUGAAUAAAUUCAAAUCAACAUAUAAUAUAAAUAAGUCUAUCUACAAAUUUUAGGUUCAUAAGAUUUUUUUUGUGUAUGAUCAUUAACAUAAAUAAAUUCAACAUUUAUAAUGAAUUAUUAAGCAGAAUAACUCAGUUCAGAUUUACUUAUGCAUACAUUAAUUUUGAUACCUCCUCUAUAUAGUAUAUAUUCUUACCAUGAAACAGUUCCAUGGCCACUCAGUUCCAUCCUCCCUUUUAACCUUGGGCCUAGUGAUUCCCCAGUAACUCGAAACGACGGUGUUGCUGUCAUUACUGUUCUUAUUCUCCUCUGAAUGCUGAUCCUUUUUCUCUGGCAGAGUUGACAUCUUCUGCCAGUAGAAGCUUCCACGAGUGCCACCGCCAUUCUGGUGUCUCGGCUGAACUAUCACCGCAGUUGAGAAGCUGCAGUGAUAGUUGCGACUACUGUGGAACAGAGCUCGUGCCGUUGACCUUAGUAAAGAGUUUUUCAUGUAGAAUGUUUUUGAAUGAGUUCUUGGAUGAAAAUAGUAGCUCAGAAGUCAGAAGUGGAGAUUUAUAACAAGGAGUGGAGAAUAUAUUAAUAAUUUAAUAUAUAGUUUUUGUAUUAAAUUUUGUAUUCGUCACAAAGGGAAGAAGAAAGGUAGUGGAAGGUCUCAACAAUGUGGUUUUGUUGCUUUCCAUGUUUAAUUAUUCGUUAAAUUAGUGAUUGAUUAGUACUUACUACAAAGUUGGAAUUGAAAAUGUUAGCAGCCACUAGCUUUUUGGAAUUUUCUCUUCCUUGAUCCCAUUCUUAAUUAUAAGAUUCUUUAAAAGAUUUAUUUAUCCUUAAAUAUAAGAUGAUCCAUUAGAUUCAUUUUUUAAAUAUAUCUCGUAGGACUACAUCAAACUAAGUUAACUCCAAAAUACUCACUACCCUUAUUUUGAAUACAAUAAAUUAAUUUUACUAAUAAUUGAUUCCAUUAAUCUCUCUCCAAAGCCAAACUAAUAUUGAUUUUACUAAUUCCAUUCUGUGAAGCAUCAAACGUGUAGAUACAUGAUCAUCACCAAGACCACCAAACAAUUCCUUGAUUGGGUGAGAUAUUGUGUAUUGAUAAACUUUCAGGUUACAAAAUGCACACUGAAAAUACAUUUUAUUUAUUGAACAAUUCAAGCACAAAUUGAAAGUUUAGAGACAAAAAAGGCUAGAAAAAAGAAAUUACUAUAUUUUGAUAAUUUUUUUUUGACAAAAACAGUGACUCAAUGAUAACCAACAGGAGCUGGAGCCUCUUUCAAUUCUUUUCCUUGAUGGUGAAUAUCCUACAAAAAGAAGAACACAACAUUCAGAACAAUUUAUAAUGGGUCAAAUAUAUUUAUGAAUUCAAUUGCAUGCAGUCAACAAUCCUUUGCAUUCACGCAGUUGACACAUACUUGACCAUUGAGUCGAGAAAGGAUAUGACGAUCCAUAAUUCAAUGCCCAUUUUAAUAUUUAUAAAAUUUAAAAUAUCGAUCUUAAAAUUUGAAUGGUCUAAUCUCAAUCCAACAUCCACAAAAGGACCGACUGUGUGAACGCGGAGAUUACCUAUCGUAGUUAAUUCAAAUUCUAUAUUUAUAGAGGGAUAUGAAAACAUAUUUAUCACAAUUAUAAUGAAAAUAUGGCAGACUUACAGAAGCAAAGUGAUUGACAUCCCUAUGAUGAGCCUCAUCAGCACGAAUAACAGUGACAACAUCCUUAAGAGUUGCAUCAUUUGGAAGUCUCCAAUAAUCAAUAGCAAUAGCAGGAGCAGGUACAUUUUCAACUUUACCACUUUCAAUUGCAUUCAGAUAUUGUGUGUAUGAAAUCACAGCUUCCUCCUCUAAAUAACCAACAAACCUAUGUGCUAUUUUUGGUGAGAGGAUGUAAAACACAAAGAAUCCAUUAAAGAAAACACCUUGUGCAGUAAUAACCAAAAGCCUCUCAUGCCAACUUGGUUUCACAAGCUCAACCAUUGUCAUCAAAUGCAUCCUUUCAUUCUCUGCUUCUUCAAGUAAUGCUUUGAUCCAACCACCGGCAUGUUGAAAUUUUCUUAGAGAUUUUAAGUGUAAAAGCAUCCCUCCCACCAUUCCAGGGACCGCUGCUAUUGUUUCUAGCAUCAUUGCAUGGCAACCAUAUCGUUCCUGCAAUAAUUAUAAUUCAAAUUAAUCAAUAAUUUAAUUUUGAUACAUUGUGUCGCUGUAAAAAAGUUUCGUAGAGGCUGAACUUGGAAUAACCAAGUCUCUUCUUCUCAUGUAAACCAAUCCGAUUUACUACAACACAUUACAUUGUUUUUUGGUCUUGACAAUCCGAUUUUUUCACGGAAAAAGUCCUUACCUGGUAGUAAUCCAAAGUCGGACAACGGAUUUUUUGGUCUUCAUGAAGCACCCUAAGUAAUUUUUAUGUUUCAUUUAUAUUUUAUAUAUAUAGUUGAUGGAUAGAAUUAUAUUUUAUGUAGCAGUAGAUAUUCCACAUACCUUGAAAUACAAAUCAGAGAGCACUCUUAGAAACUUGACAGAUCUGAAAGCAAACUUGUCCCCAAAUGUUUUUGGUACAUGAUGCUUGGUCACAUCUAUUGACACAUCUGAACUGUAACUUUCCCACGGCUGCGAAAAAAGAUCGUAUGAGAAAUCAUCCAAAUACAACAGCAUGCAAGAUCAAGUAACUCAUGCCCUAGAAUUAACUUUAAGAUAUUGUUUGAAAGAAUUUAUGAAAACAGUCAGUGAUUUUGUUCAAAAGUUGUUCAACUUAUUUUUAUAAGUUCUUCAAAAUAGUUAAUAAAAAUAUUUACUAGCUUAUACAAAAAUAAUUUAACUUUAUUUUACUUUUUGCUAAAGAAAUAGCUUAGUAAGUUGCAAAUAUCUAAAUCAAUUUAGAGUUAAUACCUCUUUCUAUAUAUGUAUUCUUACCAUGAAGCAGUUCCAUGGCCACUCAGUUCCAUCUUCCUUAAGAACCUUAGGCCUACUGAUACCCCAGUAACUCGAAACGACGGCGUUGUGGUUGGCAUCUUUUUUGCUCUCCUCUGUCUGCUGAUCCUUUUUCUCUGGCAAAGUUGACAUCCUCUGCCAGUACAAGUUUCCACAAGCACCGCCGCCAUGCUGGUGGUGUCUCGGCUGAACUAUCACCGCAGUUGAGAAGCUGCGGUGGUAGUUCCCACCAUUGCGGAACAAAGCUCGUGCAGUUGACCUUAAUAAAAUGUUUCUCAUGUUGAAUGUAAAUGUUUUAUGACUAUUUCGAUGAAAACGAAUUGAAGACUUAUAUUUAUACAAGCAACAAAUUUAGGAGUGUGUAUUAAUAAUUUAACAUAUAGUUUUCGUAUUCAACUUUGUAUUUGCCACAAGGACAAGGUAACUCCAAGAAGAAAGGUCGUGGAAGGUUUCAUGUGGUUUUGUUACUUUAGAUGUUAAAUUAUUGAAUUGAAUUUGCAUCAGUGGUUGUUGAUUAGUUGCCACAAAGUUGGAAUUGAAUAUGUUCAGUCAGCGUUGCCACUAAGGCUUUUGUGGACUUUUCACCUCCUUUGAUUAUUAUUGUAACUAUUUUCUUUUUGACUAGAUUAUUACUGCUUCUAUUAUUUUUGUUCAAUUCAAUUCAAUGGUUACUUUCUUUAGCGUGAUGCAAAUGUAACGCAAUAUCCCCAAGGAAGAAGGAACUAGAAUCUUGGGAAUAGUCUAAAUGCUGUUUUUUCUUUUGACUUUAGAGGAAAAUUCAUCAAAGGACGGUUUCAAGAGAAUUAUUACAAUUUACAAUCAAUUUGAAACCACAUUAUUUGUUAUUGCAUUACUUUUUUUUUGAACAAGCAUUAUUGCAGUACUUAAAUAUGUGUUUGUAUUUUUUAUUUUUUUGCAAAUACGUUUUUGUAAUGUUUCUUUUACUGAAUUUGUACAUGUAUUUUUCUUUAUUUUUGUCUUUAUCUACUUGAUAUUAAGUUCAUUAUAGAUAUCUGUUUCUAAAAUGCUGUUGAAGUUUGGAGUGGCGUUGUAUUUUUUAAAGAUGAGACGAAGAAUCAUGGUACCGUGAAAGCUAUGAAACAAAGGUUCUCUAUUUUCACGAAAGUAGCUCUUUUAGACGUGAAUUUGUCUUUUUCAUCGUCAACUCUUACUAUCCUUGGUGGAUAAAUCAGUUUUGGCAAAGAUAUUGCAAUCGUUUGGAGUUUUAACCUAACCAUAGAUUGAUUUACACAAAUUUGAGAAUUAGUGAGAUUAAUGAUCACUAAGAUUAUAAAUAUUUGUUUAAAUUAAUCAUUAUGAGAGCAUCCUAUUCUUUAUUAUAAACUCAUUUGUUAUAAUUAGGUUAGUUUAUCGGUCAAAUUAUAGAUAUAAGUCGACUAAGUUGAUUCACUUAUGAUGUAAAAGAUUCAAAUCUCAUUGUCAGAAUGAAAACUUCUUUAAUGAAUAACUUGUAAGUAUAUUUUUGAGUCUUAAAAUUUGUUGUGACCCUGAUUAACCCAAAUUCUAAUCCACGAAACGAAAUGACAAUCACCAUUAAAAAUUUACACACAUAAAUAGAAGACCCUAACUUUGAUCCAAUCACUUACAUCUACUCUAACAAUUUCAACAUUUUUGUUAGUUGAAUUAAUUUUUUUGGACCGUGUAUAUUUAUUUAAAGGGUCUUGUUAAUGAAUGCUCUCGAAACCUUAUAUAAAGAUUUAAAAAAAAAAAAUUAUUUUAUUAAAAUGUCAAAACAUUUCGAUUUCUAAUGCAUUGGUUAAAAAAAAAAUGUAUUUCGUAAAAAAUUAUCAUUUCCCUUAUCUUAUUUGAAUAAAUGGGAAAGUAUUUUUUUGAGUGUAUCUCCAAAACUGGAAAAACACCUCCCCAGGCUUAAAAAUCAAAACCCUUUCUGCCCAAAACCCAGUGGCAGAGCAUAUCAGAGCUGAGCAGUGUCACUCUACAAAUCUAUAUCUAACAUACUCAACUGCCACCGUCGAUUCUCGAACCUUCCAAUUCUUCCCACCCCCGUCACAAACGAUGUCGGAAUCAAUUUGCAGAUCCUUACGCGACGGCGCGUUAGAAGGAGAACUCUCUCCCACUCUCACUAUCAAAGACACUCUCUCUUCACCUUUCGCAUUCAACGUUUUCUCUCACAUUCUUCUUCAACUUUCCUCACCAAAAUCUCACUCCAACACUGCUAUUCUCAUCGUUGCACUUUCUCGGAGUCCCUCAUUUUAUGCUCAUUUGUUGAAAAACAAGGGAAUCGAACUUUCUUCUUCUAACAAAUGGUAAUUAUGUUCAAUUUUUAACUUCCUUCUUGUUUUAUAUUUCUGGUUUUUACUGUUUACUCUCUAUUAAAAUUUUCAAUUUUCAUUUUUAAUGUGGAGAUUGAAAUGACAUUUAGGCUCUGUUUGUUAAAAAGUAUAGAUAGUUGAUAGUGGAUGAACUUAUAAGUGAAUUGAAUUUGUAGUAAUUGAUUAAGAUAGUUCAAACAAGCUGUUGAACUAGCUGUUAAAUUUAUUAUUUUUUUAUUAACGUUAGAAAAGAUGCUGCUAGAGAGAUAGUUGAGGUAUAUAAUAGAAAAGAUGGUGGAAAAUAGGCUUAGGUGGUUUAAGCCUAUAGAGAGAAGACCUGUAGAUUCGGUGGUAAGGACAGUAGAUUGGAUGAAGGAUAGUCAGAUCACAAGAGGUAGAGGAAGACCUAGAAAAACUGAGAAACUAUUAGGAAUGAUUUAAUGAUUAAUGAGUUGGAUUGAAAUAUGAUUUAUGUAGAACAUUUUGGUGUAAGUUGGUCCAUGUAGCCGACCCCACUCAGUUGGAUAGUAAUAAUUGGUUGUUGUUGUAUUAACGUUACUUGAAGUAGCCUAGAAAAACACAUUAUAAGCUCACAAGAAACCGCUGUUAACAAAGAGGUCUAUUUUGGUCCUAUGAGCUUUUAAGCUAUAAGCUCAAACGUUCAUCUUGCCAAACAGAACCUUAGUUGUAAAACAGUUUUACACUGACUUCCAACACGAAUCCAUUAUUUUGUUAUGUCACCCCACUUUUCAUAUGGUUGGAUGCUGAUUGUGUGACGUGGAAAAAUGGUGGCUUCUCAUUGGAUGUCAGUGUAAAAUUGUUUUACCCUGGCAGAAUACAACCGUUAAACUCUUUUAGAGUUUCAUUUUUGAAAACAUGUAUAAUGUCUUCUCUAAUGUGUUAUGUUGCAGGAUUCAUGUUUUGGAUUGUUAUACAGAUCCUCUUGGUUGGAAGGAUAAGACAAGGAAAUCUGGAAAUGUUACGAUUCCUUCUGACCAAAUUUCACUUGCUACUACUUCUUACAAAUCUGUCAAGGAUAUGGAUAAGUUGUUUUUGGCGAUUACUGAAUUGGGAAGAGGUAUUUUUUGCUGUUAGGUUGUGAAUUGUGAUCUUUUUUCGCUUCAAGAAACAUAUUUAUGUCGCCUAUUGAUUUUUUUUUUCUUUUCAAUUCAUAUACUUGCAGGUUUAGUUGGAGAAAAUAAAGUCCGCUUUUGUGUUGCCAUAGACUCGGUAAAUACCGUUGACUUAACAUAGCUCUGAGUGAAGUUGAAUUUACUGUGUUGGUCUAUUCUAGUCAAUGUUUAUGGCUUUGUAAUGUAUACGGUGAUUGGUUUUUUUACAUGCAUUUAGCUGAAAAUUUUAUGAUUAUGUAACUUGUAAGAAGGAUUUUUUUUUCUUUCAUUUAUUUUCAAGCUAAAUCAAAUAACCUUGAUACAAUAAUCUUUUUAUGAUAUUCUCCAUCAGUUUCUGAGAUUUUUACCUUAUCUAUGACUAGUAGCUUGAGUCACAAACUUGAACAAUAGAUUCUCAUCAUAAGAAGAGUCUGUGUGUUUACAUUGUAGGGGAUUCAUGCUGCUUUAGUUGUUAAUUUAUUUUGUAUUUUAUAAAGUUGCUAAAAAGGUGAUUGAGACUUGAGCUCUUUGAUAUUGUUCUAUCUUUACACUUUUGAGCCCACUUCUGAUCUGGCAGGUAACCCGACCCAAUUUGUUGUUACUUAGUUGAAAAUGAUUAGGUUGAGUUGGUUAGACAGUUAGGAUGGCAGUAGAGGUAUGGUAUCUUGUCAUUUUUGAGAGAAUUGGGGCCUUUGGCUAGGAAGAUUAAGACUCUCGAAGUUCUACAAUAUCUUUGUUAUUGGACAGUUUAUCUCUAUUCAUUUUCUAAUAAAAACCAAUUUGUGAUAAGCUUCAAAGAAACUUGAAAGUAUGGAUGGAAUAUGUCAGUUUGCCUCAUCUCUUAAACUCCCCAGAAAUAAACGAGCCAUUGAGGCAUUAUAAAGAUAUCAUGUUACAACUUAAUGAUGGAAUUGGAAACUUUUUUUUGUGUAUAUAUAUGUAUCUGACUAUCUAACUUUCUUGUGCCCAUUGUCAAAAAAGAAAAAGAAUUUUUGUGCCUGCAAGUUUCCAAAAUUCCUUUUACACUAGAAUUCCUGAGCAAGAAGUUUUACAAUUACUUUCAAUUCCAUUAAUAUUCUAAUCAAGACUGUUCGGUUUCUAUGUUUUUCUUGUAUUAUUUGUUUGUGUAUAUAUAUAAUCCUAAUGGAUUCUUUUUGGAUAUUAUCAGCUAAGUGAACUGUUGAGACAUGCAUCUUUGCAGUCAGUCGCAGGCCUUCUAAGCAAUCUGCGUAGCCAUGGUAUUUUCUCUUGUACUAUUUUGAAUACAGUUUUUUGUACAGUAUGUCUAAUUUGUUUUUAUUUGAUUGAGUAAAUAUUUUAGAGUACCAGAAGUCUAGAAUGUGAGUUAGUUGAUUAUUUCAGUAGAUAAUAUUUAUGGCACGGGUUGGCUUGACACUAACAUUAUCUUCUCUUAAAUCAUUGCUGUUGUAUGAUUGCAGAUCAAAUUUCAAGUAUAUUUGGAUUAUUGCAUUCUGACCUUCAUGAGGAGAGGGCUGCAACUGCUCUUGAGUACAUGUCCUCGAUGGUGGCUAGUGUAGAAUCAGAUCAUCAUUCUUCCGAGAACUCCUUAUCGGAGAAAAACUUUACCCAAGGAAAAUUUAAUGUCAGACUCAAACGCAGAAAUGGACGAGUUAGAGUGACGGUGAUCUCUUUAUUCCUUAUUGCGAACAUAUUUGGAAUUGCUAAUCUUCAAAACCAGUGAACUGAUGUAAGAUCGCUUUUAUUCAGUGUGAAAAGUUUAAAGUUGAAGCAGGAGGAAUCAGCUUUACUUCUGUUUCAGCAGAAGAUGGAACGACCGUUGCAGGCUUACUGCCAAAGGUCAGUCAUUACUCUUUAGUUUCCUGUGAAGUCAUGUCUCUUUCACUAGAAGCAAUGGCCCAACUCCUAAUAGCCUUGUUAUUAUUAGAUAUUUAUUAUUAGUUUUCAGAUAAAAUAUAUCCAUUAAAGAGAUCUUAUUUUUGUUGUGUCCCCCUUUAUAAAAGAGAGCAUAUCAUUCAAUGGUAUUUUUUCUAAGGAAAUGAAAAUUUAGAUGCUAGGUGUGCCUAUUUGAUGCUUUGAUUGAAAUGCUGAGUGCUUCUAACAUUAAAUUUAGGAUUUUAAAUUGUGGGCCGAUUUAGAUCAUUACAGCAGAUGUAAUCUGCCCUCAUAAUCAGAUGUAGUUGCUUAGAGCACCACAACCUAGUUGAUUGUACAGGACAGUUUUUAUGAUAAAAUCUAUCAAUGUGUUAUAUAUAAUUUGCAAUUGGUAUAAUCUGUUUUGAAGAAACAUCUCAUGUGCUGAUGCCAUGCCUGCACAUGCUAAGCACUUAGUUUGUUCACCUUCUCGUAUACACAUGACGGUACUUUUACAGAAUAUACACGUAUAUGCAUCGUAAACACAGUCACAAACAGUUGUAACAGAGACCAAACAAGAUAUGGUGUGUGAUAUGAAGCUGAAAACUUUGCAUUGACCGCAAAUAAAUAAUAGGUUGAAACUUUAUGUUUUUAACAGGUACAAUUCAAUCUCCAACUGUCAGAGAAGGAGCAAGUUGAUAGGGCAAAGGUUGUGCUUCCUUUUGAACACCAAGGUAUGAUAUAGAUUUGUAAUUGAGCCAUUUCUUACGGUGUUUAAAUCAUAUAUGUCCUCUUAUGCCUAAGCUCUUCUCUUUUAGGAAAUGGUGCACCGAUUCAAAUUUAUGAUGGUAGAAGAUCCCUUGAAGAGAGCAGCAGUGACGGGGCACCUCUUUCAAAGGGUAAAAAGGAGGACUCAGACCUAGGUGAGAUUAUAUAUUUUCGUGAUUCAGAUGAUGAGAUGCCAGAUUCCGAUGAAGACCCAGAUGAUGAUUUAGAUAUAUGAAUGUGCUUUAGUUAGUGUCUUAUGUAUUUCUAGGUGACUUAGAUUAGGAUUGUGAUCAAACAAAAUUAUUUAAAAAAAAAUCUGCCCGAUAUUGUUUAGCCAAUGUUGUCAAAAUUGCGCGUUAAAACGUAAAAUUGCCCUAUUUUGAGCGACUUGACUUGCAGUGAAAUCGAAAUACAAUCCGAUUUUGAGCAAUUUGAGUGAAAUCAGAAUACAUUCUGAUUUUGAGAGAUUUGAGUGAAAUCGGAACACAAUCCGAUAUUGAGGGAUUUGACUCGCAGUGAAAUUGGGUAAAAUCGAGGUACAAUUGAGUUAAUUUAUUUUGAUUUUACUCGUUUUUAUUACCCAAUAUUGAAGAAAUUAACUUUUUUUGGGGUUUGUUUUAACUUUUAACUGUUGACAACUUUAGAAACUUAUUAAACUCUUCUCUUUUGGGUAGUUUUUUGUGUGGAUGUUUUUAUGAUUUGGAUUGAUAAUUUAUGCUGUUUGAUACAAGUUACGAGCUUGACACUUCAUUAUGGAGAUUUGGUAUGUUUAUGAUUUAUAAUUAAGUUGAAAUUUUGGAUUAUUGAUGCAUUUAUAGUUUUUUUAGUAAUGCAUUUAUAAUAUUAUAUAAGUAUGUGUAAUUUAUAUAAUAAUUUUAAUAUUAUUUUAGUUUACAAUUCGAUUCCAUCUAGGCAAAACGAGUUCAUAUAAAAACUCGAGUUGACAACCUUAUGUUUAACUCAACUGAAUAAUUCAUCACAUUCGUCAUAUUGUACAGCCUACAUAGAAACCUGAAAUUGAUUUUAUGAUUUCGACAACAUAUCUAUUUAGUGCUCAGUUUUUACUAUUAUCUCUCUGUCACUACGCUCUUCGUUCCCUCGUUUCUAAUCUAUCUUAGCGUGGUUAUUGACCAAAUUCCUCUACGUUUUUGUCGCCGUAGAAGUUUAUGUCAUCGACUGGUCUUCAACCAAACCAAACCUACUCAUAAGUCACAACCAGGCAGAGAUGCCAAACCUACUCACAACCAGGCAGAGAACUGAAAACAUAUGUAUAACAGACCAUUGUGCCACCAUAUUGACAUGUAACAAACUGCAAAAACUGAAUACAAAUCUACAAACGAUUAUACCAAAAUUGGACAGGUAGCAAAAUAAAAACCUCAAUUAUGUUUUAAUUUUUUGCAGUAAAGAAAGCCUGAAUUAUGUUGAUAUAAGAUUCUGUUGAGGUAUUUAUAUGCCAUACAGCAGACUACAAAAUUACUCCAGUUACAAAAUUGCUCACAGUUACAAUCUAAACACCGUAAACAACACCAUAGAGCUCAUCUAAACCCUUCAUAUGAUGAAGAUUGUUCUUUUGACACCGAAAAAUUGCUCACAGGCACCUAAAACACGUCGAACGAAAGUUAAUUGCAGUUCAGGCACUUUUUAAAUCAGUUAAACUGAUUUAAAAAGUGUUCUCAAAAUAUUGGUUUUCGGCAUUCAUCAUUUUCAACUUGAUUUGUACAUAGCAUUCAUGUUUUUGAAAAAUCUGUAUGGUAAGCAAAUGGCAUUUAUGAAUGUCUAGUCUAAUGUGAGAGAUUUGGCCCCCUAAUUGUUCGGUCGGUCCUAAUAACAUAAUAACUUCUGUAUGGUUAGUACCGUAUAUAUCUCUUACACAUCCACAAAUCCAUAAUCAAACACAUCACUAGUUUAGAGUCAGACAAAAAGGAGUUCUUGAUAAUCCUCAACCUUAGUACUUGAUCCAAACCAAACCAUUCAUUGUAGAGAUGUCUUCUGCAGCAAUAACAACAGUACUUGCUUUCCUUAUCUUCACUUUCACAUAUUUUUUAUCCAAACUAUUCUUGCAUCCAAAACAAAAAACCAUCAAUCAUAAAAAGCCACCAGGUCCACCAUCACUACCAAUAAUCGGAAACCUCCACAUAUUAGGCACCCUUCCACAUAGAACACUUCAAUCACUCUCCAAACAAUAUGGUCCAAUCAUGUCCUUACAACUAGGUCAAGUCCCAGCUAUUGUCAUUUCAUCUUCAAAAGCCGCAGAGUCAUUCGUCAAAACCCAUGACAUCGUUUUCGCAAACCGACCGGAACUUGUAGGAGCACAGAUCAUGUCUUAUGGUUGCAAAGGGUUGGCGUUUUCUAAGUACGACUCUUAUUGGCGUAGUGUGAGAAAACUUUGUACUUCAAAACUUCUUAGUGCUUCGAAAGUUGAGAUGUUUGGUCCUAUUAGGAAGGAGAAGUUGGAUGUUUUGGUUAAAUCUUUGGAGAAAGCUGCUCUGGAGGGUGAGGUUGUGAAUGUUAGUGAGGCUGUAGAGAAUGUUAUAGAGGAUAUUGUGUAUAAGAUGGUGUUGGGUCGGAGUAAGUAUGAUCAUAUUGACCUAAAGAGGUUGGUUCAAGACGUAAUGGCUUUGAUUGGAGCUUUUAAUAUGGCUGAUUAUGUUCCUUGGUUAGGCACAUUUGAUCUUCAGGUAAUAUUUUUUUUAAGUAUUCAAAGUAUCUGCAUUGUAAAAUCAGUAUGAUUAACAUAUUUGCAUAUGACCAAAAUCAAAAUGAACUAUAUGUUAUAAAGACUAAAACCGAAACACCAAAAAAGAAAAUAUUUAAUGUUUUCAGUUUUAAAAACAAAUAAAACAUUUAUGGUUCCAUUAAGUUCACUGAAAAUAUUCAAUUAGAAAUUAACGUUAUCAAUUUGACUAUUUGUUAGGGCUUAACACGAGCCUGCAAAAGAACCAACAAAGCACUUGAUGAGGUGUUGGAGAUGAUAAUAUCAGAGCAUGAACAAACCACUAAUACAGACAAAACUCGUCAUGAAGACUUUGUAGACAUACUUCUCACUUUUAAGCACCAAAACAUUGAUCAUGGGAGUGAACAAAAUCAUGUCAUUGAUCGAACUAACAUCAAAGCUAUUUUACUAGACAUGGUUGUGGCAUCAUUUAGUACAUCUGCUACCACAAUUGAGUGGGCUUUAUCCGAACUUUUAAGGCAUCCAAGAGUGAUGAAAAAUCUUCAAGAUGAAAUACAAAAUGAAGUAGGAAAUAAGAGAAUGGUUGAAGAAAAGGAUUUGAAGAAUUUUAAUUACUUAGAUAUGGUGGUUGAUGAAACUUUAAGACUUCAUCCAGUUUCACCCUUCUUACUCCCUCGUGAAUGUAGAGAGAACAUAACAAUUGAUGGUUAUUUUGUAAAGGAAAAGACACGAGUUAUAGUAAAUGCAUUUACAAUAGCGAGAGAUCCUAAUGUUUGGUCAGAAAAUGCUGAAGAAUUUUGUCCAGAGAGGUUUAUUAAUAAGAAAUUGAAUUAUGAAGGACAAGAGUUUGAAAGUAUACCAUUUGGAUUUGGUCGUAGGCGUUGCCCUGGAAUUCAAUUGGCUUUGAGGACUGUUAGGUUAAGCAUAGCUCAAUUGGUGCAUUGCUUUAAUUGGAAACUUCCAUAUAAUAUUAGUCCUUCUAAUUUGAACAUGGAUGAGAAAUUUGGACAAUCUAUACAUAGAGCUCAACACUUACACGCAAUACCAAGUUAUCGUUUGGCAGGUGAUGGCAAGCUUGAAUAGUAGUUCCAAGAGGGACAAUAUUAUGUUUGCAUUCAACAAGGUUAUUACUAGUAAAGAUGCUUUAUUUUUAAUUAGUCUAAUGGUGUUUGUAUAAAAUAUGUUAAUGAAUACUUUUGAUGGCUGAUUCUGCACACAUAUGUGAGCUAACUUAUGAACUACAGUGUAUUUGGGCUAAACAACCUAAUAGUUAAAUGUUUAUGAACUAAAAGCUUAUUAUAGGAAAGGAAGAGAUAUUGCAUUAAAACUAUCUUUACAUAAAUGCCAAUUAUCGUGGUAUAUGUGUAUGAAUUACUUGUAGCCUUGUAGGGGAAUUUUCUCCCCCCAUCACUAUCCAAAUUUAGAAGUGGCAAAACAGAUUUAUCCUUUGAAUUGGUCCGUUUAACCCACCAUUUUAAGCAAAUUGAGUUGACGUUUUAAGUUCAUUCUCUAAUUUGUCCGUCCCAUCUAGCCUGAUGAAAAAGUGGGUUUUGAGCUGCAGGCUUAUGAAAAAUUGUUUCUUUAUUUUUAUUGUACUAUAGUCAAUAAGAAAGUGGCCAAAUUUUUAAAGAUUGUUUUUACCCUUAAAAAUAGUCGGAGGAUUUUUGUUUUAUUCAUACAAGAGAAUUUAAGACAAGAAGCAUAUUUUAUCUAAUUAUGCUCCUUUAGUUUAUAGUUAAAUAUUUACAUAUUUUCUUAAAUAACUAAGAAGUUUUUUUUUGAAGGAUUAAAUAACUAAGAAGUUAGAGAUUUCACGUACUUAAAAAAAAAAAAAGUUUGAGAUUUCAUUCUUUGACAAAAAUUCUAACUCAAUUUAAGUUCGAAAGAACACCAAGUCACCAACUGUACAUGAUUUAUUAAAAAUAAAAUAAAAAGAGGCGACAUAAUAUUCCUAUCGUAGAUGCAUAAUUUUUUUUAGAUGUAAUGUAAUUGAAUAACUACUAUUUCUCUAAUGUUUCUUUGGAGGGAACUAAAUCGUCAAUAUCUUUGGAGCGGAGUUAUUUGCAUCGAAUGGAAUGUGUACUUUUUUUUGCAGCACAAUAUUUGUUUUUGUCAAAACAACAAUAAUAAAAGAAUAUUUAAACCAAAAAUACAAUUAUUUUUUUCUUAUGUGUUUUCAAUAAUUGAUACUAUUAAUGUAACUCUCUGUUAGGGAUUAACACGAGCCUGCAAGAAAACAAGUAAAUCACUUGAUGAGGUGCUGGAAGUGAUAAUAACAGAGCAUGAACAAACAACUAAUGUAGACAAAACUCAUCAUGAAGACUUCGUAGACAUACUACUCUCAAUUAAGAACCAAACCAUAGAUCAAAAGAAUGAACAGAAACAUGUUAUUGAUCGACCAAACAUUAAGGCAUAUUACUAGACACGGUUAUGGCAGCAAUUGAAACAUCUGCUACCGCGAUUGAAUGGGCUUUUAUCUGAACUUUUAAGGAAUCCAAGAGUGAUGAAAACCCUUCAAGAUGAUAUACAAAAUGAAGUAGGAAAUAAAAGAAUGGUCGAAGAGAAAGAUUUAGAGAAGUUAAGUUACUUAGAUAUGGUGGUUCAUGAAACUUUAAGACUUUACCCUGUUGCACCCUUGUUACUCCCUCGUGAAUGUAGAGAGAGUAUAACAAUUGAUGGAUAUUUUAUAAUGGAAAAGACACGAGUUAUAGUAAAUGCAUGGGCUAUAGAGAGAGAUUCUAGUGUUUGGUCAGAAAAUUAUGAAGAAUUUCAUCCAGAAAGAUUUAUUGACAUGAAAAUGAAUUAUGAAGGACAUAAGUUUAAAUCUAUACCAUUUGGUUCUGGUCGUAGACGUUGUCCUGGAAUUGAAAUGGGUUUGAUCACAAUUAAAAUGGUUAUAGCUCAAUUGGUACAUUGCUUUAAUUGGGAACUUCCAUGUAAUAUUAGUCCUUCCAAUUUGAAUAUGGAGGAGAAAUUUAGAUCACUCUAUUCCAAGGGCUCAACACUUGCACGCAAUACCGAGUUAUCACUUGACAUGUGACAACAAGCAUGAUUAGGUUCAAGAAGGAAAAUGCUAUGUUUAAUUUGUAUUCGUCAAAAUAUUAUUAAUUACUAAAUACAUUAACUUUUUUUAAAAUUUAGAUCGAUUAAUAACUUGUCUUUGCGUCUGAUUUGCAGUAGGGAAGAGGGGUAUGUUAUUCAUAUUAUGCAUAGUUGUCCAAUGACAGUUUUGGCUUGGAACCACUUUGUAGAUAAUAAAUGGAAGCUUGUUUCUAAUAGGAAUUUGUUUUACAGAAUUGAGAUGAACUUUUAUAUUGGGUAAGCUUCGGAGUGUGCGGUUAUGGUGCUUAAGGAACCAUUUCCAUAGUAAAAUGGUUUUGACAUAAUUGGGUUGAGAUUUAUACAGGGUGCUGGAAACCAUUAAGUACAUCUAAUAGUUUUUGAGUAUAACUCACAAAAACCAUUUCUAAAUUUAUGCAGGAUCGUAAGGAUUUCUUUAUGCACCAUAACCACGCCAGCUUUAAAGUCAUUUGUUAUUUAUUGUUGAGGUGAAGAGAUAAUUUAGUGCAGUCCUCUUCAUGCUCUACUUGGGAUUUGAAUAAACUAUCAAUUAAUUCUUAAUUAUGACUCCAUCUUCAACUUAGUCUUUUUUUUUUCUUUUUUUUUUGAGAGAGUCUUCAACUUGUUCUUAAACUAUAUAAAUUUAGUCUUUAACAUAUACUCAUUUCUGUCCUUAUUAUAAAAAGAAAAACACUUGAUCAAAAAAAUAAAAAUAAAAAGAAAAACAAAAAAAAUAUCAAAACCAAUGCAAUCAUUAUUUAAUGUAACUUUUUUGAUAUUUUUACAAAUAUACUCUAAUAAAAAAUUAUAAAACAUUAAAUACACUCAUUAAUAUUAAAAAUAUAAACAUUAAAUAAAGGAGUAUUAAAACUUUUUAAACAAUAAAUACACCUUAAAAUUUGCCAAAAAAAACUACAUUUUAAAAGUUGUGACGUUUUCUUAUAAAUAUAACCAUUUAAAAAAAAAUUAUAAUAAGAAUAAGAGGGAGUAUAAAAUAUAUGUCAGUUUAGUCUUUACUCGUAGAAUUUUCAUUUACUUUAAGUAUUGUUAUGAAAUUAAUCUAAAGUAUGGCAAGAUAUUGUGCAACAUCGAAGAGUAGAGAGAAAAUGAUACAGGGAGAACAAAAGAGUAUAUUGUAUUGCUUUUCAAGUGUGUUUUCACACUAAAAUACGAGUAUUAUUUAUAGGAUACAAUCUGAGCAAGUGAAUGAUCAAAGUAAUUAAGGACCAGUAACCAUCCCUUCACUUAUAGGACUUAUAGGAAUGUGGAAGAUUAAGGAUGGACAUCCACUAAGUUAAUUAUUCAUAACACUCCCCCUUGGAUGUCUAUCAUGAUAUGCAUCGUUAAAACCUCACUAAACAAAACCCCGUUGAAAAAAAAUUCUAGCAAAAGUUCUUAAAUUCACUUGAUAGUGAAAUAUGAAACUCCCUGAAGGAUUUCAUAUGAAAGAUGUGUUACAAUUUAUAUAUAUGGCUCACUUGAUAGUGAAAUAUGAAACUCCCUAUAAGAUUUCAUAUUUCACUAUGAAAAAGUUCUUGAAUUCACUUCUGGUGAAUAUAUCUGUAAAGAAUAUAUGUCUUUUAAAAAUAAAUGGUAGACAUUUACCCAUUCCUUCUUUGAACUUUCAAGAUAUCAUUGGUAUAUUAUUACCUAAAGUAAUAUUAAAAACACUCUCUUUUGAACACUCUCUAAUACUUAGAUUUAAAUCAUUGUGGGUGGGACAUCCCAACAAAGUGGUGGGAUAUCCCGUCAUCCAUCUCAACCAUCCCUCAUACCAUGCAGUCAUGGGCAUCCAGUCAUCCACUUAUACAAAAUGGUGGGACAUCCAGUCAUCCACAAACACACCACUCGUUUAGAGAUGAUACCGGUUCUUAUAGCCCUCACUCCUCACUCUUGGUACUUGAAUUGUAGACAUGUCUUCAGCAACAAUAAUAACUACAUUACUUUAUUUCCUUCUCUUCACUUUCACAUGCUUUUUAUUCAAACACUUCUUACAUCCAAAACAAAAAAACAUAAACCAUAAAAAGCCACCAGGUCCACCAACACUACCAAUAAUUGGAAACCUUCACCUAUUAGGUAAACUUCCACAUAGAACACUUCAAUCACUCUCCAAAAAAUAUGGUCCAAUCAUGUCCUUACAACUUGGUCAAGUUCCAACAAUUAUAAUUUCUUCUUCAAAAGCUGCAGAAUCAUUCCUCAAAACUCACGACAUCAAAUUUGCAAGCCGGCCAAAGAUUCAAGGAACUGAACUCAUAACAUAUUGAUGUGAUCCUAAAAAUUAUCUCUCUUGACAAGAAUAAUAAAGUCAUUGUGGAAUAAAAGAACCAAAUUAAUUUUGGGUUCAAAGUUUUAUUUUCGUAGGUCAUGAUAUGUCUGUCUUGUUUUGGCUAUAUCUGGAGCUCUGGAUGUCCGUUUGAGGUGAUCUUUAACUCGUUGGAAAGCUUACGAAAUUCUCUACAUUUCAUCUAUUUGAUUCAAGAUCAAAUUCGGAAUAUUUAAUGGUGUAAAAUGAGUUGUAAGUUGAAAACGUGGUUAAAGUGUGUAAGCUGAAGAAUUAAAGGUGUUUGUGGAAUUGUAACGUCUAGAAAUAAUUAGCCUUCACAAAUCAAUGUGCAAAUGAAUAUGUAACCUCCUCAUGCAUUGAUUAGCCACCAGCUUAGAGAGUCAUUUUGUAACAUUUUAUUUGCAUUAAUCAGCCACCAAAACAUUAUUGUAAUUAGUGGUUGCAUUUCCUUUCAUUUUCUAAGAGUUUUAGAGUCAAAAUCAUCAUGUAAUAAGCUCAUAUAAAUAGAGCACGAAAAUGAUAUGAAAAAGAAGUUGAAUAUUAUAGAAUUUUACACAUAUGUGUAUUGAGAGCUUUGUCUCUUGUGGUUCUGGAUUGAACCAACCUUGAUCUUAUCAAGAAAUCAUAUUUCUUGUGGCGAUCCUCGCAUCCAUAGACUUAUCACUUUCUUGGAUUAGAAAGUGUGGCGUCCCUGUCUAUCCAUUACAUUUCUUCAUUUUUUAGUCUUUUCAUCAUUUCCACCAACAAUAUUCAUAAUUCACUUCCGACGGCUCCGUGACAUUCAUCAUUUGGUAAUCAGAGCUUAGGUUCAAAUCAGGUGUUUUCUAUCCUUUUAAUUUAUUUGAUUUUUGUUGUUCUACAUCAAAGUUUGAAAAAAAAAAAUGUCUCAAGAAAUCCAAGCUUCAAUAGAAUAUUUUGAUAAAGUAUGGAGAGAGAAAAUGCUUGAGGAUAUCAAGAGGAGAUCAAGUCAUUCUUCUCCUCUUAAAGAGUUACAAAGAAAUAGGAGAGAGAAAAUGAUGGCAAUAAUUGAUAGAGGAAUGGCUGAUAUCUCUAAAAUACUAGAGGAAAAUCUCUUUCAAAUCCAAAAUCAUUAUAUAGAGCCUAAAAUAGAUAUUGAAGAAAAAGAGAGUCUCAUUGUAAAGGAAACUCACGAAGAAGAAUGUGAAAAGGAAAGAGAAGAGACAAAAGAAAGUGACGAAAAACAAGUAGAGGAAAAAGGAGAAGAAAAGGAGAAUGAGAAGGAAAAGGAAGAGAAAAAUGUUAGGAAGUUUUGGCCUACUAUUACAUUAGUACCUUCUUCUAAGUUGGUUUGUGUUUUUAAAUGUUGGGAUUCUUCUUCUAAUAUUAUUCAAUUGCCUAACAUUUCUUUAUGUCAUGAAGGAAACAAAGAGAAUGAAGAAACUUUUUCUCAACAAGUGGAAGAAAAUUAUGAGAUUUGGAACGAUGAUCAUGUCCAUAAAUCAAAAGUGGAUGAAAAGAAAACUAAUUCUUCCAAUAAAAGUGAAGAGCUCUCUAAAGUUAAAGUUACAUGUGAUGGAUUCCAUAGAUUUAUUUUUGACCCAGGAGGUAUUCAAGCUAUAAAUUCGAGGUCGAAUUCUCUUGAAGAGGGAGAGUAUGAUGUGAUCCUAAAAAUUAUCUCUCUUGACAAGAAUAAUAAAGUCAUUGUGGAAUAAAAGAACCAAAUUAAUUUUGGGUUCAAAGUUUUAUUUUCGUAGGUCAUGAUAUGUCUGUCUUGUUUUGGCUAUAUCUGGAGCUCUGGAUGUCCGUUUGAGGUGAUCUUUAACUCGUUGGAAAGCUUACGAAAUUCUCUACAUUUCAUCUAUUUGAUUCAAGAUCAAAUUCGGAAUAUUUAAUGGUGUAAAAUGAGUUGUAAGUUGAAAACGUGGUUAAAGUGUGUAAGCUGAAGAAUUAAAGGUGUUUGUGGAAUUGUAACGUCUAGAAAUAAUUAGCCUUCACAAAUCAAUGUGCAAAUGAAUAUGUAACCUCCUCAUGCAUUGAUUAGCCACCAGCUUAGAGAGUCAUUUUGUAACAUUUUAUUUGCAUUAAUCAGCCACCAAAACAUUAUUGUAAUUAGUGGUUGCAUUUCCUUUCAUUUUCUAAGAGUUUUAGAGUCAAAAUCAUCAUGUAAUAAGCUCAUAUAAAUAGAGCACGAAAAUGAUAUGAAAAAGAAGUUGAAUAUUAUAGAAUUUUACACAUAUGUGUAUUGAGAGCUUUGUCUCUUGUGGUUCUGGAUUGAACCAACCUUGAUCUUAUCAAGAAAUCAUAUUUCUUGUGGUGAUCCUCGCAUCCAUAGACUUAUCACUUUCUUGGAUUAGAAAGUGUGGCGUCCCUGUCUAUCCAUUACAUUUCUUCAUUUUUUAGUCUUUUCAUCAUUUCCACCAACAAUAUUCAUAAUUCACUUCCGACGGCUCCGUGACAUUCAUCACAUAUGGUUCCAAAGGGUUGGCUUUUUCUAAGUAUGGUCCUUAUUGGCGUAGUGUGAGGAAACUUUGCACUUUAAAACUUCUUAGUGCUUCAAAAGUUGAGAUGUUUGGUUCUAUUAGGAAGGAAAAGUUGGAUGUUUUGAUUAAGUCAUUGGAGAAAGCUGCUUUGGUGAGUGAGGUUGUGAAUGUUAGUGAGGUUGUAGAGAAUCUUAUUGAGGAUAUUGUGUAUAAGAUGAUAUUGGGUCGGAGCAAGUAUGAUCAAUUUGACUUAAAGAGGGUGGUUCAAGACGUAUUGGCUUUGGUUGGAGCUUUUAAUCUGGCUGAUUAUGUUCCUUGGCUAGGUGUAUUUGAUCUUCAGGUAAUUUUUUCAAGUAUAAAAUCAAAAAUAAAGGAUUAAAUAUCGAAUGUGCAAUUUUAGUCAUGAUCUUUUUAAUUGUACGACUUUGUUCUGUAAAUAUUGUUGUGAGAUAUUAGUCUCCACUUUUAAUCCUAAGCAUCAUCAAACAUCAUGGUUGUUUGUAAUUGAAAAGAGAAUGGUAAAUUGCAUGACACUAGCCAUCAUGAAUAAUUAUGAUGUACGAAUCAAGGGUACUUCUGGUUGGUGUUAGAGGGAGAGGGGGUCUUUAGAGGCCAUGGUCUGGUCCCUCCUAUAUUUUUAAUAAUUUUUUUAUUUAUAUACUAUAAUUAAACUAUAUUAUAAUAUUUCAUAAAAUAUAUUAGGCUAUAGUCCCCUCAAUUGAUUUAAUUAAAACGUUCACCAUAUUAUUAGAUUUAUUGACAACUAGUAUUAUUAGUUUGAUAUGUUAUAUUUUAUUUUAAAUUAUCUCACAUUGUCCUUUCCUCAACAUAUUUUAAAUGGAAUAAAACACAAUGAUAUAGCGUUGCAAAAUAAAAGGUGAUUACAAUUAUUACCUUUUUUGAUAGUAAAUGGAUGGAUAAAUAAAUGUUAAAGACGAGUUAAUGUUAUGCUUAUAUGCAUUUGUAUAUAUUUUGACUAUAAAUUUAGAUCUUUACGAAUAAUAUUAAUAUUUUAUUUAAUUAUAAUAAAUAAAUUAAUAUAUGUGUAGUGGUGUCAAUGUCCUAAGUUAUUUACAUUAAUAGUGUUGACGUGUCAGGUGUUCGAGUCAAAGUCCAUGCUUCAUAGAUUAAGUGGUUUGAGUUAUGUAGGUUUUGAUUUUGUAACAUCAAGAAACUUGAUUUAAAUUUGACUAAGAGUUGUAAAAUGAAUAUUAGUGUCACCGUUAUUGAUAAUAAUUUUUUUAAAUGAUAAAUAACAUUUAAAUCAAAAAUAAAAAUCAUAUUUUAAUUUUGUGUGUUUUCAAUUUUUGUAUGCUCAUAUGGUUCUGUUAAAUUAGGUGAAAAUAUUAAAUUAGCAAUUGACAUUAUUAAUUUAACACUUUGUAUAGGGAUUAACACGAGCAUGCAAGGAAACGGGUAAAGCAAUUGAUGAGGUGUUGGAAGUUAUUUUAACAGAGCAUGAACAAACCACUAAUGUAGACAAAAAUCGCCAUGAAGACUUUGUUGACAUACUUCUUACAUUUAUGCACCAAACCAUUGAUCUAGAAAAUGAAGAAAAUCAUUUCAUUGAUCGAACUAACAUCAAGGCAAUUUUACUAGACUUGACUGUGGCAGCAAUUGAUACAUCUGCUACCGUGAUUGAAUGGGCUUUAUCCGAACUUCUAAGACAUCCAAGGGUAAUGAAAAUCCUUCAAGAUGAGAUACAAAAUGAAGUAGGAAAUGAAAGAAUGAUUGAAGAGAAAGAUUUAGAGAACUUAAGUUACUUAGAGAUGGUGGUUCAUGAAACUUUAAGACUUUACCCUGUUGCACCCUUAUUACUCCCUCGUGAAUGUAGAGAGAGUGUAACAAUUGAUGGAUAUUUUAUAAAGGAAAAGACUCGAGUUAUAGUAAAUGCAUGGGCUAUAGGGAGAGAUUCAAAUGUUUGGUCAGAAAAUGCCGAAGAAUUUUACCCAGAGAGAUUCAUUGGCAAGAAAAUGAAUUAUCAAGGACAAGAGUUUGAAUCUCUACCAUUUGGUUCUGGCCGCAGACGUUGUCCUGGAAUUCAAUCGGGUUUAGUGACCGUUAAGUUGGUUAUUGCCCAAUUGGUGCAUUGUUUUGAUUGGGAACUUCCAUAUAAUAUCAGUCCUUCCAAUUUGAAUAUGGAGGAGAAAUUUGGACUCACUAUACCAAGAGCUCAACACUUGCAUGUAAUACCGACUUAUCGUUUGGCAUGUGAUGACAGGGUUGAAUAGGUUCAAGAAGGACAAUAUUAUGCUUGUAUGCAAUAAGUUUAUUACUAUAUUAAAGGACAAUCUUAAAACCCUCUUUUAUUCUACUAACCCUCUCUCAUCAUGUUUUUUGUAACUUGGUUUCGAAUCCGUACGCGGGUUCGCUGGAUUGCGCUCAUGGUGAGAGUUAGUUUGUUAGGAUUGAUUAGGGUAGUUUCAUUUUUCUGUUUUACACGAUGUAUUUCCGUUUGGGUUAUUUCUGGGUCAGGUGCAAUGUCCCCCCAGCUCUUUACCUUUUGUUCUUUUAUGUUAUUUUAUUUCUAUUUUUGCUAUAAAAAAAAAAAAAAAAGUAUAGUAGGUCUAAUGGUAUUUUUCGAUGAUUCUAGGGUGAAGAGAACUAGACUUGCUUUUCUACAUUUGAGCACAUACUUUAAAUAAUUUGAAGGAGCAUUUAUACUUUAAAAUAGACUACAUAAACAAAAUGGAUGAUUUUCAUACUAUUUGUUAAAAUUAAAAAUUAUUUUUCAAAACUAGAUAUCAUAAACUUUCCAGUAAAUGGUCAGUUGCUUAAUUCUGACACCGUUUUCUAUAUUAAUAUAAUCGAUGAAGUUUAUGAUAAAAUGCAGAAAAAUGUGAGAAAAUGAUCAAUAAUUAAAGUAUGCAUACCAUAUUAUUUAUAUUUUCAUACAGGUUGCAAAAUGAUUUCUGUUAUCAAAAUAUGUUUUGAGCUAUGAGUUCCUUAGAAGACUAGACAAAAUAAGGAACCAAGUUGUGAGCCUCCCAUUUAUGGGGAGGACAAGUUCCAUGUCCCAGCAUACUAACUUAUUUAACUUAAUGUUUUAAUUUACUUUAAGAAGAUAUUUAAUUGCAUUUGCACCCAAAACCAAUGUCUUAGUGUUCAAGAGUUUUAGAGUUUGAAAUUCAUAGCACUAUUUAGAUGAUGCGAUGUGAAGGUACGAACUUAAUAAAUAAAGACAGUGAAAUGUUUGUUGUAAUUUAAACCUUCAACAGGUAAGGGGACCUACUCACAUGCUAAGAAUAAUAGAUAUGUUUGGUUAUAUAUACCGUUGGUGUACACAUCUGAUGCGGUGUAUUCUAUGAUUCUUGUAUACACAGGUCAUUAGUUUAUUACUAUAAAUAUAAUAAUUUUUUGUUUUAAUUUCUCUAAAUUUGUUUUUUGAUUGUUAGUUAUGAAAAAUAUUUUAAUCACCAUUUUUUUUUUAAAGAAAUAUGAUUAUAACAUUUCAUUAAUAAUAAAAGAUUCAAUACAAUCAGGUAUGUUAAAAUAAACAAUGAGACUAGUUAGAAACGUGACUUCUCUUACAAGCACAUGAGCAACCAUAUUUGUUUGUCGCCUAGCAAACUCCAUAGAGUUGGUAAAAGAAGAGCUGAAUAGAGAUCGACAAGAAGAAAUAAUGCAUGCAAAUCCAGAAAUGUCGUCUCGAGUAAUCUUGGAAUCAGUUUCAAAAUCAACAUUAUUUAUCAAAUUGCAUAUCACUCAACCAGUGCAUAGCACUAUGUAACAUGAAUGCUUCACCAACAUCAACCGAGUAAAUACAUGGAAAACUGGCAACUUUUGCCAAGACAAACGCACCUUCAAAAUCCCGAACACAAAUGUCAAUUCUAGUUUGGUUAAGAUUAGAUGAGAACGCAACAUUGAUGUUACACUUAUACCUACCUGACAAAGGACGUUCCCAGCAAUUGGAACCCGCGGGUCCUGUACUGCUAAUUGUAUCCAAAGUUGCGGCCGAAUGCUCCCCACCAUGAGGUUGUUGCGCUUGCUGCUGAGUUGUGGGAGCAGCUAUGCUAGAGGCAUUUGCAAGAUGCCAAUCGUUGACAAGUUCUUUGCACGCUCAACAAUCGUGGCACUUACCUAUAUGACAUCAUCCCAAACUUUUAGAUUACCAUGCUUCCAAAGGCUCCAUAAUGUUGCUGCCAACCGUUGGUUUUGUUCGGAAUAUAAUGUAUCCAAUAACAAAAUGAUAGUUUCAGUUGUUAAAGUAGUAAAUUGAAUAGCAUGUUGAAUAGCUCCCCAAAUAUUUGUCAUAUGCCAUACCUGGACAUGAUCAAAAGAACAAUAAAAAUAAUUAAGUGAGCAAGAUCCUCAUGGUUUGAGUUACAACUAACACAAUGUGUAGGACAUUGGAUUCCUUUAUCAAGGAGACGAACACGAGUCGGUAAGUAGCCCCGGCACAUACGCCGCACUAAAUUUUUAACUUUAGGAGGAACCUUAACCUGCAAAAUUCCUGACCAAGAACCUGGACAACGAGAAUGAGAAGAAACAACGGGCUCGUCCAAACAAAGCGGAUAAUCACUACACACAGAAUAACGACUAUUCUUUUCCGCUUUCCAGAUUAAACGAUCAUCUUGGAACUAGGCAAUAAGUGGCGUGUUAAAAAUCUUAUCAGCUAUAUCAACACUAAGAACCUAGCGAACUACCUCUUCAUUCCAGCUCUAGUCGUAUAGAUUAAUCAAAUUAUUAAUGGUAACAUUCUAACCAAAACGAGCUCCUAUAAUACUUCCAUCAAUACACUCUCCGUCAGAUAACCAAGGGUCAUUCAAAAUAGAAAUAGAAGAGCCGAAAUCAAUACUCCACCAAGCACCUCCACAAACGAUAAAUCGGGUGCGCAGAAUGUUGUGCCACACAUAGCUAGGAUUGUGGCCAAGUUGUGCCAUGAGAUAGGUAUGGAAGGGAAAAUAUUGUGCUUUAAAAAUACAAGCGACAUGAGAGUCAGGUUCCAUAAGAAAUUCCUAACCUUGUUUACCCAACAUAGCCAAGUUGAAAGCGGGGAGGUCCUUAAAACCCAUUCCCCUAUGAACCUUGUGUACUAACAACUUCUCCCAACUCAUACAGCUAAUAUUGCGUUGUGUAGUUCUACCAUGACGCCACCAGAAGGAAUUCAUCAUCUCUUCGAUACUGUUAAUUAACGUAAUUGGUGAUAAAAAAAUGCUCAUAACAUAAAAAGGAAUGACCUGCAAGACAAAUUUAAUCAUAACCUCACGCCCUGCCUUAAUUAGUUAAGCAUUUACUACUCUAGGAAUUAAUUUUCUGCCAAACUCGAUCUUUGAUAUAAGCAAAAGUUGCAUUUCGAUCCCUAUACCAAUCAUAGAUGGUAAACCAAAUAUUUGCCGAUUCCCAAUAUCGCCUGAACCCGAAGAAUGUUAGUAAGAGUCAGUUUGAGAAGGUCAGGAACAUUUCGACUACAAUAAGUUUCAGACUUAGGCAAACUAAUGGCAUGGCCUGAAGUUAAUUCACGUUUAAUCACCAAUUUUAGUCCUUACUUUUAAGUCAAUUCAUAUGUAUCAUUCAUGUUUUUUAAUGAAAAUUACCAAGAAUGUUUACAAUAUUAUAAGAAUCUCUUCAAAAAAAACAAUAAUUUAGAAAGAAAAAAAAAAGAAUUAUAUAUGUAUUUGUAUGUACCAAAAACAUAAAAAAUAAAAUCAUGUUUGUUAAAAAAUUCUAAAUUUGUUUGGAAGAUAUUCUUAUAAUUGUUGAUAUAAAAUCUAAAUCCCCAUUUUUAGUUUUAAAGAUAACAAACUAAUUAAAUUAAACUUUAUUAAUUCUGAUUUUAAUUGUUAUAUAACUUGUGCUCUUGAGUAUCUUUUUUAAGUUAAAGGUAUAAAAGCAUUGUACAAUUAUCAAGGAAAGCAACAAGUUAUGAUGGAGAGAUUGAUCUCAAGCAUUGGUUUCAAAUAUGGAUUUAAUGUUCAAAUAAGGCCAAGCACGUACAGGGAAAUGGAAUGUUACAUUUGAGGAAGCAAUAAAUAUUUCAAGCAUAAACUAUAUCAUGACAAGGAAAUAUUAUUUGAAGCUUACUACAAAUGAACAUAUGAACAAAAAGAACAUAUUUAAUGUCAUGUGCAAAAAUAGUUGGCAUGAGAAUGACCACUAUAUUUUCGACAACACAUCAAGAGUGUAAGACAAAUACAAAACUAUGAACCUUUGGAUAUUCACUUUAUGGUCACCUCACAACAUGACAAGAAAGCUGCCUAGUACAAGAAAAGCCUUUUCUUUGGGCUCAAGUCUUAUGGUACAGCAACAAGUGAAAAGGAAAUGAGCUGUACAAAGCUCAUGUCUCACGUAGCAAGCAACAAAGUACAAAGGAAAGCUUCAGCAGAUUUAGAGAUCGAUCUCAACUUUGAAAGGAACAGUUCCAUCUCAAAGGCUCCCUUGAAUCUUGUGCUGCAAGAAAGGAAGAAUUUAACAAGGGUUUUUCUCCUAUAAAUAGAAGACUCCAGCAAGUGAGAAAAACAACUUUUGAGCAAAAGAAAAAAGACAACAUUCUUUAAGAAUUUCUUUGUUUACAAAUCACUCAAGAAUCAUAUCUUUGUUUUGAGCAAGCAGCUCUUUUGUGUAUUAAAUCUUUGAAGAAGUUUAAUACUUUCAAAUACUAUUGUAAAAGAAUCUGCAAGUGUGCAGAAAGGUUGUAAAAAUUCUUGCUCGUAACGGCAAGUGACUUGACCAAGUGAAGGUUGAAAGAAAGUGUUGUAUAGAUCAGAAAGAUCUAAAAAGAAAGAAGGAAUUGAGAUUAAGUCAUAACUCAAUUACCUAGUGGAAAAUCUCACAAGUAUUGUGGGGACUGGACUAACCCACGUUGGGUGAACCAGGAUAACUCUUUUUGUGUGAUCCUUCUUCCUUAUCUAUUUUUAUUUGCACUAAUCACACACCUUCACUAUAUCUAUUUAAAAUUCCAUUUAAAUCACUAACGUUUUUUUGUUGAGAAUUUUUAAUAGGUAAUUUUUAUUACAUCACAAUUCAAACCCCCUUUCUUGUGAUAAUUAUUUAUCUUCAAUAAUACUUUAUGAAUUUCUGAAAAUUUAAUUAAAAAAUAUGAAGACUACACAAGAGUUCACUUAAAAGUAGAGAUCAGAAGUAUUGAUGAAAAUUUUAAGAAGACUAAAUAUUGAAGAAAUUUUUAGAGGAACUAAAACUAAAAAUUAAUAUAUUUAUAAGGACUAAAAACAUAUUUAACCAUAUCUUUUAUUCUCUAUUCAAAAUAUACCGUAUUAGAUUGCUUUCUUUAAAGAUUAUCGAUAUAAAACAUAAUUAAAAAUUAAUAAUUAAAUAUAAGUGGUUUCAUAGCCAGUAGUAAUAUAUUCAUUUUGAUGUCUUAAAAAAAAUAUUAAUAAUUAAAUAUAAAUAUAAAGAGAAAAGCAUUUCUUUAUGAUGGGAAAGAAAAAAAAAUGUAUCAUGUGUCAAAACUCAACUCAUUUUAUUUUUCAACAAUAUUCUUCUCAUAUAAUUGUAAUGUUUAUACAUUUUAUUUUACCAUCAAUAUUCUUUUUUUACCGCCAUGAGAAUUACACCGACCAAGGAAACAUGUGGUCCCCGCCCAUAUCGCCAAAAUAACGUUGUCCAUUCUUUUUUUAAUGAAAUACAUGUAGAUUUGACUUUGUAUGGAGAGGUGGAGUUGUGGGACGCCUCAUCUAUGUUAGCUUGCUCACUACUCUCCACCUCAUCCACAUUCAGUCAGUCACCCACUACCUCAUAUGAUCAACUCUAUAAAUAUGGGGAUUUCCGGCCUCCAUAAUUCAUUCACUCCUUCUUACCAAAAAAACACUAAUAACCUAAGAGCUCCUCACUGUCAUCACCAUGGCCAGGAGGGUCUCUACUACUGUACACAGAACAAGUACAUUUUUAAUUUAUUUUUAGGCAAAUUCUAUGGUACACCUAAUAUAUUUGAGUGUAUCAGUACACUCACUCUUUAAAUUAAUGGUUAAAUGAGUUGUAUUUUGAAGAAAAAUAUUAUUUUCUAUCAUUUAUAUUUAUAAUAACUAAAUCUUAUUCGUCAGAAGUGUUAACGAAAUAAAAUUAAUUUUUUUUUUGAAUUUUUAGCACUCAUAAUUGAGAAUAUUGAUUAUAUUUUACGAUUAUAUGUAAAAAAAAUUAUUAUGAUUCCUAUAAACAAUGAACUGAUGUUUUUUCUUAUGAAAUAUAAAUAUUGAUAAAUAGUUAUUUAUUUCAUAAAAAACGAUCGUUAAUUUAUAAAAUUAUGAAGAAAGAGUACCGGUACACCUCAUUUUAUGAGUGUACCGUAAAAGUUCCCUUAUUUUUAUUGGAAAAAGGAAAUUAUUAAUAAUGGUGACAUCAAUGAACAUAUUACAAUUGUCCCACGUUGGGUUUGGACCAAUAUUUCAUUUGUGAUUACAGUAAAUCUCUUUCCACAGAUGUUGGACAUAAUAUCAAAUGUAAUAAUCAAACAUAUACUCUCUCCGUCCCAAAAUAUAAGCAAAAAUAGUUUAAACCAAAUACAUUAACUUUUGUUGUCUAAUUUUUGUUUACAUUUUGGGACGGGAAGAAAUACUCGUUUAUAAUUAGAAUAUUUUAUUUUAUAUAAAAAAAUGAUCAUUCAAAUUGAUUGUGUACAUCCGAUACAAACAUAAAUUCAGCAUUUCUAAAAAUGAAAAUAAAUUUAAGAAUAAACUCACAUCAUCCAAAUUAAUACCAUAAAACAACAACAAAAAUUAUAAAUAAUGUGACAAAAUUAAAGGAAUUGGAAUAUUCAUGUAUUCAAAUCUGCAAUUGACGACUUAAUCAUUUGUUGAAUCAGAAAUUGUUUGAAGUUGAUAUGUUUAUCUAAGUCAAAUGAACACUACACCCAGAUGAAAAUUCAAACAAACACUACAUCAAAACGAGAAAUCAAACAACGUCGCACUGAGAUGACGAAAUCAUAAAAGAAACUUAGGAAAAAUAUGUACUUUAUAGAAAUAUCUUCAAGUUCGCGCAUUGUACAUCUUUGUUUUUUUCCUUCAAAUCUGUUAGAAUAUUCCUAGGCGCCGCCAAACUCUUUGUCAUGUCGAUAACCUUUUCUUCUCCUCCGCUUUUAGUCUACCUGCAAGAAGGUGGCCGUCUAACUUUGGCGCCAACUCAUGGUUGUGCAUUCCACAAAGCAUUGCAAUCCACCAAUCUUUUGUAUCCUUAUCAAAGAAACCUUGCAACCUAAGCGAACAUUCCCAUUUCCUUGAGCCCGUGUCUUCAAGGUUUGGUUUCUUCCUCGUCUUAGGUGGCUUGUAUUCACCACUGCUUUCACAUUGUGUCGUCAAAUAUGACCUUUUUAAACUAGAUUUAUCUAUAAAAAUAGUAAAUCCGGCCCUUGCCACUUGUGGCCAACCUAACCAAGUAAAUCUUCUCGGUCUUUCCAUCUUUUAUUUGUUGUAAAAAACGAGUCGGUGUCUACUUCAAUACCACGAUCAUUGGUAGCCAUUUGUCAUGGUCUGACCUCUAUAAUAUAUUGUCUACAACAAUCACUAUAUACAUGUAAUUUUUUUUUUUUUAAAUUCAUUAAAUAAUUAUUAUAUCUAAUUUAUUUAUAAAUGAGAUACAUUAAUUAUUCAAUAAAACUAAAAAAUUAUUUUUUACUUGUAUAUUUAACCGACUAAGAAUGGAAGGUGGAUCCAGUUUUUGAGGGAUGAAUCCAUUCAUCUGCAGUGUCUACCUUUACUUCUUCAAUUUAAUUUCUUUGUAUAGUUAGUCUUAAAAAAGUUAUGUAGCGAAAUAGUUCAAUCUAUUUGAAUUAAUGGUUUAAAGGAAUUAAGGAGUUAAAAAUCUUGGUUCAAGUCUUAUAAGAAAAUAAAUUAACAUAGGCUUAAAUGCUCUUUUGGUCCCUUAACUAUUUAAUUGGUAUCGCUUUGGUCCAUUAACUAAAAAAAAGAUUGUUUGAGGAUUUUAAAUUUUUUUUAAGUCUCGUUUUGGUCCCUUCGGUUAGGUUUCCGUUAGUUUUAAUAAAAAACGUUAAGUGUGGACACAUGUCACCUUGUCAUUGGUUCUGAGAUUUUUUUUUUACAAAAAAAAUAAUAAUUUUUUUUGUAAAAAAAAAAAAAAAAACUCAGAGCCAAUGACAAGGUGACACUUGUCCAAGAGUUAACUUUUUUUAAAACCCUAACGGAAACCUAACAGAAGGGACCAAAACGAGACUAAAAAAAAACUUAAAGUCCUCAAACAAUCUUUUUUUUAGUUAAGGGACCAAAGCGAUACCAAUUAAAUAGUUAAGGGACCAAAAGAGCAUUUAAGCCAAUUAACAUAUUUGAUAUUUGUCAUUUUCUUUGAAGGAUUGAUAUUUGUCAUUUAAAAAUACUUUCUAUUAAGGAGAAAAAUACUUCAAUUAACAUAAUCAUAUUUUAUCAUAUCUUCUUGAGCUUAGCUCAGUUGAUAGAAACAAUGUAUAAUAUAUGCAAGGUUUGAGUCAAACCUCGACCACCACAAAAAAUAAAUCAUAUUUUACCAUCACGUCAUUUUAUUAUAUUAGUUUACUGUAAAUAUAUUUUAAAAGAAUUCAUGAAAAUCCCCUAAAAAAAGAAUUCAUAAAUCUUCUCCUACAUAAUAUAAUAUAUAUAUUGUAAAACAUGAUUCAACUUAUAUGUAAGUUUUUGUUAACGGAAAGCGAUACCAAUUAAACAAAUCAAAAUUAUUUGUUUCCACCUUUAUUUAACUAAUAAUUAUUCUAUCACUUGCACGGCUGCACCAUCUUCAAAUCCUCAAUCAAGCAACACUAAUAAUUCUUUAUAGUUCUCAUCCUUAGAACUUAGAUCCAAAGAAUUCACUGUAAACAUGUUUUCAACAACAAUAAUAAUUCCUUUCAUUCUCUUCACUUUCACAUACCUUUUAUUCAAAUUCUACUUACGUGAAAAACAAAACACCAUAAAUCAUAAAAAACCACCAGGUCCACCAACACUACCAAUAAUAGGAAACCUUCACAUGUUAGGUAAACUUCCACAUAGAACACUUCAAUCACUGUCCAAAAAAUAUGGUUCAAUCAUGUCCUUACAACUUGGUCAAGUUCCAACAAUUGUUAUUUCAUCUUCAAAAGCUGCAGAAUCAUUCCUCAAAACUCAUGACAUCAAUUUUGCAAGUCGGCCAAAGACUCAAGCAUCUCAGCUCAUUUUUUAUGGUUCCAAAGGGUUGGCUUUUUCUGAGUAUGGUCCUUAUUGGCGUAGUGUAAAGAAACUUUGCACUUUGAAACUUCUUAGUGCUUCAAAAGUUGAGAUGUUUGGUCCUAUUAGGAAGAAGGAGUUGGAUGUUUUGGUUAAGUCAUUAGAGAAAGUUGUUUUGGUAGGUGAGGUUGUGAAUGUUAGUGAGAUUGUAGAGAAUCUUAUUGAAGAUAUUGUGUAUAAGAUGAUAUUGGGUAGGGGUAAGUAUGAGCAAUUUGAUUUAAAGAAGUUGGUUCAAGAAGGAAUGGCUAUGCUUGGAGCUUUUAAUCUGGCUGAUUAUGUUUCUUGGUUAGGUCCUUUUGAUCUUCAGGUAUGUGUGUAAAAGUUGAAGAAAUUAGUUACCUAUUGACUUGAUUUUAUUUUAAGUCUCUUAAGUAUCGUAGCUGUACAUUUUUCAUUGGUCACUUUAUUAUAUUGCACAGUUUUGGGUCCUUCAUGUUUUUUCCUCUUAUGUAUUAAUUGAGGGGUCCUUCAAUAUUUUAGUAUUACAAGGGAGAAAAUAGGGAAGAAAAAAAAAGAGGAUCAUGUAAUUGAACAACACAAUAACACUAGGACACAAUAACACUAGGGUUACCGUCUUUUUUUUCUUCUUUCAAAUAUAUACGUAUGUGAAGAAACUAGACAUUGCAAGUUUAAAUUUAUGUUCUAAGGUGUUCCACAAAUCCUGCGUUAACUUGUAACCUCGUACAACUCGUACAAAUUUACGUUUUUAUGUGUCAAAAAUAUGUUAAGAGCAUGUUUGGCCCUGCUUAUUUGCCACUUAUCUUUUACUUCUAAAGAGAAGUGGGGCCAAACAUAAUUUUGAUAAAGCUCUUAAUAAUAGAAGUGACUUUUUUGUAAAGAAGGAAAUCCAACAAAAGUGACUUUGAAAAUAAGAUAAAAAAAUGAGCUUUGAGAGUGACUUUUCGGAGGUUAUACCUGCUUUUCCUCCUUCGAUUCCCGCAAGCCACUAUAUUUUUUAUUUUAUUAUUAUUUCUGGCAAAUCGGAGGUAAAUUUGAUUUUUGGUGAAAUUGAAUGUUUGACAAGUUUGACCAAGUUAACACAUGUUAAAUUCGGUAAAUUAGAUCGAGUUUAUGAGUUUACUUUUUUUUUUGGCAAACACUUUUUAUAUUUUUUAUUUUUUAUUUUUGGUCCCACUAUGUAAAUCUUAGAAAAUCAAUGUCAUGACGACCAUGUCCCUUAAUUAAUUCUAAAUUUGAGUAAAAAUAAUGGACUACAUAAAGUGACAGAAAAUGGAGGGAUUUGAGGAUUUGUGUGUUGACUUUCACUUUAGUCUCUAGAUCCAUGUUACACAUCCUUGUCGGCAUUUAACGGUCAAUUUUAACGUCAAGCACUAAACUAACCAACGGAGGUAAACAUCCGGGGACCAUUUUGCAUUUUAUCAUAAGUCAAGAUUAUUGUAACAGUGAGGUGCAAAGUCAGAGACUAAAAUGAUUAUUUCUUCAUUUUUUUAUUGUUCCAGUAAGGUAUGUAAAAAUAUCCAAUUAGUAAUUGUCAUUCUUAAUUUAACACUUUGCUAGGGAUUUACACGAACCUGCAAGAAAACCGGUAAAGCACUUGAUGAGGUAUUGGAGAUGAUAAUUACAGAGCAUGAACAAAGCACUAAUGUAGACAAAGUUCGUCAUGAAGAUUUCAUUGAUAUACUUCUCUCAAUUGUGCACCAAACGGUAGAUCCAGAAAAUGAACAAAGUGGUGUUAUUGACAGAACUAACAUCAAGGCAAUUUUACUAGACAUGAUUGUGGCAGGAAUUGAUACAGCCACUACCACGAUUGAGUGGGCUUUAUCUGAACUUUUCAGACAUCCAAGAGUGAUGAAAAAGCUUCAAGAUGAGAUACAAAAUGAAGUAGGAAAUAAAAGAAUGGUCGAAGAGAAUGAUUUGAAGAAGUUGAAUUACUUAGAUAUGGUGGUUGAUGAGACAUUAAGACUUUACCCUGUUGGACCCUUAUUACUUCCUCGUGAAUGUAGAGAAAGCAUAACAAUUGAUGGAUAUUUUAUAAAGGAAAAGACACGAGUUAUAGUAAAUGCAUGGGCUAUAGGGAGAGAUUCAAAUAUUUGGUUAGAAAACGCUGAUGAGUUUUAUCCAGAGAGAUUUAGUGAUAAGAAAAUGAAUUAUCAAGGACAGCAAUUUGAAUCUAUACCAUUUGGUUCAGGUCGUAGACGUUGUCCUGGGAUUCAAUUGGGUUUGGUUACGGUUAGAUUUGUUGUAGCUCAAUUGGUGCAUUGCUUUAAUUGGGAACUUCCACAUAAUAUUAGCCCUUCCAAUUUGAAUAUGGAAGAGAAAUUUGGAGUCACUAUACCAAGGGCUCAACAUUUGCACGCAAUACCGAGUUAUCGUUUGGAAUGUGAUGAGAAGCUUGAAUAGGUCCAUAAAGGACAUUAUUAUGCUUGUAUUCAACAAGUUUAUUACUAGUAAAGAUGUUAUAAGUUGGUCUAAUGGUGCUUGAAUAGAAUAAGUUAAUGAGUAUUGCUAGUUUUUAUUAUAUGUUAAUAGCCAACAUAUGAAUAAAUUAGGAGUGAAGAAAUUAGAGAAAUUAUCAGUUAAUUGCUUAUUGAAUAAGUGUUUAUCAUACAAGUGUUUAUGUAUAUGAUCAGUUAUUCCAAUAAUUAAAGUGAUAAUCCGGUCCACUAUUUUCAACUAACUUGUAACUGAUUUUCUUAAAUUUGUCAUAGAGUGCUAAUUCAACCUAUGACAUCAGGUUCACAAUGGUAUGAAGAAUUAGUUCACUGGUUUAUGCUUGCUUUGUAAUUGUUUUUAGAAAUUUGAAUUAAUAAUAGUCUCAAUUUUAAUUUCAUAAUAAUCAUGAGUAGAGAAUAAUGCCCAGUACCUUAUUGUAAUGAUACCAAAGUUUGGGUUUGGAAUCUCUCCGGUGGUCACACGAGAGUCCAGUGAAAUCUUGUCCAUUAAAAAUUAAUGUAUAUGAGAAUUUUAAAUGUUGAAAAUAAAAGAGAAGACAAUUAAUGGUGCAGAUUGUAUCACUGCAGAAAACUGGAGAGAUUUUCACAGGAGGAAAUCCAUUUCCCCAAAAUUUUAUUUGGAUUUGUUAGUUCAAGACAACUUUUAGGUUGUGAAAGUAUAAAUACAGAUUUUCAUGCAAUUAUAACAUAAGGGAUGCCUAAAAUUCUAGAAAUUAGAGGAACAAAUAAAUAAUUUGAUUAGAGGAAAUAUUGGAAGUAGUGUUUUCAUAGUACUGAAUAGUUUGAUUCACCAUAAAAAACUCCAUCAAUUUUAAAAAUUUAUCAUUAGCUGAGUUAAGGUUUGUAUCUCUGUUUCUUUGAUUAACUUCAUCUUAUUUGUCGUUCUACAAUCUCCAUAGUAACAUUCUAGUUUUGUUGUCAUGUGUGAUAUGUUGUGUUAAAAAAGCUUUAGAAUUUGAAGGUCUACCUCAUUUCUAGAAUUGAUAUUAGCAUGUUUGUGCAAGCGGUUGAUUUAUCAAUUCAGUGAUAAAAACCCACGUUUGAAGAGAAGCUACCUUUUGAAGCUUCUUUAAAUCACGUCUUUCCAGCACACUGGCGGCCGUACGUACGUCCGCUNNNNNNNNNNNNNNNNNNNNNNNNNNNNNNNNNNNNNNNNNNNNNNNNNNNNNNNNNNNNNNNNNNNNNNNNNNNNNNNNNNNNNNNNNNNNNNNNNNNNGGAGACAUCCCAGACACUUGGCAUGAUCAUGAUUGAACAGAGAAGCUUUGCACAGCUUGAUGUGUAGAGGUACCAGAGGAGUUGCGACGUUGCGGACAUCAAGUCUCGGAGCUUCUUCACACACUUCGAUCAUAUUCACAGCGGCAUGAUUUGGUAGCGGAUUGUCGAGGACAUGUGGGACAUUAUUCUCAAAAGUCAGCUUCCCUUGAUCGAUGAGCUUCUUCACGAUAUACUUCAAAGCAUAACACCCCUCGACGUCAUGACCCAAGGCACCUUGAUGAAAGUCACAUUUGAGAUCAGACCUGAACCUUGGAGGCAACGGAUCAGGUGGGGGCUUACCCUGUCUAGUUGUACAAUGACCUCUCUGGAGUAGAGUUGGAAGAAGUUCUGCAUACAACAUUGGUAUAGGAGGGAAGGUUGGCCUGGCUUGCUGAUUUUGUUGUUGUUGUUGAACCGGCAUCUGUUGUUUCAUCUGUUGGGCAAUUGCAUUGACGGGCACUUGAGGCUGGCCCGGCGGCAAAGGGUACUGAUGAUAAAACGGUGGGAAGAACGGAUGCUGAGAAUACGGCAUAUAUGGGUAUGACGGAGGCAUUUGAGCUGCAUUGAUAGGAGCAACAGUAGCCAUUGAUUGCCCGGCUCCAGCUGACACCAUCCCCACUUCCGUUUCUUUCUUUUUGUGGUGUCCAUUACCAUAUCUCUUCGACGCAUUCACAGAGGAUUCAGCUUUCUCAAACACGAUGAUUCCAUCCCUUACGGCUUCCUCAAGACGGGUUCCCAUGGUGACCAUCUCCGAAAAGUUGUUCGGGGCAGCGAUGAUCAUCCUCUCAACAUAAUCUUUCUUCAACGUUUUUAAGAACGUCUGGGUCAUUUCUUCCUCAUCUAAAGCAGGAGUGAUACGGGCAGCCGCCCCUCUCCACCUUUGCGCAUAUUCACGGAAACUUUCCUCCUUCUUCUGAGAUAGGGACCUGAGAAACUCCCUAUUUGGCCUCAGUCGAGUGUUAAACCCAUAAUGGCUCUUGAAAGCGGUGGCUAACUCAUCAAAGGUAUGGAUGUCAUUCUUACUCAAACUAGUAUACCACUCUGCGGCAUCCUCCAUCAGACUAUCCUGAAAACAGUGGAUCAUAAGGGAAUCAUUGUCUUUGUAAUUGCCCAUCUUCCGGACGUAUUUGAUGAUGUGAUUUUGAGGACAAGUUAGCCCGUUGUACCGGUCGAAGUCCGGAAUCUUGAACUUUUUAGGAACAUCCACUUUUGACACUAAGCAAAGGUCUUGAGUUUUGACAGAGUUUGCACUCCCUCGAUUGGCCUGGAUCUCGUGACGGAGUUCUUUAGCAAGUUCCUCCAUCAUCUCUUCCAUAGUCUUGGUUACGGGGAUGCUUCUGUGCUGUGUGUUGACGUUAAUACCUUGAGGCAGAGUGUGUACCAGAGGCUCAGUGACAGCUGCUGUUGUUUGUGGCAAAGUAGCAAUGAUGGAGGCGGCAUUUGUUGCAGGGAUCAGAACAUUGUUAGCAGUGCCCGAGGUGCUUGCUGUAGCAACGGGAGUGAAGAACGGUGGAAGCCCAUACGGAAACCCCACUGGCAUAGUAAAGCGGUUGUCUGCAGAAGUGGUAGGGAGCACGCUUGUAGUUACUGGUGCAGCUGUGGUUGUAGGGAUAGCUGUAGCUGAUUGCUCUUGAGCAGCUAGUAGAGCAGUCAUGACGUCAUUAGCUUUAGCCAAUUCCUCCUUUAGAGAGGCCAACUCGGUGCGAAGCUGAGCGUUCUCUUCUUCCAUAGCCCUUUUCUUUCUUCUGUAUUCUCUGGUUCGAUCAAUUCUAUCUGGUUCGUAAACUCUCUGAGCACGAGCCACUUUUCACACUGUGGCAGAGGAACCAGGAGAUAGUGAGCACUUGGAAGCCUUUGUGACCAAUGCAUGAUGCAUAUGAUGCAUGAUGUGCAAAUGCGAAUGCAAAAGACUUAUUUUUUUUCAUCGAAGGAAUUUUGAACCAAUUAGAAAUCUUUGCAAAUAAUCAAAACUACAUAGUAUUUUUUUUUAACAGGAAGACUUUGAAAUUUCAACAAGAUAAACACAUGGAGUCCUCAAGCAUAGGAAGUAGUCGGAGGAUCAUCGGACUCGGAAUCUGAAUCACAGUAUCUGGCAAAGAAGUCUCGUCGUCCUCGGGCUCUCUUGGAAUCCCUCAUAAGCAGCUCGUCUUUCUCUUCUAGUUCCCUCCGGGCCUUAGCUAGCUCUUUCUUCAACAUCAGAUUCUCAUGAGUCUUCUGCUCAUCUCUACCAUCCAAAGUCAUGAUUAGAUUCUCGGCUUGAUUGUACCGAGCCUUCCACACUUGCUUCUCACGACUCUCCAUAGCUAGAUGCUCCUGAUACAUAUCCUGAGUCGCGGGGAGCAAAGGUAGAGGCAUAGAUGGGGUAGAUGAAGACACAUAUCUCAUAGCUGGAUAAGGCAUACCAAUCUCCUCAGCUCGAUCUAUCACCCACUGGGUAUAGGCCUCAUGAGCGACACCGGAUCUCACACCUAGAUGCUUCACACUCUUCCUUCGAACCUUGGACCAAGCAUCCACGAAAGCUUUCCUUUGUCCGGUAGGAGCAUUCGUGUAGAAGAAGAACUCUGGAGAUGUGGCAAGAUUGAUGGGCUUCGACUUCAUAGGGAAACCAAACUGUCUCAUAGCAAGCUCGGGAUUGUAGUUGAUUCCUCCACGAGUACCAAGAAGAGGUACAUUGAGAAAGUCUCCACAACCCAUAAUGAUUUCCUUCACUUGAGCGGCAGGAGUGAGCCAGACGACCUCAUCAGGAGUGAGAGCCAUAAUCCGCUGAGAGUAGGACCAAUUUUCCGAGUUAUCAUGGAAGGAACUCGGAAGGUGCGAAAUAAACCACCUAUACAAAAGAGAUGUGCAGCAAAGAAUAUACCCACGGCCCUUGAGAGUCCUGUCAUGAAUGGCGUGGUAGGUGUCCGCUAGCAAAGUAGGAACCGGGUUCUUAGAAUGAAAGAUCUCGAUAGCAUUCAUGUCCACGAAGUUGUCAAGGUUCGGGAAGAGAAUGAGCCCGUAGAUAAGCAAAGCAAGAAUAGCCUCGAGUGUGUCCUGGCGAGUGGUACCGAGAUUAGCCUGAUCAAGAAGAUACUUCGAAGUGAAACCCCGGAUGUGAGACUUGGUAAUAAGAUGGUUGGAGACGUCGGAAGUCUUGAGGUAGAGAUCCUUAGCAACAACCAGAGGAGUAAGAGGAGUCCCGGGACCGGCGAAAGGCGUCUUCUCGGCUAUAGGUAACCCCACUAGAUUGGAGUAAGCCUCGAGAGUAGGAACCAACUGGAAGUCCGGGAAAGUGAAGCAGCGGAAGCUCGGAUCAUAAAAUUGCACCAGAGUGUGCAUUAGCUUCUCGUCCACAUCGGUUCGGAGCAAAGUAAGCAAUCCCCCAUACCGGAGUCGGAACCCUGUUUGACUCUUGACCUUGAGCGCCAACUCUCUCAAACUAACCAAAUCCACUUCCUUGAACUUGUAGCACUUAGUCUUCUUCAUACCUGUGAUUAUUUACAAAAAUUCUCAUUUGUUUAAACCCUUCGAUGAAUGCAUGAAAAAUAUUUAUGCAUGAAUGCAUGUAUGCAUGAUUGUGUUGUUUAGUUACAAUGUGGGUUGAGAUUCAAAGUAACAAGGCCACGGAUGGACACGGCGUCCGGUGAACUAAGGCUUUGGAUAGUAGUAACCAAGGUUCUAACACAGUUCCCAAACUGCAACCUCUCUCACAUAUAUCAUGGUAGUACAGGACGACACCCGUUCCACGAUUAUUUGUGAGAAGGUCUAGUUUGAGUGUAGUAUCGCGUGACGACUAAAGUUUUGAGACAACACUCAAUUUAGCCACCGCACUACGUCCUAAAAAGGCUAGGAUGGGUUUGGUAACUACGGUUCAUAGCUUCGUCGAACAAUUGAAAGUGAAGUGCCUAAGCAUGACGACACACGCCGACAAUAUCACCUUCAAAAUGCCUCAGCUAUGUGAGAUUGAUCGCAUAAUCCAAUACACGAGGCAACCCCCGGAUCGAAUUGUCGAUUAUAUCUCUACCUAAACAUAAGUUCACUCAGCCCGGGUAUAGGACUUUUGAUAUUCUCACCCCACACGUCAAAUGAAAGUAAACAAAUAUUCACAUAUGUAAGCAAUAAAAUAAAACAUAAAUAUAAACUAAGGAAAACUAGGCGCGACCCGCUUAAAAAAGUCCCCAGUGAAGUCGCCAUUUCUGUUAUCAUGGUUUUUGGGUACCAAGUCAUUAAUUGGACUUGUACCUUUCGACCGUUGAUAUCUCUCUUUUUUCUUGGGAAGGGAAAAAUUGAGAAAAAACCCUUAGAUUCUAAGUUCGGGGGUCGGUUUUACUACGGGAAGGUGUUAGGCACCCGGAGUAACUAUAGUCCUCUAUAGGAGCCGUUUUCCUAAGUCGAUUUUUACGCUUUAUUUUUACCUACUUUUGAAAAUGGGAGGUUUAUUUAGUUAAGAGUGGGGGUGAGAAGAAGUAGAAUUUUGAUUUUAUUUCGGCUUGGAUGAGUUUUGACUCAUUGCCUACGUACCCUUUUAAGGGAUCAAAACCGUUCGUAGUUCUUGCUAAAAAGACUUGUUUUUGUUUUAAUUGUUUGAUUUUAAGUUUUGAAAAUGGUUUUGAAGAAGGAGAUUGGGAGGCUUCAUGAGCAUUAGAUUUAGCAAAAAGUGAGGUUUGAUUAGUGAUUAAAAAAGAAAGUCUAAAUGAUUAAGAUGAAUUGAAUUUUUCUCAAGAAAAAAAAGAAAGGAAAAGAAAUGAAGUGUUGACUUCAUGUUUAUUAUGAAAAUUUUUGAAGUGAAGUUCAAUUGUUUUUUUUUUGGAAAAAAGAUGGAUUUUCUCUAGGUGUUUAAAACCUAAACGCUUAUUUAACCAUACAAUCCUAUGCAUACAUCUAAGGUGAGUGUGUGCGUGUCGGUGCGUCAUAGUGUCCAUAGUCCAUAUUACAAAAAUUGCCUAAAUACAUUCUAUGGCCCCUUUGCCAAGCUACAAACCAAUGAUGACAAAUUACAUCACUAAAUGAAUUAAAACUUGCAAAAAUAAAUGCUAGGCUAAAGAGGGUGGAGGGAAUGCUAAAUGGGAUGCAUGAAACAUGGGAAUAAACUUGUUAGUCAAAAGAAAAAACAUAAUAAGCACUAAGAAAUAAAAUCAUGCAAGAUGACACAAAAAGUUAACAAAAUGACAUUAAACCCUAAAAACUUAGGUAUGAAACCUAAAGCAUCCUUGGCCUCUAAUUCUCAUGCUUUAACAAAUUUUGAAAGAGUUUUCUUUAUCUCAAGUUAUAGCAUGAAAUUAUUGGAAACAUGCAAGCAUGGUUUCAUGCCAUAUUUUCUAGAAUAAACUUGGCAUUUUAUAUCUUUCAAAAUAUGCAUAUAUUGCUCAUAAAAUCAAGCACUCAUGAACCAAAUCAAAACAGCAAAACAACACGAAAUUAUAGGCACAAAUUUCUCAUAUUAACACAUCAAAAAGCUUUUAUCACAUAUUCGCACAUCAAGGACAAAUGUAUGAAGAAGAAUCCAUAACAAAUAAUUCAAAGAGAAUUAAAAUGCUAUGAAUUAACCAUACCAAAAUUUCAUAGAUCCUUAAUGUGCAAAAAUGUCAUAAAAACACUAAGAAAAUAUCAGGAAACAUGCAUGAAUUUUUCUAGGAAUUUUAUCACAAUUUUAAUCAAGACAUAGGUACAGGUAGCAAAAAUAGAGGUGUGAAAAGCACAGGAAUAGCAAAACGUAAAGAUCCAAAGGAAACAAAGGCCCAACCCAAAACCCUAAGGAACCGGAUUCACAGGAGCCACAGGAUUGAUCCAGGGUCCUGAAACCCUAGAUCAAACGGCCUGGAAUCAACAGGAUUGGACCGGUCUUGGACCGGUCUGGUUCACUAGCUUAUUUAAAAGGCAUGGCACCGGUUUUCUUCAUUUUUCACUCCCCUUUCUCUCUCUAGCUCUUCUCUCUUCUCUCACCUCUCACCUCUCUCUAAACCUCGCCGCCGGCGAGGAUGAAGCUACGGCGGAGACCUUGAAGGUCCGCCGGAAACUUCAUCUUCUCCGGCGAGUUCAUGCAGUUUCCGGUGACCUAAAUUUCCAGAUUUCAAAGAUUCUUACUUCGUUUGACUCGUCCUUUAACCCUAAACACGAAUCCGGCAUUUGUUUUUUCAAAAACGGCUUUGAACGACGUAGAUCUUGAAAAAGCUUUUACGGUUUUGAAAUGAUUUUUGAUUUUUUUGAAUGAGAUCAUUUAGAUCUUUAAAGAUCUACAUCGUUUCGUCGUUUGAUUACUUUUUGACGCCUGUUUUCGCUUUCAAAACGUUGAUCCUUACGGAUCUGGAUUUUGAUGUUUACGGUUAUAGUUUUCUUUGAAUUCUGGAACCUUUGGAUCUGUUUUGCUUGCGUGAUUUUUAGGUUUAACAGUGAUAUUGCUUUUGAAAAAGAGUAUGAGUUUUACCUAAGGUUUUGGUUGAAACCUUUAAUGGAGAAAUUCUUUGGAAAACUUCAAUCUCUGAUGCUACGUGAUUUGGCUUUGAAUCCGGAAAUAAACCGGUGUUCCUGCUGGUUUCUUGCUUUAUCGCCUUCUUCGCCGGUUUAAACCUUCAUCAUCUUUCUUUCUUCUUCGUCUUCCUCACUGUAUCUUCGUGAUCGGUGCUGGAGUUUGCCUUUGGCGAAUUCGCACUUCGAAUUGCGAAGAUAUUGAUUCAAUGAUGAUGAUUCUUCAAAGAAUCACUGAGAAUCCAUGAAAAAUAGCUUGAAUUUGUGUAGUUUCUGUUUCUGGAAAACGGUUAGGUUUUUUGUUCUUGGUGUUCUUGAUGAAUCUGAGGAAUUUUUUCUGUUUUGAUUCAGUUGCUGAGAAAGAGAAAAUUUGGAAUGUGUUUAUGAGUUGGCGUGUGUUCUCUGGCUCUGAGUGGCACUGUGCACCUUUUAUAGCUUGACAUGUGUGUAUCUGAACAAAUGAGAAAGUGACACCUGGACCUGAAAAAAAAAGAUGGCACGGCCUUGGGCAAAAAAUGAAAUUGGACCUUUCUGCAAAAUUGAAAAAAUAAGGGACUAAACUGCAAUUGACAAAAAGGACUGAAAUGUAAAAAAAGAAAAUUCUGGACUGAAAUGCAAUUUUGGGACCUCACUUGAGGGACCAAAAUGCAAUUAAAAAAUAAAAUUGAAUAAAAAACGUAAUUUGACCCAACGUAAAGCGAAACAAAAAAAUAAAAUUGACAAAACGGACUAAAACGAACCAAUGGCCUAAAUGAGGUACUUCAAAGUAACCUCCCCAUGCCAAAAUUUUAUGUGAAAUGACCAAAAUGCCCCUAGGGCUAAAAACGACCUAAACAGAUUCAAAUUGACCUGACACUGACUCAGACGCAAGUUUGAAAUGAAUUUUAACAAAGUUUACUGAUGAAAUGUUUAAAAGUAAUCUGAAAAGACUCAGAGACAGUCACAAGGAUGAAAAUGGGUCCCACUGCAGGAAAUGACCAAAAUACCCUUCUGUAUGACUUUUUGCAAAUUUUGGAAUAAACUGUAGAAAAAGCAAUGUAAUGAUCCAGAGACACUUUUGAAUGACUUACAAGACAAGUAAAGACAUUUUGAAAGGUUUUAUGCAAGAAAAACAUAGGUAAAAUUGUGAUUGAAAAUACUGCGAGGCAGAGACAAAUUGAACUGUGCAGUUGAAAUUUGAUAAUUGACAAAGUUUGAAAUGAAAUUGGGCCCAGUAUUUUUAGGUCCAAAAACAGGGUAUAACACCUCUAAUCCCAACAAAGGAGAUUUAGCUACUCAUUGUCAUGGAAGCCUUGCAAGAAUGAAUUGAAGAAGCAAGAUUCAUUACAACUUGUGAUGUCUCAACAAAGGAUGAAGAAUCCACUCUCUAUCACUCUCACUCUAUAAAGCACAAGCCCUAUCUCUCUCUCUCUAAGAAUAUUACAAGUGAAAAACUAAGAGAAAAACUAUCUAAAAACUAUAUAAAAAACUAUCUUUUUCUGAAAUGGUUGAGUGGGCUAUUUAUAGAAUUCUGAGUCUGCCUUCACUCGCCUCGCGAGCUGCUUCAUUCGCCAAGGCGAGUUGAAGUUUCUUCCCCAUUGGGUUUGUGCCACGUCAGCAUUUAGAGGCUAAACCGCCCUUACUCGCCUCGCGAGUCCUUCCAUUCGCCACGGCGAGUAAGCUCGCCUUCUACUCGCCAUUGCGAGUUGGUGGCGUGUGAUCUUUGUUGCAUUCUGGAAUUGCUCGCCUUUUCUGCUUGCCAUGGCGAGUUGGAGGCGAGUGAUCUCCUUUUUCUGCCUUUUUGUACUUUUCUCGAUUUUCUUCUCUUUGCUUGAUGUCUUGAGUUCGAAUCCUGCACAAAUGGGUGAAGUAAGAUAGAUAAAGCGUAAAAGGGCAAUAAUCACUUAUUUCUCGGCUUUUCCCUUAAUAACUUGCAAAACAAGUAACAAAAGUGCCUAAAAUAUAUCACUUAAAUUACAACUUUCUAGCACUUAUCAAACUCUCCCCAACUUAACUCUUUGUUUGUCCUCAAACAAAAUCUUGAAAAUCAAACAAGUUAAUAUGACAAGACACAAGUACAAAAGGUUUGAAAACAUUUUUAGAUGAAUGAUUCAAAGAGAAUGCGCGGGCAAGUCUGAGUUUCCAACUAAUCUGGAAUUCUACCACAAAUAUGAAAUGAGUUCUAUGCACAAAGUUCAUGUCAAAUAGUUCAAGUCAAUAAAACAUUUAUUCACGAACCACACCUAACACACUUCUUUGUAAGUAGAUAUGCAAUUGAAAUCAAAUGAGUGAGGGUUAUGAACACACAUCCGGCAAUCAAGUUAACAUCCAAAUCAAGUUAUAUGUCCAUCCAAUUAUCAUUUCAAAAAGCAUAAAAACAUGGAUCAAAAGGUCUUUUAGGGUUGUAAUUUGGCUUGGCUACAAAAGAAAGGACAUUUGUGGGUCAAUUGAAUUCAAAUGGUCAAGCAUAAGGGAACAUUCCUUCUAUUCACAUUCAAAAGACAAAUUUACUAGAAUUCCCUAACAAACCCUUGGUGUUAAAACAUGAUACUCCUUGAUCUUGACAACUUAUUCUAUUUUUGGAUUUUUCUUUCUUUUUCUUUUUCUUCUUUUCUUGUUUUUAUCAUGUACACAUUUUUCUUUUUCUUUCUUUUUUCAUAUACAAACAAUGUUGUCUUGAUCAAAAUUUCUGAUUACACCAAUUCACUUGACAAAUGAUGAACAUCUACCUUUUCUCCCCAACUUGAAUGAAAACAUACCCUAUUUGAAUGUUCCCUUAAUCUAUGGCAAAAAGGGACAAAUAACAAUGAAGGUUUAGGGUUCAACAAUUAAAACAUAUCAAGGUCCGAUAGUGCAACAAAAAUGAACUGGAUUUUGAAAAAUAUAGGGCGAAUUCAUCAAGCAUUGUGCUUAUGAAUUGACAGUUCAUAAUUGAGGACCUUGCUUCAUUUGGCUCAAGUGGGUUAACAAAUACUCGCUCUUCUCACAAGGUAGGCUAUUUGUGGUCAAGUAUGUUUCUCUCAUUAAACAAAAUAUGCCUUGAUCCUUUCCAUGUCUUUACACAAUUUAAAACAAAUAUUAGAUUUAACAUAAAAUGACCGAGUUAAAACAAUGAAUGCCGGUCUCCUUGCAUAUAGUACAAAUAUUUGAGGUUUCCUCACUUUUUAGCUAGUACUAAGUGGUUCACAAACAAACACAUUAUCGAGGAGAACUAAAUGAAUUGAAAUUUGUGCAAAGUACUCGUUUCCUAUUCAAGUAAAAACCUAGAAAAACUGGAAACUUGUACCUUGGCUUUGCGCUUUAUCACAAACCAUCUGUUAUUAUCAAUCAUCUGAGAAUUUUGCUCAAGUUUUGGCUCUUUCAAGCGCUUUGAAAUUUGAAGCUUUGAGCAUUUUCUUUUCAAUAAGCAAGAGUGAUAAACUAAAGAAACUUCCACAAUUUUCAAAACAAAGUACUUGAUAUAAACCAAAAGUGCUAAUAUAAAACAACACAAUACAACUUUGAACAAUACGAAUAUGAAUACGAAAAUACCAAAAUAAUUAAACAAAAUGCUAACUAAACAAAGUGAGUCAUUGUGCUAAAUUUAAAAUAUGAACAGAAGCAAAUAUUGUCAGAAGAAAUGAAAGAGAAAGAAAGAAUAGACUGAAAGCUUUAUAAAAAUGUCACUCAAUAAACGGUGAGCUUUCAAAGUCAUUCUUUUCCUCUUUCAACCCUGCAUGUCAUGAUCAUCUGAACCACCAGUUGCACUUGGGACUCUGUCUGGAUCGUCUCUGUCAGAAUCUCCCAUCAAUAUAUCGUCAGAAAGCGUCCCGAACGAUGAUCCACCCCCUCCGUAAGGAUCUGGCCUGCCCUCAGGCCAAGAAACAUGAGCCUGAUAGGCCUCUGGUGUCAUGAAUUGUGACAUCACCUCCGGUGGGUACCCAGCCUGCUGCUGCAUCACAUACUGAGACUGCUGAAGAUAUGUAUUAGCACGGUUGGUUGCGUCCAGCAUGUUCCAUGUAUGGGUAUGGCACUGGUAUUGCCAUUGAGCGAAGCUUGAAAAGUCAAAAGCAGCAGUGUGUGGGUCUAGAUGUGGUGGAAAGUGGGGUUGUGGUUCAGAUGAUGGUUGAGGUCGUGGUGGAGGUGCCCCAGAAGAUGAUGCUUGUUUGCUUUUAUCCUUCUUUGUUUCACCCAUAAUGUAUCGGGUGAUGAAAGCAUCAUUGAUCGGGUUCCGGAUCUUCUCAUGGACACUGGUUGGUAGGCGCAUGCCGGUAUCUUUAAUGAGUCCCAUGAUUAAACCGGGAAAAAAGAGACGAGCUUCUCUUUCACCUCUUCCUUGCAGGGUGACCAUUCGGAGUUCCCAAGCAAUGGUCCGGGCAAUAUCUACCUUGAUCCCCUUGAGGAUGUAGUAGAUUAAAGGACACACCUCGACAACACAAUCAGACAGAUGACUAUUGGGCCUGACAUUAUAAAGAAUGAAUUUUUGGAUAAUUUUGGCCUCAUUGGUCAUGAAUUUGUAUUGGGCCCGAUACUCUCUCCCUGCAUCACUGAUGUCAUAGUUAUAGUCUCCCAACAAGAGAAAUCGUUUGAUUUCUUCAUGGGGGCCCGGGAGGAUAAAGUGGCCAAGGUUUUGCUUCUCAUGAAAGUCAUCAAGGUCGUCUGGGUAGGCUAACUCAAAGGGGUUGCCAAGGUAUGUAUUUAUUGCCUCACGGUCAAACCGGAUAGUUCGACCCCUCACAAAAGUUUCGAAUGUAAAUGGGUCAGUGUGUGGAUUUUCAGGUAGGGCAUUGGCAUAAAACUCACGCACUAACUCGGCAUUAAUAUCUGUUAUGGGUUGAAGGAGUCGUUCCCAUCCUUGAUCGAGUAAAAGUUUGGCAAUUUCUUUAUAGGGUCCCUCGGGAUUAAGGUUAAAGACCCUCUCACACCACAUGGAUUGGUCAAGCAGUUCAAUAUAUCUAUCUUGAUGGUAGCGAGACCUAAAUCUCUCCCUCUCAAAGGCUUGGUUUCUAGGUGGGGGUCGGGUUGCGGAUGUUUCUCCUUUCUUGCGUUUACCAGUGUUAACGGGUUUCUUUGGAGCCAUACCUGCAAACACAACCAGGAAUUCCACAAACACCAAACAGACAAUUAAAUAUCAGUAUGGAACAAAAAAUAUUGCAUGUUCUGUUACCACUCGCCUCGCGAGCAGGUGCACUCGCCAUGGCGAGUAGUUGAAAUUUUCUGGGUUUCAGAUUGCUCACUCGCCUUGGCGAAUGAUGAAGCUCGCCAUGGCGAGUUGCCCAGAAAAUGACAAAAAUCGACCCUUUUUCAAAAUUUCUUUCAGUUUCAACAUUCUUAACCCUAAAUAUAGUAAUUCCGACCCUGAUAAUGACAAAGAGAUGAACUAAAUCAUGCUUUUGAGUUGAAUGUCGAAUUAUACCACAAAAACCCUAAUUUUAAUUUUAUUUUUAAUUUUUACAAAAGGGUUAACAAAAAUGUGGAUUGGAAUCAGAACAACCACGAAUUUGGGCAUGAUUAUGUUUCAUCUGAGUCAUGUAGGUAUCAGUUUGAAGAACAUUACACUAUCUACUACCCUAGGGUUUUUUUUUUUUUUUUUUUUUUUUUUUUUUUUUUGCAUGCAAAUUUGAAAUGAAUGGCAACAAAGUGAAUACAAACCUGAAUCAGAAGUAAUCUAAGUGCAGAAAUGAGUAUGCAAUAAGCUUGACUUGGAUUGACUUGAUAAAUUGGAAAAAGGGUAGUGUUGAGGUGUUAGGGUUUGAGAGAAGGAAGAAAAAAUUUGUGUGGUUGAUGAGAGAGAAAUGCAAAACCGAAAAUGAUGAAUUAAAGUUGGUAAAGGGUGGUUAAGAGAGAUUAAUGAGGGAGUUAGUGGCUUUGAAAACUGAAACUGUCAGAACUGCUGCCAUUCGCCUCGCGAGCAUAUGUAUUCGCCAUGGCGAGCAAUUUGGUGGUCAACGCAGUCAAAGGACAGUUUUACUCGCCAUGGCGACUAGUUGUACUCGCCUCGCGAGUAAUGACAGUUCAGACUUUGCUUUCUUUUGGCUUCUGAUUUGUGAAUGGUUUUGGUAUGCACAUGACUCCUACACCUAGUAUGCAUUAUAAAAAUAAAUAACUUACAAAGUUGGGUUGCCUCCCAACAAGCGCUUGUUUAACGUCGUUAGCUCGACGCCUUUUUCGUUAGGGUGGCCAAAAUGAAACGGACAACACAUCAUCUUUUGUAAUCCUGCGUGUUGGGAGGAAUUCCAUGAAUUUGAAGUAUAAUUGAUGUGGAGUCCAUAUCCUCCCUAACUUUGGUUUAUUGAACAAGGCACAAAUCUCAUCUAUGAUCCGAUCAAUCUCCAACUUGUUCACUUUCUUCCCCUUUCCUUCCAUUGAUUCUUCCUUGAUUAGUAUCCGAUCCUCUUUCUCUGUCACCUCCAUCACUUCUUCAUUUUCAACAGUUUCGACCUCUUCAGUAUAUGGCCGUUCUUGAGGAAAUUCUUCUGGAUGUAGUGGCUCUAAUUCUUCCACCAUUUUCAUUGUGCUACAUUCUUCUAGUAUUAUGUCUUCCUCGGUAUCAUCAACACCUUCUUCAACAAUCUUUCCGACUUCCACAAAUGUAUUUGAAUUAUUUUCUUGUUUUCUGUGAGUGGAUUGAAUGUUGGCUUGAAUAUCCAUGAUUUGUUCUUGCAUUAUUUCCAUCUGCAAGGAUAGAUUCUUCAAUCUCUGAUUGGUAUCCUGCAUGUUUAUCAUGGAUUGCUGCAUGAAGAUAUUCAAAGUAUUUUCCAUCUUUGAUAUUCGUUCAUCUUCAUAGGGAUGUUGUUGAUACUGUUGAUAUGAUUCAUACUCCAAUGGAGUGUAGAAGUUGUUAUAACCAUGAUCAGCCAUGAUUGCAUUUAUGUAGAGAAUCUGAAACGGAUAUAACUAACAAGAAAUUUUUCUUUGUAUGCAAAGAGGGGUUAGUACCAAUAACUAUACAAAAGAAAAUAUAUUUACAGAGUAUUUACUAAUGCUUAAAAUGAUAAAAUAGUCGCGAUGUCUACGAUAUCUAAACGCCAGUCCCCGGCAGCGGCGCCAUUUUGAUGUAGUAUUUUUNNNNNNNNNNNNNNNNNNNNNNNNNNNNNNNNNNNNNNNNNNNNNNNNNNNNNNNNNNNNNNNNNNNNNNNNNNNNNNNNNNNNNNNNNNNNNNNNNNNNUUUUGCAUCAAACAAUUGUAAGUAUUUAUAUCGUCUCCUCAGGGACUAGUGCGAUAUCGCGGACCGUUCGACACCAAAUAUCAUUUCAAGUUAAACGAUAGUUGAUUGUUUGUUUUAGUAACUGAAUUGCAAAUGAUACAAUUGAGAUUAAUAGGGCGUAAAACUUGUUAGGAUUAGAGUUCCUUGAUCGAGCGUCGCACGUAACCUAAUGAUCAUACAUGGAUUCUAGCUUUUCUUUGAUAUUAUCACGUAUCCCUCGACAACACCAUUCGUGUCCAAACAAUAUUGUGAAAUCAAUUGUAUCAUUCAAUGGUCGAUGUCUCAAACUAUUGAAUGAUUCAAGAGUCGAUCUUAUCGUUCAAUCGAUGAUUUCUCAAUCUAUUAAAUGAUAAGAAAGCUUUAGGUUUGGAUACUCAAGGUGAUUAUCAAAACAUCGAUUCCAUGUCUAGAAACUAUGUUUUGAUAGAUGGUUAUUCUAAACCUAGAUUCAAAAGUAUUUCUCAAUCACAAUUAAAUCAAAGAUAAAGAUUAAAGUGCAAGAAUAACCUCAAUAUCAAUUCAAAUGCUAGAACCAUAUAUUUAUAGAUCAAACGAUUACAUGUUAAACUAUGAUCAAGUACCUCUAAUCCCAACAAAGGAGAUUUAGCUACUCAUUGUCAUGGAAGCCUUGCAAGAAUGAAUUGAAGAAGCAAGAUUCAUUACAACUUGUGAUGUCUCAACAAAGGAUGAAGAAUCCACUCUCUAUCACUCUCACUCUAUAAAGCACAAGCCCUAUCUCUCUCUCUCUCUAAGAAUAUUACAAGUGAAAAACUAAGAGAAAAACUAUCUAAAAACUAUAUAAAAAACUAUCUUUUUCUGAAAUGGUUGAGUGGGCUAUUUAUAGAAUUCUGAGUCUGCCUUCACUCGCCUCGCGAGCUGCUUCAUUCGCCAAGGCGAGUUGAAGUUUCUUCCCCAUUGGGUUUGUGCCACGUCAGCAUUUAGAGGCUAAACCGCCCUUACUCGCCUCGCGAGUCCUUCCAUUCGCCACGGCGAGUAAGCUCGCCUUCUACUCGCCAUUGCGAGUUGGUGGCGUGUGAUCUUUGUUGCAUUCUGGAAUUGCUCGCCUUUUCUGCUUGCCAUGGCGAGUUGGAGGCGAGUGAUCUCCUUUUUCUGCCUUUUUGUACUUUUCUCGAUUUUCUUCUCUUUGCUUGAUGUCUUGAGUUCGAAUCCUGCACAAAUGGGUGAAGUAAGAUAGAUAAAGCGUAAAAGGGCAAUAAUCACUUAUUUCUCGGCUUUUCCCUUAAUAACUUGCAAAACAAGUAACAAAAGUGCCUAAAAUAUAUCACUUAAAUUACAACUUUCUAGCACUUAUCAGGGGCAUCUGCAGACCCGGUUCGGUUGACAAGUUUACGGAAGAAGAUGAUUGAGUUAAUGCUAUGGAGCCUGUUAUUUCUGCAAAAGACAAUGAUUUUCUCACAGCUUCGUUUCAGGUCCAGGAAUUUAAGGAUGCAAUGUUUUCUAUGCUUCCGGAUAAAUGUCCAGGUCCAUAUGGUUUUAAUCCUGUAUUUUUUCCAUCAUUUUUGGUCUAUCGGUAGUCUUGAUAUCUUUAAUGAAUGUUUUCUUUAAGAAGCUAAAUUAGCCCACUAAAUUGGCAUUGGAGAGAAUCGAACCUGAGAUCUUGAAGAUCUUUAAUGAAUGUUGCUCGUGGCUUAAUCACAAUCACUUUCUACCUUCACUUAAUUCCACAAAUAUAGCUUUGAUUUCCAAAGGUACUGAUUGGCAGCCUAUAACUUUGUGUAAUGUUCAAUAUAAAUUGGUUGUCAAAGUCCUAGCUAAUAGACAUAAGAGUAUCCUCCAUAAGUGCAUCUAUGACAAUCAACCAACUUUUGUUAUGGGGCGCUCCAUCAUUGACAAUGACAUGAUAGCUAUCGAAGUUGUGCACCAUAUGAAAGUUAGUAAGCGUGUUAGAUAUGAAAAAAAAAUCUCUCAAGCUUGAUACUAGUAAUGCCUAUGAUCGUAUUGACUGGUUAUUGUGGUGUGUAUCGAAGCUGUUGACUAUUCUGUUAUUGUGAACAAUGAUUUGGAAGACCUAUUAUUCCCGGAAGAGGUUUACUUCAAGGAGAACCUUUAUCACCUUAUCUUUUUAUUUUGUGUGUUGAACGAAGAUGGGAUAUCCACGACAUUUCUAUUUACAUAAAUGCACUUGUUAUUUCUCACCUUUUAUUUGUCGAUGAUUGUUUCUUAUUUUUCAGGGCUAAAGAGCGAUAAGCUCUAACCAUGAAAAGUAUUCUUUAGACUUACGAGGUAGCCUCCUGUUAAGCUAUUAGUCUCCCAAAGUUUGAGGUUUAUUAUUGUAGCAGUGUAUCAAAUCCGUUGAAGGAUUCCAUAACCCUCAUCUUAGGAGUUAGAGCUGUUAUGGGAACAGGGAAAUAUCUUGGCUUGCCAUCGAUGGUUCGUCGAAGUAAAGAAGCAACUUUUAGUUUUAUCAAAGACCGUAUUUGGCAUAAAAUCAAUCCAUGGAGAAGAAAGUAUCUAUCCAAAGUGGGUAGAGAGGUAAUGAUCAAGUCAGUGCUUCAAAAUAUUCCAUCUUAUAUUAUGAGUAUCUUUCUUUUUCCAAAUAAGUUAGUCGAAUCCAUGGAAAAAAAAUUAUAAAUUCUUUUUGGUGGGGCCAUGGAUGAUUAAUGAGAAGAGGGAUGCAUUGGUUGUCUUGGGAGAGAUUAUCAAUUCAUAAAAAUUAUGGAGGUAUGGGUUUCAAGGAUCUCACAUCUUUUAAUGUGUCUAUGUUGGGGAAACGAGGUUGGAAGUUCCACACUGAUACAUCGAGUCUUAUUUCCCAUCUUUUUAAGGAGAGAUAUUUUUCUAAUUGUGAUUAUUUGAGUUCUCGAAUUGGUCACAAUCCCAGAUAUGUGCGACGUUGUAUUUUUCGUGUUAAGAUUGUUGUGAAUUAGGGUGCAAGGUGGCAUAAUGAGGGAAUUGCAUUAUCUACUAACAACCCUAUGUAUGCCUCCCUAGCCCAUUUUACGGUGAAAGAUAUUAUUCACCCAUUCAGAAAGGUAUGGAACACUCCUUUAAUUUAUAAUCUCUUGAUCCGAUUACAGCAUGACUCACUGUGAACACACCACUCCAACCUCUUGUCACUGAAGAUAAAUUGAUUAGGAAAGUGGAAAAGAAUGGUAAAUAUUCUGUUCAUAGUGCCUACUGCCUUUGAGUUACAGAAAUUGCAGAUAACUCUCAUUUACUCUGGAGCAAUGGAGUUCCAUGUGAAAGUUAAAGGUUCCUCCUAAGGUAAACAAUUUUUUAUGGCGAGUUUUUAGAGGAUACUUUUCCAACAAGAGCCCAUCUUAGUAGUCAAGGGGUGCGUUGUCCUAUUGAUUGUGUUCCUUGUGGGAAUAAUUUUGACGAUGGUAUCCAUGUCUUAUUGAAAUGUCUUGGUGCUAUCCAAGUAUGGCAUCAUGUUAAUCUUUGGGACAAAAUUAAUAGUACUCUCUGACAAGAUUAUAAUAUGAAUGCUAUGAUUUUUCAUUUUUUGCAUCAAUUUUCUCCAGCUCAGAGUGAGCUGUUUGCCACAAGUGAAUCUUUGCUCCAUUUAGCUAUACUUUAUUUAGUUCAUUUAAGAUUAUGUCUACAAAACAUGUGGCACAAAAAUAUCUACUGGCUGAAAUUGAAAAUAAUACAAAAAACAAGUAAAACAUUGUUCCAUUGUAUUCACGCUCCUCCCUCUUCAUCUACACACAACCGCUGCUCUUCUCCCUUUCUCUCAUAUCGUCAUCAACCACCAUCCAGCCGUCGUCCGUCGCCGACCCUUUGCAUCAAUCGAGUCAUAAGUUCGUGUCGAAUUUCCAGUAUUUGGUCUGUGUGAAGACAAUAACCCCCUUACUGCAUCCUCAUUCUCAUUCCAAUUUCCCAUUCAGAAUUUUAAGGUUUAUCAUCUGAUUCCAAACAUAUCAUUUGACUAAUUCUUAAACAACAACAACAAACAAACAAACAUUGCUAUUGCAGUUUAAUAUUCCAAUUUCAUAUACAUAAUAUCAAAAUUAACAACAUUAACUGACUAAAUAACUAAGAAUGAAUAUUUCUAGGGUUUCAAAAAAAAGAAACAAUAAACAAAAUUAAGAUGAGUAAUGAAUGACCUGAUGCAUUUGUAGGAGCGAAAGUGCAUUUAACGAUUGCAAUUUUAGAAUUGAACAACGGAAAGAACGGAGUCUCAGGAACAAUGAGAGAAGGUGUAGAGGAAGGAAGAUGUUUUUGCUUAUGUGGAGCGGUAGGGUGGGACGACGGUACCCUGGUGGCAACGCCGGCGCUGACGAAAGGGUGAUGGUGGGGCGGCGUUUUUAGGAGAUGAAGGAGUGUGUUGUAUCAUAGGAGGAAGAGCAGAGGCGUGUGUUUAUUUUCCAAUAAACAAGUAUUUUUUUCGAAGCCUUUUAAUCUCAGCCAUUGGUUUUUUAUUUUUCACAUGUCAAACAUCCAUGAAGUGAAUUGGUAUAAAUGGAGGCUCUCUAAAGGAAGCAAAGAUGCACUCGUUAGCCACGAGAAUGUGGAGCUUGUGAAAACGGCGGAGUCUCAAACUAUGGUAGCAACAAAAUGAAACAAAUAUGCAGGUUGUUGAACGUGCUACACAUCUUCUUGAUGAAUGGAGAGCAGCCAAAAAUAUUAGGUCCCGAAUUGCGGCAAAUUCUAGUAAUGAUAAAAACGGGCAUGUGGAGCUUGUGAUAAACAAAUUCUAGUAAUGAUAAACAAAAUGUUAGGUCCGUGAAUUGUAACAUUGAUGCCUCUUUUUUCUAGUCAACGAAUAUGGUUUGUAUAUGCAUAUGUUUGCGAGAUUUUGCAUGUAAUUUGUGAUUGCAAAAAUUGAUUGCUUCUCUCCCCUUUGUCAAGUUGAUAUAGGAGAGGCUUUUGGGAUGUCUACGACUUUAAAUUGGAUAUCAAACUUUCAAUAUGAUAAUGUUGGUUUUGCUUUAGAUUCUAAGAAUGUCGUUGAUCAGUUUAGGUCAGUAAUAGAAGAUAAUAGUGAAUUUGGUUGUAUUAUAUCUGACUGUAAAAACUUGUUCCAUCAUAGGUAUCAGAACUCUCAUGUCGAGUUCAAUAGAAGACAAGCUAAUGAGGUCGUUCACGAGUUAGCUCAGGUAGCCCUAGGUCAUGUUAGCUCCCACAUUUACAAUAACGCAUCGUCAUGUAUUUCGUACAUUAUAGCUAAUGAACAACACUGUAUUUUCUUUCUUAAAAAAAAUUAUUUGGUGCAAAUCAAUAGUACAAAUCAACGAUGUUAGUAUCAAUGAUUUAUUUUUUGUUGAAGAAGUUAGUAUCAAUGAUUUUCAGGUAUAUUUAGAACAAUACAAAAAGUUCUUAAAAAAUGAUUUUUUUUUUUUUAAGAAGUUAUUAUCAAUGAUUUUCAGGUAUAUUUAGAGCAGUACAAAAAAGUCUUAAGAAAAUAUUCUUUUUUCACAUGAAAUGAAUUAAAUAUAAAUAUUUGAAACACAAAAUAGUGUUUUCUGGAUGAGUUUUGGUUUAUCCAUAAAAAAAGGUUUGAGAUUCUCCCAUAUCAUUUGAAGAUUCUUUGUUUUUAGAGCAUACUAACAAAUGACUAUAUAAAUUAGCUUAUAAUUGAUAAAAACAAAAUACAAAUUAGCUUAUGGGACACCUAAAAUCGGAAUUUUUCUAUUAUAAAAAGGGCAGGCCGGUCUCACCAACUAGUGUAUUGUAGCAGUUUUAUCAUAUUUUUACAUAAAAACCGUUUUCAAAAUUUGAGCUUGUGACCUUUCAAUCAUGUUACGUGGCAUUUGAAAAAUAUCUUAAUCAACAUUUUUUCAUAAAUAAUUCAAAAAAAACUAUUUAUUUUUAAAAUUCUUUAUCACAUCCAUCAACAAACUUUGAAUUAAAAAAAAAAAAUCAUCAAUAAACUCAUGAAAAAAACGAAAAAAUUCUACAAAAAAUAAAUAAAUAAAGUCGUUUUUUUAUGACCUAUUAGGGGGUAUUCCAAAAAAAUAAAAUUACAGCGGGUAAAUCAAAAAAAAUAUUUUACAGGGAGGAAAACAAAAAAUGAUCUAUAUUACAGGUAAAGCCAGUGGCAGAUCUUAGUAGAGACCCUUGGGUGCCAUGGCAUCCCCUGGGUUUUCAAUAUAUACCAUAUUAGACAUAUUAUUUUAGUAAGUUUUGAAUUGUCGCAGCAGUAAGCUAGUCUUAUAGUCCCACCAACGGUCGCGAGUGAGUUCGACACUCACGCCAUCUUUUUUGACAUUUUUCUCUCGUAUUUACAUUUUUUAUUCAAAAAAAACCACUAGCAGGGAUUCAAACCUGCAUCCCACUUGGUGCUUUCAAACAAUUUAAACCAUUACAGCAAGUGAUUAUUUUUAUCUACUUUUUGAAACUGGUUUACAUAUAUUUCAUGGUGGUUUGGCACCCCCAAUAAAUUUACUCAAGAUCCGCCACUGGGUAAAGCACCAUUAACCCCAAAAUAAACGAAAAUCUACAUUAACCAAAUUACAACACCACAUCAAAUCUACAUUUGACAAACUCAAAAAAUUCUAGAUAUGAGAUUAAUACAAUAAAAACCUAGAAUCCAAUUCAAGAACUGUUAAAUUUGGUAACAACCUUGUACAUUCCAAAACAACAUUCAAUGAGAAACUCGUCAGUAUCAGGGGUAAAUUCGUCGGUGUCAGGUAUUAUAAAUCUCCCUUUUUGAUUCUGCCCUAUGAAGCAUGCAAAUAUGGCCGUUGAAUCACACCUGAUAUGUUCUGAUACAUUGUCGAUACAUAUUUAAAGAGUGUCCAAAUUUUUUAAUUUAAACUAAAAAAUAAAAAUUUGGAUUCGUCACCGACACGUUGUCGUCAACACGUUUCUAAUAUGCCUUUGAUACAUCUCAUGAUUGUUCAAUUUUCCCCUCCUUAAUUAGAUGAAUGUAAAUUAUAAUAUAUACCCAGUUAAUUUAUUAGAAUUUUUUAAGUUUUCUUUCUUUUUCCCAUAAUUCUCUUACGGUUGCAAAUUGAAAUCACAGCUAACUAAGAGUGCAUAUAAUAUGUCAUACUUACCAAUUGUGAACAAAUCACUAUAGAGGAUAGAGUUCCGAGCUUUAUUUUAAUUUUUAUGUGUAUGUUAAAUGCAUCGUAUUCUAUAUUUUUCAAUGAUUGAUGUCCGUAUUUAUACGUGUGGUAUCUGAUACUCGUAUUAUGUCCAUGAAUAAUAGAUUCAACCAAACAACUAACAACCAUACCUUUAAAAUUCUAUCUUGGGGCACAUGAGAGUGCACCCAAAGCCAUGAUCUAGGCGCAUAAACCAUGCUUUAGGCGCAUGGUGCUGCCUCAUGGGCACAGGUUCUCCGAUUUCCCGUCUUUUUAGGUCUUCGUCUUCAAAUAACUUGCCUCGGAACUUAGGAACAUAAUUCCUCCCACUGUAAAGUCUCAUGAGGUCUCUUGAAUCUUCAUUUUUGGUCUUCCCAAAGUCUUCACAAAUCUUCAGAUGGUCUUGAUUUGUCGAUUUGCAUGAUUUCUUCGUGAAGUACUUCAAAAAACCCCUAAAAUUGUUAUGUUUCGGGAAAACUAGAAUUACAUACUAAAAUAUAGAAAACAUUACAAAAGUCCCGAAAUCAUAUGCAAUCGUUCUAAUACUCCACCUUUUUUGCUGCUAAAAUCUACUAAAAAUGACUGAAAAACAUGCUAAAAAUAACGUAAGAUGACCUGUCAUCAAAAUCAAAACUAACUAAUAGUGCAUAUAAUAUGCCACACUUACAAAUUAUGAACAAACCACUAUAAAGGAUAGAGUUAUGAGUUAUGAGUUUAGUUGGAAGUUCGCCACUUCUAUUAAGCUUGUGUUGUGAUUUCAGUUUAAAAUUUGUAACUAACGUUUACUACUUUAUUUUAAUUUUUAUAUGUAUAUAUUAAAUGUAUUGAAUCCUAUAUUUUCAAUGACUGACGUAUCGAUACGUGUUGUACCUGAUACUCGUAUUGUGUCUGUGAUUAAUAGAUUAGCCAAACGACCAACAACCACAACCUUAAAAUUCUCUCUCCCACCCAUUUUUAGAAACGACCCACAACCAUAGUAUUUUUCUUUGACCUUUUGGAAGCUAGUUUACUAAGUAAUGAAUAAGAUGAGCACCAUACUCCUCAGUUAUUUGUGACACAAGCAAUUGAAGCUUAAUAUAGUUUUAGACUUGGAAGUUUUAUUAUAACUACUGAUGACAUAUCAUCUUUCAAUUUUGAACAAUCCACUAUAAAGGAUAGAGUUCUAAGUUUAGUUGAAAAUUCGCCACUUCUAUUGAGUUUGUGUUGUGAUUUUAGUUUAAAAUUUGUAAUUAAUGUUUACAACUUUGUUUUAGUUUUUACAUGUGUAUGUUAAAUGUAUCGUAUCCUAUAUUUUUCAAUGACUGACAUAUCAAUAUGUGUUGUAUCUGCUACUCGUAUCGUGCCCCGUGAUUAAUAGAUUCAGCCAAACGACCAACAAUCACUGCCUUCAAAUUCUCUCUUCCACCCAUUUUCAGAAACAACCCACGACCAUGGUUUUUGUCUUUGACCUUUUGGAAGCUAGUUUACUAAGUAAUGAAUGAGAUGAGCACCAUACAUAGUCCUCAGUUACUUAUGACACAAGCAAUUGAAGCUUAAUACAGUUUUAGACUUAGAAGUUCUGUUAUAACUACUGAUGACAGACCAUCUUACGUUAUUCUUAGCAUAUUUUUCAGUAAUUUUUAUUUAGUUUUGAUCCGAAAUAGAGGAGUUUUAGAGCUAUUACCUAUGGUUUUGGGGAUAUUUUGUAAUGUUUUCAUUUAUAAUCAUGUAAUUCUAAUUUCUCAAAAACAUAACAAUUCUAAAGUAUUUUGAUGUAAUUCAAAAAGAAAUCAUACAAAUAUAUUUGCUAACAAAAACAAAAGGUGAAUAUUGUUAUAAGAUCAAAUUGAUCUAAAAUUUAAAUUAUUUAAGUUUAUAUAGACAAAUAGUAACCUAACAUACUUAAUCUACUCUAAAAGAAACAUAACAUACUUAUUCUACUAGCUAGUACUACUAUAUUACUCUCUUAGUUUACUAUGUAUACUAUUCAUACAAGACAUUUUAUCAUAUAUGUUUCUAUUAAUAUAAAGAUAAAUAGUAAGAUAAAGAUGUUAGGGUUAAUAGUGUUUUUCACCCCUGUAAUAUAUGUCAUUUUUUGUUUUCGUCCUUAUAAAAUUUUUGGUUUGAUUUGCACCCUCGUAAAAAUUUUAUUUUUCGAAAAACACCCCUAAUAGGCCAUUUUCAGAUUUUUUUUUUUCAAGAAAUUUUGGUUUUUGAAUGGCCUAUUAAGGUUGUUUUUCGGAAAAUAAAAAUUUUACGAGGGUGAAAUCAAACUGAAAAUUUGAUAGGGGCGAAAAAUGAAAAUGACAUAUAUUACAGGGGUGAAAAACACUAUUAACCCAAGAUGUUAUUAGAUUUUUCUUAACAAAAUACUUUUAAAAUAUCUACUCUUAAUUAUCUUUUGUUAAUAUUCCUCUAAUAAAAUAAAUUUUUUUGUAAUUGUCAAAAAUGUGCAUCGCAUGUAAGAAAGUUACACAAACAAACCACUUUUUCAAUAGUCAUAAACAUUUAACCAAAAUCAAUCAUCUUGAUAGGGGGUAGUAUAUGGGACACCACUUGUGUACCAUUAAGGUAUCAAUGUUAUAUAACAUUGACCAAUAAGAGUGUGCCACAUACCAAUGUUACUUUAUAAAUGUUUUAUUUGAUAUAUGUUUUUUAAAGUGUGUGCCACAUGUCACACCUUAAUUGGCUAAUGUUAUAUAACAUAAUGGUACACAAGUGCUAUCCGUAGUAUAUGGCCCUGGCGAAAAGGGGGCCGUCGUAAAAUUCUUAUAAGUUAAUACUCUCUUUUUCGGGGAAAUAUCUUAAUAGCCAAUACUUUUUUUCACAAACACAUGCCAAAAAAACAAUUUCACAAACAAACACGUACAUCACGAGUUUCAAGAUAAUAAGAGAUCAACUUGGAGUUCUAUAUAGUCUUCAACUUCAACAUUGUUACGUACAACCAAACCAUUCAUUGUAGACAUGUCUUUUGCAGUAACAACAACAAUAUUUGCUUUCCUUCUCUUCACUUUCACAUACUUUCUAUUCAAACUAUUCUUGCAUUCAAAACAAAAAACCAUUAUCCAUAAAAAACCACCAUGUCCACCAACACUACCAAUAAUAGGAAAUCUUCACAUAUUAGGCAAACUUCCACAUAGAACACUUCAAUCACUCUCCAAAAAAUAUGGUCCAAUUAUGUCUUUACAACUUGGACAAGUUCCAACAAUUGUCAUUUCAUCUUCAAAAGCAGCAGAAUCAUUCCUCAAAACCCAUGACAUCGUUUUCGCAAACCGACCGAAACUUAUAGGAGCAGAGAUCAUAUCUUAUGGUUGCAAAGGGUUGGCGUUUUCUAAGUACGACCCUUAUUGGCGUAGUGUAAAGAAACUCUGCACUUUGAAACUUCUUAGUGCUUCAAAAGUUGAGAAGUCGGGUCCUAUUAGAACAGAGGAGUUGGGUAUUUUGGUUAACACUUUGAAAAAAGCUUCUUUGGUAGGUGAGGUUGUGAAUGUCAGUGAGAUUGUAGAGAAUGUUAUUGAAGAUAUUGUGUAUAAGAUGAUAUUGGGUAGAGGUAAGUAUGAGCAAUUUGAUUUGAAGAAGUUGGUUCAAGAAGGAUUGGCUUUGAUUGGAGCUUUUAAUCUGGCUGAUUAUGUUCCUUGGCUAGGAAUUUUUGACCUUCAGGUAAGUUUGUCAAAUUAUAUAUAGCUUUUUUAAGCUUAAAUAUGAAAAUGGUCCCUCCAAAUAUUUGGCGUUUGUUUUAGUCCAUAUAAAAAUAUUUUUUUGAUUUUAAUCCCUGCAAAUAUAAAAUAUUUGGUUUUGGUUCUUGGUAUUUUGUUUUAAUCCUUGUAAAAUCAUUUCAUAUUGAAAUUGGUCCCUAUAAUAUUCAUUUUAGUCCUCAUUUUAAGGGACUAAAAUCAAAUAUUCUACAUACUACAAGGACCAAUUCCAAUAUGAAUCAAUUUUACAAGGACUAAAACAAAAUAUCAAAGACCAAAAUCAAAUUUUUUAUAUUUGUAGGGACUAAAAUAAAAAAAAAAUUUACAGGGACUAUAACCAAUCAUAUUUAAGGCCUCUUUUUAAUACAUGGUCAGAUUAAAAAAAUAUAAUUAGAUUUGUAUGAGAAAACGAAAUUAUGAGUCAUUUUAUAAAAUUACCUUUUAUUAAUGAAUGAUAUAGAAAAAAUAAAUUAAAAAAUUUAAAAAAGAUAAAGUAAUAAAUAUUUAAGAAUAUGGAAUAAUUAAUAUGCUAUUGGUUAACGACUAAUAAUUUGAAACAAUUUCCCCUAAAAAAAUUUAUAAUUUAGGCUCUUUUUGUCAAGGUCAAGAACAUAAUUUAUAAAUAAUUUAAAACAAAUUAUGCUCUUUUUGUCAAUUUUCUUAAAUUGUCAUGUUUGAUAACAAUCUUUUUACCAUAAAUUUAUAGCUUAUUUUACUAGCUUAUAACUUAUCUUUCAUAUAGCUUAUAGCGUUUGAAUUUAUAGUGUAUAAUUUAUCAUCUUUUAUUUCAUUGGAUUGAUUAUUAUUUUUUUAUUUUUUAAGGAAACCAUUGGAUUGAAUUAUUUCAGCGACUUAUGUUCCAAUUUGAUUAUUUCUUUUGGCAAUCUUCUAAUUCUAACGAUAACAAACAUAUACUUUUUUCCACUAUAUUUUACUUUGGCUUGUGUAUGUAUUAUAUUAAGAAUUUAAUUCUGUUUUUUUUUUUUUUUUUUUUUUUUUAUCCCUAAUGAUUUUAUUAAAUUUUCUUUUUAAUUUCUGCAAAUCGGAUAUUAUUUUGUUUGUGGGAUAAAAAUAUUAAAUAUUGAUAACAUUUUUAUAAAGAAUUAACAACAUCCUUUGAAGUCAUUUUACAUUUAUCAGCUAGUUAAACCGCGCUACUUUUAUCAAAUACUUCAAUCAGCUUAUAAGUUAUCAGUCAUCAGAUAUCAGCUAUUAGCUAUCAGACAUCAACCAUAAACUAUAAAUUAUAAGUUAACUUUUCAGCUAUUUACUAUUUUUAUCAAACAAAACCUAAAAAAGAGGGAGUAUUAUGUAUAAGAAAUAAAAGAUUAAUCAUUGACUUUAGUUUUAUUUUAAGUCUCAUAAACAAAUUUCCUCAAAAAAAAAAGUCUCAUAAAUAAAUAUCGUGAUUGUAUAUAAUUUUGGUCACUCAAACGUGGUAUUGCACUGUAUUUAUCCUUUACACUGUGUUUGGUUGAGGUGAAAUAGGAAAGAGAAAGAGCAGGCAGAGAAAAAGGUGAGAAGUUCAAAACUUCUCCUGUUUGGUUAGAAAAAGAAAGAGAGAUAAAAACAUGUGGAACCCACAUCUCCUUUUUUUUUUUUGGUAGAUAACCCACCUCUCCUUUUAGUCUCUCCAAAGUAGUGAAGAAACAAAGAAGAAACCCACUUUUUAUUUUUUAUUCCACUAAUGCCCUUGUGAAAUUGUUGCAAGUUUGCAACACGGCACGGACAAAACGGAAGCAUUGGUGUGAUUAGUGAUAAAUUGAUAAUGUGUCCCUUGCCUAAUAUACAGUGAGUAAGCAAACUUUUUAAAUGUACUUAAUAAUUGAUUGAUUGAAUUACAUAAAAACUAUAAUCUGUUUAACUUAAUUCAGUUAAACUAAUUAGUUUAAUUUACCACAAAAAAAAAAAAUUUAAUUGAUAUAAAGUUUAAAUAAAUAAUUUAAUUAAUUAGAAUAAAUUUGAAUAAAAGAUUAAAUAAUUUAAUUUUGACAAAGAUUAAAUAAUUUAAUAGAUUUUUUUAUUGUAGGGGUAUCUUUGUACUUUUAUAAAUAAUCAACACUUCUCUCUCUUCUAUCUCUCUUUUCUCCCUUUUAUGCCAAACAACACAUCAAAUCUACUUCAUUUCUCACAUAUCUCUCUCUCUCUCUCUCUUCACAACUUCUCUUCCAAACUAAACAAACCCUUUAGUGUUUUUCUUCUAGUUCAAUAAAUAAAAGGCUUAAACGCACUUUUAACCCUCUAAGUUUGCAAAAGUUGUAAUUUUGGCACCCUAUUAAAAAAAUGGCAAAAGUGACCCCCCAUGUUUAUCCCAUUUUGCAAAACCUCAAUUUUGACUUAGUCAAAUUUAUGUGUCACGCCACAUCAGUUAAAAAAUCGCUACGUGUCUACUUUUUGAAUUUAAAAUAAAUGUAAAUACCACAAGUGUAUAUGUAGAAUUAAAAUAAUAAAAAAGAAUAAAAAAAUAAAAGGAAAGAAUUAAGGAGAGAAGCGCUUGGUUUUCUUCUCUUCUUCCUCUGUAACAUCAAACUCGGGUAAGAAAGGAAAAUUAAACCCAGAAAGCAACGUGAGUCUUCAUAUCUUCAUCUCCAUACUUCAUAGCAAUCUUCAUAUCUUCUAAUCCAACCCAGAAAGAAAGAAAAAAAAAAACGAAUCCUUCAUUUAUUAAUUGGAAAACUAAACAUGCAUACACUUUAACUCUCAUUUCUUUAGGACAGUAUCAAUAGUGAUGAUAAAAUAAAACCGUAGGUCUGUUGAAAAAUAGUGUAUUAGGUCAAAAUCACCCAAUUUCAUCUCCAACUAUACCUCCAGCACCAAUUUAUUAUCCAAGUGAAGAUGAAUUCAAAGAUCCAUUAGAAUUUAUUCACAAAAUCAGACACGAAGCCGUACCGUAUGGAAAUUGAUUUGGAGUUUUCAAAUUUUGAUUUUGAGAGAAAAAAUAGCCCAUUUUUUUUUAAUUUCCAAAAUUUUAAUUCACGUGCUCUUUUCUUCAAAAAACAUCACGUGCUCUUAUGUUUUUUUUUUGCUUUUUGAUUUAUAUUUAAUUUCAUUAAUUUAUAUCUGGCUUUUUUAUUUAAUUUUUAAUUGGAAAAAACACAUGUGGUGUGCCAUGUAGGCUUGAUCAAAUCAAAAUUAACGUUUUGCAAAAAGAGAUAAACAUGGGGUCACUUUUACCAUUUUUUUUAAUGGGGGUCAAAAUUACAACUUUUGCAAACUUAGGGAGUAAAUAGUACGUUUAAGCCUAAAUAAAAUGAUUACCUAAUUUUCAAACUCAACUGCCCUUCACUUGUAGUUAAGGUAUUCUGAUGAUUUUAGUUACAAAUACCUUAAAUACCAAGUGAUGGUUUGAAAUUGGGGGCUAAAUUUCACAAUCUCAAUAUUUGAGGUACUACGUAGGAGAAAUUUUGAAAAAAAUCAGACGACCCCUUCUUUGCACAAUGGAAAAAUAUUAAGGUCAUGAUAAUUUAUUUUUGAUAAUUUUUUGGUGAUGUAAUUUUCAUUUUGUGGUGUUUAAUCUUUAAUAAUGAAAGGUUGCGUUAACUUUUAAGUGGUUGAAGGUGAAGUUUCCUUUUCUUCCCUUCAAUUAUCAUGGUUGGUGGCUUAAUCCGUUUACUGUUUUAGGCAUUGGCUAUUUUCUGUUCUUUUUGGCUUGUUUUCUGGUGUUGGCUCUUGUCUUGUAUAUAUGUUUUGUUCUUUUGUUGUAACUUGCUGGGUUUUUAUUCAUUUGUACAUCUUGUGCUAGGAAGACCCUCGUGGUGUUAAUAUAUUUCAUUAAUUUUAGUUUCUUCAAAAAAAUAAUGAGAGGUUGCCAUAAUUUAGAAACCAAAUUGAAUCAAGUUUUAAAUAUUUUAAAUUUCCUUAAAUAUAUUGUUAUCAAUUUUUCAAGCCCAGUUUAGUUAGUAAGAUGCUUCAACUAUAUUCAUAGGGCUUCGAGUUCUAGUUAUGAAGGGGGAAAAUGGAGAACAUUGAUACUCUUUUAAAAAAACUUGCUCUAAUGAUUUUGUUAAGUACAAUGAAAAUAUUUAUUUAGUAAUUGAUAUUUUAUGUUUAACUCAUUGUUAGGGAUUAACAAAAUCUUGCAAGAAAGUUAGUAAAGCAAUUGAUGAGCAGCUAGAGGUGAUAUUAACAGAACAUGAACAAGCUGCUAAUGUAAACAAAACUCAUCAUAAAGAUUUUGUAGACAUACUUCUUUCAAUUAUGCACCAAACCAUUGAUGUCGAGGGUGAACAAAAUCUCGUCAUUGAUCGAACUAACAUCAAGGCUAUUUUGCUCGACAUGAUAGUGGCAGCAAUCGAUACAUCUGCUACCUCGAUUGAAUGGGCUUUAUCUGAACUUUUAAGACAUCCAAGAGUGAUGAAAAAGCUUCAAGAUGAGAUACAAAAUGAAGUAGGAAAUAAAAGAAAGAUUGAGGAGAAAGAUAUGAAGAAGUUGAAUUAUUUAGAUAUGGUGGUUGAUGAGACCUUAAGACUUUACCCUGUUGCACCAUUACUAGUCCCUCGUGAGUCUAGAGAGAGCACAAUAAUUGAUGGUUAUUUUAUAAAGGAAAAGACACGACUUAUAGUAAAUGCAUGGGCAAUAGGGAGAGAUCCUAAUGUUUGGUCAGAAAAUGCCGAAGAAUUUUAUCCAGAGAGAUUUAUUGAGAAAAACUGAAUUAUCUCGGACAAGAGUUUGAAUCUAUACCAUUUGGUUCUAGUCGUAGGCGUUGUCCUGGAAUUCAAUUGGGUUUAAUUACGAUUAAGUUGGUUAUAGCUCAAUUUGUGCAUUGCUUUAAUUGGGAACUUCCACAUAAUAUUAGUUCUUCUAGUUUGAAUAUGGAGGAAAAAUUUGGACUCACUAUACCAAGAACUCAACAUUUGCAUGCAAUACCAAGUUAUCGUUUGGAUGAUGCUAAACAUGAAUAGUUCUAAGUACAAUACUAUGUUGUGUUCAACAAGUUAAUUGCUAGUAAAAAUGCCAAGUAUGGUAGCUUAGUCCACUAAAGCUCUUGCAAACGGAAAGUUCGGAAAGGGGGUCUAACCAAUUAGUGUAUUAUAACGACCUUGGUACUUUCCAAAACAACAUUUAAUGAAGAAUCGGUUCCAGAAUCAGACAUGUGAGUUCAAUUGCACGAGAGGGGUGAAUUCGCCAAUGCCGGAAUUAGAAAUCUCCCUAAUUGAUUCAGCCCUAUGAAGCAUUCAAAAUUACCGUUAAAUCUCACCUGAUAUGCUCUCGUCCAUACGUAUCGAAGAAGUAUCCAAAUUUUUUAAUUAAAAAUAAAAAAUAAUUUUUUUUAACACGUCACAUAUACGUUGCGAUACGCUGCCAACACGUCUCUGAUACAUCUCAUGAUUGUUCAGUUUUUAGUUUUCCCCUAAUUACAUUCUAUCUUUACUAUGAUUAUGAUUGAUGCAUGUCAAUUAUAAUGUGGCAAAUUCUAUGGUACAUCCAAAAAUAUGAGUGUAUCGUUACAUCAAAUCGUUAAAUCAAUAAUUAAAUGAGUUGUUUUUUGAUUUUUUUAUUAUCAUUGAUAAUUAUAAUAAUUAAAUCUUAUUGAACAAAAACUUCGACGAAAUAAAAAAAAAUUGAAUUUUUAUUACUCAUAAUAAAGAAUAUUGAUGAUUUUUUAUGAGAAAAUGUUAAAAAUUUAAUAUGAUUCUUAUAAACAAUGAAAUGAUGUUUUUUCUUACGAAAUGAUGUUUUCUAAAAUAUAAAUAUGGACAAAUAUUUUUUUUAUUUCAUAAAAUGAUCGUUAAUUUAUAAAUUUAUAGAGCAAGAGUACCGGUAAACCUUAAUUUGUGAUGUGUACCGUAGAAGUUCCCUUAUAAUGUACCCAUUUAAUUUAUUAGAAUUUUCUAAGUUUUCUUUCUUUUUUCCAUAAUUAUUUUACGGUUGCAAAUUGAAAUCACAGCUAACUAAGAGUGCAUGUAAUAUGCCAAACUUACCAAUUCUAAACAAACAACUAUAGAGGAUAGAGUUCUGAGUUUAGUUUGAAAUUCAUCGCUUCGAUUGAGUUUGUGUUGUGAAUUUAGUUUAAAUUUUUUAACUAAUAUUUAUAACUUUAUUUUAAUUUUUAUAUUUGUAUGUUAAUUAAAUAUAUCAUAUCUUAUAUUUUUCAAUGACUGAAGUAUCGAUUUGUGUCGUAUCGGAUGCUCAUAUUGUGUCCAUGAUUAAUAGAUUCAACCAAACGACCAAUAACCAUACCCUUCAAAUUCUCUCUCCUACCGAGUUUUAAUUGAUGUUUACAACUUUAUUUUAAUUUUUAUAUGUGUAUGUUAAUUUUAUCGUAUCCUAUAUUUUUAAAUGACUGACAUAUCGAUACCCUUAAAAUUUUCUCUCCCACCCAUUUUUAGAAACAACCCACAACCAUGGUUUAUUGUCUUUAUCCUUUUGGAAGAAGUAUUUGUUAAAGCAUAUCACAAAAGAAAUGGAAGCAAGUUUUCUAAGUAAAGAUGAAGAUGUGCACCAUAGUCCUCCAUUACUUGCGACAAAAGCAAUUGAAGCUUAAGACAGUUUUAGACUUAGAAAUCAUGUUAUGACUACUUUGCUCAUGUUUAGGAAAGUUAGUUAUGAUACAGUGAGGUGAAGAUCACAGUAGUUUAUGCUGAUCUAUCACUGAAAUACCAUAAGUACAUGUAAUUGCUUCUAUUACAAGUUAAUGUGAAAUAAUGGUUCAUUGAACCAAUUCUUGAUUCUUUUAUUUGUUUUUAUCUCAUUUUUUUAUCAAUCUUUUGUUAUCUCAACAUUAUUUGUCUCGUGUGUUUGUAAGAGAACCCAUGGUGGCUGGUUUAUUACACGCUUGGAGGAGAAGGAGGUAGAAGGGGCAAUCCGCGCGCGUGUUUUUUUAGGGUUCUAGGUAGAAGUUGAUUUUUAAUUGAAGAAGCUUGAUAAAAUUGGUGUUUUAGAGUUUCCUAAGAAGAGGAGUGUAGCAGAAGUAACAAAAUUGAAAAGGGAGGAAGAUUAAAUCACCAAUGUAGCAUAUUUGUGUUUGUUGUUUUUUUUUUCUUUUUGCAUAAACAUGGCAAACAAAGACGAAGAAGAAAAAAAUACACAGGACAGAAGAAGAUUUUGGAAAUUGUUUUUAUUAAUGUUGUGAUGAAGAUUUAUGUAUGAAGAUUAAAAGAAAAGCAACAGUGAUCUGGGUUUCUCUUUAAACAUUCUAGAAAAAGGGGUUUUAAAUAAUUUUAUGUUUUUAAAAUUAAUGACUUUUUUUCUGCAGGAUUAAAAUUAAUGACUUGGUAACCAAUAUUCAUGUGGAAGUUUUUUUUUUUUUAAAGAAAUAUAAAUACACACUCAACUACGUAAUCCAUUGUACACAAUCAAAAAAUCUUAAAAUGGAAGAGGAAUCUCAAACUUUUCUUUUUUAAACCAAAAUUCGCUCGUGUAAACAUUAUUUGACCCUAAAAAUAAUGAAUAUUUAGACUUAAAUAUGCAAUUUAACCUUAGUUUUUUUUUUCGUCAUUCGAGUUUUUUUUUAUAAGCAAGAGAGAGGACAGGCAUCAAGAGACAUCAUCGACAUCCCAACUAGGUUGGCAUCUCAAGAGACCUCCAUCGUAUGCCGCCAAACUCAAAAGAUUUUAUUAAAAAAGGGGGAAAAAUAAUUACAAAAGGAGGGUGGACAAGACCAAAACUCUCAAAAUGAACGGAAAAGAAAAGCAACAGUGGAAACAACAAAACAGUCCAAAGAACAGAUCAAAGAAAUCUGUAAUUAGGAAAUCCACAAUAAAAAUUAGAAUUUGUGACAUAUAUAAAUUUUUAAAGCAAUCCAAGUAUCAAAGUUAUUGAUACCUCUAACAUUCCAAUGUGUGCCAAAUAUUGUAUUCAAAAAUUGUGAUCAACCAAUACUUUUUCAACAAGGAAUAGAUAAAUGGAGCACUCCUUGGUGGUAUGGUGACAUAUGUUGUAGCUUCUCUGUCCACAGAAAAACGUGUACACCAACUUGGAGUUCUUGAUAUCUUCAACCUCGUUACUUCAGCCAAACCAAAUCAUUCAUUGUGGUCAUGUCUUUUGCAGCAACAACUAUGCUCUAUUUCCUUCUCUUCACUUUCAUAUACCUUUUAUUCAAACUCUUCUUACAUCCAAAACAAAAUACCAUUAACCAUAAAAAGCCACCAGGUCCACCAACACUACCAAUAAUAGGAAACCUUCACAUGUUAGGUAAACUUCCACAUAGAACACUUCAAUCACUCUCCAAAAGAUAUGGUCCAAUCAUGUCCUUACAACUUGGUCAAGUUCCAACAAUUGUUAUUUCAUCUUCAAAAGGAGCAGAAUCAUUCCUCAAAACCCAUGACAUCGUUUUCGCAAGCCGACCGAAGAUUCAAGGAUCAGAGCUCAUGUCCUAUGGUUCUAAAGGGUUGCCUUUUUCUGAGUAUGGUCCUUAUUGGCGCAGUAUGAGGAAAUUUUGCACUUUGAAACUUCUUAGUGCUUCAAAAGUUGAGAAGUCGGGUCCUAUUAGAAAAGAGGAGUUGGGUGUUUUGGUUAACACUUUGAAGAAAGCUUCUUUGGUAGGUGAGGUUGUGAAUGUUAGUGAGAUUGUCGAGAAUCUUAUUGAGGAUAUUGUGUAUAAGAUGAUAUUGGGUAGAGGUAAGUAUGAGCAAUUUGACUUGAAGAAGAUGAUUAAAGAUGGAUUAACUUUGAUGGGAGCUUUUAAUCUGGCUGAUUAUGUUCCUUGGCUAGGCAUUUUUGACCUUCAGGUACAUUUGUACUAUUUAUUACUACUAUCUCGUUAAAUAUAAGAUCAUUUUGUGUUUUUUCUGUCGCUUUUUAUAAGAACCCUUUCAAAUUUUAAUGUAGAUUAAUUAUUUCUUUAUCAAUAUAUCCUUAUUUAUGUUGCAUAUUUUUAUACAAUAUAUAAUAAAUAUUCUACGAAAACAUCAGCUAAUUUCUUUCAUAAAGGAUAAAUAUGUAAAACAAUAUAAAUUGUAAACAAAAUUAAUUCAACAAUUAAUUUUCUUAAUUCCUGUGUUUUUCACGAAAUGGUUCUAUAAUUAAGGACGGAGGUAGUAUUUAUAAGAAAGAAAGAUAUUGAAUAUUAACAUACAUUUAUUUUAGUCUGAUGAUUUUGGCUUGGGAUCCGGGAGUAUGCACCUCCUCGAGGUCUCAGGUUCGACUCUCUCUGAUGCCAAUUUAAGUGGGUUAAUUUAACUUCUUCAAAAAAACAUAUGUUUAUUUUUAACACACUUAGAUUGGCCUGAUGGUAUUGGCUUGAGAUCCGGAAGUGUGCUGUUUCAUAAAUAGAGUGUUCUUCAAAACAAAACAAAAAACUCAUAAAUAGAGUGAUUGAGUGAUUUUGGUCACUCAAUAUUUAAUAGUUCGGUAUUGGUCCUUUAGUGUUUUUCCCUCUAUGGCUUUAAAAGGGUUACCUGAUUUUAUCUCAAUUGCCCUUCACUUUUAUAUAUGAAAUUGGAAACUGGGUCAAAUUUCACAAUAUCAAAAUAUUUUAGGUACUAGAAGUAAGAGAAAUUUGAAAACAAGUUAGAUAAUCCCUUUACUAUACACAAGGGAAAAUUGAAUUAACUCUACAAAAAAAAUGAGUUAACUCUUAAAUAUUUUCCAUUCGGUUAAAUAUUUCAGUUAUCCAUUUCAUCCUCAAUUUACUUAUGUUUUUACGGUUUUGUUAAUAACAACAAUCAAGUCUUAUCCGACUGAGUAAGAUCAACUAUAUAGAUCAAAUUACCCCAUAAUAGGUUAUCAUAAACGUGGGUUUGUUAAGUUCAAUGAAAAUAUUCAUGUAGUAACUGAUAUUAUUAGUUAACUUUUUGAUAGGGAUUAACACAAGCUUGCAAAAAAACCAGUAAAGCUCUUGAUGAAGUUUUGGAGAUGAUAAUAACAGAGCAUGAACAAACUACUAAUACAGACGAUCCUAAAGAUUUUGUAGACACAGUUCUUUCAAUUAUGCACCAAACCAUUGAUGUUGAGGGUGGACAAGAUCUCGUCAUUGAUCGAACGAUCAUCAAGGCUAUUUUGCUCGACAUGAUAGGGGCAUCAAUUGAUACAUCUUCAAACGUGAUAGAGUGGGCUUUAUCUGAACUUUUAAGGCAUCCAAGAGUGAUGAAAAUUCUUCAAGAUGAAAUACAAAAUGAAGUAGGAAAUAAGAGAAUGGUUGAAGAAAAGGAUUUGAAGAAUUUUAAUUACCUAGAUAUGGUGGUUGAUGAAACCUUAAGACUUUAUCCUGUUGCACCUUUAUUAAUCCCUCGUGAAUGUAGAGAGAACAUAACAAUUGAUGAUUAUUCUAUAAAAGAAAAGACACGAGUUAUAGUAAAUGCAUGGGCAAUUGGGAGAGAUCCUGAUGUUUGGUCAGAAAAUGCUGAAGAAUUUUACCCAGAGAGAUUUAUUGAGAAAAAAAUGAAUUAUCUCGGACAAGAGUUUGAAUCUAUACCAUUUGGUUCUGGUCGUAGACGUUGUCCUGGAAUUCAAUUGGGUAUGAUUACGGUUAAGUUGGUUAUAGCUCAAUUCGUGCAUUGCUUUAACUGGGAACUUCCACAUAAUAUUAGUCCUUCCAAUUUGAAUAUGGAGGAGAAAUUUGGACUCACUAUACCAAGAGCUCAGCAUUUGCACGCAAUACCAAGUUAUCGUUUGGAUGAUGCUAAGCUUGAAUAGUUCCAAGAAUAAUUACUAUGUUCGUGUUCAUCAAGUAUAUAAUUGGUAAAGAUGCUUAGGAGGUCUAUUAAUGAUGUUUUAAUGUAUAUUGCUUGUUCUUUAUAUAUGUUUGAUAGCCAACAUUUGAGUCUUCAUUGGGACAUGGAGGUCAAUAAAAUCACAUACCUUCAUGAUCAAUGGUAUGGUGCAAGUCUAUAGUACAAAUCUCCUUCAUCUCUACCCUAUCUCUUUCUUUUACUCAGUAUUUGUUUCAAUUCUCUGUUAUUAUUAUUACUAGGGUUGUUCGCGGUGCGGUUUGGUUCGGUUUCAAGCAUAAUAAUAAUCCAAACCGCGAGAGAAAAAAGCAUGCGGUUUGGUUUGGUUCGGUUGUUUUUUAAAAAGUCAUCCAAACCAAACCAAUGCGGUUUGGAUUGGUUCAGUUGAUGCGGUUAAUCACGAGAUAAAUAAAAAAAUUACAUUAACUUAAUAUUGCCAACUAGUACCAAGCAAUUUUAAUUAUUCAAAAAAAGAAUUUGAAGUUCCAAAAUAGCAUUACAAUACCAAUAAAAGUUAUUUAUCUAAAAUAACAUUACAGAACCAAAAUAAUAGCUGGAUAGUGUUGGGCUUGGACUUGGGUUCACUUUGGUAUUGGGCUAGUACAAUACUUACUUAGUUUAAUAACAUUGAGUAUUUUUGCGGUUUGGUUUGGUUUGGUUCGGUUGCUGAGAUGUAAACCGCAAACCGAACCGAACCGCGCGGUUCAGUCUAAAAAUCAUCCGAACUCAUCCGAACCAAGUGCGGUUUUUUGCGGUUUCAGUUUGGGUUGGUUCGGUUUGCGGUUUUUCUAUUGGGUUGGUUCGGUUUUGAACACCCCUAAUUAUUACUGAUUUUAAAAUUGGUAUGGCACACUUUAGAAAUGAGGUAGACCUGAAGUUCUAAAGUUUUUUUAACACAACAUAUCACACAUGACAACUUAAUAACUAGAAUACUGCUCCAUUAAGAUUGGAGAACAACAUAUAAAAGAUGUAAAUACUUAUUAUUCCUCUAUGGUUUUCCACAAUGUACAUGUAUAAUAUACUGCACAUUAACUAUUAUUUGAUUCAAAAAGUAUUAAAGUAUGUUUAUAUUUUUAUUUGUAUUAUGUAUUGAUAUCAAAAUAAUGAAUAUCAUUCAAAAAAAAAAAAAAAAUCAAAAUAAUGAAUAUGGGUGGCAUUUAGGGUGGGAAGGGGAAAGAUUUUCCCACCAUAGGUCAGUUGACAUUUUACCGUUAAAUUAAAAAGGAAUACUGAUUUUAUUAUGGACUGUCUACACCCUAUCUUUUCCCACCCACCUUUCUCUCUCCUCCUUGCUCUCCACCACCCGCAACAUCACCUACAGCCACUAUCACCACCGGUUCCUUCCAUUCUCGUCCAAAGCAAGCUUCAGAUCCGACGCACCUAGCUCAAUCUCUCUUUUCCAGUUUCUCUUAAUCAUUCAAUCGCCCCAUUUAUAUCCCCCCUUCGUAAAAAAUUCCAUGAUGUGAUAAUCCAAAUAUGGGCUAUAAUAUUACUGUAAUAUUUAUUGUUUGCUACUUAAUUUUAGUUCAAUGGGUCACUACAUAUAUAUUAAUUAUCGAUUCUUACAGGUUUGAUUGAAGCCUAUGAAGAUUGAUUUUUAACUUUUUUUAGAUUGCAACUCAUGAAGAUUGAUUUUGAUAAUUGGUUCCAUAAAAAGCAUGUUUCUUAAUUGUAAGCACGUGAAGAUUUUUGGGUUGUAGUUUCAUGGUGGCUGGUGGUGGUGGGUGAGUGGGGGUAUGGAGGAGAGAGAAGAAUGGUGAGGUGAGUGAGGUUGGAGACAGAUUGAAAAAAUAUAGUGUGGGUAGACCAUAGUAUGAUUAGUGUUCCUAUUUGAUCUAAUGGUCAAAAUCAACUUUUUUAUGGUAGGAAACUCUUUCCCUUACCCACCCUAAAUGCCACCAUGAAUAUGAGAGAGUUUUGUGUAACUUUUUUGCAUGUGUUGUUUUCUGACUCUAGAUUUGGAUAACAAAACAAUCAAGUCUUUUGUUCUCUUUCUCUAUUAUAGAUCUACUUUCUCUCUCUCUCUAUGAUUCCCGUGCUAUACUAGAUCUGACAACUGAACUCUUGCGACUCAAUAAUUUCUUUCUUCAAUAUGAACUUUAAGACCAAAUUUAGUUUCUAAAUCUUAAAAAAUUUAAUCAUAAACAAUAACAUUUUAGUACAUAAAUUAAUUUCCAAAACCUGAUCUUUCUCCUGUAGACCAAAUAUAUUGUCUAUCCUGUUUCAUGUUUGUAAAUUGUAACAAGUUAAUUUUUUUUUUUUUAAGUUGUAACAUUCUAGUCAAAUACCUCACUGGAUCUUCUAAGUUUUACGUUUGUUUCAGAUAGGUCCUUUAAGUUUUUAAGGUUUUAGAUAUGUCAUUUAAGUUUCGAGUUUGUUUCAGAUAUGUCUUUUAAGUUUCUAAGGUUUCAGAUAGGUCCUUUAAAUUUCGAAUUUAUUUCAGAUAGAUCAUUUCUAUCGAAUCAACUUUAAAAAAUUAACUUAUUAUAAACAACCAACUUAAAAAUCGCUAGAAGUAUUUGACCUUUCCAUAACCAAAAUCUAAAAAACAAAUGUGGUAUUUUUCCUAUAAGACCACUUUCAAAAUCACUCAUGCUGCUGUAUUACUCGAGAUAAGAUUUAAAUUGCAAAUGUAAAUAUUAAAAAGAGGGUUAAUUAAAUUUUUAGUCCCUUUUUUUUUUUUAAAAAAAAAAAAGAAUUUUUAGUCUCUAUAAAUAUUCACAGUUUUGUUUUUAGUCUAUACAAAAUAAAAUCACACUUUUUAGUCAAUGUGACAUUUUAAGGACUAAAAAUGCUGAUGAAAUUUUUUUAUAUAGACGAAAAAUGCUAAUGAAAAAUUUUAUAGAGACUAAAAAUAUUGAUGGAAAAUUUUAUAGGGACUAAAAAAUGUGAUUUUACUUUGUAGGGACUAAAAACAAAAUUAUGAAUAUUUAUAAGGACCAUUUACUUAUUAACCCUUAAAAAGAUGAAUGUUAUUUGAACAACCGUUUGGUUGACAACUUUUGGAACAACUAUAAUUUACAAAGAAAAAGUAGGUAUGUGAACGAAAACCAUAGUAGAAAGAUAAAGUAAAGAAUAACGUAAGUAUGAUUGAGAAAGUUGUCAAAAAAAUUAUUAAAAAAUGGAUGUUCUAAUAUCAUUCCUCUAUUAAAAAACGUUACUAUUUGAUCACAUUAUUAGUAAGUUAUCUUGCUCAGCUAGUAAAUUAUUAUACCGAUGGAGUUUUCACGGUGAAUCAAAUUACACAGUGCUUUGAAAACGAGGAGGAUAACAUCCUUCUUUUACUUUUUAAAUUGACAAGCAUGCACAACGAGAUGGAUAAAAGAAUAUUAAAAUAAUGGUAAAUCAUAUCCAACGUGUGCAUGUACAUUGUCGGUUGUAACAAAUCGACGUUCAUAAAAUGUACGUGCAUAGUUGAUCAUUUAAAAAAAAAAAAAUAUUUGAAUGAUGUUUUUCAUAUUUGCAAUUAGGUGUCAUUUAAAAAUUAGUUCAUAUAAUUGCUAAUCCUGACAAUUUACAUUUGCAUUAUUUAAUCAUUUAAAAUUUUAUCUUUUGACCAACUUAAUCACAAAUUAGCAAAAUGAUACGGAAAUGGACAAAUAUACCCUCGUCGUUAUUAUGAGAAGAAGACUAAGACAAGGGUAGAAAUACAUAAAUAUCUCCAUAAAUAUCUCACUAGCUAGAUAUACAAACCAAACACGUACACCACCGGUUUCAAGAUAAUCUGAGAUUAACUUGGAGUUCUAUAUAGUCUUCAACCUUGUUACGUACUUCAGCCAAACCAAAGCAUUCAUUGUAGACAUGUCUUUUGCACUAACAACAACAAUGUUUGCUUUUCUUCUCUUCACUUUCAUGUACUUUCUAUUCAAACUCUACUUACAUCCAAAACAAAAAACCCUAAACCAUAAAAAACCACCAGGUCCAUCAACACUACCAAUAAUUGGAAAUCUUCACAUAUUAGGCAAACUUCCACAUAGAACACUUCAAUCACUCUCCAAAAAAUAUGGUCCAAUCAUGUCCUUACAACUUGGUCAAGUUCCAACUAUUAUCAUUUCAUCUUCAAAAGCUGCAGAAUCAUUCCUCAAAACUCAUGACAUCGUUUUUGCAAGUCGACCAAAGGUUCAAGGAUCAGAUCUCAUGUCUUAUGGUUCCAAAGGGAUGGCUUUUUCUGAGUAUGGUCCUUAUUGGCGUAGUGUGAGGAAAUUUUGCACUUUGAAACUUUUUAGUGCUUCAAAAGUUGAGAUGUUUGGUCCUAUUAGGAAGGAGAAGUUGGAUGUUUUGGUUAUAUCUUUGGAGAAAGCUGCCUUGGAGGGUGAGGUUGUGAAUGUUAGUGAGGUUGUAGAGAAUCUUAUUGAGGAUAUUGUGUAUAAGAUGAUGUUUGGUCGGAGUAAGUAUGAGCAAUUUGACAUGAAUAAGUUAGUUCUAGAAGCAAUGGCUUUGAUGGGAGCUUUUAAUCUGGCUGAUUAUGUACCUUGGCUAGGCGUUUUUGACCUUCAGGUACGUCUUGACAAUUUCAUAUUAAAAAUUCUAAUUAAUUUUAUGAGAUUAUUUGAUUAUAUGGAAAAGAGGUUAACAUUGGCGCAACUGAUAAAUUUGUUGUCAUGUGACUGAAAGGUCAUAGAUUCAAGUCCGGAAAACAACCUCUUAUAUAAACAACAGGGUAAGGCUGUGUACAUUACACUAAAUGGUGGGACCCCUUCCCGGGGCCUAUGUAUGCGGGAGCUUUAGUGCACCGGGUUGCCUUUUAUUUGAUGAUAUGGAAAAAAGAAAAAUAUUUAUAGUUUAUUGAUAUUUAAUUGGUGGUUAAGACUUGAGAGUAUCUUUGUGUUGAUUUUUUAUAAUUUUUAUAAAGAUGUAUCUUUGUGUUGAUAUCGCUAUAUAAGAAAGAAAAAGAUUGAAUAUUGUGCGUUGUGUUUGAAUGGAGGGUUUAAGAAGAAAAGGGAGGAGAAGAUUUACUUUUUUUUUUUUUUUAAAUUAGUAACACUAAAAUGUUUUUCAAAAAUUGAAAUAACAUGUGAUUUUUCCUCUAUGGCAAUAAAUUGGGUUACCUGAUUUUAUUUCAAUUGCCCUUCACUUUUAAUUAAACUUCUUCAGAUUCUUUCUCAUGUAACCAAAAUAAAUAGAUAGUAAAUAAAUAAAUCAGCUAUCGAUUUCAUACUCAAUUUACAUAUGCUUUUGUUAAGUUCAGUGAAAAUAUUCAUGUAGUAGCUGAUAUCAAUUAUAAGUUUAAUUUUUUGUUAGGGAUUAACACGAGCUUGCAAAAAAACCAGUAAAGCCCUCGAUGAGGUUUUGGAGAUGAUAAUAACAGAGCACGAACAGACUACUAAUACUGACAAAACUCGUAAUGAAGACUUUGUAGACAUACUUCUUUCAAUUAUGCACCAAACCAUUGAUGUCGAGGGUGAACAAAAUCUCGUCAUUGAUCGAACUAACAUCAAGGCUAUUUUGCUCGACAUGAUAGCGGCAUCAGUUCAUACAUCUGCUACCACGAUUGAGUGGGCUUUAUCUGAACUUCUAAGGCAUUCAAGAGUGAUGAAAAUUCUUCAAGAUGAGAUACAAAAUGAAGUAGGAAAUAAAAGAAUGGUUGAAGAGAAGGAUCUGAAGAAGUUUAAUUACUUAGAUAUGGUUGUUGAUGAAACCUUAAGACUUUAUCCUGUUGGACCCUUAUUAAUCCCUCGUGAAUGUAGAGAGAGCAUAACAAUUGAUGGAUAUUUUAUAACGAAAAAGACUCGAGUUAUAGUAAAUGCAUGGGCUAUUGGGAGAGAUUGUAACGUUUGGUCAGAAAAUGCUGAUGAAUUUUACCCAGAGAGAUUUAUUGACAAGAAAAUGAAUUAUCAAGGACAUGAGUUUGAAUCUAUACCAUUUGGUUCUGGUCGUAGGCGUUGUCCUGGAAUUCAAUUGGGUUUAAUUAUCGUUAAGUUGGUUAUAGCUCAAUUUGUGCAUUGCUUUAACUGGGAACUUCCACAUAAUAUUAGUCCUUCCAAUUUGAAUAUGGAGGAGAAAUUUGGACUCUCUAUACCAAGAGCUCAGCAUUUGCAGGCAAUACCGAGUUAUCGUUUGGAUGAUGCUAAGCAUGAAUAGUUACAAGAAUAAUACUAUGUUCUUGUUCAACAAGUUUCUACUAGUAAUAAAGAUGCUAAGUAUGGCAGGUCUAUUAAUGAUGUUUUAAUGCAUAUUGCUUGUUCUUUAUAUAUGUUCAUAGCCAACAUUUGAGUCUCCAUUGGGACAUGGAGGUCAAUAAAAUGAAUAAUACAAGCAUAUCACAUGCCUUCAUGAUCAAUGGUAUGGUGCAAAGUAUUUUACUCAAAGUAUUUGUUUCAAUUCUGUUUUAUCAUUAUUAUUAUUAUUACUGAAUUUAAAAUUGGUAUGGGACAUAUGGUGUGUUUGGAUUCACGGCCAAAACACCUUUUCCACGUCCCGAGGUAAUUUUUAACGUGAUUUAAAGAAGCUUCAAAAGGUAGCUUCUCUUCAAACGUGGGUUUUUAUCACUGAAUUGAUAAAUCAACCGCUUGCACAAACAUGCUAAUAUCAAUUCUAGAAAUGAGGUAGACCUUCAAAUUCUAAAGCUUUUUUAACACAACAUAUCACACAUGACAACAAAACUAGAAUGUUACUAUGGAGAUUGUAGAACGACAAAUAAGAUGAAGUUAAUCAAAGAAACAGAGAUACAAACCUUAACUCAGCUAAUGAUAAAUUUUUAAAAUUGAUGGAGUUUUUUAUGGUGAAUCAAACUAUUCAGUACUAUGAAAACACUACUUCCAAUAUUUCCUCUAAUCAAAUUAUUUAUUUGUUCCUCUAAUUUCUAGAAUUUUAGGCAUCCCUUAUGUUAUAAUUGCAUGAAAAUCUGUAUUUAUACUUUCACAACCUAAAAGUUGUCUUGAACUAACAAAUCCAAAUAAAAUUUUGGGGAAAUGGAUUUCCUCCUGUGAAAAUCUCUCCAGUUUUCUGCAGUGAUACAAUCUGCACCAUUAAUUGUCUUCUCUUUUAUUUUCAACAUUUAAAAUUCUCAUAUACAUUAAUUUUUAAUGGACAAGAUUUCACUGGACUCUCGUGUGACCACCGGAGAGAUUCCAAACCCAAACUUUGGUAUCAUUACAAUAAGGUACUGGGCAUUAUUCUCUACUCAUGAUUAUUAUGAAAUUAAAAUUGAGACUAUUAUUAAUUCAAAUUUCUAAAAACAAUUACAAAGCAAGCAUAAACCAGUGAACUAAUUCUUCAUACCAUUGUGAACCUGAUGUCAUAGGUUGAAUUAGCACUCUAUGACAAAUUUAAGAAAAUCAGUUACAAGUUAGUUGAAAAUAGUGGACCGGAUUAUCACUUUAAUUAUUGGAAUAACUGAUCAUAUACAUAAACACUUGUAUGAUAAACACUUAUUCAAUAAGCAAUUAACUGAUAAUUUCUCUAAUUUCUUCACUCCUAAUUUAUUCAUAUGUUGGCUAUUAACAUAUAAUAAAAACUAGCAAUACUCAUUAACUUAUUCUAUUCAAGCACCAUUAGACCAACUUAUAACAUCUUUACUAGUAAUAAACUUGUUGAAUACAAGCAUAAUAAUGUCCUUUAUGGACCUAUUCAAGCUUCUCAUCACAUUCCAAACGAUAACUCGGUAUUGCGUGCAAAUGUUGAGCCCUUGGUAUAGUGACUCCAAAUUUCUCUUCCAUAUUCAAAUUGGAAGGGCUAAUAUUAUGUGGAAGUUCCCAAUUAAAGCAAUGCACCAAUUGAGCUACAACAAAUCUAACCGUAACCAAACCCAAUUGAAUCCCAGGACAACGUCUACGACCUGAACCAAAUGGUAUAGAUUCAAAUUGCUGUCCUUGAUAAUUCAUUUUCUUAUCACUAAAUCUCUCUGGAUAAAACUCAUCAGCGUUUUCUAACCAAAUAUUUGAAUCUCUCCCUAUAGCCCAUGCAUUUACUAUAACUCGUGUCUUUUCCUUUAUAAAAUAUCCAUCAAUUGUUAUGCUUUCUCUACAUUCACGAGGAAGUAAUAAGGGUCCAACAGGGUAAAGUCUUAAUGUCUCAUCAACCACCAUAUCUAAGUAAUUCAACUUCUUCAAAUCAUUCUCUUCGACCAUUCUUUUAUUUCCUACUUCAUUUUGUAUCUCAUCUUGAAGCUUUUUCAUCACUCUUGGAUGUCUGAAAAGUUCAGAUAAAGCCCACUCAAUCGUGGUAGUGGCUGUAUCAAUUCCUGCCACAAUCAUGUCUAGUAAAAUUGCCUUGAUGUUAGUUCUGUCAAUAACACCACUUUGUUCAUUUUCUGGAUCUACCGUUUGGUGCACAAUUGAGAGAAGUAUAUCAAUGAAAUCUUCAUGACGAACUUUGUCUACAUUAGUGCUUUGUUCAUGCUCUGUAAUUAUCAUCUCCAAUACCUCAUCAAGUGCUUUACCGGUUUUCUUGCAGGUUCGUGUAAAUCCCUAGCAAAGUGUUAAAUUAAGAAUGACAAUUACUAAUUGGAUAUUUUUACAUACCUUACUGGAACAAUAAAAAAAUGAAGAAAUAAUCAUUUUAGUCUCUGACUUUGCACCUCACUGUUACAAUAAUCUUGACUUAUGAUAAAAUGCAAAAUGGUCCCCGGAUGUUUACCUCCGUUGGUUAGUUUAGUGCUUGACGUUAAAAUUGACCGUUAAAUGCCGACAAGGAUGUGUAACAUGGAUCUAGAGACUAAAGUGAAAGUCAACACACAAAUCCUCAAAUCCCUCCAUUUUCUGUCACUUUAUGUAGUCCAUUAUUUUUACUCAAAUUUAGAAUUAAUUAAGGGACAUGGUCGUCAUGACAUUGAUUUUCUAAGAUUUACAUAGUGGGACCAAAAAUAAAAAAUAAAAAAUAUAAAAAGUGUUUGCCAAAAAAAAAAGUAAACUCAUAAACUCGAUCUAAUUUACCGAAUUUAACAUGUGUUAACUUGGUCAAACUUGUCAAACAUUCAAUUUCACCAAAAAUCAAAUUUACCUCCGAUUUGCCAGAAAUAAUAAUAAAAUAAAAAAUAUAGUGGCUUGCGGGAAUCGAAGGAGGAAAAGCAGGUAUAACCUCCGAAAAGUCACUCUCAAAGCUCAUUUUUUUAUCUUAUUUUCAAAGUCACUUUUGUUGGAUUUCCUUCUUUACAAAAAAGUCACUUCUAUUAUUAAGAGCUUUAUCAAAAUUAUGUUUGGCCCCACUUCUCUUUAGAAGUAAAAGAUAAGUGGCAAAUAAGCAGGGCCAAACAUGCUCUUAACAUAUUUUUGACACAUAAAAACGUAAAUUUGUACGAGUUGUACGAGGUUACAAGUUAACGCAGGAUUUGUGGAACACCUUAGAACAUAAAUUUAAACUUGCAAUGUCUAGUUUCUUCACAUACGUAUAUAUUUGAAAGAAGAAAAAAAAGACGGUAACCCUAGUGUUAUUGUGUCCUAGUGUUAUUGUGUUGUUCAAUUACAUGAUCCUCUUUUUUUUUCUUCCCUAUUUUCUCCCUUGUAAUACUAAAAUAUUGAAGGACCCCUCAAUUAAUACAUAAGAGGAAAAAACAUGAAGGACCCAAAACUGUGCAAUAUAAUAAAGUGACCAAUGAAAAAUGUACAGCUACGAUACUUAAGAGACUUAAAAUAAAAUCAAGUCAAUAGGUAACUAAUUUCUUCAACUUUUACACACAUACCUGAAGAUCAAAAGGACCUAACCAAGAAACAUAAUCAGCCAGAUUAAAAGCUCCAAGCAUAGCCAUUCCUUCUUGAACCAACUUCUUUAAAUCAAAUUGCUCAUACUUACCCCUACCCAAUAUCAUCUUAUACACAAUAUCUUCAAUAAGAUUCUCUACAAUCUCACUAACAUUCACAACCUCACCUACCAAAACAACUUUCUCUAAUGACUUAACCAAAACAUCCAACUCCUUCUUCCUAAUAGGACCAAACAUCUCAACUUUUGAAGCACUAAGAAGUUUCAAAGUGCAAAGUUUCUUUACACUACGCCAAUAAGGACCAUACUCAGAAAAAGCCAACCCUUUGGAACCAUAAAAAAUGAGCUGAGAUGCUUGAGUCUUUGGCCGACUUGCAAAAUUGAUGUCAUGAGUUUUGAGGAAUGAUUCUGCAGCUUUUGAAGAUGAAAUAACAAUUGUUGGAACUUGACCAAGUUGUAAGGACAUGAUUGAACCAUAUUUUUUGGACAGUGAUUGAAGUGUUCUAUGUGGAAGUUUACCUAACAUGUGAAGGUUUCCUAUUAUUGGUAGUGUUGGUGGACCUGGUGGUUUUUUAUGAUUUAUGGUGUUUUGUUUUUCACGUAAGUAGAAUUUGAAUAAAAGGUAUGUGAAAGUGAAGAGAAUGAAAGGAAUUAUUAUUGUUGUUGAAAACAUGUUUACAGUGAAUUCUUUGGAUCUAAGUUCUAAGGAUGAGAACUAUAAAGAAUUAUUAGUGUUGCUUGAUUGAGGAUUUGAAGAUGGUGCAGCCGUGCAAGUGAUAGAAUAAUUAUUAGUUAAAUAAAGGUGGAAACAAAUAAUUUUGAUUUGUUUAAUUGGUAUCGCUUUCCGUUAACAAAAACUUACAUAUAAGUUGAAUCAUGUUUUACAAUAUAUAUAUUAUAUUAUGUAGGAGAAGAUUUAUGAAUUCUUUUUUUAGGGGAUUUUCAUGAAUUCUUUUAAAAUAUAUUUACAGUAAACUAAUAUAAUAAAAUGACGUGAUGGUAAAAUAUGAUUUAUUUUUUGUGGUGGUCGAGGUUUGACUCAAACCUUGCAUAUAUUAUACAUUGUUUCUAUCAACUGAGCUAAGCUCAAGAAGAUAUGAUAAAAUAUGAUUAUGUUAAUUGAAGUAUUUUUCUCCUUAAUAGAAAGUAUUUUUAAAUGACAAAUAUCAAUCCUUCAAAGAAAAUGACAAAUAUCAAAUAUGUUAAUUGGCUUAAAUGCUCUUUUGGUCCCUUAACUAUUUAAUUGGUAUCGCUUUGGUCCCUUAACUAAAAAAAAGAUUGUUUGAGGACUUUAAGUUUUUUUUUAGUCUCGUUUUGGUCCCUUCUGUUAGGUUUCCGUUAGGGUUUUAAAAAAAGUUAACUCUUGGACACUNNNNNNNNNNNNNNNNNNNNNNNNNNNNNNNNNNNNNNNNNNNNNNNNNNNNNNNNNNNNNNNNNNNNNNNNNNNNNNNNNNNNNNNNNNNNNNNNNNNNNNNNNNNNNNNNNNNNNNNNNNNNNNNNNNNNNNNNNNNNNNNNNNNNNNNNNNNNNNNNNNNNNNNNNNNNNNNNNNNNNNNNNNNNNNNNNNNNNNNNNNNNNNNNNNNNNNNNNNNNNNNNNNNNNNNNNNNNNNNNNNNNNNNNNNNNNNNNNNNNNNNNNNNNNNNNNNNNNNNNNNNNNNNNNNNNNNNNNNNNNNNNNNNNNNNNNNNNNNNNNNNNNNNNNNNNNNNNNNNNNNNNNNNNNNNNNNNNNNNNNNNNNNNNNNNNNNNNNNNNNNNNNNNNNNNNNNNNNNNNNNNNNNNNNNNNNNNNNNNNNNNNNNNNNNNNNNNNNNNNNNNNNNNNNNNNNNNNNNNNNNNNNNNNNNNNNNNNNNNNNNNNNNNNNNNNNNNNNNNNNNNNNNNNNNNNNNNNNNNNNNNNNNNNNNNNNNNNNNNNNNNNNNNNNNNNNNNNNNNNNNNNNNNNNNNNNNNNNNNNNNNNNNNNNNNNNNNNNNNNNNNNNNNNNNNNNNNNNNNNNNNNNNNNNNNNNNNNNNNNNNNNNNNNNNNNNNNNNNNNNNNNNNNNNNNNNNNNNNNNNNNNNNNNNNNNNNNNNNNNNNNNNNNNNNNNNNNNNNNNNNNNNNNNNNNNNNNNNNNNNNNNNNNNNNNNNNNNNNNNNNNNNNNNNNNNNNNNNNNNNNNNNNNNNNNNNNNNNNNNNNNNNNNNNNNNNNNNNNNNNNNNNNNNNNNNNNNNNNNNNNNNNNNNNNNNNNNNNNNNNNNNNNNNNNNNNNNNNNNNNNNNNNNNNNNNNNNNNNNNNNNNNNNNNNNNNNNNNNNNNNNNNNNNNNNNNNNNNNNNNNNNNNNNNNNNNNNNNNNNNNNNNNNNNNNNNNNNNNNNNNNNNNNNNNNNNNNNNNNNNNNNNNNNNNNNNNNNNNNNNNNNNNNNNNNNNNNNNNNNNNNNNNNNNNNNNNNNNNNNNNNNNNNNNNNNNNNNNNNNNNNNNNNNNNNNNNNNNNNNNNNNNNNNNNNNNNNNNNNNNNNNNNNNNNNNNNNNNNNNNNNNNNNNNNNNNNNNNNNNNNNNNNNNNNNNNNNNNNNNNNNNNNNNNNNNNNNNNNNNNNNNNNNNNNNNNNNNNNNNNNNNNNNNNNNNNNNNNNNNNNNNNNNNNNNNNNNNNNNNNNNNNNNNNNNNNNNNNNNNNNNNNNNNNNNNNNNNNNNNNNNNNNNNNNNNNNNNNNNNNNNNNNNNNNNNNNNNNNNNNNNNNNNNNNNNNNNNNNNNNNNNNNNNNNNNNNNNNNNNNNNNNNNNNNNNNNNNNNNNNNNNNNNNNNNNNNNNNNNNNNNNNNNNNNNNNNNNNNNNNNNNNNNNNNNNNNNNNNNNNNNNNNNNNNNNNNNNNNNNNNNNNNNNNNNNNNNNNNNNNNNNNNNNNNNNNNNNNNNNNNNNNNNNNNNNNNNNNNNNNNNNNNNNNNNNNNNNNNNNNNNNNNNNNNNNNNNNNNNNNNNNNNNNNNNNNNNNNNNNNNNNNNNNNNNNNNNNNNNNNNNNNNNNNNNNNNNNNNNNNNNNNNNNNNNNNNNNNNNNNNNNNNNNNNNNNNNNNNNNNNNNNNNNNNNNNNNNNNNNNNNNNNNNNNNNNNNNNNNNNNNNNNNNNNNNNNNNNNNNNNNNNNNNNNNNNNNNNNNNNNNNNNNNNNNNNNNNNNNNNNNNNNNNNNNNNNNNNNNNNNNNNNNNNNNNNNNNNNNNNNNNNNNNNNNNNNNNNNNNNNNNNNNNNNNNNNNNNNNNNNNNNNNNNNNNNNNNNNNNNNNNNNNNNNNNNNNNNNNNNNNNNNNNNNNNNNNNNNNNNNNNNNNNNNNNNNNNNNNNNNNNNNNNNNNNNNNNNNNNNNNNNNNNNNNNNNNNNNNNNNNNNNNNNNNNNNNNNNNNNNNNNNNNNNNNNNNNNNNNNNNNNNNNNNNNNNNNNNNNNNNNNNNNNNNNNNNNNNNNNNNNNNNNNNNNNNNNNNNNNNNNNNNNNNNNNNNNNNNNNNNNNNNNNNNNNNNNNNNNNNNNNNNNNNNNNNNNNNNNNNNNNNNNNNNNNNNNNNNNNNNNNNNNNNNNNNNNNNNNNNNNNNNNNNNNNNNNNNNNNNNNNNNNNNNNNNNNNNNNNNNNNNNNNNNNNNNNNNNNNNNNNNNNNNNNNNNNNNNNNNNNNNNNNNNNNNNNNNNNNNNNNNNNNNNNNNNNNNNNNNNNNNNNNNNNNNNNNNNNNNNNNNNNNNNNNNNNNNNNNNNNNNNNNNNNNNNNNNNNNNNNNNNNNNNNNNNNNNNNNNNNNNNNNNNNNNNNNNNNNNNNNNNNNNNNNNNNNNNNNNNNNNNNNNNNNNNNNNNNNNNNNNNNNNNNNNNNNNNNNNNNNNNNNNNNNNNNNNNNNNNNNNNNNNNNNNNNNNNNNNNNNNNNNNNNNNNNNNNNNNNNNNNNNNNNNNNNNNNNNNNNNNNNNNNNNNNNNNNNNNNNNNNNNNNNNNNNNNNNNNNNNNNNNNNNNNNNNNNNNNNNNNNNNNNNNNNNNNNNNNNNNNNNNNNNNNNNNNNNNNNNNNNNNNNNNNNNNNNNNNNNNNNNNNNNNNNNNNNNNNNNNNNNNNNNNNNNNNNNNNNNNNNNNNNNNNNNNNNNNNNNNNNNNNNNNNNNNNNNNNNNNNNNNNNNNNNNNNNNNNNNNNNNNNNNNNNNNNNNNNNNNNNNNNNNNNNNNNNNNNNNNNNNNNNNNNNNNNNNNNNNNNNNNNNNNNNNNNNNNNNNNNNNNNNNNNNNNNNNNNNNNNNNNNNNNNNNNNNNNNNNNNNNNNNNNNNNNNNNNNNNNNNNNNNNNNNNNNNNNNNNNNNNNNNNNNNNNNNNNNNNNNNNNNNNNNNNNNNNNNNNNNNNNNNNNNNNNNNNNNNNNNNNNNNNNNNNNNNNNNNNNNNNNNNNNNNNNNNNNNNNNNNNNNNNNNNNNNNNNNNNNNNNNNNNNNNNNNNNNNNNNNNNNNNNNNNNNNNNNNNNNNNNNNNNNNNNNNNNNNNNNNNNNNNNNNNNNNNNNNNNNNNNNNNNNNNNNNNNNNNNNNNNNNNNNNNNNNNNNNNNNNNNNNNNNNNNNNNNNNNNNNNNNNNNNNNNNNNNNNNNNNNNNNNNNNNNNNNNNNNNNNNNNNNNNNNNNNNNNNNNNNNNNNNNNNNNNNNNNNNNNNNNNNNNNNNNNNNNNNNNNNNNNNNNNNNNNNNNNNNNNNNNNNNNNNNNNNNNNNNNNNNNNNNNNNNNNNNNNNNNNNNNNNNNNNNNNNNNNNNNNNNNNNNNNNNNNNNNNNNNNNNNNNNNNNNNNNNNNNNNNNNNNNNNNNNNNNNNNNNNNNNNNNNNNNNNNNNNNNNNNNNNNNNNNNNNNNNNNNNNNNNNNNNNNNNNNNNNNNNNNNNNNNNNNNNNNNNNNNNNNNNNNNNNNNNNNNNNNNNNNNNNNNNNNNNNNNNNNNNNNNNNNNNNNNNNNNNNNNNNNNNNNNNNNNNNNNNNNNNNNNNNNNNNNNNNNNNNNNNNNNNNNNNNNNNNNNNNNNNNNNNNNNNNNNNNNNNNNNNNNNNNNNNNNNNNNNNNNNNNNNNNNNNNNNNNNNNNNNNNNNNNNNNNNNNNNNNNNNNNNNNNNNNNNNNNNNNNNNNNNNNNNNNNNNNNNNNNNNNNNNNNNNNNNNNNNNNNNNNNNNNNNNNNNNNNNNNNNNNNNNNNNNNNNNNNNNNNNNNNNNNNNNNNNNNNNNNNNNNNNNNNNNNNNNNNNNNNNNNNNNNNNNNNNNNNNNNNNNNNNNNNNNNNNNNNNNNNNNNNNNNNNNNNNNNNNNNNNNNNNNNNNNNNNNNNNNNNNNNNNNNNNNNNNNNNNNNNNNNNNNNNNNNNNNNNNNNNNNNNNNNNNNNNNNNNNNNNNNNNNNNNNNNNNNNNNNNNNNNNNNNNNNNNNNNNNNNNNNNNNNNNNNNNNNNNNNNNNNNNNNNNNNNNNNNNNNNNNNNNNNNNNNNNNNNNNNNNNNNNNNNNNNNNNNNNNNNNNNNNNNNNNNNNNNNNNNNNNNNNNNNNNNNNNNNNNNNNNNNNNNNNNNNNNNNNNNNNNNNNNNNNNNNNNNNNNNNNNNNNNNNNNNNNNNNNNNNNNNNNNNNNNNNNNNNNNNNNNNNNNNNNNNNNNNNNNNNNNNNNNNNNNNNNNNNNNNNNNNNNNNNNNNNNNNNNNNNNNNNNNNNNNNNNNNNNNNNNNNNNNNNNNNNNNNNNNNNNNNNNNNNNNNNNNNNNNNNNNNNNNNNNNNNNNNNNNNNNNNNNNNNNNNNNNNNNNNNNNNNNNNNNNNNNNNNNNNNNNNNNNNNNNNNNNNNNNNNNNNNNNNNNNNNNNNNNNNNNNNNNNNNNNNNNNNNNNNNNNNNNNNNNNNNNNNNNNNNNNNNNNNNNNNNNNNNNNNNNNNNNNNNNNNNNNNNNNNNNNNNNNNNNNNNNNNNNNNNNNNNNNNNNNNNNNNNNNNNNNNNNNNNNNNNNNNNNNNNNNNNNNNNNNNNNNNNNNNNNNNNNNNNNNNNNNNNNNNNNNNNNNNNNNNNNNNNNNNNNNNNNNNNNNNNNNNNNNNNNNNNNNNNNNNNNNNNNNNNNNNNNNNNNNNNNNNNNNNNNNNNNNNNNNNNNNNNNNNNNNNNNNNNNNNNNNNNNNNNNNNNNNNNNNNNNNNNNNNNNNNNNNNNNNNNNNNNNNNNNNNNNNNNNNNNNNNNNNNNNNNNNNNNNNNNNNNNNNNNNNNNNNNNNNNNNNNNNNNNNNNNNNNNNNNNNNNNNNNNNNNNNNNNNNNNNNNNNNNNNNNNNNNNNNNNNNNNNNNNNNNNNNNNNNNNNNNNNNNNNNNNNNNNNNNNNNNNNNNNNNNNNNNNNNNNNNNNNNNNNNNNNNNNNNNNNNNNNNNNNNNNNNNNNNNNNNNNNNNNNAUUGCAUACUCAUUUCUGCACUUAGAUAACUUCUGAUUCAGGUUGGUAUUCACUUUGUUGCCAUUCAUUUCAAAUUUGCAUGCAAAAAAAAAAAAAAAAAAAAAAAAAAAAAAAACCCUAGGGUAGUAGAUAGUGUAAUGUUCUUCAAACUGAUACCUACAUGACUCAGAUGAAACAUAAUCAUGCCCAAAUUCGUGGUUGUUCUGAUUCCAAUCCACAUUUUUGUUAACCCUUUUGUAAAAAUUAAAAAUAAAAUUAAAAUUAGGGUUUUUGUGGUAUAAUUCGACAUUCAACUCAAAAGCAUGAUUUAGUUCAUCUCUUUGUCAUUAUCAGGGUCGGAAUUACUAUAUUUAGGGUUAAGAAUGUUGAAACUGAAAGAAAUUUUGAAAAAGGGUCGAUUUUUGUCAUUUUCUGGGCAACUCGCCAUGGCGAGCUUCAUCAUUCGCCAAGGCGAGUGAGCAAUCUGAAACCCAGAAAAUUUCAACUACUCGCCAUGGCGAGUGCACCUGCUCGCGAGGCGAGUGGUAACAGAACAUGCAAUAUUUUUUGUUCCAUACUGAUAUUUAAUUGUCUGUUUGGUGUUUGUGGAAUUCCUGGUUGUGUUUGCAGGUAUGGCUCCAAAGAAACCCGUUAACACUGGUAAACGCAAGAAAGGAGAAACAUCCGCAACCCGACCCCCACCUAGAAACCAAGCCUUUGAGAGGGAGAGAUUUAGGUCUCGCUACCAUCAAGAUAGAUAUAUUGAACUGCUUGACCAAUCCAUGUGGUGUGAGAGGGUCUUUAACCUUAAUCCCGAGGGACCCUAUAAAGAAAUUGCCAAACUUUUACUCGAUCAAGGAUGGGAACGACUCCUUCAACCCAUAACAGAUAUUAAUGCCGAGUUAGUGCGUGAGUUUUAUGCCAAUGCCCUACCUGAAAAUCCACACACUGACCCAUUUACAUUCGAAACUUUUGUGAGGGGUCGAACUAUCCGGUUUGACCGUGAGGCAAUAAAUACAUACCUUGGCAACCCCUUUGAGUUAGCCUACCCAGACGACCUUGAUGACUUUCAUGAGAAGCAAAACCUUGGCCACUUUAUCCUCCCGGGCCCCCAUGAAGAAAUCAAACGAUUUCUCUUGUUGGGAGACUAUAACUAUGACAUCAGUGAUGCAGGGAGAGAGUAUCGGGCCCAAUACAAAUUCAUGACCAAUGAGGCCAAAAUUAUCCAAAAAUUCAUUCUUUAUAAUGUCAGGCCCAAUAGUCAUCUGUCUGAUUGUGUUGUCGAGGUGUGUCCUUUAAUCUACUACAUCCUCAAGGGGAUCAAGGUAGAUAUUGCCCGGACCAUUGCUUGGGAACUCCGAAUGGUCACCCUGCAAGGAAGAGGUGAAAGAGAAGCUCGUCUCUUUUUUCCCGGUUUAAUCAUGGGACUCAUUAAAGAUACCGGCAUGCGCCUACCAACCAGUGUCCAUGAGAAGAUCCGGAACCCGAUCAAUGAUGCUUUCAUCACCCGAUACAUUAUGGGUGAAACAAAGAAGGAUAAAAGCAAACAAGCAUCAUCUUCUGGGGCACCUCCACCACGACCUCAACCAUCAUCUGAACCACAACCCCACUUUCCACCACAUCUAGACCCACACACUGCUGCUUUUGACUUUUCAAGCUUCGCUCAAUGGCAAUACCAGUGCCAUACCCAUACAUGGAACAUGCUGGACGCAACCAACCGUGCUAAUACAUAUCUUCAGCAGUCUCAGUAUGUGAUGCAGCAGCAGGCUGGGUACCCACCGGAGGUGAUGUCACAAUUCAUGACACCAGAGGCCUAUCAGGCUCAUGUUUCUUGGCCUGAGGGCAGGCCAGAUCCUUACGGAGGGGGUGGAUCAUCGUUCGGGACGCUUUCUGACGAUAUAUUGAUGGGAGAUUCUGACAGAGACGAUCCAGACAGAGUCCCAAGUGCAACUGGUGGUUCAGAUGAUCAUGACAUGCAGGGUUGAAAGAGGAAAAGAAUGACUUUGAAAGCUCACCGUUUAUUGAGUGACAUUUUUAUAAAGCUUUCAGUCUAUUCUUUCUUUCUCUUUCAUUUCUUCUGACAAUAUUUGCUUCUGUUCAUAUUUUAAAUUUAGCACAAUGACUCACUUUGUUUAGUUAGCAUUUUGUUUAAUUAUUUUGGUAUUUUCGUAUUCAUAUUCGUAUUGUUCAAAGUUGUAUUGUGUUGUUUUAUAUUAGCACUUUUGGUUUAUAUCAAGUACUUUGUUUUGAAAAUUGUGGAAGUUUCUUUAGUUUAUCACUCUUGCUUAUUGAAAAGAAAAUGCUCAAAGCUUCAAAUUUCAAAGCGCUUGAAAGAGCCAAAACUUGAGCAAAAUUCUCAGAUGAUUGAUAAUAACAGAUGGUUUGUGAUAAAGCGCAAAGCCAAGGUACAAGUUUCCAGUUUUUCUAGGUUUUUACUUGAAUAGGAAACGAGUACUUUGCACAAAUUUCAAUUCAUUUAGUUCUCCUCGAUAAUGUGUUUGUUUGUGAACCACUUAGUACUAGCUAAAAAGUGAGGAAACCUCAAAUAUUUGUACUAUAUGCAAGGAGACCGGCAUUCAUUGUUUUAACUCGGUCAUUUUAUGUUAAAUCUAAUAUUUGUUUUAAAUUGUGUAAAGACAUGGAAAGGAUCAAGGCAUAUUUUGUUUAAUGAGAGAAACAUACUUGACCACAAAUAGCCUACCUUGUGAGAAGAGCGAGUAUUUGUUAACCCACUUGAGCCAAAUGAAGCAAGGUCCUCAAUUAUGAACUGUCAAUUCAUAAGCACAAUGCUUGAUGAAUUCGCCCUAUAUUUUUCAAAAUCCAGUUCAUUUUUGUUGCACUAUCGGACCUUGAUAUGUUUUAAUUGUUGAACCCUAAACCUUCAUUGUUAUUUGUCCCUUUUUGCCAUAGAUUAAGGGAACAUUCAAAUAGGGUAUGUUUUCAUUCAAGUUGGGGAGAAAAGGUAGAUGUUCAUCAUUUGUCAAGUGAAUUGGUGUAAUCAGAAAUUUUGAUCAAGACAACAUUGUUUGUAUAUGAAAAAAGAAAGAAAAAGAAAAAUGUGUACAUGAUAAAAACAAGAAAAGAAGAAAAAGAAAAAGAAAGAAAAAUCCAAAAAUAGAAUAAGUUGUCAAGAUCAAGGAGUAUCAUGUUUUAACACCAAGGGUUUGUUAGGGAAUUCUAGUAAAUUUGUCUUUUGAAUGUGAAUAGAAGGAAUGUUCCCUUAUGCUUGACCAUUUGAAUUCAAUUGACCCACAAAUGUCCUUUCUUUUGUAGCCAAGCCAAAUUACAACCCUAAAAGACCUUUUGAUCCAUGUUUUUAUGCUUUUUGAAAUGAUAAUUGGAUGGACAUAUAACUUGAUUUGGAUGUUAACUUGAUUGCCGGAUGUGUGUUCAUAACCCUCACUCAUUUGAUUUCAAUUGCAUAUCUACUUACAAAGAAGUGUGUUAGGUGUGGUUCGUGAAUAAAUGUUUUAUUGACUUGAACUAUUUGACAUGAACUUUGUGCAUAGAACUCAUUUCAUAUUUGUGGUAGAAUUCCAGAUUAGUUGGAAACUCAGACUUGCCCGCGCAUUCUCUUUGAAUCAUUCAUCUAAAAAUGUUUUCAAACCUUUUGUACUUGUGUCUUGUCAUAUUAACUUGUUUGAUUUUCAAGAUUUUGUUUGAGGACAAACAAAGAGUUAAGUUGGGGAGAGUUUGAUAAGUGCUAGAAAGUUGUAAUUUAAGUGAUAUAUUUUAGGCACUUUUGUUACUUGUUUUGCAAGUUAUUAAGGGAAAAGCCGAGAAAUAAGUGAUUAUUGCCCUUUUACGCUUUAUCUAUCUUACUUCACCCAUUUGUGCAGGAUUCGAACUCAAGACAUCAAGCAAAGAGAAGAAAAUCGAGAAAAGUACAAAAAGGCAGAAAAAGGAGAUCACUCGCCUCCAACUCGCCAUGGCAAGCAGAAAAGGCGAGCAAUUCCAGAAUGCAACAAAGAUCACACGCCACCAACUCGCAAUGGCGAGUAGAAGGCGAGCUUACUCGCCGUGGCGAAUGGAAGGACUCGCGAGGCGAGUAAGGGCGGUUUAGCCUCUAAAUGCUGACGUGGCACAAACCCAAUGGGGAAGAAACUUCAACUCGCCUUGGCGAAUGAAGCAGCUCGCGAGGCGAGUGAAGGCAGACUCAGAAUUCUAUAAAUAGCCCACUCAACCAUUUCAGAAAAAGAUAGUUUUUUAUAUAGUUUUUAGAUAGUUUUUCUCUUAGUUUUUCACUUGUAAUAUUCUUAGAGAGAGAGAGAUAGGGCUUGUGCUUUAUAGAGUGAGAGUGAUAGAGAGUGGAUUCUUCAUCCUUUGUUGAGACAUCACAAGUUGUAAUGAAUCUUGCUUCUUCAAUUCAUUCUUGCAAGGCUUCCAUGACAAUGAGUAGCUAAAUCUCCUUUGUUGGGAUUAGAGGUGUUAUACCCUGUUUUUGGACCUAAAAAUACUGGGCCCAAUUUCAUUUCAAACUUUGUCAAUUAUCAAAUUUCAACUGCACAGUUCAAUUUGUCUCUGCCUCGCAGUAUUUUCAAUCACAAUUUUACCUAUGUUUUUCUUGCAUAAAACCUUUCAAAAUGUCUUUACUUGUCUUGUAAGUCAUUCAAAAGUGUCUCUGGAUCAUUACAUUGCUUUUUCUACAGUUUAUUCCAAAAUUUGCAAAAAGUCAUACAGAAGGGUAUUUUGGUCAUUUCCUGCAGUGGGACCCAUUUUCAUCCUUGUGACUGUCUCUGAGUCUUUUCAGAUUACUUUUAAACAUUUCAUCAGUAAACUUUGUUAAAAUUCAUUUCAAACUUGCGUCUGAGUCAGUGUCAGGUCAAUUUGAAUCUGUUUAGGUCGUUUUUAGCCCUAGGGGCAUUUUGGUCAUUUCACAUAAAAUUUUGGCAUGGGGAGGUUACUUUGAAGUACCUCAUUUAGGCCAUUGGUUCGUUUUAGUCCGUUUUGUCAAUUUUAUUUUUUUGUUUCGCUUUACGUUGGGUCAAAUUACGUUUUUUAUUCAAUUUUAUUUUUUAAUUGCAUUUUGGUCCCUCAAGUGAGGUCCCAAAAUUGCAUUUCAGUCCAGAAUUUUCUUUUUUUACAUUUCAGUCCUUUUUGUCAAUUGCAGUUUAGUCCCUUAUUUUUUCAAUUUUGCAGAAAGGUCCAAUUUCAUUUUUUGCCCAAGGCCGUGCCAUCUUUUUUUUUCAGGUCCAGGUGUCACUUUCUCAUUUGUUCAGAUACACACAUGUCAAGCUAUAAAAGGUGCACAGUGCCACUCAGAGCCAGAAAAACACACGCCAACUCAUAAACACAUUCCAAAUUUUCUCUUUCUCAGCAACUGAAUCAAAACAGAAAAAAUUCCUCAGAUUCAUCAAGAACACCAAGAACAAAAAACCUAACCGUUUUCCAGAAACAGAAACUACACAAAUUCAAGCUAUUUUUCAUGGAUUCUCAGUGAUUCUUUGAAGAAUCAUCAUCAUUGAAUCAAUAUCUUCGCAAUUCGAAGUGCGAAUUCGCCAAAGGCAAACUCCAGCACCGAUCACGAAGAUACAGUGAGGAAGACGAAGAAGAAAGAAAGAUGAUGAAGGUUUAAACCGGCGAAGAAGGCGAUAAAGCAAGAAACCAGCAGGAACACCGGUUUAUUUCCGGAUUCAAAGCCAAAUCACGUAGCAUCAGAGAUUGAAGUUUUCCAAAGAAUUUCUCCAUUAAAGGUUUCAACCAAAACCUUAGGUAAAACUCAUACUCUUUUUCAAAAGCAAUAUCACUGUUAAACCUAAAAAUCACGCAAGCAAAACAGAUCCAAAGGUUCCAGAAUUCAAAGAAAACUAUAACCGUAAACAUCAAAAUCCAGAUCCGUAAGGAUCAACGUUUUGAAAGCGAAAACAGGCGUCAAAAAGUAAUCAAACGACGAAACGAUGUAGAUCUUUAAAGAUCUAAAUGAUCUCAUUCAAAAAAAUCAAAAAUCAUUUCAAAACCGUAAAAGCUUUUUCAAGAUCUACGUCGUUCAAAGCCGUUUUUGAAAAAACAAAUGCCGGAUUCGUGUUUAGGGUUAAAGGACGAGUCAAACGAAGUAAGAAUCUUUGAAAUCUGGAAAUUUAGGUCACCGGAAACUGCAUGAACUCGCCGGAGAAGAUGAAGUUUCCGGCGGACCUUCAAGGUCUCCGCCGUAGCUUCAUCCUCGCCGGCGGCGAGGUUUAGAGAGAGGUGAGAGGUGAGAGAAGAGAGAAGAGCUAGAGAGAGAAAGGGGAGUGAAAAAUGAAGAAAACCGGUGCCAUGCCUUUUAAAUAAGCUAGUGAACCAGACCGGUCCAAGACCGGUCCAAUCCUGUUGAUUCCAGGCCGUUUGAUCUAGGGUUUCAGGACCCUGGAUCAAUCCUGUGGCUCCUGUGAAUCCGGUUCCUUAGGGUUUUGGGUUGGGCCUUUGUUUCCUUUGGAUCUUUACGUUUUGCUAUUCCUGUGCUUUUCACACCUCUAUUUUUGCUACCUGUACCUAUGUCUUGAUUAAAAUUGUGAUAAAAUUCCUAGAAAAAUUCAUGCAUGUUUCCUGAUAUUUUCUUAGUGUUUUUAUGACAUUUUUGCACAUUAAGGAUCUAUGAAAUUUUGGUAUGGUUAAUUCAUAGCAUUUUAAUUCUCUUUGAAUUAUUUGUUAUGGAUUCUUCUUCAUACAUUUGUCCUUGAUGUGCGAAUAUGUGAUAAAAGCUUUUUGAUGUGUUAAUAUGAGAAAUUUGUGCCUAUAAUUUCGUGUUGUUUUGCUGUUUUGAUUUGGUUCAUGAGUGCUUGAUUUUAUGAGCAAUAUAUGCAUAUUUUGAAAGAUAUAAAAUGCCAAGUUUAUUCUAGAAAAUAUGGCAUGAAACCAUGCUUGCAUGUUUCCAAUAAUUUCAUGCUAUAACUUGAGAUAAAGAAAACUCUUUCAAAAUUUGUUAAAGCAUGAGAAUUAGAGGCCAAGGAUGCUUUAGGUUUCAUACCUAAGUUUUUAGGGUUUAAUGUCAUUUUGUUAACUUUUUGUGUCAUCUUGCAUGAUUUUAUUUCUUAGUGCUUAUUAUGUUUUUUCUUUUGACUAACAAGUUUAUUCCCAUGUUUCAUGCAUCCCAUUUAGCAUUCCCUCCACCCUCUUUAGCCUAGCAUUUAUUUUUGCAAGUUUUAAUUCAUUUAGUGAUGUAAUUUGUCAUCAUUGGUUUGUAGCUUGGCAAAGGGGCCAUAGAAUGUAUUUAGGCAAUUUUUGUAAUAUGGACUAUGGACACUAUGACGCACCGACACGCACACACUCACCUUAGAUGUAUGCAUAGGAUUGUAUGGUUAAAUAAGCGUUUAGGUUUUAAACACCUAGAGAAAAUCCAUCUUUUUUCCAAAAAAAAAACAAUUGAACUUCACUUCAAAAAUUUUCAUAAUAAACAUGAAGUCAACACUUCAUUUCUUUUCCUUUCUUUUUUUUCUUGAGAAAAAUUCAAUUCAUCUUAAUCAUUUAGACUUUCUUUUUUAAUCACUAAUCAAACCUCACUUUUUGCUAAAUCUAAUGCUCAUGAAGCCUCCCAAUCUCCUUCUUCAAAACCAUUUUCAAAACUUAAAAUCAAACAAUUAAAACAAAAACAAGUCUUUUUAGCAAGAACUACGAACGGUUUUGAUCCCUUAAAAGGGUACGUAGGCAAUGAGUCAAAACUCAUCCAAGCCGAAAUAAAAUCAAAAUUCUACUUCUUCUCACCCCCACUCUUAACUAAAUAAACCUCCCAUUUUCAAAAGUAGGUAAAAAUAAAGCGUAAAAAUCGACUUAGGAAAACGGCUCCUAUAGAGGACUAUAGUUACUCCGGGUGCCUAACACCUUCCCGUAGUAAAACCGACCCCCGAACUUAGAAUCUAAGGGUUUUUUCUCAAUUUUUCCCUUCCCAAGAAAAAAGAGAGAUAUCAACGGUCGAAAGGUACAAGUCCAAUUAAUGACUUGGUACCCAAAAACCAUGAUAACAGAAAUGGCGACUUCACUGGGGACUUUUUUAAGCGGGUCGCGCCUAGUUUUCCUUAGUUUAUAUUUAUGUUUUAUUUUAUUGCUUACAUAUGUGAAUAUUUGUUUACUUUCAUUUGACGUGUGGGGUGAGAAUAUCAAAAGUCCUAUACCCGGGCUGAGUGAACUUAUGUUUAGGUAGAGAUAUAAUCGACAAUUCGAUCCGGGGGUUGCCUCGUGUAUUGGAUUAUGCGAUCAAUCUCACAUAGCUGAGGCAUUUUGAAGGUGAUAUUGUCGGCGUGUGUCGUCAUGCUUAGGCACUUCACUUUCAAUUGUUCGACGAAGCUAUGAACCGUAGUUACCAAACCCAUCCUAGCCUUUUUAGGACGUAGUGCGGUGGCUAAAUUGAGUGUUGUCUCAAAACUUUAGUCGUCACGCGAUACUACACUCAAACUAGACCUUCUCACAAAUAAUCGUGGAACGGGUGUCGUCCUGUACUACCAUGAUAUAUGUGAGAGAGGUUGCAGUUUGGGAACUGUGUUAGAACCUUGGUUACUACUAUCCAAAGCCUUAGUUCACCGGACGCCGUGUCCAUCCGUGGCCUUGUUACUUUGAAUCUCAACCCACAUUGUAACUAAACAACACAAUCAUGCAUACAUGCAUUCAUGCAUAAAUAUUUUUCAUGCAUUCAUCGAAGGGUUUAAACAAAUGAGAAUUUUUGUAAAUAAUCACAGGUAUGAAGAAGACUAAGUGCUACAAGUUCAAGGAAGUGGAUUUGGUUAGUUUGAGAGAGUUGGCGCUCAAGGUCAAGAGUCAAACAGGGUUCCGACUCCGGUAUGGGGGAUUGCUUACUUUGCUCCGAACCGAUGUGGACGAGAAGCUAAUGCACACUCUGGUGCAAUUUUAUGAUCCGAGCUUCCGCUGCUUCACUUUCCCGGACUUCCAGUUGGUUCCUACUCUCGAGGCUUACUCCAAUCUAGUGGGGUUACCUAUAGCCGAGAAGACGCCUUUCGCCGGUCCCGGGACUCCUCUUACUCCUCUGGUUGUUGCUAAGGAUCUCUACCUCAAGACUUCCGACGUCUCCAACCAUCUUAUUACCAAGUCUCACAUCCGGGGUUUCACUUCGAAGUAUCUUCUUGAUCAGGCUAAUCUCGGUACCACUCGCCAGGACACACUCGAGGCUAUUCUUGCUUUGCUUAUCUACGGGCUCAUUCUCUUCCCGAACCUUGACAACUUCGUGGACAUGAAUGCUAUCGAGAUCUUUCAUUCUAAGAACCCGGUUCCUACUUUGCUAGCGGACACCUACCACGCCAUUCAUGACAGGACUCUCAAGGGCCGUGGGUAUAUUCUUUGCUGCACAUCUCUUUUGUAUAGGUGGUUUAUUUCGCACCUUCCGAGUUCCUUCCAUGAUAACUCGGAAAAUUGGUCCUACUCUCAGCGGAUUAUGGCUCUCACUCCUGAUGAGGUCGUCUGGCUCACUCCUGCCGCUCAAGUGAAGGAAAUCAUUAUGGGUUGUGGAGACUUUCUCAAUGUACCUCUUCUUGGUACUCGUGGAGGAAUCAACUACAAUCCCGAGCUUGCUAUGAGACAGUUUGGUUUCCCUAUGAAGUCGAAGCCCAUCAAUCUUGCCACAUCUCCAGAGUUCUUCUUCUACACGAAUGCUCCUACCGGACAAAGGAAAGCUUUCGUGGAUGCUUGGUCCAAGGUUCGAAGGAAGAGUGUGAAGCAUCUAGGUGUGAGAUCCGGUGUCGCUCAUGAGGCCUAUACCCAGUGGGUGAUAGAUCGAGCUGAGGAGAUUGGUAUGCCUUAUCCAGCUAUGAGAUAUGUGUCUUCAUCUACCCCAUCUAUGCCUCUACCUUUGCUCCCCGCGACUCAGGAUAUGUAUCAGGAGCAUCUAGCUAUGGAGAGUCGUGAGAAGCAAGUGUGGAAGGCUCGGUACAAUCAAGCCGAGAAUCUAAUCAUGACUUUGGAUGGUAGAGAUGAGCAGAAGACUCAUGAGAAUCUGAUGUUGAAGAAAGAGCUAGCUAAGGCCCGGAGGGAACUAGAAGAGAAAGACGAGCUGCUUAUGAGGGAUUCCAAGAGAGCCCGAGGACGACGAGACUUCUUUGCCAGAUACUGUGAUUCAGAUUCCGAGUCCGAUGAUCCUCCGACUACUUCCUAUGCUUGAGGACUCCAUGUGUUUAUCUUGUUGAAAUUUCAAAGUCUUCCUGUUAAAAAAAAAUACUAUGUAGUUUUGAUUAUUUGCAAAGAUUUCUAAUUGGUUCAAAAUUCCUUCGAUGAAAAAAAAUAAGUCUUUUGCAUUCGCAUUUGCACAUCAUGCAUCAUAUGCAUCAUGCAUUGGUCACAAAGGCUUCCAAGUGCUCACUAUCUCCUGGUUCCUCUGCCACAGUGUGAAAAGUGGCUCGUGCUCAGAGAGUUUACGAACCAGAUAGAAUUGAUCGAACCAGAGAAUACAGAAGAAAGAAAAGGGCUAUGGAAGAAGAGAACGCUCAGCUUCGCACCGAGUUGGCCUCUCUAAAGGAGGAAUUGGCUAAAGCUAAUGACGUCAUGACUGCUCUACUAGCUGCUCAAGAGCAAUCAGCUACAGCUAUCCCUACAACCACAGCUGCACCAGUAACUACAAGCGUGCUCCCUACCACUUCUGCAGACAACCGCUUUACUAUGCCAGUGGGGUUUCCGUAUGGGCUUCCACCGUUCUUCACUCCCGUUGCUACAGCAAGCACCUCGGGCACUGCUAACAAUGUUCUGAUCCCUGCAACAAAUGCCGCCUCCAUCAUUGCUACUUUGCCACAAACAACAGCAGCUGUCACUGAGCCUCUGGUACACACUCUGCCUCAAGGUAUUAACGUCAACACACAGCACAGAAGCAUCCCCGUAACCAAGACUAUGGAAGAGAUGAUGGAGGAACUUGCUAAAGAACUCCGUCACGAGAUCCAGGCCAAUCGAGGGAGUGCAAACUCUGUCAAAACUCAAGACCUUUGCUUAGUGUCAAAAGUGGAUGUUCCUAAAAAGUUCAAGAUUCCGGACUUCGACCGGUACAACGGGCUAACUUGUCCUCAAAAUCACAUCAUCAAAUACGUCCGGAAGAUGGGCAAUUACAAAGACAAUGAUUCCCUUAUGAUCCACUGUUUUCAGGAUAGUCUGAUGGAGGAUGCCGCAGAGUGGUAUACUAGUUUGAGUAAGAAUGACAUCCAUACCUUUGAUGAGUUAGCCACCGCUUUCAAGAGCCAUUAUGGGUUUAACACUCGACUGAGGCCAAAUAGGGAGUUUCUCAGGUCCCUAUCUCAGAAGAAGGAGGAAAGUUUCCGUGAAUAUGCGCAAAGGUGGAGAGGGGCGGCUGCCCGUAUCACUCCUGCUUUAGAUGAGGAAGAAAUGACCCAGACGUUCUUAAAAACGUUGAAGAAAGAUUAUGUUGAGAGGAUGAUCAUCGCUGCCCCGAACAACUUUUCGGAGAUGGUCACCAUGGGAACCCGUCUUGAGGAAGCCGUAAGGGAUGGAAUCAUCGUGUUUGAGAAAGCUGAAUCCUCUGUGAAUGCGUCGAAGAGAUAUGGUAAUGGACACCACAAAAAGAAAGAAACGGAAGUGGGGAUGGUGUCAGCUGGAGCCGGGCAAUCAAUGGCUACUGUUGCUCCUAUCAAUGCAGCUCAAAUGCCUCCGUCAUACCCAUAUAUGCCGUAUUCUCAGCAUCCGUUCUUCCCACCGUUUUAUCAUCAGUACCCUUUGCCGCCGGGCCAGCCUCAAGUGCCCGUCAAUGCAAUUGCCCAACAGAUGAAACAACAGAUGCCGGUUCAACAACAACAACAAAAUCAGCAAGCCAGGCCAACCUUCCCUCCUAUACCAAUGUUGUAUGCAGAACUUCUUCCAACUCUACUCCAGAGAGGUCAUUGUACAACUAGACAGGGUAAGCCCCCACCUGAUCCGUUGCCUCCAAGGUUCAGGUCUGAUCUCAAAUGUGACUUUCAUCAAGGUGCCUUGGGUCAUGACGUCGAGGGGUGUUAUGCUUUGAAGUAUAUCGUGAAGAAGCUCAUCGAUCAAGGGAAGCUGACUUUUGAGAAUAAUGUCCCACAUGUCCUCGACAAUCCGCUACCAAAUCAUGCCGCUGUGAAUAUGAUCGAAGUGUGUGAAGAAGCUCCGAGACUUGAUGUCCGCAACGUCGCAACUCCUCUGGUACCUCUACACAUCAAGCUGUGCAAAGCUUCUCUGUUCAAUCAUGAUCAUGCCAAGUGUCUGGGAUGUCUCCGUGAUCCUUUGGGUUGCCACGCUGUUCAAGACGACAUUCAAAGCUUGAUGAAUGAUAAUCUUCUGACUGUCAGUGAUGUUUGCGUGAUUGUGCCAGUUUUUCACGAUCCACCUGUCAAGAGUGUAACUUUGAAGAAGAAUGCUGAGCCUUUGGUGAUAAGGUUGCCAGGACCAAUUCCUUAUGUUUCGGACAAGGCAGUGCCAUACAAGUACAAUGCUACUAUGAUAGAAAAUGGAGUAGAGGUGCCUCUAGCCUCCUUUGCCACAGUAAGCAAUAUUGCCGAAGGGACUUCUGCAGCACUAAGAAGCGGGAAGGUCCGUCCGCCGUUAUUUCAGAAGAAAGUAGCUACACCGACCAUUCCACCAGUUGAAGAAGCAACUCCAACCGUUGUUUCACCCAUUGCUACAGAUGUGAACCAGCCAGGCAAAUCUAUAGAGGAUUCAAAUUUAGAUGAGAUUCUGAGGAUAAUAAAGAGGAGCGACUACAAGAUCGUUGAUCAGUUGCUGCAGACUCCUUCAAAGAUAUCUGUAUUGUCGUUACUCUUGAGCUCCGAGGCUCACAGGAAUACCUUGUUAAAAGUGCUGGAGCAGGCUUAUGUUGACCACGAAGUUACGGUAGAUCGUUUCGGUGGCAUAGUGGGAAAUAUUACUGCUUGUAACAAUCUCUGGUUUAGUGAAGAAGAGCUGCCGGAAGUGGGAAAGAGUCACAAUCUGGCUUUGCACAUCUCGGUGAAAUGUAAAUCAGACAUGAUAUCAAAUGUGUUGGUGGAUACUGGUUCCUCUCUCAAUGUAAUGCCUAAGACAACCCUAGAUCAGUUGAGCUACCGUGGGACCCCGUUGAGGAGAAGUACUUUCUUGGUCAAAGCUUUUGAUGGAUCUCGAAAGAAUGUGCUGGGAGAGAUAGACUUGCCGAUAACCAUUGGCCCUGAGAAUUUCUUGGUUACUUUCCAAGUGAUGGACAUUAAUGCAUCCUACAGUUGCCUGCUGGGAAGACCGUGGAUACACGAUGCAGGUGCGGUUACUUCCACCUUACAUCAGAAGUUGAAAUUUGUGAAGAAUGGAAAACUCGUUACAAUCCAUGGUGAAGAAGCAUACUUAGUCAGCCAAUUGUCUUCUUUUUCUUGUAUUGAAGCAGGGUCUGCUGAAGGGACUGCUUUCCAAGGUUUGACCAUUGAAGGUGCAGAGUCUAAGGAAGCUGGGGCUGCUAUGGCUUCAUUAAAGGAUGCUCAGAGAGCCAUCCAAGAAGGUCAGACUGCCGGCUGGGGCAAGGUGAUACAGCUCUGUGAGAACAAGCGUAAAGAAGGUCUCGGGUUCUCCCCGUCAUCAAGGGUUUCCUCGGGAGUCUUCCACAGUGCAGGGUUUGUUAAUGCUAUCUCUGAAGAAGCCACUGGAUCUGGUCUCAGACCUGCAUUUGUUACACCAGGAGGCAUUACGACAAAUUGGGAUGCCAUUGACAUUCCUUCAAUCAUGCAUGUUUCUGAGUAAUGUGUCUUGUUGCUUUAAUGCUUUGUUUUCAAAAUAACAAUCCUCUCGCUCUGCCCAAAGCGAGAGUGAUAUUUUCUGUAAGGGCAUGUUUGUUUCGGCAUUGCCGUUGAUUAAUAAAAUUUUGUCGUUUCUUCCACGACUAUUUUUUUUUAGUGCUUUUUCCCUUGGAAACAAUGGUAAUGCCAGAAAAAAAAACCAAAACGUCUGUAUUUUCUUAUUAAUUUCAAAAAUCUGCAUGAAAAAAAAAAAAAAAAAAACUCUUUCUAAAAUCAUCCAAUCAUUAUAUGCAGGUUGAACCAUAAUAAACCCGUUGAACACAGUAAUCCUACGGUUCCUCCAAGUUUUGAAUUCCCUGUGUAUGAAGCCGAAGAUGAGGAAGGUGAUGACAUACCAUAUGAGAUCACUCGGUUACUUGAGCAAGAAGAGAAAGCCAUUCAGUCUCACCAGGAAGAGAUCGAGCUUAUCAACAUAGGUACCGAGGAAAACAAGCGAGAAAUCAAGAUUGGUGCCACUCUAGAGGAAGGGGUUAAACAGAAGAUCAUCCAGCUCCUCCGGGAAUAUCCGGAUAUUUUUGCAUGGUCCUAUGAAGAUAUGCCAGGUCUAGACCCUAUGAUCGUGGAGCAUCGGAUCCCUACCAAGCCUGAAUGUCCUCCCGUCAGGCAGAAAUUGAGAAGGACUCAUCCUGAUAUGGCUCUCAAGAUCAAGAAUGAAGUUCAAAAGCAGAUUGAUGCGGGUUUCCUCAUGACAGUUGAGUAUCCCGAAUGGGUUGCCAAUAUUGUGCCCGUGCCAAAGAAGGAUGGUAAAGUCCGGAUGUGUGUUGACUUCAGAGACCUGAACAAGGCCAGUCCAAAAGACAACUUUCCAUUACCUCAUAUUGAUGUGCUUGUUGAUAAUACUGCUCAAUCUAAGGUGUUUUCCUUCAUGGACGGUUUUUCCGGUUAUAAUCAAAUCAAGAUGUCUCCUGAAGAUAGGGAAAAGACAUCUUUUAUCACUCCAUGGGGUACUUUCUGCUACAAGGUGAUGCCGUUCGGCCUAAUCAAUGCUGGUGCUACCUACCAAAGGGGAAUGACCACUCUGUUUCAUGACAUGAUUCACAAGGAAGUUGAGGUAUAUGUGGAUGACAUGAUUGUGAAGUCAGCAGAUGAGGAGCAGCAUGUUGAAUAUUUAACAAAGAUGUUUGAAAGGUUGAGAAAAUACAAGCUGCGAUUGAAUCCCAACAAAUGUACAUUCGGUGUCAGGUCCGGAAAGUUAUUAGGCUUCAUUGUCAGCCAAAAGGGCAUUGAAGUCGAUCCUGAUAAAGUCCGGGCCAUCCGAGAAAUGCCAGCUCCACAGACAGAGAAGCAAGUCAGAGGUUUCUUGGGACGUUUGAAUUACAUCUCCCGAUUCAUAUCUCAUAUGACCGCAACCUGCGGGCCGAUCUUUAAGCUGCUUAGAAAGAACCAGCCUAUUGUAUGGAAUGAUGAAUGCCAAGAAGCUUUUGAUAGCAUCAAGAAUUACCUGCUGGAACCACCUAUCCUUGUCCCACCCGUGGAAGGAAGGCCUUUGAUUAUGUAUUUGGCAGUGUUUGAUGAAUCCAUGGGAUGCGUGCUUGGUCAACAAGAUGAAACUGGAAAGAAAGAGCAUGCUAUCUACUAUCUAAGCAAGAAGUUCACCGAUUGUGAAACUCGGUAUACAAUGCUUGAGAAGACUUGUUGUGCUUUAGCUUGGGCUACCAAACGCCUGCGUCAUUAUUUGGUGAAUCAUACAACUUGGUUGAUAUCCAGAAUGGAUCCGAUAAAGUAUAUCUUUGAGAAGGCUGCUGUUACUGGAAAGAUUGCACGCUGGCAGAUGCUUUUGUCAGAAUAUGAUAUUGUGUUCAAAACUCAAAAGGCAAUCAAAGGCAGCAUUCUUGCCGAUCACCUUGCUUAUCAACCUCUUGACGAUUACCAACCAAUUGAAUUCGACUUCCCUGAUGAAGAGAUCAUGUAUUUGAAAUCCAAAGACUGCGAAGAACCGUUGAUUAAUGAAGGUCCAGAUCCCGAUAGCAAGUGGGGUUUAGUCUUUGACGGUGCUGUCAAUGCUUAUGGCAAGGGAAUUGGGGCAGUCAUUGUAUCCCCGCAGGGGCAUCACAUUCCUUUUACCACCAGAAUCUUGUUCGAAUGUACCAACAAUAUGGCGGAGUAUGAAGCAUGUAUCUUUGGGAUCGAGGAAGCAAUUGACAUGAGAAUCAAACACCUCGACAUCUAUGGAGAUUCUGCGCUCAUCAUCAAUCAGAUAAAGGGUGAAUGGGAGACCCACCAUGCUAAUUUGAUUCCUUAUCGUGAUUAUGCGAGACGUUUGCUGACAUAUUUUACAAAGGUUGAGCUGCACCAUAUUCCUCGUGAUGAGAACCAAAUGGCUGAUGCUCUUGCUACUCUAUCCUCCAUGUUUCGAGUAAACCAUUGGAAUGAUGUGCCAUUAAUCAAAGUGCAACGCCUUGAAAGACCUUCGCAUGUGUUUGCUAUUGGGGAUGUGAUCGAUCAGGCUGGUGAGAAUGUGGUUGACUAUAGACCCUGGUACUACGACAUCAAACAGUUCUUGCUGAGCCGUGAGUAUCCGCCGGGUGCUUCCAAACAAGACAAGAAGACCUUGAGAAGAUUGGCCGGUAGAUUCCUGUUAGAUGGAAAUAUUCUGUACAAGAGGAACUAUGACAUGGUAUUGUUAAGGUGUGUUGAUGAACAUGAAGCAGAGCAGUUAAUGCAUGAUGUACAUGACGGUACCUUCGGGACCCAUGCUACAGGGCAUACUAUGUCAAGGAAGUUGUUACGAGCAGGUUACUACUGGAUGGCCAUGGAGCAUGAUUGCUACCAGCACGCCAGAAAGUGCCACAAAUGUCAAAUCUAUGCUGAUAAGAUUCAUGUGCCUCCGCACGCCCUCAAUGUUAUGUCAUCCCCAUGGCCGUUCUCAAUGUGGGGCAUCGACAUGAUUGGAAGAAUUGAACCGAAAGCUUCAAAUGGCCAUCGUUUCAUCUUAGUGGCAAUUGACUACUUUACCAAAUGGGUUGAAGCGGCAUCUUAUACCAAUGUGACUAAGCAAGUGGUAGCUAAGUUUAUCAAGAACAACAUCAUCUGUCGAUAUGGUGUUCCCAGCAAAAUUAUUACCGACAACGGUACCAACCUGAACAACAAUGUGGUGCAAGCUCUUUGUGAAGAAUUCAAAAUUGAGCAUCAUAACUCUUCUCCUUAUAGACCUCAGAUGAAUGGUGCAGUUGAGGCCGCCAACAAGAAUAUCAAGAGAAUCGUCCAGAAGAUGGUAACUACUUACAAGGACUGGCAUGAGAUGUUACCCUAUGCUCUGCAUGGCUACCGCACUACCGUGCGCAGUUCAACCGGGGCAACUCCUUUCUCUCUUGUAUAUGGUAUGGAAGCAGUUCUUCCUUUGGAAGUGGAGAUCCCAUCUCUCCGUGUGAUCAUGGAAGCAAAGUUAUCCGAGGCUGAAUGGUGCCAAAGCCGGUAUGAUCAGUUGAAUUUGAUUGAGGAAAAACGUAUGGAUGCCAUGGCUCGUGGACAGUCAUAUCAAGCAAGAAUGAAGACUGCCUUUGACAAGAAAGUCCAUCCUCGAGAAUUCAAGGUAGGGGAACUUGUAUUGAAAAGGAGGAUAAGCCAGCAACCCGACCCAAGGGGCAAGUGGACGCCUAACUAUGAAGGUCCUUAUGUUGUCAAGAAGGCCUUCUCCGGUGGUGCUUUAAUCCUUACACACAUGGAUGGUAUAGAACUUCCAAAUCCAGUGAAUGCCGAUAUAGUCAAGAAAUACUUUGCCUAGAAAUAUGAAAAGAACAGCGUGGUAGGUCGAAAACCCGAAAGGGCGGCCUAGGCAAAAAUGCGCUUCCCGGUGGAUCGAAAACCCGAAAGGGCGGUCCAGGCAAAAAUAAGGGACAAAAAACAAAUAUGAAAAAGCUCGCUGAGAUUGUUCGCAACUCAGGCAAAAAUGAGCGUCUCGAUGAAUCGAAAACCCGGAAGGGCGGUUCAUGCAAAAAUGAGAUUGAAGCAAAAGGCAAGUAACUAUAUCUGGCUAACCACCGUCCCCUUGGGGCAUCUGCAGCUGUUAAUGACCAUCUUCAUCAAAAGCUCCUAUGCUUGCGAAUUCAAAGUUUCUAGGAAAUGUCAUGAUUACUGUGUUCAAUGUAUCACCAACCAAUAAAAUUACCAUUUUCCAAGCUUUGUAAAUCCGUGGAGUCACGCCUUCGGCUGACCACCACUCUUAUACAUCAAAUUGAGCCUGUGCUUUUGUUUAAAAUUCUAUUUUCUUCUACUUUCAAAGCUAUAUACAAAACAUUUUCUUUCUAUUUUGAUAAUGGCAAUGCUUGAAACAAACAUUUUUGAAAACUGAAAACUUUUUGUUUAUUUUGAAAAGCAAACCUGAGCAACAGGGUACAUUCAAAUGAAACAUGCAUGAGCGAGAGUAUGUUGGUGUCUAUUUCAAUAUAUGUUACCAGCAGAUUCUCCUCCAAGAUAAUCUGUGGUCAAUGGCAAGAAUGAAAAAAACAGAAUGAAAAUGCAUGAAAAUAAAUGAGCUCGCUAAGUUGAAAACCCGAAAGGGCGGCUUAGGCAAAAAUGAGCACCCCGCUGGAUUGACAACCCGAAAGGGCAGUUCAGGCAAAAAUGGGGCAUUGAAAAGAAUUUAUUUCCCCGGUGGACCGAAAACCCGAAAGGGCGAUCCAGGCAAAAAUGGGAUGCAAAAAAUGAUGAAUGAAAAUGAGAAUAUAACAUGCAAAAGCAUUGACCACAGAUGCAAUGUCUACAACAUACCCAGCGCUGAAAUGCCCAGCACAACGGCGUUUUCCCCAGUCGGGUCUUCCAAGAUUCUAUCCCCAGCAAGAUGCAUAGCUACCUGCCCUCAGCCAUGGUUCCGAUACGUCUCCCAACGACGUCAUCCCCAAAGAGGAUUUCCAAGAAUGUGUAAUAUAGCACGAGCCACUACGUGCCCAAUACUCUGAUGUCUUGUCUUCCCCGUGAAGUCGUGCCUACAAAAUGCCAACAGUCAUGCAUUACAAGCAUUCAUACAUGCAUAAUCAUGCAUAUUACGUACCCAUGCAUUUAAUGAAAUUGUUAUAUCAUCCAUGCAUAUUGCAUUUCCAAUGUCAACAUCAGUCUCAAUUCAAUACUCAUGUCAGGUUCUCUGUCAAAACCUUGUGAGCCAAUAAUACCGGUCAAUUUCUGCCUUUCAAUUCAAAUCGAUGUCAAGUCAACCUCAAUCUAUAUUUUGUCAACAAACCAAUCCCCAGUGAAUAUGUUUCUAUUUGGUCAAGUGACUAGUUCAAGUCCAAGAACAGCUUGUACCUAUCAAUUUGCUUAUGUUAUCGGUCGAGUGCCCAGCUCAAUCCAAGAGCAGCUUGUACCUAUCAAUAUGUUUCCGUUUGGUCAAGUGGCUAGCUCAAUCCAAGAGCAGCUUGUACCUGUCUAUCUGUUUCUGCCCGGUGGAGUAACCAGUUCGCAUCCAAGAACAAGCUCGCACCUGUCUAUUUGCCUUGCUUUCAGUCGAGUCACCAGUUCGAAUCCGUAAGAACAACUUGUAAUUGUCAGUUUUCUCUUUCUUCCAGUCGGGUUACCAGUUCGAAUCCAUAAGAACAACUCGCACUUUCCAAUAUCCCCAAGUGAGUCACCAGUUCGAAUCCAUAAGAACAACUCAUGUUGGUCCAGUAACCUCUAUCCCCUGUGAAGUGACCAGUUCGAAUCCAUAAGAACAACUCGCAGUUGUCUGUUUGUUUCAUCCCCGGUCAAGUGGCUAGUUCGAAUCCAAGAACAGCUUGUACCUGUCCAACUUGUUUCUAGUUUCCCGUUACUCUGCUAUUCACUAUCUUUGUCAAUGUCUACCAAUCCCGCAAUGGAUACGACAUAUUUUGUUAAUUCCAAUCCCCAUGAAGUCUUGCAUUCAUAAUCCAAGUGAUGCAUGGCAUGCAUAUUAUUUGAAAAUGGGUAGGCGUAUUUUUACGUCCAAAUACAGUGCAAAUGCUAAUAUUUAAGUACCUUCGUCCUGUCAAGCCAAAGACUCCAUCUCUUGACUCUCCAGACAAAGAAACUUAAAUAGGGGCAGCUGUUAUACCCUGUUUUUGGACCUAAAAAUACUGGGCCCAAUUUCAUUUCAAACUUUGUCAAUUAUCAGAUUUCAACUGCACAGUUCAAUUUGUCUCUGCCUCGCAGUAUUUUCAAUCACAAUUUUACCUAUGUUUUUCUUGCAUAAAACCUUUCAAAAUGUCUUUACUUGUCUUGUAAGUCAUUCAAAAGUGUCUCUGGAUCAUUACAUUGCUUUUUCUACAGUUUAUUCCAAAAUUUGCAAAAAGUCAUACAGAAGGGUAUUUUGGUCAUUUCCUGCAGUGGGACCCAUUUUCAUCCUUGUGACUGUCUCUGAGUCUUUUCAGAUUACUUUUAAACAUUUCAUCAGUAAACUUUGUUAAAAUUCAUUUCAAACUUGCGUCUGAGUCAGUGUCAGGUCAAUUUGAAUCUGUUUAGGUCGUUUUUAGCCCUAGGGGCAUUUUGGUCAUUUCACAUAAAAUUUUGGCAUGGGGAGGUUACUUUGAAGUACCUCAUUUAGGCCAUUGGUUCGUUUUAGUCCGUUUUGUCAAUUUUAUUUUUUUGUUUCGCUUUACGUUGGGUCAAAUUACGUUUUUUAUUCAAUUUUAUUUUUUAAUUGCAUUUUGGUCCCUCAAGUGAGGUCCCAAAAUUGCAUUUCAGUCCAGAAUUUUCUUUUUUUACAUUUCAGUCCUUUUUGUCAAUUGCAGUUUAGUCCCUUAUUUUUUCAAUUUUGCAGAAAGGUCCAAUUUCAUUUUUUGCCCAAGGCCGUGCCAUCUUUUUUUUUCAGGUCCAGGUGUCACUUUCUCAUUUGUUCAGAUACACACAUGUCAAGCUAUAAAAGGUGCACAGUGCCACUCAGAGCCAGAAAAACACACGCCAACUCAUAAACACAUUCCAAAUUUUCUCUUUCUCAGCAACUGAAUCAAAACAGAAAAAAUUCCUCAGAUUCAUCAAGAACACCAAGAACAAAAAACCUAACCGUUUUCCAGAAACAGAAACUACACAAAUUCAAGCUAUUUUUCAUGGAUUCUCAGUGAUUCUUUGAAGAAUCAUCAUCAUUGAAUCAAUAUCUUCGCAAUUCGAAGUGCGAAUUCGCCAAAGGCAAACUCCAGCACCGAUCACGAAGAUACAGUGAGGAAGACGAAGAAGAAAGAAAGAUGAUGAAGGUUUAAACCGGCGAAGAAGGCGAUAAAGCAAGAAACCAGCAGGAACACCGGUUUAUUUCCGGAUUCAAAGCCAAAUCACGUAGCAUCAGAGAUUGAAGUUUUCCAAAGAAUUUCUCCAUUAAAGGUUUCAACCAAAACCUUAGGUAAAACUCAUACUCUUUUUCAAAAGCAAUAUCACUGUUAAACCUAAAAAUCACGCAAGCAAAACAGAUCCAAAGGUUCCAGAAUUCAAAGAAAACUAUAACCGUAAACAUCAAAAUCCAGAUCCGUAAGGAUCAACGUUUUGAAAGCGAAAACAGGCGUCAAAAAGUAAUCAAACGACGAAACGAUGUAGAUCUUUAAAGAUCUAAAUGAUCUCAUUCAAAAAAAUCAAAAAUCAUUUCAAAACCGUAAAAGCUUUUUCAAGAUCUACGUCGUUCAAAGCCGUUUUUGAAAAAACAAAUGCCGGAUUCGUGUUUAGGGUUAAAGGACGAGUCAAACGAAGUAAGAAUCUUUGAAAUCUGGAAAUUUAGGUCACCGAAAACUGCAUGAACUCGCCGGAGAAGAUGAAGUUUCCGGCGGACCUUCAAGGUCUCCGCCGUAGCUUCAUCCUCGCCGGCGGCGAGGUUUAGAGAGAGGUGAGAGGUGAGAGAAGAGAGAAGAGCUAGAGAGAGAAAGGGGAGUGAAAAAUGAAGAAAACCGGUGCCAUGCCUUUUAAAUAAGCUAGUGAACCAGACCGGUCCAAGACCGGUCCAAUCCUGUUGAUUCCAGGCCGUUUGAUCUAGGGUUUCAGGACCCUGGAUCAAUCUUGUGGCUCCUGUGAAUCCGGUUCCUUAGGGUUUUGGGUUGGGCCUUUGUUUCCUUUGGAUCUUUACGUUUUGCUAUUCCUGUGCUUUUCACACCUCUAUUUUUGCUACCUGUACCUAUGUCUUGAUUAAAAUUGUGAUAAAAUUCCUAGAAAAAUUCAUGCAUGUUUCCUGAUAUUUUCUUAGUGUUUUUAUGACAUUUUUGCACAUUAAGGAUCUAUGAAAUUUUGGUAUGGUUAAUUCAUAGCAUUUUAAUUCUCUUUGAAUUAUUUGUUAUGGAUUCUUCUUCAUACAUUUGUCCUUGAUGUGCGAAUAUGUGAUAAAAGCUUUUUGAUGUGUUAAUAUGAGAAAUUUGUGCCUAUAAUUUCGUGUUGUUUUGCUGUUUUGAUUUGGUUCAUGAGUGCUUGAUUUUAUGAGCAAUAUAUGCAUAUUUUGAAAGAUAUAAAAUGCCAAGUUUAUUCUAGAAAAUAUGGCAUGAAACCAUGCUUGCAUGUUUCCAAUAAUUUCAUGCUAUAACUUGAGAUAAAGAAAACUCUUUCAAAAUUUGUUAAAGCAUGAGAAUUAGAGGCCAAGGAUGCUUUAGGUUUCAUACCUAAGUUUUUAGGGUUUAAUGUCAUUUUGUUAACUUUUUGUGUCAUCUUGCAUGAUUUUAUUUCUUAGUGCUUAUUAUGUUUUUUCUUUUGACUAACAAGUUUAUUCCCAUGUUUCAUGCAUCCCAUUUAGCAUUCCCUCCACCCUCUUUAGCCUAGCAUUUAUUUUUGCAAGUUUUAAUUCAUUUAGUGAUGUAAUUUGUCAUCAUUGGUUUGUAGCUUGGCAAAGGGGCCAUAGAAUGUAUUUAGGCAAUUUUUGUAAUAUGGACUAUGGACACUAUGACGCACCGACACGCACACACUCACCUUAGAUGUAUGCAUAGGAUUGUAUGGUUAAAUAAGCGUUUAGGUUUUAAACACCUAGAGAAAAUCCAUCUUUUUUCCAAAAAAAAAACAAUUGAACUUCACUUCAAAAAUUUUCAUAAUAAACAUGAAGUCAACACUUCAUUUCUUUUCCUUUCUUUUUUUUCUUGAGAAAAAUUCAAUUCAUCUUAAUCAUUUAGACUUUCUUUUUUAAUCACUAAUCAAACCUCACUUUUUGCUAAAUCUAAUGCUCAUGAAGCCUCCCAAUCUCCUUCUUCAAAACCAUUUUCAAAACUUAAAAUCAAACAAUUAAAACAAAAACAAGUCUUUUUAGCAAGAACUACGAACGGUUUUGAUCCCUUAAAAGGGUACGUAGGCAAUGAGUCAAAACUCAUCCAAGCCGAAAUAAAAUCAAAAUUCUACUUCUUCUCACCCCCACUCUUAACUAAAUAAACCUCCCAUUUUCAAAAGUAGGUAAAAAUAAAGCGUAAAAAUCGACUUAGGAAAACGGCUCCUAUAGAGGACUAUAGUUACUCCGGGUGCCUAACACCUUCCCGUAGUAAAACCGACCCCCGAACUUAGAAUCUAAGGGUUUUUUCUCAAUUUUUCCCUUCCCAAGAAAAAAGAGAGAUAUCAACGGUCGAAAGGUACAAGUCCAAUUAAUGACUUGGUACCCAAAAACCAUGAUAACAAGAGGUACUUGAUCAUAGUUUAACAUGUAAUCGUUUGAUCUAUAAAUAUAUGGUUCUAGCAUUUGAAUUGAUAUUGAGGUUAUUCUUGCACUUUAAUCUUUAUCUUUGAUUUAAUUGUGAUUGAGAAAUACUUUUGAAUCUAGGUUUAGAAUAACCAUCUAUCAAAACAUAGUUUCUAGACAUGGAAUCGAUGUUUUGAUAAUCACCUUGAGUAUCCAAACCUAAAGCUUUCUUAUCAUUUAAUAGAUUGAGAAAUCAUCGAUUGAACGAUAAGAUCGACUCUUGAAUCAUUCAAUAGUUUGAGACAUCGACCAUUGAAUGAUACAAUUGAUUUCACAAUAUUGUUUGGACACGAAUGGUGUUGUCGAGGGAUACGUGAUAAUAUCAAAGAAAAGCUAGAAUCCAUGUAUGAUCAUUAGGUUACGUGCGACGCUCGAUCAAGGAACUCUAAUCCUAACAAGUUUUACGCCCUAUUAAUCUCAAUUGUAUCAUUUGCAAUUCAGUUACUAAAACAAACAAUCAACUAUCGUUUAACUUGAAAUGAUAUUUGGUGUCGAACGGUCCGCGAUAUCGCACUAGUCCCUGAGGAGACGAUAUAAAUACUUACAAUUGUUUGAUGCAAAAAUACUACAUCAGCCCCUUGGUUCCAACAACGAGUUAGAUCACGACGACAAGCAUCCAUCUCCUCUUUUAGACCAUUGUGAUUCACUUUGUUCCAUGUGCUAAGCUCUUAUGCACAAUGAUCUAGUUUUUCAACAAUCAACAAACCUGCACUAGAAACCCAGCUAUCAGAAACAACAUCAUGAAUACAUGGUUCAACACACCAAGCAUUCUCAAAUUUAAAAUUUCUUUUAGGUAUCCAGACACGAGCAUUCGGUAUCCCUAUUUAAUAAAAUUGGAUAAUGAUCAGAAGUUGAAGCCACUAAAUUCUCUUGCUUGGCAUUAGGAUACAACUAGAACCACUCUUCAUUUGCAAGAGCACGGUCCGAUCUUUCUUUAACUGCUCUAGGAGUACCUGAACUCUUAAACUAGGUAAAAGAAUACCCCCUCCUUUAACAUAUCAAUUAAACCUGCAUAAAAAACAACCUAUCUUAAAUCGUUAAUCAACCACCUAGCACGCUUAAAGCCCCCUCACUUUUCAUAGAUAUCCAAAAUAUCAUUAAAAUCACCAAGGAUACACCAUUGAAGCGAAGUACCACAAGAUAAAUUUCUCAAAAAAUCCCAAGAAUUGCGUCUUCGACUCCCUUAUAGGAAUCCAUAAAAACUUGUAAAUGCCAUCUCCCUUGACUAGGAUCACGGACUUCAACAUUAAUAUAAUUUUCAGAAUAAUUUAUCACUCUACAGUUAAAAGAGUGUCUCCAAAGUAGUGCUAAGACACCACUUCGACCAUUACUAAUAACAGUUAAACAUUUAUCAAAAUCAAGCAAAUAACGGAAUUCUUCAGUUUUAUUGGCAUGGAUUAAAGUCUCACUGAGAAAAAGAGCAUCCGACUUAUAAUAGGUACUAGGUAUUUUAGGUUAAGAACUACACUCAGGUUCUCUAGGCCUCGGCAAUUCCAUCCUAUAAGACUCAUUCCCCUCAACAAUAUUCAACAAAGACAUGACAGUAUCAUCAUUAACGGUAUCUGUAGCGAAAACUCUCUCCUUUUUCUUCAAGUACAAUUUGAUACAAACCUUCCAACAUAUCAAACUCAUGACACAUCAAUUUCAUCAAACACAGGUUAUUCAUAGUAUUCACCACCAAAUGCAAUCCCCAAAACCACUAAUUGUAUCAAGAAAGAACCGACAACAAUUUGAUCUCUAAUAAAAUGUGUAAUUAAAAGGAUUAUACCUUGUAUGAAAAUAUAGAUGAUGGAAAUUGCAACAAGACAAAGCACAUGAUCGAGAAGGCAAAGGAAUCAGCGUCAUCUUUAUCUCUGGAAAAGGAGUAAUAUCGAAGGAAAUAGAACAACGCAACAACAAACACGUUCAGGGGAGACUAUUUCUCAUCGAACGACGGCAAAAUCCUUCACAAAGGGAGCGGCGGCGCUAACCCUAGAAGCGACGGCAAUUUCUGUUAUUAUUCUUAAUGUCAAAAAAUAAUUUGGUUCAAAUCAUUGAUCAUGAAGGCCUGUGAUGGGCGUGUAUUAUUCAUUUCAAUGACCUCCAUGUUCAAUGGAGACUCAAAUGUCGGCUGUUAACAUAUAUAAAUAAGUAAUAUACAUUAACUUAUUUUACACGAACAUCAUUACUAGACGUACAAUACUUGGCAUUUUUACUAGCAAUAAACUUGUUACACAACAUAAUAUUGUUCUUGAAACUAUUCAAGCUUAGCAUCAUUCAAACGAUAACUCGGUAUUGCGUGCAAAUGCUGAGCUCUUGGUAUAGUGAGUCCAAAUUUCUCCUCCAUAUUCAAAUUGGAGGGACUAAUAUUAUGUGGAAGUUCCCAGUUAAAACAAUGGAUAAAUUGAGCUAUAACCAAUUUAACAGUAAUUAAACCCAAUUGAAUUCCAGGACAACGCCUACGACCAGAACCAAAUGGUAUAGAUUCAAACUCUUGUCCAAGAUAAUUCAUUUUUUUCUCUACAAAUCUCUCUGGGUAAAAUUCUUUAGCAUUUUCUGACCAAACAUUAGGAUCUCUCCCUAUUGCCCAUGCAUUUACUAUAAGUCGUGUCUUUUCCUUUAUAAAAUAACCAUCAAUUGUUGUGCUCUCUCUAGAUUCACGAGGGACUAGUAACGGUGCUACGGGGUAAAGUCUUAAGGUCUCAUCAACCACCAUAUCUAAAUAAUUCAACUUCUUUAGAUCCUUCUCGUUAACCAUUCUUUUAUUUCCUACUUCAUUUUGUAUCUCAUCUUGAAGCUUUUUCAUCACUCUUGGAUGUCUUAAAAGUUCAGAUAAAGCCCAUUCAAUCGAGGUAGCAGAUGUAUCAAUUGCUGCCACUAUCAUGUCGAGCAAAAUAGCCUUGAUGUUAGUUCGAUCAAUGACGAGAUUUUGUUCACCCUCAAUAUCAAUGGUUUGGUGCAUAAUUGAAAGAAGUAUGUCUACAAAAUCUUUUUGAGUUUUGUUUACAUUAGCAGCUUGUUCAUGUUCUGUUAAUAUCACCUCUAGCACCUCAUCAAGUGCUUUACUGACUUUCUUGCAAGAUUUUGUUAAUCCCUAACAAUGAGUUAAAACAUAAAAUAUCAAUUACUAAAUGAAUAUUUUCAUUGUACUUAACAAAACCAUUAGAGCAUCCUUAAAAAAAAUAAAAAAUAAAACCAUUAGAGCAUGUUUUCUUAAAAGAGGAUCAAUGCUAUCCAUUUUUCUCCUUCAUGACUAGAACUCAUAGCCCUAUGAAUAUAGUUGAAGCAUCUUACCAACUAAACUGCACUUAGAAAAUCGAUAACAAUAUAUUUAAGGGAAUGUAAAAUAUUUAAAACUUUAUUUAAUUUAGUUUCUAAAUUAUCGCAAUCUUUCAUUGUUAAAGAUUAAACACCACCAAAAAAUUAUCAAAAAUUAAAUUAAAUUAUCACGACCUUAAUAUUUUUCCAUUGUGCAAAGAACCGGUCGUCUGAUUUUUUUCAAAAAUUCUCCUACUUUUAUCACCUCAAAUAUUGAGAUUGUGAAAUUUAGCCCCCAAUUUCAAACAAUCACGUGGUAUUUGAGGUAUUUAUAAGUAAAAUCAUUGGAAUACUAUAUAACUACAAGUGAAGGGUAGUUGAGUUUGAAAUUAGGUAACCAUUUUAUUUAUUGAACGACAAAUAUCGUGCAAUUACAUAUUGAGUGAAGAAAAUUAUAUACAAUCACGAUAUUUAUUUAUGAGACUUAAAAUUAAACUUAUGUCAAUAAUUAAUCUUUUAUUUCCUAUACAUAAUACUCCCUCGCUCCUAAAUUAUAAGUUGUUUUUGAGGGAAAUUGUUUCAAAUUAUAAUAAGUAAGUUUUACAGUAGCAUAUUUUUUCUAUCAUAUUCUUAAAUAUUUCUUACCUUUCUAUUUUAUUAAUGAAAGGUAAUUUUAUCAAAUGACUCAUAAUUUCGUUUUCUAAUACAAAAUUAACAAGGUAGAAUUUAACAAACAUACCUGAAGAUCAAAAAUUCCUAGCCAAGGAACAUAAUCAGCCAGAUUAAAAGCUCCAAUCAAAGCCAAUCCUUCUUGAACCAAACUCUUCAAGUCAAAUUGCUCAUACUUACUCCGACCAAACAUCAACUUAUACACAAUAUCUUCUAUUAGAUUCUCUACAACCUCACUAACAUUCACAACCUCACCAACCAAAGCAGCUUUCUUCAAAGUGUUAACCAAAAUACUCAACUCCUCUUUUCUAAUAGGACCAGACAUCUCAACUUUUGAAGCACUAAGAAGUUUCAAAGUGCAAAAUUUCCUCACACUACGCCAAUAAGGACCAUACUCACAAAAAGCCAUCCCUUUGGAACCAUAAGACAUGAGCUCAGAUCCUUGAAUCUUUGGUCGGCUUGCGAAAACGAUGUCGUGGGUUUUGAGGAAUGAUUCUGCUGCUUUUGAAGAUGAAAUGACAAUAGCUGGGACUUGACCAAGUUGUAAGGACAUGAUUGGACCAUAUUUUUUGGAGAGUGACUGAAGUGUUCUAUGUGGAAGGGUGCCUAAUAUGUGAAGGUUCCCUAUUAUUGGUAGUGUUGGUGGACCUGGUGGUUUUUCAUGGAUAAUGGUUUUUUGUUUUGAAUGUAAGAAGAGUUUGAAUAGAAAGUACAUGAAAGUGAAGAGAAGAAAAGCAAAUAUUAUUGUUGUUACUGCAAAAGACAUGUCUACAAAUGAAUGGUUGGGUUGUACGUAAUAAGGUUGAAGAUAAAGACUAUAUAGAACUCCAAGUUGAUCUCAUAUUAUCUUGAAACUGGUGGUAUACGUUUGUUUGUGGAAUUGUUUUCUUGACAUGUAUUUGUGGAAUUGUUCGUUGUGAGAUAUUUCUUCCCCGAAAAUAAAAGAAUAAAGAUAGCUUCUGUAACCAUAUUUUUUCAAUUGCGGCCACUAUUUUUUCAAAAAAAUAUAAUGACGCAACUAAAAUACGCGUGACCACUAUUUUUCCAUUUAAUUAACCAAAUAAAUUCGGUGAAAAUAAUGGUCACACAACUGAAAAAUAUAGUCACACAUACCAUAUAUUUAGUUGACUUUAAAUUUUUAAGAAUGGUAGAGCAAUCUAUCAUUGCUCAAAAUAAAAGUAUUGACUAUUGAGUUAUUUAUGACGGGCCCCUUUUCUGCAGCGCCAUAUACCCAAUCAGGAUGAUUGAUUUUGGUUAAAUAUUUAUGACUAUUGAAAAACUGGUGGUGUGCAUGUUUGUUUGUGUAACUUUCUUAAGGGAAAAAGGAACGUGCUCAGUGCCGUAGUGUUCUCAAAACAUUUAUUAAUCAACCUACUCCCUCAAUCAUUGCUUCUUUUUUUUUUCCAUACAUUUAUUAACAAAAUAUAUAUUUCCUCCGGUCACAUUUAUAAGUAAAAAAAACUACUCUUUAGAUAUAUUGAAUAGUUAAUGUAUCUAACCUAUAAAUGUGGCCGGAUACAUUAAUUAUUCAAUGUAUCUAAAAUGUGAUUUUUUGCUUAUAAAUGUAACCGGAAUGAGUAAUUUUUUAGAUUAACAAAAAAUAAUUAAAGUAAAUAUUUUGUAAGUAUUUUGUCAAGAAAAAUCUAAUAACAUCUUUAUCUUAUAUAUUAAUAGAAAAAUAUAAUCAAAUAUCUUGUAUGAAUAGUAUACAUAGUAGACCAAGGGAGUAAUAUAGUAGUAGCAUUAGUCAAAUUUGAGUUUGAGUUGGACUGUCAAAAUUACCUAUUCUUGACGUGAAGAUAAAAGAAGUGUAGAUUGGCUCGCUAAUUUCAACAUUUUGAUGGAUUUUCUAGAUUUUCAUAUUAUGGAGAAUCCCCCUAGUGAGUUUCAGAGUCUUUUGUUUGAUGAUAUUUUCAAAGCUUGCAUACCUAGGAACGUCCGUUUAAUUUCUUAAUGUAGAUUUCAAGUCUUUUGUUUGUUUAAUGUAGAUUUUCGUUGAAUUUGUUUGAUGGGAUUUUUUUAUGCAUUUUUUUCAUGAGUUCAGUGAUGAUUUUUUUAAUUCAAACUUUGGAAAUGGAUGUGAUAAAGGGUAAGAGAGAGAAUUAUAAUAUAUAUAUAUAUAUACAUUUGAAUUAUUUAUGAAACAAAUUGACUAAGAUAAUUUUCAAAUGCCACAUAACAUAAUUGAAAGGCCAUUUGUUCAAGUUCUAGAAACAAUGUUUUAUGUAAAAAAUAGGAUAGAAUUGCGUACGAUACGCCAAAUGUCGAGACCUCUUCUUGACUUUGCGUAUGCGGAAGCUUUAGUGCACCAGACUGCACUUUUUAUAAUAAAAAAAAUCCUGACUCGGUGCCCCACAUAAGCUAAUUUGUAUACUAAGCUCUAAAAUCAAAUAAUAUUCAAAUGGCAACGAAGAAUCUCAAACUUUUUUUCGAGGAAUAACUAAAACUCGCCCAAAUGACAGGAAAAACACUAGGACAGAUCAUGUUAGUUUUAAUUCAAGUUAGAUGGUUUUAACUCAAGUUAGUUGAUCUUUAGAAAGAAAAAAAAAAAACUCAAGUUAGUUGAGAUUAAAUCAUGGUUAGAAUGUUUGUUGGAAGACUUGGCUAUUAGUUAGCAAAAUCAGUUCAGUUUGUUUUGAUUGCUUACUAAGCAAGCUAUGUAAAUAAGCUCUUUAUAAGCAUGUUGUAAAUAUUUUUUCACAACUUAAUGAGAAUACAAUUUUACAACAAUCAAUUACUCUUCUUCUUUCUCUCAGUUCUCUCAAUUUCUCAACCCUAAUUUUCAUAGAAACUCUUGCUUGCAUUGCAAGAAACUUAAGUUACAUUAUCAAAUUGGCAUCUAGAGCCACUAGUUCUAAUCUAAGGGAAAAAGAAUACUUCAAUCACGCAAAGAUUUAGGAGCAUAAAUGGUGUAACUGAAACCACGAAUGGUAAUAAUAGUUUCAAUACUCAUCUUCCAAAUCUUAAAGGUGGAAAUUGGGAAAGAUAGAGUCGUGUGAUGAAGAUUGUGCAAAAUGGUUUUGAUGAAUUGGGUUGGAAUGCAACUGAAGUACAAAGAAUUGCACAUAAGGAGUUAAAGAAGAAGGAUUGCAAAGCAGUGUUCUUCAUUCAACAAGGUGUUGAUGGAGGAAAUUUUGAUAAAAUUUCUACGGCUACAAGAUCAAAGGAAGUUUGGAUAUUCUAGAGAAAUAUCAUGAAGGAGAUGAGAAGGUGAAGGAGAUAAAGCUUCGGUCUUUAAGAAGGAAAUUUAAGUUGAUGCAAAUGGAAGAGGAGCAAAAGAUUCUUGAUUACAUCUUUAAGUUGAUUAAUGUUGUACAAAUGAAGGCAUGCAGUGAAACAAUCUCUGAUUAACAAAUUAUUGAGACGAUCAUAAGAACACUAUCUCCAAGAUUUUAUUUUAUAGUGGUGGCCGUAAAAAAAUCAAAGGAUGUGAAAACUUUGAAAAUUGAAGAAAUGCAGAGUUCAUUGGAGGCACGUGAAUUAAUAAUGUCUGAAAGAAGUAGUGAAAGAUCAAUUCAACAAGCUUUACAAGUUCAAACUGUGAAGAAGGAUGAAUAUGAUAAAAAGAAUUUCAAGAAAGGCAAAAGUAACUCUAAGGGCGAAACUGGUCAAAUUCUAAAGAGAAGAACAAAGCCAGUGAUAAAACUGAAUCUUCAAAAGGAGGAGGUUCUGGUAAUUAUCAAGGCAAGAAGAAAGGCUUUGAUAAGAAGAAGAUAUGUUGUUAUAAUUGUGAAAAGUUUGGUCAUUAUGCUUCUGAAUGUUGGACCGGUAAACGGAAGCAAGUAAAGAAUGAAGAGGAACAAGCCAAACUUUCACAAGAAGAUUUAGAUUAUGAUGCAGUCUUGUUAAUGGUGAAAACAACCAAUAAUGAAAGUCGUAAGUCAGAUAGAUGGUUUUUAGAUAAUGGUUGUUCUAAUCAUAUGACUGCAAAUAAGAAUUGGUUGAAAGAAAUCAACACGGGAAGAAACAGCAAGGUGAAGCUUGCAUAUCAUAGAACACUAGUUGGAAAAGGCAUGGGAAAGAUUGUUAUUGAAAGAAAGAAUGGAAAAUUAAUAGUAAUUUAAGAUGUGAUUUAUAUUAUGGGGAUGUAAUGCAACUUGUUGAGUGUAGGUCAAUUGGUGCAAAAGGGCUAUUCAGUAACAAUGAAGGAUAACUCUUUGAAAUUGUUUGAUAAAAAUCAAAGGUUAGUUCUGAAAACUCCCCUUGCAAAGAAUAGGACAUUUCAAACUGAUAUGAAAACUACUGAUCUGAUACUAUAAAAAAUGAAGAUAGUUAGUUAUGGGACUACAGAUUUGGUCAUUUAAAUUUUAGAAGUCUUAAUCAGUUAGUUGACGAAGAAUUGAUUUUAGGAGUACCAAAGUUGAAUAUACCAGAGAAAAUAUGUGAUAUUUUUUUUGAUAAACAAGCAACCUAGAAAUGCAUUCAGUGCAAAUACAACUCAUAGAUUAACAGAGGUGUUGAAUGUAGUAUAUUCUGAUGCAUGUAGUCCAUUAGAAGUUCCUUUAAUGGGAGCAGGAAGAUUUGGCUAUUUCUGAUUAAAGCAAAGAGUGAAGUUUUUGGUAUAAUCAAGAAGGAGAAGUGCUCUAGUUGUUCCUGCAAUAUUGAUGAAGAACGAGUUCAACAAGAAGUUGAGAUUCAGCAGGAGCCUCCCAUAACAGUUAAUCAAAACAUCAGAGUCUCACAAAGGAAAAGGUUUGUAUCUUCUAGACUGAUCCACUUUAACCUUUAAAACGUGGCCGACAGAAUAAUUAUCUUUGGAGUAAUUAGUUCUGGUGUGUGUCAUUUACUCAUAUUUGUUUUAUGCAUCCACUUUAAUUCAAUGUAUUGAGAACAUCUUGAACAAGUCUUAUCUAUUAUACCAAUGUAUGAACCACUAAAAUUAUUUAUAAUAUAUAAACACAAAUUUAAGUUGAAAUAAACAUUCAAGUUGAAACAACGGAGUUCGACUAAAAAUUAGCAUGAAUACUUAAAUCAUUACAUAUUUAACAACUAUUAUAAAUUAUGAAACUUUUUUUUUCGUACAUUACAAUUGUUAACGGAAAGAAUUUCCAGUUGACAGAACAAUAUACGGGAGAUUUGAAACUCAUGUAAAUUCGAAAGUCUAUAAGUCUUCGCUAACAUGCCAAGUAUAAGUAUCACAAAACUCACGUAUGUCACUUUUGAAAUUGCGGAAAACUAUAAUCGUUAAAAGAUAGAUCUAUAAUUAUUUAAAUUUUUAGGUUGGCCACUACACCACUUUACGAAAAUUUGAAUCAACCGUAACCAAAAAUUGACACAAAAUUGUAUAAAAUAUCGUAAAAUAGACCUAUAAUCGUUAAUUUUUUUAUUUUUCCGGAUGCCCCAUAUGGCUCCACUUGAAAGAACACCAUUCUUGUGUAAAAAAUAAUAAAAAUAAAUUUAUAAUAGUAACCGUACUUGUGUUUUUGACAACUGUUUUUUUUUUCCUAAACAUAAAUUCUUUUUUUUUUUAAAUAAAUUUUUUUAUACACUUUCAUUCAUUAUAAAAAGUGAUAAAUUGUUAUUUCUCAACUAUAUUUUAUUUCUGCAUGCCAGUUUAUUGUUAUGAGUUUUUUUUUUAAAAGACUUUAUUGCACUACAAGAAAAUUGCCAUAUAUCUAUGGAGGUUUAUAGUGACGGACUAAAAUCCGUAGGUAUAUAAGUUUUACCUACGGAAGUGGCCAUAGGUCUAUCUUAAAAAAAAUAAAAAUAAAAAAUAAAUAGUAAUACAAGAGAGUGCGCCUAAUGAAAACUAUAGACCGGGAAAGAUCCCGCUUUUUCCAAUUUUUUCCACCUCUAAAUUGAAAAUAUAUAAAAAAAACUCUAAUAAAAACAAAAAAAAAACCCAACUCUUCACGUUCAAGAACACAAUUUCAUUUUUCACCCGUUUCAGAAUCCAAAUCAAAAUCUCACUCUUCCAAAUCCUGAAAUGGCCAAAUCAAAACCUCACCUUUUUUUCCCUGAUUGAAACCUCAGCCUCUCUUGUUCUUCCCCGUUCCCAAAUUGCAACACUUUUCACACCCAAAUCGAAAUCCUUGAAGAUCAACUGAAAGAAUCUGAAGUCAAAUCCCUCUGUCUCAAAGCAAACGAGAUCCUGUAAGCCAUCAAUUUUCACGUUUCUUCUGUUUUUACUUUCUGUAAGUCAUCAAAGGACAAAAUUCUGUUAUUAGGUUUUCACUAUUUUUACUUGAUUUUUUGAUUUAUUUUUACUAUAAUAUUUGUUGAUUUUUUGAUUUGUUUUGAUUAUGUUUUUAGUAUGAUAGUAACAAUUAUCUUUCAAGGGAAGUUAGUAGGUUUAUUUUUUGAUUUGUGUUGAUUUUUUUAUUUGUUUCUUUUUACAUAGUAGCAACAAUUAUUUUAAUGAAAAGUUAUUUUAUUUUUAGGAUAUCUUUCAAGGAGAUUUAGUAGGUUUGGGGAGUGUCGUUCGAAGAUACAAUUAAUAGAGUGGACGGUUGUUGUUAUUAGUCAAUUAUUUGAAUAUAAUUUUUAUAUCUUCUAAAUAAAAAUGAGAAUAAUUGAUAUAUAUAUAUAUAUAUAUAUAAUCGAGUCAGUUCAUGAACUAAACGAGUCGAACUAUAUAUAGUUCAUGUUCGACUCAUAUAAUUAACAAACUUAAUUUUCAUCUCAAAUUCGAUUCAUUUGAAAAUUCUAUGUUUUAAACUCAUAUUGUGAAUCUUCAACGUUGUAAAAUGAAAAUCGAACGAUUACAAAUUACUCUUGGGGUAAGAAUAAUAGAAGAUAACUAGCAAAGUUAAAAAAAAAUGUUUAGGUUGUUAUUUGUGUCCUACUAGAGUACUAGUAUUUCUUGAACUCUAGAAAUUAACUAAUUUUUCAAUUGUAUUAAUACCAUAUUUUGUUUUAUACAUGAGUUAAUUAGCUGACUACCUCAUUUAUUUCUUUUCAAUAUUUAUUUUCUUUGUUUGAAGUUUAAUAGUUUGUUGUUCUCUACGAAAGCAAAAACUAUUUUUAUAUUUUAUUUUUUAUUCUUGAAUUGUAAUGUCAUCUUGUGUAUUUCAAGUCCAAAAUGAGUUGAUUUUGCAUGGUUGACCUGAUUUGGUAUUCUCUCAUUGCUUUAGUCCGAUCUUUUAAUUUACCACACAAAUAUUGUUUAUCCUCUAAAUUACCACACCCUUCCCAUACAAGAUUGAGAGGUAGUCAUAAUCACUCCUCUCACAUAUAAAUUGUCAAUCGUUGGAAGGCGGUUGAGAAGAAGACGCCACAUAAAAAGAUUGAUUUGCAGAGGAACAUCUUUAUGUCAGAAUACACGGGAAUAGUAAGUUGUCGCUGAAUUGAAGCACUAAGUAGAAGAAAUAGCACUGCCUCUUCUCUGCUAACAUUCAUAUCAACAACAUGAGAUGGUGUGGUAAAGGAGCCAUGAAAAAUCAAUCGGAUCCUUGAAGUGCAUAGAUAUUAAGAUGUGCUCUUCAGCCCAAGAAAAAGGCACACCACGAUGGAACAUGAUAAAAUGGACAAAGGAGAGGAAUGCAAUAUAGGCACAUACAAAGCUUCCCUAAGAACAUAUUUCAAAUCAUUAUUAGAUAUAUGAAUAAUUUUUAAAAGAUAUUUUAGUUUACAUUCAAUACCAAAUUAUUUUUUAAAUCAAUAUGAAUUAUAUAAUUGGUUUGAAUGAUAAUGUAUAAUAAAUCAUGCAAUUACAAAAUUAAAUACACAUCCACAUUUUUUUUAAUGAUUUUAUCAACAACAUAAAUUGAUCCUACCAUACAUUAUAAAAAAAAUCUUUUUUUAUAUUUGAGAGGCAUACACUACAAAUAUAAAAAAUUCCUUGCUAUCUUCUUCCAUAUUGAAAGGAACACAUCAAUUAGGCAAAUAAUUGUCGAAUUAUUAACAGAAAAUAACUUCAAAUUCAGCUUUGCAAGCCAUCUACUUGGAAAAGCAUCGAAAUCCAUCCAAGAUUCAACAAUGAGAGAUAAUUCAAACCUAUAUUUGACAAUAAGCCUUUUGAGAGCUAAUUUUGAUAGGGAACUUGCUAUACCUGUAAUAUUCUAGAAUUGGAAAAGCCAACCUUUAAUCUGGUGUUGUAUUGCUUUCUUAAUUUCUCAGUUUUGUUUUGUUUGCACCAGCAUCUGAAUUCGCAUUUCAAUACGGUUUAUAGCAUUGACGAGUAAGUUCAUUCAUAUUCCUCAAAUAUUCAUGAUCACCAUUGUCACAUUCGCAUUUUAAUACGGUUUUUAGCAUCAAUACUAUGUUCCGAGUUAGUUGUUCCACAAGCAUAAGACAUGUCAUUAACAUUGCCAGAAUUAUUCAAAGUGUUGUUAUAAACCAUUUCAGCUCUUUUUUUUUUUCCUUUUCUAUAUGUAUCCUUUAGGUUCACAGCUCCAAUAUUAUUAUCUGUGUAUAUUGUCUUUAGAUUACACAAAGAUUUUCUUCUAAUCCUAUUUAGGUUUUAUUCUAUUAAGGGUCCGUUUGCUACAGCUUUUUAUAAAAAAAAAAAAAAUCACUUUUUUUAAUCUUGCAUCUUUUUAUUCAGAUUUUCAAAAAAAAUUAAAAUCUGAAAAUAAUCUAAAAACAGCUUCAAAUGAGUAGCUGUUAUGAGCAGCUUUUUUUUUUAUAGAUUAUUUUUAGAGGAGAGAGAAAUUUGUUACGAGAUUUUAACAAAAAAAAAAGAUAUGUUUAAAACAAACUAAAAUUCCAAUCAUAUCCUUGUUUUGCUAUAUAUACGCAAAGACUAGUCUUCCUUUUUUCACAGCCUAUUCGUUAUUCUUCUCUCUAUUCUCUAAACAAGUGAAGGUUAGCAAUUUUAUUAUCUUUUUGAUUCAUUCAUAAUUGAACCUGUAUAUUUUUUUUUCAUGUUUCUCUUCCCAUUAUCAUAUAUUUUGUGUUGUUUUUGUCUAUUUUGGAUGUUUUUUAUGUUUGUAUAUAUCAUUGUUGCUUCUAUUUUGCGGUGCUGUUGAUGUUGGGUUUUGAGGGUAAUUGUUUGGGUGCCCUGCCAUGGCGUGGGGCUCGUAUAUAUAUCAUAAAUUGGAACCACUAUAUAGUUAUUAUUAUCAAGGAAAAUGCUAUUUUUUUACGAAAACCAAUGGCAAGAAAUCGACAAACGCUUUUGUAUUGUGCUAUUUCACCCACUGCUUGUCUCCUACUCUUGUAGUAUUCUGUCAAAUGCUAAUUAAACUGAUGAAUAUUUGUUAAAUUUUUAUAAAAAUAUAAUAUGAUACUUUGUAUUCGGCAAUAUGAGUGUAUGUAUACAAGCAGAUUAAAUUAUGAACAAAUGCUAGUGAUAAAUUUAUCAUUCUUGUGUUUCUUGUGCAAAAUAUAUGUGGAGUAAUAAUUUGGUAAAUCAACAAUUUUAUGGCAUGCUUAACUAUUCAUAUUUUGUUUACAUAUAUAACAUUGUUUGAUCCCUAUUGUUAGAUCACUUUAGUUAGGUAUUGAUUCAGGUUAAAUUAUGAACAAAUGCUAUUAUCAAUAUGUAGUAGCUAAAUAUCAUAUAUAUAGUAUCAUAGGAUAUGGAAGAACAAUCCAUCUUUUUCAACUAAUCAUUUUGCUCGUGUUUUAACAACGUAAAUGCAUUUUUAAUUAACAUACUUGUUUUCAUACAUAAAAAAGUAUUUUUUUUUUUUUUGGACAAACAUGUUAUAUUUGAAAGAAUUUUUUUUUGUGUCCUUUAUGGUAAUUUUAUAAUAAAAAAUCACUUUUAGAAAGUUGUAUCCAAAUAAACUAAAAAUCACUUUUUUUUUAAAAAGUGAUAUUUGACAUGGUAAACAAACAUAAAAUAGAUUCUGAUUUUUUAAAGAAUCUCUAAAAAUUAUCUCUAAAUUAUUUUAUUUUAAAAUCACUUUUAUUUUAAUCCGUAACAAACGGACCCUAAUUCUCUUAAACUUCACCAUAUCCAUGGUGGAAUCAGAGAAAAUGCAGAAGCUCAACGAAAAAGAAAGAGAGAAAAUUAGAUCAAAUUCUAGAUUCAUUGAAUUGAUCUGAAAUUGGUUACAACAAAGCUAUAUAUAGCUGUAUAUGAUCCUAACUAACUCUAAAAAACUAUUAGCUAGCUAGGAUUAGAAUCAUAUGAUGCUAGUACACAGUAAAGAUCUAUGGAAUGGCAGAGUAAUAUGCUGCGCAAGCUAUCUAAUAUUACAAGUAAUCACACAAUUUAAAAAAGAAGAAAAAGAGAAGGAGAGUGCACAAACAAAUAUUGGCGCCAGAUAAAUUGUGCAUAACCAGGAUAAUUAGGGAACCUUGCUAAAUAUAUUGGUACUCUCUGGUGGUUUGAUUUUAAUAAUUUGGAGAAUCAACUAAGUUCGAUGAUGAGGCCGAGGGAGGCAUGGUGGAAAAGAAGAAUUAUACAAUUGCAUUGUAGAGAUGAAAACGUAGCUUGGCAAAACAUGAAAACAAUGAGCUCUAUCUGAACGUUAAUGCAAAACAAUUUCACGCCGAUAGUGUAUAUUCACUAAUAUUGCCCAUUUUCACAUCAGAUGUGUUCGACUCAGGCACAACCACCCUUCAUUUGUGCAACGUCUGCAAGAAGUAAAUCAAUCACUUUGCUCUAGCUAGAAUCAUUAAAAUAAUAAGCAUUUCAGAGUUUGAGAGAUUAAGAAUUCUAUUGACUUUGUUUUAUGUCGAAUCCUAGUUCUUAUCACGAAUUAUUAUAAACAAACUUCCCAGACACAGGGAUAUUUAUGACAAGUUCACUUACUGAACAGAUAAGAAACAAGAAUUUGAAAUAAAACAAGGAUGAGUUCUUAAAUAUAUUCAGUGGAAGCUAAUUUGUGAAGGUAAUCAAAUAUUAUAUAUCCUCAAGCUGAAGUCCCUUCUAAGGAUCAUUCAUGUGUGCUGAUGAUAAUGAACUCAAAUUUGUUGAGACUUCAUCUGUUGCUUUUUUUCGCACGACUGUUGCACCGGACUAUUCAUUAACUUCUCAAGUCCUUUGUGGUUGUGUGUAUUGCUUAGUGGAUGGUUACAUCAACGGUAUAUACUUCUCUACCCCCUUCCAUUUAGUAGAUAUUGUAAAACCAAGGACAACCUCCUGAGGCUUAGGAGAAGCUAUAUAUAACUCUUUUCAACAUCUGUUAUUAGUUGGAAUUAAGUUCGGCUCAUGUGUUGGAUCACCAUUAUUCACUGCCUUCUUUGGAGAUUGAUUUUUCAGGCCAAAAUACAUUCAGUCCCUUGCCUGUAUGUAUAAACAAAAUACACUCAAUUCCUUUAUAAAAUCUUACCAUACAUCUACAAUAUACUAUUUUUUCUUUGCUAUAAGGAUGGAAUUUUAAAUGUUUGGUGAAAAACUGAUAUGUGAAGGUAAUUAGCAUUAUAAAGUCCUGAAAAUCAACUCCAACCACAAGAAGGUGGAAAGAGUAUUACUUUGUUGAAGCAUCCAAUAAAAAGAAAGCCGACUAAAGUUUUGAUAUGUAUGUUAAAAUAAAUUAGUUUGACGAGGCAGAAAAUUCAUGUUAAAGUAUUCACUAAGAUAUGAACUAUGCCUUACCCUUGAAUUAACCAUAACCAGCACAAAGCUAUCAGUUAGAGGAAAUUGAAAUCUUCAGCAGCAAACUUCAUUCCUAAUAUUGCUUAACAACGUCGCCAAUUCUGGCUAUUGGUGUUUCCCCUGAUCGAACAUGAAAUUCCGACUCUUUCAUAAAUAUAUUAUACAUGAAAGGGCUAUUUCAUAAAUGAAGGACCAUCACCUGCAUAUUUUCAUGGAUACAUGUAUUUAAAUUGAAAUCAAGUAAUAUAUGUUAAAAUUAAUACUAUAGGAAUGAAGAUCUAUACCAUAUCAAUACCAGCAUCAAUGGAAGUGGAAACGCGAUAACGAUAAUCUGACGUAUAAGGUUGACAAUUUUAAUCGAUUUUGUCUCAGACAAAAGACAAAAUCACAAGGUUCACAUAAAUCAAGUCUCUUAAAAAAUGUCUUCGUUCCAAUAAAUAAAUUUUGGGUAACCACGAAUAUUCAAAAACUUAAGUGAAGUGAGGUGUCAAAUACCUUAUGGCAGGGAUCUCAAUUCCUCACAUUCAAGAAUAUCCAUAGUUCGAAGCGAAAUAAGUGUCACCUGUUCAGUUUCAUAGGAGAUGCUCUCUGUAAGUGAUAUGACUAAUGCUAAUAUACUAAAAUAUAAAGAGUUAAAAGAUAAAAAAUUCACUUUGUUAUCAAAUUAAACGGUUGAUUUCUCAUUCAUAUCAUCCAAAAUCAUCACCUCUUAUAGUUUCUGUGGUUUAGCUGAAGCAUCCUCUUGCUUUCAGGAAAAACAGUGGACACAACACAACUUGAUCAAUAACAUUGUUCGACACAAACAUGGCUGCGAUUUAGCAGCAUUCCACAACAUAUCUGACACAAACAUAAUGAAAUAACAUGAGUGACUCGACUAGAAUCAUGAAAUAGCUAAAUACACACCUUCCUAAUGAAGAGCUGUAUACACACCUGGCUAAUAGCUUGAACCAAGAAUUUUGAUUUGUUGCAUUAACAAGCUCAGCGUCAAUUCUAAAGAUAUGGCCCAAUUCUCACAAUAAUUUUACUCGUAGACAUAUUCCAUACAAAAACAGAGAAAGCAAGUGAUUCCUGCAUAUAGAAAUUUAAAUUAGAAAGUAAUUUGGGGAUAAGAAGAUGCAGGGAAGAGAUAAAACUAGCAUACAUCUUCUUCCAGAUAAUUGUCUUGAGAAAUGCUUAGAAAUCAAAUAUGCAUGAAUCAACAGAGUUUAGUGCAUGCAUCAACAGCCAUCAAUAUUCUUUAAAAAUUAGCAAAUAACAUACCAAGACAAUUUUAGUACUAUGAAAUUCUGAACAAAAUUCUGACUCAAAGCCAUAGAAAGAUAAAUUCUCAACUAAAUUUGUCCUAAAGGAUCACCUAAAAUCUGUACCAACAAAUUAUACUUAUUAUGUAUGCAGGUCCACUCGUCAUGAACUAAGUUUGUAAUUAAAAAGUGUGGCUAGCAAUCAUUGAUGUAGUUAACGUAUUACAAAUAUUGCGUCAUCAAUGCUCUAAUCACAGUGCCGUAAAAAUAAAUCAAAAUGUUCAAAGAAUUAUAAAAGGGACAUAUACCUCUGGAAAACAUUGAAAAUCUCCUGUCAGGGAGAGAACUCUAUCAGGAACCAUUGCUGCUAUUUUACAAGCUAUCAUAGAUCAUGUUUCAAUAGGCAAACAAUAUUAAAAAUAAACUCAACCUAAUCAAAUCUUAGGAAAAACCAUCUGAAUUUUAACUAAAUCAAAACUCAAUAACACAAAAUAAUAACCGGUUGAGCGCCCAAAAACACGAGCCUUUUUCCAACCUAAAUGACCCAACAAAGUAAUUGUAUCUUUUGCCAUGAUCUUUGUAAAUUAUUCAAAUUAAUGUAGCACCAACACUUCAUAUUGAUGACAUGUCUGAUGUUUAGAUACUGAUAUAACACCAAACCAUAUAAUUUACAUUCAAAAACUUUCAUUUCUUCAAAAUAUUAUCAAACAAUAUAUCAUUCAAAUAAACAAUCUAAAGCAAAUAAAUACAAAAGACCAAUAAAAACCUUGAUGAUCAGACUUUCUAUUGUGUACAGAGCUCCGACCCACGCCCCAAUGAUCAAAAGCGAAAACCUCUACCACCACCGGACUCAUUGUCACAUCCUCCACUCCGAACGAUGUCAUCUUCAUCAUUAGGAACCUAUUAAUCCAUUUAUUUGUCGACCCCACCCUUGUGUGUCAAAGGAAAUCCUAACCAUUCAAUUCAAUCUCCACAAAAUCAGCAAAAUUUAAAAAAAUUUCAAAAAAUAAAAGUAAAAUUGAAUAAAAAUAAAGUGAAUUGAGGCAGAUAAGGGGAAAUAGAGAUCUUACCAGUUAAGUGAAUUGAAUUUUGCGAUGGUGAUCGAGGCCAGAUAAGGGUAAACAACAUACGAGUAAUCAGACUUGCUAAUCCCAUGGAAAAUCAUGAAUAUCUCUUUUUGGAAUAUGAGCUAUCUUAGGUAGAAUAUCUUUCAUGUACUCUGGAUCUCUUCCUGCAGAAUGGGUUCCAAAGAUGUCGACAAUGAGAAUAAAAAUAAAGAUUUUUGAGCAGUUGAAAUCCAAACAUAAGAAGGGGAAAUUGAGAUCCUACCAGUAAAAUUGAUUUUUGCGAUGGUUAAUGAGGCAGAUAAGGGUAAACGUCUCUGCUUCUUAAAACUGUAUUUUUGGAAUAUGAGAUAUCUUGUCCCAAUCCUCCCCUGUUCGCUUCUUGCAUCGUUCCUUUAAUGUUCGGCAACCAAUGAUAGUCAGAAGCUCAAGAGAAGUGAGGUGUCGAAUACCCUCCGGCAAACAUCGCAAUCCUUCACAGCUAUAAAUAUGUAGAGUUCGAAGGGAUUGAAGACCUUCCCAAUUUUGCUCUGGUAAGGACUCCAACUCAUUACAAUAACAGAUACACAGAAGCGUCAAAGCUGGGUUAAAGGUUUCAUUUGGUAACUCCUUCAGUUUUGGGAAAUUAUAUAUUCUCAGAGAUUGAAGAGAAGUAAGGUUUUUGAACAUCCCCUCUGGGAAGGAUGUUAUUCCUUCACCCCCAUUUACGAAAAGCUGAGUAAGACCACGGAAGGUAGAGAUUGACCUCAGUA
RNAcentral lists this long non-coding RNA (207368 nucleotides) under Medicago truncatula (barrel medic). RNAcentral describes it as "long non-coding RNA (MTRU_LNC003449)". The stretch from base 139188 to 139416 matches the Rfam family "MIR2630 microRNA precursor family". The record is from RNAcentral. Lineage: Eukaryota; Viridiplantae; Streptophyta; Magnoliopsida; Fabales; Fabaceae.